RNAcentral lists this long non-coding RNA (268537 nucleotides) under Ananas comosus (pineapple). RNAcentral's name for it is "long non-coding RNA (ACOM_LNC031521)". Lineage: Eukaryota; Viridiplantae; Streptophyta; Magnoliopsida; Poales; Bromeliaceae. The record is from RNAcentral.
AGAUCAAUCCCAAGAAUCUAGGGAUUUAUUGGUGGUUUGCUAUAGGUGCAAACCUAGGGCUCCAAAAUGGAGUUUUUGUAAAAAUGUGAGAUUGAUCUCAUUUGAAGCCUUGGAAACCCUAUUGAUAGGUCACAAAACGCGGGGGCGAAGUCGGUUUUGGCAUUUGGCGAGCCGGCGUGAAGUUCUCGGCAAAAUAGGGCCGGGUUAACAUUGAUUUGGGCAAGGGAAGGCUAAAGCCUUUUCGUAAAGUACGCCGAGGAGCAUUUCUAAAGCCUCUACAUCGAUAAAAGGUGGGGGGUGCCAUCCCGAAGCUUUCGAACUCCUUUCUAUGUCUUAGAUUUGCAUUUAAUCUCAUCUCUUCAUGUUGCAUUGUAGGAUUGCAUAGUAGCUCCAUUCCUUAUGCUUUCUAAAUGAUAACCUAGUGUACUUGGAACGCUUGGUAACUUAGAUAGGUGAGGAUUGGGUCGGAACGUGGAUCCUAUGAUGUGAAAGAAAAGAGAUGAACCCGAUGGGGGUAUUGAUGACAUAGAGAGUAGUGUUUAGUGUAAAAGAACACACGUGUGGCAUCCAAAAGUUACAUGAUGACAAGUGGCAUUAAUGUAGUGUAUAUGACACUAGAGGUUUGAGAACCUAGGGAUAGGUGGAUCCCUUAGAAAAUGCCUUGUGAACAAUGAAUUUAGAAAAAAGCUAAAUAGCAUUGCAUGAAUGUCGGGAACAAAGGAUCCCGCGAGAGAUGUUGACUCUAGUUGUAGAGUGCUUCCUCACUUGGAGAGGACUUGAUUGGGUUGUGACCCUAGUUGUAGAGUGUCCUCACUUGGAGAGAAUAGAUCUAGCUCACAGUCUGCGUUUAGGAUGGUAUAGCCAUCCAAUCCCCACAUGGAGGGGAUUGUCGUCGAGUACUCCGGAGUGUCGCGCGACUAGGACCACUUGGAGGUCCGGACCACAUGGAGGUCCGCAGACGGUCCCGGGCUUGGGUGCACUUGGAGCUCCCUCCCCACUUUGGGAUUGGAAGGUGAGUCAUUGGCGAGCCCUAGGGCCUCGUCACAGUUUUGGUAAAUGGAAAGUUAAAGGUUUAAAAAUGUCAUUGAACAUUACUAUUCGAACAUGGAUCGAAUUUGUUAGCAUGGUAGCAAACCUUUAUUAUAUGAUGCAUGCAUUCAUAUUCAUGAUUAUGGGCAUAGUAGCAUAGUUUUCCUACUAUCGCAUUUACAGCUUUCAGAUAUCUAUCUAUCUAUCUAUCUCUCUGUUGUUGCUUGUGCCCACUUGGACCUAGUGGGGAGAUCGGCAGAGUCGGCGGCCGAGCCCACUGGGAACUAUGGAAGAUAGUUCUCACCCCACUCUAUUUUCAGUGGUAGGUACAGGGUUGUCGAGAGAGGACCGCGGCAAGGGCAUCGCGCCCAAUCAGUGAGACCGUGGUAGCAUAGUAGCUUUCCUUUUUUGCAUUAGUACACCUAUGUAUUUGAGAGAUGCAUUGUAGGUGAGGAUUUGGAGAGCUAUGUAUUUUGAGAGCCAUCGCGAUACAUACUCGCCGUGCGAGAUUGGGCGCCGAAGUGGAUUGCGGUGGGCUAGGCUCAUCCCUAGAGUGGAGAUGUUGACUACUACGGGGCCAUUAGGCACGGCACCGGCCAGACAGCCUACGGGUGGGUCUUCAGGCCAGACAGCCUUCGGGCGGGUCUUACAAGAUUUAAACUUUAAGUAGUUAACAUGCCAAGUGGAUAUUGAUAGAAUAGUAAACAAUGACAUUGUACUAUUUAGCUUGUGGGGUAUUAUGUUAGUUACACUCAUGUAUUUACAUGUUACAGUAGCUUCAUUACUUAUGAAAAUUCAUGCUAAGUAGAGACAUCGUGUGGUAGCAAGUUUACAUGUUUAUUUACAUGUCGUUCAUAUCGUUUUUAUUUGUUUACUUACCUAUUUAGCUCUUUUGGGCCUAGUGGUGCUUUUCAUUGAAGUCAGUAAUUGCCCACUGGAAACUAUUAAUUAAUAGUUCUCACGCCCCCUGUUUUAUGGUUUUAUUUCAGAGCCUUCAGCACCGGCAGAGGCACGGGAUCGCGGCAAGGGUGUCGCCUUGCUAGAUAGUGGGGAGCUACUUGCUCUUAGGUGGUUUACUCUUUCUUUUGUUAUAAUAGAGAGAGAGAGAUUUUUGUACCAUGUAUAGAGACCACCUAUGUACUCGUUUAUCACUUGUUUUGGGUCAUCUUUUGUACCACUUUAUGGUUUUAUUAGUUGUUGUUGGAUCUUUUAUUCGCUUUCCUUGUUAUAGAUUCUAGUUGUACUAUGCUCUGAUACUCCUAGACGUUCUCCUUUUAUUGCUUUAUUUAUCGUUUUAUUGUAGAUGCCUUAUAUGUUUUAGACAUAUGGCGGGUCUGGGCACCCGCCGGGCGGGCUUCCGCUGGGUCCCGGGGCGUGACACUGGUAGAGCCAGUGCCGAUGCAGUCAAGGUGCCGGUGUCGAACCCCUCGGGCACUCGGUCCGGAAGUGGCCCUCCUGGCCACACAAAAAACAUGUAACACACUGGACCUUUGCAAAUUGCGAGGUUCGAGUGUUCGAGCUGUGUGCUGAGCAAUUCCAGAUUUUCUGGUGGGUCGAUGACAGUGUUCCGACCUAUGGCUCGCAUCCCGAGAAGUGAGGUUUAAAGCCGAGCACGAAAACCCGAAAAAUCGGAUUUUUGGGUAGCUCUCGGGUUGCCUUCGGAGGGCUGUGUACCGGUACGGGAGUGAUGGCUGUACCGGUACAGCCAUCGACUUUGGCCGAUUCUCAGCCAACCCGAGGCUCGGGCUGGGCGUUUUCGUAGGAGGUGUUCCGGUACGCGGGCCCGUGUACCGGUACGCAGUGCAGAUUCUGAGCAGUUUGAACUGCAGGGGGGUUUUCGCAAUUAUGGCGUCUCUAUUAGUACCCCCACGCCCUAGGGGUCUUCCCUGAGCUUGACACCAGCAAGGAGAAGGGUAAGGGAGCCCUCCACACUCUUCCAUUCCCUUUACUUGUUUUUGCUUGGAUUUUUAUGGGAUUAAGCUCUCUUUUGCUUGAUUAGAGACUUCCUCACCUCGAUUGAAGCUUGGAGCUUGGCUUUGGAGCCUUGUUGGGGGGAGACCCUUGGACUUGGAGAGUUUAGAGCUUAGAUUGAAGCUUCUAAGAGGUAAUCUACUUGCUCUCUCCCUCUAGAUAUGAAUUUUAUUGAUGGAUUCAAGAUCAAACCCUAGAAAUGGAAAUUUAGGGUUUAUUUGGGCAUUUUGCAUCUAGGGCUUUUGGAGCUAGAUUGAUUGGAUUAGAACCUUCCUUGGGCUUGGAUUGGAAGGAUUCUAGCCCUCCUUUGGAACUUGGGAGCGGAUUUCUACUCUUGGGGUGAGUUUUGGCCCUUUUUGCUUCUAGGUUAAUGUUUGAUCCUAUAGCAUGAUCGUAAUGCCCGUGUAUCUUAUCGCUCAAUACUUUUAGGGUAUUUUGAGACUCGGGGACAACUUGGUUCGGCAAAACGAGGCACUACGCGACGGUUCGGUGGGUUUGACCUAGCCACACAAUGAGAAAUUCUCAUUUGUGAUUAAUUAAGUAUCGUUAAUUGAAAAAGCAUGCAUAUUCUUGUUAUAUGUAUUUAAUAUGAAUUUUAGAAUGCUUAACAUGCAUACAUUAUGUAUAGUGAAAUUUUAGACCCCUAUGUGGUGGAGUGCAUGCAUGUGAGACUUAGCAAUCUAGUUAUGAUUGGGAACCAUGAUUCCGAUUAUGGAAAUGAACCUUGCUUUCAUGCAUUUAACCUAUAUGCCAAUUGUGACAUUAGAAAUUUUUAGAAGCCUAGAGAGGGCUUGAGGACUUGGACUAUUUGAGAAUUGGGUCAAUGUCAUAAAGAGGCAUUGGGCCCGGGUCAUGGUAAUCUUUGGUAUUAAUGUUUUAAUUGAGACAUAGAACCAGAAUUGGGCUUGAUCUGUUGAGUCGCUUAAGUGUCAUAAAGAGGCACUAAGCAAGUGAGGGUUGGGACAUCACUUAGAGACAUUGGGCUAGAUCCUUGGGAUGCUAGUGACCUUGCCAUGUUAGAGACAUGUGGAUAGAGUAUUUGAGACAGUGACCUUGCUUGUUUGCCAUUUGUGCUCAUUCGCACAUGCUUGUGUGGGUCGCUCCCUACAAGCCGGCACUCCGGAGUUAGCCUACGCGACUUAUGUUCGCUCGUGCGGUAUCGAGAAGCCUACGGGGUCGAGUGGGACAGACACAUUCCAAGAGUAGGGAUGUCGGGCUACCACAGACACUUAGGCGGCACAAGCUGGACUACCUUGGGUAGGUCCUUAAUUGGGAAUGGAAAACGACAUGGUGUCGAGUGGGUUUUAAUCACUACUAGAUAGGCUUAGUAGUUGGAUUAUUUGAUAUGCUCAUGACAUAGCAUCGGGACAUAUAGUAUACUUGCUUGUUUUAAUUAUUCUAUCGUAGUAUACUUGGUUGUUUUGAUAGAGCUUAUUUCCUAUGCAUUGACAUACUGCAUCGAGAUGCUUACUUGUCGGUUACGAUUGGGACUUAAUAGUCAUGCUUUGGACAUACUUACCAUGAUAGAGUAGAUGUACUAUACUUUGACAUCCUGUUUACUUGAGAUAUAGUGGUUUAGCACUUCAAUUAUGCUUUCGUAUUGCUAUUACUAUUACUCUUAUUAUUGCUUCUAGUACUUACCCUUUUCUUUUGGGGCCUAGUGGUGCAAUGGGCUACGGUCAGUAAUUGCCCACUGGGAACUAUAAAUUAUAGUUCUCACGCCCUCUUUUUCUCGAUGUUUUUCAGAGCCUUCCACGCAGGGUGAGGCCAGGGAUCGCGGGAAGGGAGUUGCUUCGAGCUAGCUUCCUUCGAGAACGAGUUGCUAGGUGGUCCACCUCUCGAUUUAUGUUUUAUUUUGCGAGAGGUUGAGAGUUUUACCAGUGUACUAGAGACCACCAUUUUUGUACUUUUGAGACAGAUUGUGUACUACUUAUGGUUUCUUUCCUUGUCUAGUUACACUUCUUUUACUCUGGUUUAGAUGAUAGAACUGUAUUCGCUCUGAUAUCACUAGUUGUUAUCAUUCUAUUUGUUCUAUUUCUUGCUUUUACUUCCGCUUGUAUUGUAGACGCCUUAUAUGUGUAGACAUAUGGCGGGUCUGGGCACACUACCGGGAGGGCCCCUGCCGGUCCCGAGGCGUGACAAAACACCUCCCUCCCCGCUGUGGGCACUGCGGUGGAAUAUGGGGGCCACCACAGAUCACACACUGGGGAGGUCGGUAUCGAUCAGAUCCUCCUCGCUGUGCUGCCGAGCCGCGCCCACGCUGCUUGCUCCUAGGGUGCUUCGGCGGCCUCCUAAAGUGCGUCUGACUCGCACCCUCAGCCGCGGGCCUAUUGCCCCUUACUCUUGUCCAUGCCUUCUCUCCGCUCUUGCACAUCUGCCGCGCUGCUCUCCACAAUGAGCGCGCGAUUCACCACCUCCCGGUAGGUUUGGAGGUUAGAGGAUUGCACAAACCGGAAGAUAGACGGUCGCAAUCCUCGCUCGAAGAUGCGGGCCUUGUCCUCGUCGUCCCGCACAAUGAAAGGCAAGCAGUGUAGAAGCCGAGAAAACUCCCUCUCAAACUCAGCUACGGUCCGGUCUCCCUGGCGCAAGUUGCACAAGUCCUGCUCCAUCUUCCUCUUGACACUGUCAGGGAAGUAGUGCGGCAAAAGAAGCUCCUUGAACUUCUUCCAAGAGAUAGCCGCCAAGUCCGUGCUGGGGUUCUCCUGAAUGUCCAACCACCAGUGGUAGGCCUCGCCGUCCAAGUGGUGUGUGCCGAGCCAAACUCGAUCCCUCUCCUCCACGAAGGUGUCACGGAAUAGCUUCUCAAUGUGCAUUAACCACUUCUCCACGAUCCAGUGGUCGACCUUCUCUCCGUCGAAAAUCCAGGGACUGCACCUCCUGAACUCAUUGAGGCGAUCCAUGAGCCGGUCCCGCUCUGCUCCCUCAACUAAUGCGGGAAAAAGUGCCCCCGCCCGAGGCACCUGAGCUGGUGGUGCCACGACAACCUCCUCCCGAGGUGCGACCGCAGGUGUCGUCCGAGAUGUGUCGUGGACGGGGGACGACCCCCUAGGUGCGACCACAUCCACAGGCGCGGGUGGUGUAGGAAUCUGAGCCUCCCAAACCACCGCAUGCUGCAGUAAAAGGUCCUCCAGGCGCUUCAUCCACGCCUCCUGUCGCGCGCUGCCUCUGUCUGCUGUCGCGCCGCCUCCACCUGCUGAGUCACCAAGUCGGUGAGGGCCGUAAGCUGGCUCCUCAACUCACGGACCUCGCCGGAUCCGGAGGUAGCGGAGGUCUCGACCUUCUCAAGGUGUGCCGCAUUAUCCGCUCCAGCAGAUUGAGAGCGUGUUAUCAGCAUUUCACUACAACAUCAUAAAAGCGCAAGUUAAUAAAACCCACGCUAUCGAAUCCCCGCUCAAGUAGAUAAUACCCAAAUCAUGCGAAAGUAAGGAAGUGUCCUUCACUACUAACUCCCGAUGUUACGUUGUCAGCCGCCAACGUAACCCUCCGCGAAGUUAGAAGCCAUACACUUCGAUUAAACUCCAACUUUUUAGAGUUAUAUUAAAACCCAAUCGUGAUACUUUCGCUUACAAGUCAAAUAGACCUCGUCUCUCACGAGCCUAUUUCCUAUAGUCCAACCGGCCUAAGGUUUGCUAGGUCCACUAAGACUCAACCCUAGGCUCUGAUACCAAAAUAAUCUGUCACGCCCCGGGACCCAGCGGAAGCCCACCCGGCAUGUGUCCAGACCCGCCAUAUGUUUAAAACAUAUAAGGCGUCUACAAUAAAACGGUAAAUAAAGCAAUGAUAAAAGAACAUUUAGGAGUAUCAGAGCAAAGUGCAACUAGAUUCUACAAUAGAGAAAUAAACAAAAGGCUAAAAUCCACUAAGAAAGGACCAUACAGUAGUACAACGAAACCCAAAUACAAGUGCUAAGAGUAAAACAAUGGUUCUCUCUAUACAUAGGAACAAAACUCUCCCUCACCAAAACACAAAAGAGAGUAAACCACUGUAACAUACCGGAUUUUAAUUUAAAAGUAAAAAUAAAUAAAGAUAGUGUGAGAUACUAUUUUUAUUGGAUUUAGAGAAAUAAAAUAUAAGUCGGAGACGACUUGUGCUGAAAUCGGAACGAAAACAGAAGAUAUCUGUACCUGAGCUGCUAAACUGAAAUUAAAUUGUGUAUUGUCGAGGGGACUAUUGUGUAACAAAAGGAGUUGUCUUCUUCCUCCCUCUCCCACAGCCGAACACACCACACACCACACACGCACACAUAGUGAGGAGAGAGAAACUCCCCUUUCUCUCUCUAGAUAUCUCCCUCAUCUCUCUAGAUCUCUCUCUAAAAAUUUGAGGGUUGGUGAAGAGAAAGCUUGGGAACUCGUUGGGAGCAUCGGAUCGGGCCUUCGUGCGCCCGGUUGAGCGGCGUGCCUCCGUCUCGACGUUCACGUUUUGGUAAGCUUUUGGGAUUUGGCUUAAUCCUUAUUGCUUAGUAUUCCAGUAGCCUCUAAUGUGUUGUUAGCAUGUUAAAUCUAUUUAAUUUGGGUUAUUUGGAGCAUGUGUAGAGGCAAGGUUUAAAAUGGUGAAUUUCUAGGGUUUAAAUUAUAUGCUAUAGAAUUGGAUUUAGAGGAACCCUUAGAUGCUAAAUGGAUGACUAUUGCAUGAAUUAAGAGGUUAUGUGAUGAUUUCUUACAAUAGUGCAUCUUAGGGCUCAAAAAUAGAGUUUUGCUUUGUGUUUGGGUUUGAUCUAAAUUAACCAUAUACAAACCUAAUUGCUAGGUAUACGAACGCGUUGGCGAAGUCGGUUCGGCGAUUCGUCGAGCCGGUGCGAAGAUAUUGAAGAAACAGACGUUUCGGCUUCGUUUCCGCCUAGAGGGCCGAGACGACGUCCAUAAAUCACAAGAAUGGAUCCGGAGCAUCGUGGCAUCAAGUUAUAGACCUUAAAUUUUCGGAUUGUGGAUUGGUGGCCGUUUGGUGGCCGUUUGGUGGUCGAGUGUGAGUUCGAGCAGAACCGGGCGGCGGGUGCCGCGGGAGGCCGAUUGCAAAUGACUACAAGCAAUCGGAACGCGAUAACAGGUGGAUUGUGCUUUACCGAAGUGAUUAGAUCACUUCCAUGUCAAAGUGAAGUGUGGUUCAUAAUUGAUGCAUAUAGUGGUAGUUAAUUGUGGACAUGAAUGCAUGUGAUUGAUACUAGUUGAAAACAUAAGAUAUAUACUACAUGUAUUGACUACCAUUGGAGAACUAAAGGAUAGAUGCAUGUUGACAUAUUGUUAGUAUAUGUUAGAGGUAAUAUGCAUGUUAACAUUAUGGAAAUAUGCUAGUUGGUAUAUAUAUAUAGACAUAUUGUGGAAUAUGAUAAAUGGAAUAUGCAUGUUGACAUUGUGGAGUAUGCUAGAUGAAAUUAUCCAUGUUGGCAAGUUGUAAAAUGUGCUAAAAGGUAUAUGCAUGUGCAAUUGUGACAUUGUGGCAUUUGACAUAACAAUGAGAACUUAGAAACAAAGUGACAUGUUGACAUAAAUGUAGAUAGUGGCAUUGAUGAGUCUUGAAUACUAGUGUUACAAUAGUGACAUCAAUGGGACAAGAAUGCUAGAUUACAAGUGUGGCAUUAAUGAGCACUUAGUGUGGCAUGAAAAUGAGUAUAAAGAACAAGUGAUGAACUUGAACAAGUAAAUGACAUAGAAGAGUGGCAUUUGGAACUAGUGUAGUAGGACACUUGGGACAUUAUUGUUGAGCUUGGUAUUUAUCCCGGUUUGAUUACCACUAGUUGGUAGGGUAUCCCCGGGCUAGAGGAUUGGAUCAUACUCACAUAGUCUAUUCUUAGCUUGGCGGGGGUCGCUCCCCUCAAGCAGUGCACUCCGGAGUUGUCAUACGAGGGGCUAACGUACUUGCCCAUGGACUAACGUACUUGUCCAGCAGACGGUCCCUCGGGUGGUUCGAGUCCUCCGAUUUAGAGGGAUUUGGUUAGUGAGGUUUGGAACCCGGCGGGAGGAAGCUAAGGGCCCGACGGGUUAGCCAUCAGAUUGAGUAAUAAAAUUGGCAAGUUGUUGGUUGAGACGAAACCUACGGGUUAGCCAAAAGGACCCAGAAUUGAAAAGUGGAUCUUGUAUUCAUCAUGAAUUUACUCAAGACCGAGUCGAGUGGCAUAGUUGGCUAAGGUAAGUGUAACCUUUGGAAAGAAUGAUAAAUGAGUAAAGUGUGGUUAAGAAUAAAGAGUAAAGAAUGGCAAGUGAUAAAGAAUUGCUAAUAAUAUAAAGAAUGGUAAAUGAUAGAGAGUAGAAUCAAUUAAUCUACUUGCAUGAGUUGCAUGAUUUGCAUAUUGCAUAUUGUGAGGUAUGAACAUGAUAAUUGUUAGUUGCAUAAAUUAUAUAUCUGUAGAUAUUUGUUGGACUAAUAUGUUGCAGUGCCUCAUUUGGACCUGGUGGGUUGAGCUUUUUCCUUGGGUGGCCGUACCCACUGGAAACUAUGGACAAUAGUUCUCACCCCCGUAUUGUUUUUGGGGGUAGAGGUUCGCACGUGAGCGGUGCGGCGGGCCGAGGCGAGGGCGUAGCUCCAUAGUUAGCGCCCUACCACCGAGACCAGAGAUAGCGGUACCCUGAGUCAGCUACUUAGGGAUUGUAAGAAAGAAAAGAACCAAGUUGUAAUAAUUAUGUUAAAGUUGGAUUGUAUGUGGAAGUUAAAAAGAGUUAAAAGAGUAUGAAAAGUGUAAUAUGUGAUGUAAAAUGUAAUAUGUGAGUUGAAUGCAUGUAAUAACUUAGUUGUUUAUGUUUUCGAUACUUUCCUUAUGAAAUCUAUGCUUGUAUGUUGUUCCUGGUUGGAAUCUCGCGCAUUGUAUGGAUUGUGAUGCCUUGGAUGUACAGGGGAGACUCUGUCCGCGGUACAGGAAAAAUCCUGUCCGUUCGAUGGUCUGUUGGCGUACCCGAAACCCACCAAAUAGGCGGGCUCGGGGCGUGACAACCACCUAGGAGCAAAAGCAAGCUCCGCUAUCUAGCUACGCGACCCCUUUGCCGCAAUCCUGUGCCUCCACCGAUGCUGAAGGCUCUGAAAGAAAACCAUAAAACAGGGAGCGUGAGAACUAUUAAAUAAUAGUUCCCAGUGGGCAAUUACUGACUUCAGUGAAAAGCGCCACCAGGCCCGAAAUCUAAGCAGGUAAGUGCGAAUAAAUAAGCAAUAUGAAUAACAAGUAUUUAAACAUGAAUACUUACUAUACCAUGAUGUCUCUACUUAGCAUGAAUUUGCAUAAGUAUGAUGCUAUUCUAACAUGUAUAUGCAUGAAUAUACAACCAACAUGAUAAUCCCAAUGUAAUCAAUAAGAUGUCAUUGUUUACUAUUCUAAUCAAUGUCCACUUGGCAUGUUAUAUCACUAGAAUCCCAAUCCUGUAGGACCUACCCGUAGGUAGUCCGGCCUGCACCGUGCCUAAUGGCCCGGUGGUAGUCAACAUCCCCACUCUAGGAAUGAGCCUCCCCCACGGCAUCCCAUUUCGGCGCCCAAUCCUGCACGGGCGAGCAUGUGUCGCGAUGGCUAUCUCCGGAGUGCCGGCUUGUGGGGAGUGACCCUCACAAGCAUGUGCGAAUGAACACAAUGGCAAGCAAGCGUAAAAGUCCGUCUCAAGUCCCAAGUCAUCAUGUCUAAAAUAUGGAAUGUAGCGAACGUCUCAAUGGCCUAUCACUAUGUCAUCAUGUCUAAAACAUGGAAUAUAGUCGAUGUCACAAUGGCCUAUCACUAUGUCUCUACGUUACAGUUUAACAGUUUACUAGUUCGGUGCCCCUUUAUGGCACUUUUGUUCACUUUGUCCAAACAUGAGUUAGGAGUUCAAGAGUACACAAUGCUAGUUCUUUUCAUCAUAUGAGACAUGUUUCCAAUCCACAAGAAAGAAUACUACUCACAUGCAUGUAUAAUCCACAUAAGGCUCUACUAUAUAGAGUUGAAUUUUCAUGAUACAUAACGCAUGCAUUUUAAGAAUUCUAAAUUCAUAUAAAUCCCAUCUAGCAUGAAUAUGCAUGCGAUACGAGGAAACGAAAACUUUUAACCACUUAGGAGAAGAUUUCUCCUAUUCCAAUGAAGCCAAACCCACCGUGACUCUCGCAACCCUUCGUUCAAGCCGACGAAGGUGAUCACUACUCUCCUAGUACCCUAAAGGUAAGAAAAAGAGAGGUACACGAACGUUACAAACAACCCAUUGCUCAAACAUUAAGCAACUCAAGAAAAAUGGUGAAAACUCACCGAAUGCGAAGAAACCUCGAUCUCCAAAAGGGAGUUAAAGGCCCUCUAAUCCAACCUAAAUAAAGAUUCUAAACCAAUCAAUUUGGUUCCAAAAGCCUCAAAUCCAAAAUCCCCAAAAUAAACCCUAAUUUCCAAUUCUAGGGUUUCAUUUAGUAGAAUCUACCAAAACAAUAAUCAAAGAGGGGAUUAAGCCUACCAACCUCAAAUGAAGCUCCCAACAAGGCUUCAAGUCCUCCAAGGUUGAAGAUCUUCCUCCAAAAGAGCUCUAACAAAAGCUUCAAGCUUCUUCCAUGGUGGAAUCCCAAUAAGAAGCAAGAAAAAGUAAAGAGGAGGAGAUCAAAACUAGCUAAAACCCAUCAAAAAUGGAGAAGAAAUCAAUGGGGAGAGUGCUCACCUUGUUCUCCACUGGUUAGGGCUCAAAAGAGCUCUCUAAGAUGGCUGGGGUGGUAUAUAUAGAGUUGCAACAAUUGCAAAAACAACCCCCAACAAAAACAGCCCUCACUGCCAAGUGUACCAGUAUACGGGAAAGUGUACCGGUACAAACCCAGUGUACACGCGAACCCGAGGCUCGGGUUGGCAGAAAAUCCCAUUUGUACCGGUACAAACAUCAAGGUGUAACCGGUACACUUUCUAUACCGGUACAACCAUCAAGAUGUACCGGUACACAGCCCAGCAAACUGCAACCCGAGAGCAGCCUAAGUCCAUCCCUUUGGUGACCUUAGCGCUACUUUAAAUGCUUCAAUUCUCGGAAUAUGAGCCAUAGGUCGGAACACUGUCAACGACCCUCCAGAAUAUCUGGAAAAACUCGGAACACUGAUCAAACACUCGAACCUCGCAAUUUGCAAAGGUCCAGUGUGUUACACUAUCUCAUGCAUCAGCUCAAAUAACUAUAAUAAAUAUAUAAUAUAAUUCAAUCAUACAAAGACUGACUCAACUUUUCGGUCAAGUCUGCGCUAGCUUGUCCCAACCACUAGCAUUGCCAAGGUUGAGGCCCGCUGCAAGAGGCUACUAUCUGUCUGUCUACAUGUUUGGUCUAUGCCAAUGCUACAUCUUUGAAGGGUGUAAUAUACCGAGAAUUCAGGAAAUAAAUAUCGAACUUUAGUCAAAUUGACCAAAGUGCGAGGACGGUACACUUCGGAAAGUCCGAAGGUGUUAAAAUGAUCAAAAGUGCGUUAUGAGAGGUUUUUGAGAGCUAGAGAAUCAAAAAUCUGCAAACUGCAGUUUUGAGCUCUUGGGGACCGGUCCGUGAAGGAGAGACCUGUGCACGAAUGCGUGAAAACUGAGAAAGCUGAAAAAUCGGCUAAGUCCCUGAGAUUAGGCUCUCGGGAACCGGUCCCUACUGGAGAGACCGGUCCCCAAGAGACCGGUCCCCCCAAAGAGAGACCGGUCGCAUUGCGCGGGAGCCCUGGCUGCCCUCAGGGAGGAGCUUCGUGAACCGGUCCCUGGUCGGGGAGACCGGUCCCCGCACACGAAAUCUGCCCAGUUUGGGCUGUUUAAUAAAAUGGAAGUUGAGGGGUUUAUUUGCAAUUAUGCAACCGAAUAGUUAUGUAGAGGGCAAUGAGGGCUUUUUCUCUCAUUUCUCACCCUCUCACACUCUCUCCUCUCUUUCUCUCUCUAGAAGACAAGAAGAGGAAGAGGAAGAAGAAGACAAAGUAAAGGAAGAAGAAGAAGAAGAAGGAGAAGGAGUAGAAGAAGACCAAGGAGUGGGGCAUCCCCAUCUUCUUCCUCUCUAGUGCUAGAAAGGAAAGCUUUGAGGUAAGCUUUGGUCCUUCUUAUAAUAAAACCCUAGAAAUGGUUUUGAUGGAACCCUUAGAGUAUUUGAAGCUUUUUCUUGCUUCUUUUUUAGAUCAAACCAUGGAAAUGGAGUGUAUAGUGAUGCUUAGAGGUGAGCUUCAACCUCCUCUCAUGGUGGAACCCUAAAUAGGGUUUUGAUUUGUCUAAGAAUGGUUUUAUGGACUUCCUAGUGUAGAGUGAAGCUUCUUUUACUUCCUAAUGAGAUCAAACCCUAGGUUUGAUAUAUGCUAUGGAGCUAGGGCACCCAAAUUGGGGCUUUUGCUCGUGAUGUUUCUAAAGUGCAAUUGACCCUCUAGAAACCUAAUUGGGGGUAUUUCCGACACGUUGGUGCGCUCGGAUUAACGUUACGAAAAGCCGAUGUAAAGUUAUGGCCAAAUAAGCCUAAUUUGGCUUCGUUAACUCGCAGGUAGCGAACCGGGUGUCUAAAAAAUCCUAAGAAAAUCAUCGGAGCACCUUUGAGAACCUACGAGGUGGGUGGUGCUAUCCAAACUCGUUGAACUUCCUUCUAUGCCUAAUGUGUCAUUCAAUUGAGCAUGUGUUGUAUACAUUGUUACAUGCAUUAUAGGGUAGAUGUGAUGAUAUACAUGUGAAUGUUGCAUGAUGUCAGUACACGUGCUAUUUGAUAUGUUUGAGAGCAAAUUAACCCUAUAUGUAUGCAUGAGAUGUAAUGUGAGCACCCAAUGAGUGGAAAGAACAAAGUGACACAAUGAGACAUAGAUCGAGUGGCAUUCGAUAAUGUAAAAUAAUGUGACACUAGAGUUAGUGUGUGGCAUUAAAGAGAAAUGUGAUGCAAUGAUAAUGAUUAGAGGCAAGUAAAGAAAAUGAAAGUGGCAUAAAGAACGAGUAAAGUUAGAGAGCAAUGAUUGCUAGAGUUAGCAAAAUAAAGUGAUGUAAAGGACACUAGAGUUAGUGUAAAGACAAUGAUUGAAUUAUAUAUAUAUCCUUAGAGUUAAGGAUUGAUCACACUUGCUAUGAGUUCCGUGCUCGAGGGCGGUCGCUCCCCCUCGGGCGAUGCGCUCCGGAGUUUUGCAUCAAGGGUUGGAGUAAACCCAAGGACGGUCUUAGCGGGAGGAAGCUGAGGGCCCGCGAUGAUGGACUUAAUGUGGGCAAGUUAAUGUGGCGAAACCCCCGGGUUAGCCAUGAGAUUAAAGAACAAAGAACAAAGCUUAAAGAACAAAGAGUAAAGAACAGGAACUUGCAUACUUGCAUGAUUUACGUUGAGCAUAUUUCCUGUUUUAUUGUUCAGGCAUAUUAGCAUCAUGAUUAUAGUUUGGUUACUAUUCUGCUUAUCCUUUCUAUUAUGCCUGAGUUAGUCCUAGUGGGAAAGUCGGUGAUGUUUGGGCUGAACCCACUGGGAACUUUGUUGUAGUUCUCACCCCACUAUUCCACAGAGCCGGGACCGAGCGAGCCGGCGAGCGACCGCAGUAAAGGUAUCGCACCUUAGUCAGAGGCCACCCGAGUUGGGUUACUUACAUUUUGUUAGUAGUUUACCCCUUUUAUCAUCUUUGUAUUUGAUGAUUUAAGAUGCUAAUGUAUAAAACAAAGAUGGAAAAGAAUGUAAUGUUUAUUUUGAGCAAAUGCGAUGUGAAAAGAAAUGAUGCGAAGACUAUGUAAAGAAUUGUGAAUGAAAGUGAUAGAUACUUGUAUGUGAUCAAAAAGAAUCAUAGUACUAGUUGAAUGCUUAGUUUCCUAUCUUUCACUCAUGGCUAUUGCUUACCCUUGUGUAAACCGUUUGUGUAUGUUUCCGCUAGUGCACUUCUUGUUUGGAAUUGUACAUGUGAUGAGCCUUGGGCGGACAGGAGAAACUCUGUCCGUUCGGCGUCUGUUUGACGUGCUCGGGCCGACCCAAAUUAGUAUCGGUCCCGGGGCGUGACAAAGGGUCACCUUGAAGGGCGUGAACCCUAUACAACAUACUAUUAAGCUCAAUGUGGCUCUACAGGCUAUAAUCAAUAUAAUGAUCAAACAAAUCACCAUAGAUACCCUAUCACUGUGCCUCAAACAUGAUAUACUAUCCCACUGCUCUUAAUACAAUAAUACUGUCGCAAUGUUUUCAGCAUAAUCAUAAAAUGUCCACUGACUAACUUAUCACAAUGCUCAUAAUAUCUAACAACAUAAUUAUAGUCAUUUAGUAAAAAAUGAUAGUAGGAACCCAAAAUCUAAAGAUAACUCAACCUAUUGUCUAUAUAGUCUCUCCUAGAAUCACAAUCGCAUAUAUACUAACAUGUACUAUAAUUUAAAACUCGUAUAUCCACAUACCAACAUGCACCGUAGAGAUUAAAUAAUAAAUAUAUCAUGUAGGUCACCCAACCGUGAAAUAUCAAAUAUCUAUACACAUAUCAUACUGUCAAAAUACCAUAACAUAGCACUCAUAAUCGUACAUACAUGUUCUCUUGCUAUUAGCAUCCUGACCACAUAAUUGAACGACCUCGUAUGUCAACAAUUAGACGACCUCAUAUGUCAAUAAUCAAACGAACCCCACAAUCCAUAAAUUGCCAUGACCAAAAUACAACAUCAUGCACCAUAAUUUAUCAUGCUCAACAAAUAUCCACAUUUGAUUGCUAACAUAGUGAUACCAUAGAGAAGUUUAUUACUCCAACAACAAGCAUGCAACAUAAUAGAUAUAAACAGUAAUAUGUAAUUUUCGACAACACGAAACCUACCUCAAGCGCUAAUCCUAGGAAAACAAUUAAUGGACAACAUAUCACAAGGUGCUCUACUACAGUCUCAUUGUCCAUAUAGCAGCCACAGCAUGCAAAAUUCGCUCGAAAAUUUCCACAAUAAAAUUUGACAAAAUCUGAUCCCUAAAUCACGUAGGGCUGGUAAUCCAGCUCGCCAUUCGCGAGUCAGCUCGUGUUCGGCUCGAAAUGAGCUCAAGACUGACUCUAUCAUUUAGUAAACGAGCCGAACACCAGCUAAAUUUUUCAGCUCAUUCAAUAAACAAGUCAAACACGAGGUAGGAUCAGCUCGCUCGUAUUCGGCUCAAUAACAGCUUGAUUACAUUUAUUUUAUAUUAAUAUCAUUUAUAGAUAUAUAUUAUAUAUAUAUAAAUAUAUAAUUAUAUUUGUAUAUAAAUAAAUAAUACAAAUUAUUAAUUUUGAAUUUUUAGUCCAACUUAAAAACAAAGCCCAUCUUAUUUAUAAAGAGGCCCACUUAUAUUUAGAAUUUCAACCGUUGGAUCAAAAUCUAGAAGAUAAUGGGGGUGUUUGGCCUAGCUUCUCAGAAGUCAUUCUGAGCCCAAAAUCACUUUUGAGCUCAGUAGAGCAUUUGGGAACGACAGACGAAAAUCUGAUUCUGCUUCUCAGAAUUAGAAAACUGAUUUUGAAGGCUUCAUAAUCAGAAACAGAAAAACGCUGCUUCUCCAAAAUUGAUUCUGAUUUUGGACUCAAACUUCAAAUUUUUAUUUUUAUUUUAGAUUCAAACUAUAAAUUUAACAUUAAAUUUAAAUUCAUAUUUGAAUUUUUAAAUCUCAACAUUUCAAAUUCAAAAUUUAAAAUUUAGAUUUUAAAUUUUAAAUUUAAGUUUCAAAUCUCAAAUUUUAAAUUUUAAAUUUUAAAUUCAAAAUUUUAAAUUUUAAAUUUAAGAUAAAAUUGAAAUUUUGACAUUGCAGAUUUUAAAACUAAAAUUUAAAAUUUGGAAACUUUAAAAUUUAAAAUUACAAGUUUUAAUUUUCAAAUCACAAAAUUCAAAUUUAAAUAUCAAUUUUAAAUUUCAAAAUUUUAAAUUUUAAAAUGUAAAUUUGAAUUUUACUUUUAAAUUUCACAAUUUUAAAUUUAAAUUUUAAAUUUUGAAUUUUAAUAUUUAAAUUUUGAAUUUUAAAAUUUUGAAUUUUGAAUUUUGAAUUUUAAGUUUUAAAUUUUAAAUUUUGAAUUUGAAAAGUUUCAAAUCUCAAAUUUUAAAUUUUAAAUUCAAAAUUUAAAAUUUUAAAUUUAAGAUAAAAUUUAAAUUUUGACAUUUCAGAUUUUAAUACUUAAAUUUAAAAAUUUGAAAUUUUAAAAUUUGAAAUUAUAAAUUUUAAUUUUCAAAUUACAAAAUUCAAAUUUUAAAUCUUAAUUUUAAAUUUCAAAAUUUUAAAUUUUAAAUUUUAAACUUUAAAUUUUAAAUUAUAAGUUUUAAAUUUUAAAUUUUAAAAUGUAGAUUUUGAUUUUACUUUUAAAUUUUGAAAUUUAAAUUUUGAAAUUUCAAAAUUUAAAUUUUAAAUUUUAAAUUUUUAAUUCAAAUUUCAAAUCUUAACUUUAAAUUUGAAAUUCAAAAUUUAAAUUUAGAUUGGAAAAUUGAAAAUUUAAAUUUAAUUUAAAAAUUCAAAUUUUAAAUUUGAAAUUUCAUUUAUUUUUGUACAAAUUUGAAAUUUAAAAUUUUAAUUUAAAUUCCAAUUUUAAAUUAUUUUAAAACAAAAUUUAGUAAAAAUAUUAUAUAUACAAGCAUCAAAAAUUUUUACUAAACAGGUUUAGAAAAUUAUUUUAGAAAAAUUACUUUUUAUCUAAAUUCAACCAAAUGCUUUUCAGUUUUUCACCAAAAUUAAUUUUUCAAACCAAAAUUACUUAUGCAGAAAUCACUUUUACAGAAGUUAGGCCAAAGAGGCCCAAUAUUCUAUCAACUUUUAACUUUCCCUCUUCCUAACUUUCCCUCUUCCUAACCCCUUUUCCUAACCCUAGUUUCUUUUUCCCUUUUCUUUUCACACUUUACACACGCAGCCGGUUCUUUCUUUCUCUAUGUCUACGCCCAAAGACACCUCCGGCAGCGCUCUUCCUACUUCGCCGUUCGCACACUCCCGGCGGUGCAUUCUUCACUGUUCGCAUAUCCCGAUGGAACUUGAGCAGCAGCGCUUUCAGCAGGUUCGUUCUUCGUCUUUCAUUGAUCUUCAUCUUUUUUCUUUUUUUUUUCUCCCCUUUUUCUUAUGGUUUUUUGAGCAGAAUGUGAGGGAUUGUCUUUAUCGUAUCGGAUUGGCGCGAAAUCCACUGAAGGAUCAAAUGGCAACUAAGAAAGGGGGGGGGUGUGAAUUAGUUGAGAACUAAAAACUCAAGUAAAAUUAAAUUAAGAUAAAAAUUGCACAACCAAAUAAAAGAAAAAAAUCAAACUCAGAUAACACAGAUGAUUUAUCCUAGUUCGGCCUUUCUGCCUACUUCAGUCCGAUCCUUCUUCUCCUUGAGAUACCGAUUUCACUAUCACUUGGCCUUUUGAACAGGGCAAGACCAAAGCCGCUUACAAUCACACAAAACUUCUUUUACAACCUCUCAAUGAAGCUCACAAUUACAAAUCAAUGAACAAUUAGGACUUAGAGAAUUUUUCUGAAGUUGUAUCACAAACAACAUCCAAGCCCCCCUUUAAAUACACUAGCCAUCAUUUCAAAAAUGGAACAAAUUAUGAUUAAAUCAUAAUUGAUUUUAAUUUGAAUUUUAACUAUUAAUCCUUUUAAAUUAAUACUACAAAUGAAAACUUUUUGAAUUCAUUCCACAUUUGUAAAAGCUUUUGAAAUAAUACCAUACAUAUAAAAUUCAUGCCAUAAUAAAAUCAAUUUUGAAUUUAUACCAUAUCUCUUUCAUACCAUAUUAAAAUAAUGGCUAAUUUAACAUUAAGUUUCAAUCAAAUCCAAAAGAUGAAUUGGUCAACUUGACUAGGUUGACCGGCUCAUAUCUGAUAAAUUGUAAAGAAGUCCUCCAGAUUAUUGUUGUGGCAUUUGCAUCCAAUUUGGUACAAUUUGAUCUUGUCCGGACCAAUUUGAACAAUUUGAUUGAAUGGUUACCUUUGAUCAAAUCCGGUUCAGCUUGAGCCACUUUAAAUUCAAUUACAAUCAGAAAUUGCUAAAUAACAAAUUAAAUCCAAAAUUUGUUUGUUAUCAUCAAAAUUUAUUAUUCGUUAAAAUCCAACAUCCACCACCGCUCAACUUCCUCCCCGUCGAGCACAAUAUUUUUGUGAGUAAGGUAGCGUUGAAUAAUCCAGCCAACGAGCCGAAAACGAGCUAGCUCGAAUAAAUUGCGAGCUGAUCACGAGCUAGACUUUUCGAGCUCGUCAUCAUGAGCCGACCUUGAACACUUUCGAGCCGAUCUCGAGCUGGCUCCGGCUCGCUCGAGUUCGGCUCGUUGACAGCCCUAGCUCCAUGUUGGUUAUUUGAUUUUUGCAACUCCUUUUUCUGUAAUCACUAAGGUUUAGAUGUUGGACAUAAAUUUAUUUUUUUUCAAUCUCGAAUUGCAAUUUGUAAAUUGUAAAUUCAUAGUUGUGAUAUCAAACAUGUUUUGAUCUUAUUUUGGUAUGCAAUAAUGAAAUGACCUUCCUGAUUGGUGAGACCCCUCGCUUUAGAUUACAAAGUAUUAUUCUUCAUGUUAGGGCUUUUUUAGCAAAAUUUGCAUAAAAUUGAUCUUCGUCUUGUUAUCGUCGAUCUGUUUUGAAUUGGCCUUCUCUUAGGUUGACGGAUAUUUCAUGAAUUAAGUUUUUACACUCCACCUGCUUGACUAGCAUUUGUUUUCAUCUUAGCUUCUGAUUCCUUCAUAGGACAAAGGUUAACAAUCAGAAUAUUAGUGAUGUAAUUACUAGUUGUAUGUAUUGGGUUUAAUACAAAUUACUAUUUAAAAGAGAAAUCAAGUUUCCUUUCGGAAAGAAAGUAGAAGGGAAAACAGCAGCAUUCAAUUUUCUAUUCUCCAUAUUGGCUGAUUUCACGUGUUCCUGAUGAAUUAACUUGUUCCCUUCUGAGUUGUCUCGCUACUGAGUUGUCUCCUUUUUCCUUUCUCUGAUAAUACUUUUGCAGGAUUUUCUUAUAAGCCUAAAAGAGAUGGUUGCUGUGCGGGCAAAGAAUGUAGGCUUUAGUGAUCUUGCUGAAAAGUUUGAUGUGAGAAUGCUUCGAGCUCUUUGUAUGUGUCACUGAAUUCCCCUAUUUGAGGCAAAGACUGCAAAUUUUUGUCACUUUUUUCUCAAUUUCAUGGUAUACUGAAAAAUAUAUCUGUUAUAAUUAGGAUGUGUUUGUUACAUUAGAAAUUGUAGUCAAUUAUCUAACUUGCAAAUUAAAAAAUUCCGUUGAUUUAAGAUUGUUUUCUCUGUAUCUCAUUAAACCUCUGUUGUAGCUAUACUUCUUUUCUAGCUGAAUUGUUUUGUGUCCUCUUGUCUUGGUCAAUCUCAAUUAAUCUUCCUAUUUUUUCGCUGGUUGUUCAUGAAUAUACACUUCAGUAAUGGAUUAUCUGCUUAAUACUAAUCAUUUUCUCCAUUUGGCAUAGUACAGUGAUAAACUGAAGUUGAGGUUAUACCAUUAGCAACAUGUAUAUAGCAAAAAGAUGCCUAAAAACAUUCAUUUUUGAGGUUUCCCAGUUUUUAUUUUUCUCUUUCUAUAUCUGGUUAUAAAGAUCUUGAUUUGCUUGAAAAUUGGAUAAAAUGGAGUAUACUUUUGGCUGGAGUGGUUUAUCUGGUGUCUUCUCUUAGACACACUAAAAUUACCUAACAGAUUCUUUUUGGUUCAAAUUAUCAUGAUUUUUCUCUGACGGGAGUGGACAUCUAAUUUUCACUUUAUUCCGCUCGUAACUCUUGUUACAAAUUCAUUCUGAUCUAACAGGAAAUUUCCAAUUGGCGAUCUAUGUUACUAAUUUAUUCUGGUCCUUUUUUUUGUGGAAAAUGGUUGCAAGUUUCCAAAUCAUGUUUCAAAUUCUAGACAUUCUGGUUGCAAUCUAUUCAUUUCGUUUCGAAACAAAUAUCUUUGAUGUUUCUCUUGUACUAAAAUCGUUGUAUGUAUUGUGACUCGCCUGUAUUGUAGCUUGUUUAGUCCAAUAACUUCUCAGGGAUUAUUUUGUUGGAAAAUUUCAAGGGGCGACUGAAAAGCGCCUCGACUGACCCAAAGUUGGUUGAGAUGCUAGCAUCAUUAGGUGGCAGUAGUCUGGCUCCACCUGAUCAGGAGAGCAGUUCUUGCUCUGAGCUUUCUAUCAAUGAUAUUUCAAUGCCAAGUUUUAUCACACCGAGACGAAAGAGGAUGCAGGAUGGGUAAGCACUAUGUCAUGCAUGCGUUUGUACUUAGUUUCUCAACCACGCAAUGGUAAAACAUUUGUACUUUGUUCCUAGGCAUCCAGAUUAGUUUCUUCAAUUAUAUAAUUGUAAAAACAUGUGUCCUUUUGUUUCUAGGCAUGUAGAAACCUACUAAAAUGAUCGAACCCUAGCACUUGGUGCAUCUUUAGCUAUACAAUUGUGUACAGUUUAUUGUGUUCCUUUGCCCUUUUAGGCGGAAUUUCACGGCCAUAUAGUAACAUUCCAGCCUGUCGAAAUUAUGUUCAUACGUUCUUUAUUUCUUGCUGCAUUCAGAUUUUUACUUGGAAUAUUUGUGAAGACUUCAAUUUUUUUUUUUUAACUAUUUAACUCGAGAGUGUUUUAUUAUAUCUUCUUCAAAAGCUCUUUUCAUUUCCAAACAUAAGGUUUGAAUGAAGCUUUGCUUUUGUCUGCAGAUUACGUGGAGAGAGUGUCCAAGGAAGUUGCAAGAAACAGAAAACAGAGAAGAACAUAUAAUAAUCAGCAUGAUUCUUCAUCUACUACAAUUUUACAUGUUCCCGCCGGUAAAAAUCAUUUUUGCCCCUGGUUUUACCCAUGAUCUCUUUGACGGGAUGCUGAGUUUCUUUUCCCUUGUUUCUUUCCUUCUACAUCAUUUAUUUAUGGGUAAACUUCAAAAACCACCCAUAUUGUUUCACACUUUCUCAUUUUAGUACCAUAUGGUUUAGAGUGUCUCAAGUUAGUGUCCUGUGGUUUUAUUUUUAUCUUUUCGUCAGCUUCUCCGUUAAUAUUUUGUUAAAUUAUAUGCAAAAAACUUCAGAUACCCCAUCUAGGUUUAUCGAAUAUUCACUUUAGUACCUCUUUAGUUUUAAGUUUGUCAUUGAUUUGACAAAAAAAAAAAAUUAGUAGAAUCGAUAAUAAAAAGAUAAAAAUGAAACUACAAGACACUAAAUCCACAGGGUAUUAAAGUGAGAAAGUGUGAAACUACAAGAGUUGUAUUUGAAGUUUCCCUUUAUUUAUUAGUCUGAUAACAUGCUUCACGCAUAAUGUAAUUGCUAACUAUUUAGUAGUUUAAGAGCUAACACCUAACCUUUGAACUAUAUAUGUAAACCUUUCAUUUUUACUCAAAUAUGAAAAUCUUAACAGUAAAGACAUGGAUUGAUUUUACUCAAAUUAUUAUGUAUAUCUUUUAUUUUCUUUUGGACAUAUUUGCAGCUUUAUUGUCAGAUAGCUAUCUGAACCAUAGGCAUAAUUAAAGUUUAUGAAGAUACUGAGAUGAAGACUACAGGUUUUAAAUUUUGCAUAAAAAAUCUAUUAGUUUUGAGCUUUUGCAAAAGUAGGCCGUCUUUUUGAAUUUUGCAGAUUCGGGCCGAAUUUUCAGAAGGAUGACCAAACUACCCCUCUUUCAAAAUGCAUAAAAAUUAUAUGCUUUAAAUGCCUAGAAAAAUACAACUGCUAAGCCAUUAAGUGUAAAAUUUCUUGAAAAUGACAACUGCUAAGCCAUAGUUACGUAUACGAUUCUCGUGAAAUGAGAAUCCUCACUCAAGACAAUAUCUGUAUAAGUAGUGCAACAUAUGCAUUGUUGAUACACAUUUUGCAUGAUUUUUAUACUAAAUUACGUAUAGUUUAGUAUAUUACUGUCACGCCCCGCGACCAACCGCUAAUUUGGACCGAGUCGCGGCGCCGCCGACAGACCGCCGAACGGACCGGGAAUUCCGCUGUACGCGGACAGAGCCUCCCCAGUACGUCCAAGGCGUCGCAGUCCAAACAAUCAACGAAUGUUCCAACUAGGAACGGAUAUCAAUCCAGAUUGCAUAAGGAAGUAUCAAAUAACAUAAACUACUUGCUAUUACAAGCAUUCAUUUUACAACCACUUUUUACAUCACAGUUUCAGUUUACAUUUUACUUCCAAAUUACAAUCUCAUUAAUACAUCAUUUAAUUUACAAUUCUUAUACAUUUAGAAUUCUUUGCCUUCUAGUCCCCUAAGCUAGACUGCCUCAGGGUACUGCUACCUCGGUCUCUGUGGUAGGGCGCUAUCUACGGAGCUACGCCCUCACCUCGCGCCGCCGUGCCGCACACGAACGACCUGAAAAUCCCAAAACAACGUGGGGUGAGAACCAACUCCAUGGUUCCCACUGGGUACGGCCAUCCAAGGAAAAAGCUCGACCGAUAGGUCCGAGGAGGCACUGCAACAUGUUAGUUCAACAAUAUACAACAGAUAUAUAUAUUCAAUUGAAAUACAUGCCAUGCCUCAAGAUAUGCGAUAUGGAAGUCAUGCAACACUAUGCAACAUCUAGUAGAUCAUUUGAUUCUACGCUUUACUUAGCUACUCUUAGCUCAUAUCUUUACUCUAAGGUUUUUAUUACCUUAGGAUCUCAACUCGGUCCACUGGCUUCUAAGGUCUCUACUACCUUAGCUCAAGCCUCUAAUCUCUAGCUCAUAAGGGUUCCUCUACCCUAACGAAGCUAACCACACGACUCGGCGUCGAGUCAAUCAUCCGCGGAUAGCCCGCGCACUGGCUGCUCAUCAGCCUACCGCCCUCUCUGUCUCAGCCCCCUAGCGGCGAAGUCGUCGCACACGCUAAGCUCGGCUCAAGUCGCACGACUUGACCAUCUGGCGACGAUCACGUUGCUCUUACCCAGCGUGAGCUCGAGUCACGACACACCGUCUGGCGGUGAACGGAUCGCACCACACCCAACAACGGUACAUGUCAGACUCAGCCACCUGGAGGCACCCGUACCGUACUUAUCCAGCAUGGAUUCAGUCUGCUCUGGCGGUCUGAUCCUCAAAUGGCUUAACCAUCCUGGCGGUGAAAUCGUCGCACAAACGCCACGGCAAUGGCUCAAGGCCCGGGCGGUGAUCUCCAUGUGAUCGCCCCAAUCCUCCCUCGGUACCAAGCUCGGCGGCGAAGUCGUCACACAAACGCCCUAGCUUCUACCAGGGUCAUCACAAGUCAUGGGAUUCCGGAAUCCACUUUCCACAGGUCAAGGGUCCAUAGCCAACCCUAUACUUUCGACCUAGCUCAUCCUAGUGGCUAUACCACUAUACUCAUCAACCUAGGUUCCAACACUCUAGGUUCUAUGUCCAUGUCACUUAACCUAGAUAUACUUGCUAGGUUCUUGUCAUCUUUGCCUAGAUGUUCACUUCUAGGUUUACUAGUUCGACCUAGGUUUACUAUUACUAGGUUCGAUGCCACAAACCUAGAUUGUUCAACUCUAGGUUCACUUAUUUAACCUAUGUUCUUUAACACUAGGUUAGAUGCCACUCGAUCUACCUGACAACCUAGUUGUCCAAUCAUCUCGGCUCACGCUAGAGUUAUCAUCUAGCUCAUAUGCAUGUUUUACUUGAACUAGCAUUAUUUAUGUGUCAUGCUCACUAUGCUUUCUACUUAGCAUGGUCAUCUAUGCAUUAUUGUUACCAUGCAUUCUCUAUUUAGCCUUUACUCUAUGCAUAUUUAUUAAUGCACCAUUUAAUCUUGUCUACAUGCAUAUGCAUCAACAUGAGAUUAUAUUGCUAAGACAUAAAGGGCGACCUAGUCGCUUCGGUAAGCACAACCCACCUUAGAUAGCUUUUCGAUUGCUUGUCGACACUUGCAAUCGGCCUCCCGCGGCACUCGGCACCCGUUUGGGCCCGACCUCACAGUUGCUCCCCACGAGCGCGCCGCUUCGCCGUUUCAAGUGCUAGCGAUCUUUGCCUUGCCGCUACGGUGCUCGGGACCCGAUCUCACGAUUUAUGGACGUUGCCUCGGCCUCCCAGGCGGAAAUGGAGCUCCGAGUGCCCGUUUCUUCAAUGUCUUUGCAACGGCUUGUCGAAUUGCCGAACCGACUUCACCAACGUGUUUCGUUACCUACCAAUUAGGUUUCCGAGGGGUCAAAUGAGAUCAAACUCAUCUAUUUACAAAAACCCUCUUUGGAUGCCCUAGAAUGCCAUUUCUAGCAAAUCCACCAAAUCGAUCUAUGAUUUGGGUAUAGUCCAUCAAAAUAGCAUGCUAGGGCUCCAAACAAACUAACUUUAGAGAUCAAAACCCUAUCCCUAAAGAUCUACCAUGAGAGGGCUCCAAGCUUACCUCUCCAAGAGCUCCAUGGAAGAAGAAGAUGAAGAUGAAGAUGAGGAAGAGGAUCUCCUCCUUGGUCCUCUUCUUCUUUUCCUUUCCUUUCUCUUUUUCUUCUUCUCUUCUCUUUUCUCUUUUCCUUUCCUUCUUUUCCUCCCUUGCACGAUCGGAGAGAGGGAGAGGCAGUGAGGGAGUGAGAGAGGGAGAGAAAUACAUCUCUCUAAUAACCCCUCUCAUAUUGUAACAAAAUGUUAUUAGGUCCCUCCACUUUUCAUCUCUUACACAGCCCUUACUGGGCGUUCUGCGCGCUGAGGGACCGGUCCCCGAGAGCUCUCCCCGGUAUCACGCGUUCGGGAACCAGUCUCUCCCCGAGAGACCGGUCCUCGGGAGACCGGUUCCUCUCGAAGAGACCAGUCCCCGAGAGCUCAUCUCGCGGGACUUAGCCAAUUUUGGCUCUUCUCACUAAUGUCGCAGGCUGGGACCGGUCCCUCCCCUGCCAGGGACCGGUUGCAUCAGCAACCCCGCAGCCUUCAGCUGAUGGGACCGGUCUCUCACCUCCAGAGACCGGUCCCCGAGAGCAACCUCAGCCCAAAAAUGCAGAUUGCAUUAUUUGCUCUCGCGGACUCCGUUCCAAUGCACUUCUUGGGUUUCGUGCAUCCUAGGCUUUUCCAAAGCCUAUCCAUUCGACCCUUAGUCGAUCCUGGACAAAAUGAAACUCUCGGAUUUCGAGAACUCACAUUGUUACAUUCUCCCCUCCUUAAAAAGAGUUUCAUCCGCGAAACUCACUCAUUUCUAACCCCUUUUUUUUUUCCUCGACACACUUCUCGAGUACACAUUUUAUAGUAUGUUAUAAUAUAUUAUACUAUUUUCGCGUAAUAUAUUAAACUGUACGUAAUUUAGUGUAAAAAUUAUGCAAAAUGUGUUUUAACAAUGUAUAUGUUGCACUACUCAUAUAGAUAUUAUACUAUUUGGAAGAGCAUGUUGCACUAUUUGAGAGAAUGUUGCACUCUUUUAUCUUAUUAAUUAUAUUUUAUUAUUUUUAUUUUGUUUUGAAUGAUGAUUUUCGUUUCAUGUAAUUAUGACUUAGCAGUUGUCAUUUUCAAAAAAUUUUAUACUUAAUGGCUUAGCAGUUGUAUAUUUCUAGACAUUUAAAGCAUAUAAUUUUUAUACAUUUUGAAAGAGGGAUAGUUUGGUCAUCAUUCUGAAAAUUCGGACCGAAUCUGCAAAAUUCAAAAAGACGGCUUAUUUUUGCAAAAGUUCAAAACUAAUAGAUUUUUUUAUGCAAAUUGGCCUUCUUUUAUUCAUCAAACAAAGAAAAAGGCAGAAGUGUAAUUUGUCGUAAUUGCUGGAAUUGAAGCCACGGAUUUUAAUUGAUUACUAUCAUCCUCGUGAACCAUGGAUGAAUAUCUUAUGUAGGUGGCAUUUUAGCUGCAGGUUUGGCAUUUUGCUAUGUUUAGUACUUCAUUCGCAUCUUCCAUUAAUUGUAGCAGAUGUUGACACUGCAUCUGCUUCCACAUUGCUAGUUUGCGUGUAUCCGUAUCGUUGUUUCUGUUUUCUGUCGUUGUUUGAUGCAUGUCAUGUAGAGAGAAAAUAUCUAGCUAGUUCGUUAGCAGCUUAAAAGUGUCUUCAGAAUUUCCUUUAUGUAUGUUAUCUAGACUCUGCCAUGUUGGGAACAUCUUAAACUCAUACAAUCAGGGAGCAAUCUUUGGACUGUUGUUGUCUGAACGUGACAAAAGAAAAGGAUGGAAAAUUUACUAUUAAUGCCCUUGUUCAGCCUCUGAAGCAUCACAAAUUUAAAGAGCCAAAGAAGUUUAGCAACUUAUGGAGUAUACUGAAGUUCUUCUUCGUAGGACUUCGCCACACACUACACUCCACAGAGUUUAUUUUUACACACCCAGCUAGCUUUGGCAUCUGAUUACAUGUGAUAGACACCAUGGCCUUGCUACGUGCUCAGAAGAUAGCGAUGUUUUAGGUGGAGGGUUUAACGACUCAAAGGCGACUCAAGUCGCUAAACCCUUCCUCUCGAGCAAACAUUACUCUCUAGUUUUAUUCUAUUCGACCUGAUUCUCGUGAACUAACUAAAGGGCCCUCUAAGUGGACUCAAUCUAGGGUUACAGUUUUCCUUAAUUUAUAGUUGACAACUUAUAUUUUGACGGAACUGUUGUUCUCUGGAUGACUCUCAUGUCCUGGUGCGAGCAAGCCGGACAUGAUUUUCGUCUUCAUUGCGGUGCUCAAACGAAUAGCUGCUUGCUCUGGAAUUAGCUGCAAAUUUGUAGAAUGAUGAGUACUAACCUGCAAAAUGGCAGACCCAAAAUAAGAGUCGUGCUACCCAUACACCCCAUUUAGAGUUGUAGAUCCUACAACUCCUUGAUCCAACGGCUGAUAUAAACUUGGUUUAAAAAAAAAAAAAANNNNNNNNNNNNNNNNNNNNNNNNNNNNNNNNNNNNNNNNNNNNNNNNNNNNNNNNNNNNNNNNNNNNNNNNNNNNNNNNNNNNNNNNNNNNNNNNNNNNNNNNNNNNNNNNNNNNNNNNNNNNNNNNNNNNNNNNNNNNNNNNNNNNNNNNNNNNNNNNNNNNNNNNNNNNNNNNNNNNNNNNNNNNNNNNNNNNNNNNNNNNNNNNNNNNNNNNNNNNNNNNNNNNNNNNNNNNNNNNNNNNNNNNNNNNNNNNNACUAUCAUGUAUAUGAUGUUUUACUUUCACUUGAUCAACUAUAUGUCAGUGUUGAUUAACAUGCCUAAUCAAAUGUAUGCCAAUGUCCAUUUACAUGCAUAAUCAAUGUCCAUAAUGCUCCAUAGAGUAAACUAUGCUUUUUAAUGUUAUUCUAGCAAUGCAUACAUACUAGUCCAUAAGAAUAUAGGUUCACUACCACUAAGGUUACCAAUGUCACAAUGUUCCACAAAAUGUCCAACUACUAAGUAUGCAUCAAUUAGUAGUAUGCAUCAAUUAGUAGUGUAAGGUAACAAACCACAUGUAUGAACACCUUCUAUGUAUGCAUCAACUACGAUGAUGUACAUUGUCAAGUUAAGUCUUAAUACCCAAAUUACAGGGAACGUACACGUGGUAAUGUCUCGGCUCGUGCCGUGCCUUAGUGGUCCCGUGGGGGUCAUCAUUUUUCCCGCAAGAAAAGAGACUCUGCUUACGGCAUCCCACUUUGGCGCCCAAUCCCGCACGGGCGAUCUAUAGUCGCAAGGCUAAACUCCGGAGUGCCUGUUUGUAGGAAGCGACUCUCACAAGCAUGUGCGGAUGAGCACAAGGGUAAGAAAGCGUAAUCAUAGCAUAGGGUCCACAAUUUGGAAUGCUCAAACAUCAUGUCUAAAAUAUGGAAUUGUCACUCAUCGACUCAACGGUCGGAUUCUAGAUCAUUCAUGUCAUGUUUACAACUACUUGGCUGGUAUGUCUCUACCGACCUAUAUAUUGCCUAAAGCAUGCAUAGUUCAUAUGACAAUAUCCUACCUAGGAUAGUUCACUAUUGUAUUCAAAUCUCCAACAAGGUCAUGACAUGCAGAUACAACAAAUUUUCACAAGAAACAUGUAUAAUACCACAUGCAAGAGAACUAUAAAAUGUCCGCAAUUAUCACAAUGCAUGUUAUGCACAUGUCUUUCCACUAACAUCCCUACUACAUGGAGUAGAAAUAUUAUGAUGCAAUUAUUUAGAUUUCGCUAGUAUUACNAAUUAUCACAAUGCAUGUUAUGCACAUGUCUUUCCACUAACAUCCCUACUACAUGGAGUAGAAAUAUUAUGAUGCAAUUAUUUAGAUUUCGCUAGUAUUACGUGCAAUCAUCUCUAUUAGGGCUCGCCUCAAGGGCUAUACAUUCUCAUUUUCCUCAUGGCUAAAACACGGAAUAUAACUAUCGAACCCUAGGUUAAUUGUAAUGUCACAAUGGCAAAUACUAGUCGUUUUUCUAAUUUAAUGCAUCAAGUUACCAUUUCACAUGUUUAGUUCUAGUUGUCCAACUAGGCUAAAUAUCAAGUUUAGCUUCAUGAUGACCUUAUCAUGUCCUAUGUCCCAAUGUCACUACUACCUUGUCUACUACAAGUAUAAUGUUAUCAUGCAAGUAAUGUUAAUUUUCAAUCACCUUAUCUAUAACAAGUGUACUAUCGUCAUCAUGUAAGUAAUGCUACUUUCCAAUUCAUUCACUAGGUACCCCCUAAUGGGUCAUAACAUUAUUCAUACUCUAACAUGCUUUCAAUGGUUGCAUGAGAGAGGAAACCUCAACUAUUGUCAUUUAGUGCCCAAAUCCACAUGUAUGCCUCUACCACCUAGAGCAUAAUUUUUCACUAUACAUAACAUGUAUAUAUUAUAUUCUCAUAAAUUCUAGCAUAUCACAAUGACCAUGAAAAAGCAUCUAUUUAAGUCCUAACACCAAAAGAAAGACGUAGGGGGAGUUCACCUAUUUCGGUGAGGUCAAACCCACCGGAAGCACUUCGAACGAAGUUAUCCCCCAAGCUUCUAGCACCCUAAGAGAAAUUCUAAAGGGUUAAAAGCCACAAAACGACCGCUUCAAAAAUUACACAUACAAAAGUGUAAAAAUAUCUUGGGUCAAGAAGAACUUGAUCAAAGCCCAAAUCGAAGCUAGAAAGCUUCAAAUCCAACCUAUAAGAGUGUUCUACACCCAUCAAUUCCAACUGAAAAGCCUCAAAUUAAGAAACCCCAAAUAAAACCCUAGAUUUUUAUUUCUAGGUUUUCAUCUCAAAAACUCUACCAAAACUAGAUCUAAAGAGUAGAUCUAAGAUACUAACCUCUCAAUAAGCUCCAAUGCAAGCUUGGAAUGAGCUAAGGUUGAAAAUUGGUCCUUUAGAAAGCUCCUCUCCUCAAACCAAGGCUUCUCCAAAGGUGGAAAUCCAACAUGAAGCAAAGAGGAGGGAGAAAGAGAGAUCAAAUCAAGCAAAAACCAAGAAAAAAUGGAAGAAAAACCAAGGGAGAGGAGUUCCACGUGGCUCUCCACGGUUUAGGGCUCAAAAGAGCCAUCCAAGAGGCUGUGGGGGGUUAAAUAGAGAUGUAACAAUCUCAAAAAGACCCUCCAAUAAUGGGCAGUCUGCAACUGCACUGCGUACCGGUACCACGAAAAUGAGUACCGGUACCGGCCAGCAGAACGCACAAACCCGAGCCUUGGGUUGGCGAACAAAUGCACUGGGUACCGGUACCAACUCGAUGCAGUACCGGUACUCUGCACUGUAGAAGCAAACCCGAGAGCUGCCCAACUUUCUCAUUUUUGGACUUUGGCGCUAAGUUUUAAACCUCGAUUCUCGGGAUGCGAGUCAUAGGUCGAAACACUGUCUACGACCCUCCAGAACACCUAGAAAAACUCAGAACACAGAUCAAACACUCGAACCUCGCAAUUUACUAAAGUUCAGUGUGUUACAAUACUAUUAAGUAAAUAUUGAAAAACUAGGGGGGCCAAAGCUAUCUAUGUUCCACCAAAAAAAAACUUUGAAGGACCAUUAAGCAAAUAUUAAAAAUUUGAGGGGGGCUAUGGCCACCUUGGGCCUCCAUAUCGCUCCGUCCCUGGCCAAGUGUAUUCUAUCCCUUUCUGGAAUGUACAGAUUCUCAAAGAGCUUCUCCAAUGCUCUUACCCAAGUCUCCUCUACCCAAGUCUCUACUCUACGACCAUUGAACUCGAGUGGAUCAAAUUUUCUAAACUCAGCCAAUCUCGCAUGUGCCCUCUCCAGUUCUCUUUGACAUCUUCUUCAAUCUUUUUCUUAACUCUCUCUAAAGAGUUUAUAUAAUUCAAUCUAUUGACUUUCGCUAUAAAUUACGUCUCUUUCAUUCUAUAUCCUAGGGGUUUGUUCAGCCUAGAGUUUUCCAUACCAAAUAUCCUAAGCUCUAAUACCAACUUAAUCUAUCAUGCUCCGGAUACAACGGAAGCCUAAUACAUUACUAUAAAUAACAAAUUUCUCAUCUAUAACAGGAAGGACAAGGAUAGGGGCUGAUAUCAAUCUAUUUUUCAAUUCUUUAAAACUUCUUUGGCAAUUUUCACUCCAAAUAUAUGUACUUAAUUUUCUUUUCAAGACAAUUGAGUGAGGGGUGUGGAAAGUAUAAUACCUGAGAUUUUUGACUUUAAAAUUUGAAUUUGAGUUUUGAAUUUGAAUUUGUUUAUAUAUAUAUAUAUAUAUAUAUAUAUAUAUAUACAACUUAAUAUGUGUGUGUGUGUGUGUAUGUGGAGGUGGAGAGAGACGACUUUUGUCGCGAAUCGACAAUUGAUCCUAGCAAAACAAAAUCGCAGAUUUGAUGGUCUGUCUGUGCCGAAAGUGCUGGCGUGAUCUGUUAAAAAAUUUGACAAGUCGAUCGUCCGAAAUUACACGUUGUUUGAGGAAGGGUCGAUAUUGCAUAUUGGAUUUUAUUUGUGAAAGAUCCAAUAUUUUAUGUAUCGAAUCGCAAGAAAUCGCUUGUGGAAGUGCGUUUGCGCGAAUUACACAUGCCUUGAAGCCCUAAUUUGGGUUGGACCGAGAUCCUCCCAGCGCCGCCGCCGCCGCUCGCCGCCACUUGCCAAAGUGAGCACCACACCCCUCUUAUCCCCCGCACUUACCCCUGGGCCGCGCACGAGCCGCCGUGCCGCCGGCAGCCGGCCGGAGCUAGAUGCUCUAUUAGCUCGAAAUAGGGUGGUUUUACCACUGAUCACUAUUCCAACCAUCCGGGAACCCCCCGUGUAAUAUGUCGAUUUUUCGACUACGCGGCUAAUCUCUAUCAAAUUGGUCCGAAUAAUGCUAAAAUGAAAUUGGUUCAUUCCCGAGCUUAAUUGGUAGCUUGGGCAUAGUGUUUAGCAUGUUUUGGAAGUAAUUAGAAGAGUUCUAAGUGGAAUAGAAGUGUGAAACAGGCUGCCAAAGUAGCUGCUGCCAGAAUUCUGCUGGAGCAGAAUUUGUACUGGGUACCUCAGCCAGUACCGGUACCAGCUGAGGUACUCAGCUAGACUGCAAUGCAAUUUUGGGUUUUUGAGGGGGUAAGUUGCAAAUUUUUGCUCUUAUCUCUUCAGCCCUGAUCUCCUACAGAUGCCCACGUAUCCAGCCCUCUCUCUCUUCUUUCUUUUCAUUUCUUUCUUCUUUCUUUUUCUCUCUAGGCUGGUUGAGGCUUUGUGAAUUGAUGCGGGCAGAGUUGGAAAUUUUUGGGCUUGUGAAGCUGUCGAACAGUAAGGUUCAGCUGAGGAAGCGUGGAAACCUCAGGUAAGGAGCUGUUUAUUAGCUAGGACUUGGACUAGAUACUGUAUGAGAGGUUUUAAGUGAUUAAAGAUGGUAGUAGUAUGUAGAAAACCUUGAGUACAUGCUGAAAACAGCAUGCAUACAUGUAUAGAUAUGUAUGUGUACAGCUCAUUAGGGAUUGUAGGGUAAAAUCUGAAAUGAGUUAACUUUGAAUCCUGGUUUGAAUGACUUCCUUUGCUAUAUCAAGAUGUGGAAUAAAGGAUUUUUAAGUGUUUGCAACUUGUAUUAGUAUAUAGAAGCAAUAUGAUUACCGCGAAUGAUGGAUCGUUUCGACUCUGUGUGGAUUAUCACGAGCUGAACAGAGUCACGAUUAAGAAUAAGUACCCACUUCCCCGAAUCGAUGACUUGUUUGAUCAGUUGCAGGGGUCGUGUGUGUACUCGAAGAUAGAUUUGCAGUCCGGCUACCACCAAUUGAAGAUUAAGCCGGAGGAUGUGCAAAAGACCGCGUUUCGCACGCGGUAUGGACACUACGAAUUCACGGUCAUGCCAUUUGGACUCACAAAUGCUCCAGCGGCAUUUAUGGAUUUGAUGAACCGUGUCUUCAGGAAAUACUUGGAUCGAUUUGUAGUGGUCUUUAUAGACGACAUAUUGAUCUAUUCUCGCAAUGACGAGGAUCAUGCCGAGCAUUUGAGAUUGGUGCUUCACGUCCUUCGGGAGGAGAAGCUAUAUGCUAAGCUAAAGAAAUGUGACUUCUGGCUCAGAGAGGUCGCAUUUCUAGGGCAUGUAAUUUUCAAGGGCGGAGUUUCUGUAGACCCGAGAAAAGUUGAGGCAAUCAAGGAUUGGCCUCACCCGACGAAUGUCAUGGAGGUCCGAAGCUUCGUGGGCUUAGCGGGCUAUUAUAGACGGUUCGUGGAGGGUUUCUUGAAGAUCGUGAUUCCACUUACCCGUCUGACUCAAAAGGGCACCAAGUUAGUGUGGAGCGAAGAGUGUGACCGGAGUUUUAAAGAGUUGAAGGAAAGAUUAACUUCGACUCCGGUGCUCGCUCUACCGGUGCAGGGCGAAGAUUUCGUAGUCUACAGCGAUGCCUCCUAUAUGGGUUUGGGGUGUGUAUUGAUGCAAAACGGGAAGGUAAUUGCCUAUGCAUCUCGUCAGCUGAAGAGCUAUGAAAAGAAUUACCCCAUUCACGAUUUGGAGCUAGCAGCGAUAAUCUUCGCCUUGAAGCUAUGGAGGCACUACUUGUACGGUGCCCAUUGUGAGAUUUAUACCGACUACAAGAGUCUAAAGUAUCUGUUCACACAGAAAGAGCUCAAUAUGCGACAGCGGCGGUGGUUAGAACUGUUAAAGGAUUAUGACGUUGAUAUCCUUUACCACCCGGAAAAAGCGAAUGUGGUCGCGGAUGCACUGAGCAGGAAGUCGGCGAAAAAUCUUGCCAUGUGCGUGACAAAUCAGACGCCUUUGUGGCUAGAUAUGGAGCGAAUGAACCUUGAGGUGGUUGCUCUCGAGAUUCCGGCUCAGUUGAUGGCCCUCGUCGUCCAACCGACCUUGUUGGAGAGGAUCAAAGAUCUGCAAUCUGCGGACUCGAGUCUCCAAAAGAUGCGGCAUAACAUCGAGGAAGGACGAGGCGGCAAUUUCAGUAUAGACGUCGCGGGUGCACUUCGAUUUCGGAACCGAUGGUGUGUACCCGAGAAUAAAGAGCUUCGUGAAUUGAUCUUGCAAGAAGCUCAUCGGUCGCCUUAUUGCGAUCACCCGGGCGGCACCAAGAUGUAUCAUGAGUUGAAAGCACUCUAUUGGUGGCCGAGAAUGAAGAACGAUAUUGGGCGCUUUGUGGCUAAGUGCUUGACUUGUGUCACGCCCCGGGAACCAGCGGAAGCCCGCCCGGCGCGUGCACAGACCCGCCAUAUGUCUAAAACAUACAAGGCGUCUAAAUAACAACGAUAAAUAAGCAAUAAAUAAAGAACAUCUAGAAGUAUCAGAGCAAUGUAUAUCUAGAUUUCUACAAUAAAGGGAUGGAGCAAAAAACAAUAUCCACUAAAUAAAAUCAUAAGCAGUACAAAAGGUGUAACACACUGGACCUUUGCAAAUUACGAGGUUCGAAUGUUUGGAUGUAUUUCGAGCUUUUCCACAUUUGGUGGAGAGUUGUAGAAUGUUUUCCGACCUAAAAAGUUCGAAAAUCGAGAUUCUGGAUAAGUCCUGAGAGUUUUUACUCUCGGGGACCGGUCCCUGGAAGGAGAGACCGGUCCCCCAGUGAGAAGUGUUGAGGCAGCCUGAGGCAACCGGUCCCUGGCAGGCGAGACCGGUCCCCGAGCGCGUCUUCGCAGUGAGAGACCGGUCCCGCGCAGGGAGAGACCGGUUCCCGAACGCUGGUUUUUCGGGUUCGCAGCGAGAGACCGGUCCCUGCUGGGGAGAGACCGGUCCCUCUGGGCGAAAACUGCCCAGACUGGGCUGUGGUAAUAUUGGAUUUUUGGAGGGCCUAGCUGGAUUUUGUUACAAUAGAGGGUCUAUAUGAUCCCUCCACUCUCUCCUCUCCCCAUUUCUCUUCUCUCAACCCUCUCUACACCCUUGAUAGAGAAGAAGAAGAAGAAGGAGAAGAAGAAGAAGGAGGGAAGGAGAAGAAGUUUGGAGCUACUAGUGGACUUGGGGCAUCUUCCUCACCUUCUCGUCUUCCUUGGUACUUGAAGGCUUGGACUUGGAGCUUGCAAAGAGGGAGAUCUUCACCCUUGGAGCUUGGAUUGGAGCUUCUAAGGAGGUUUGUUACUCAUUUCCCUCCUCUAGAUCUUGUUUUGAUAGUUUUUGUAGAUGAAACCCUAGAAAUGAGAUUUAGGGUUGAUUUUGGGGCUUUUUGAUCUAGGGCUUUUGAGGCUAGAUUAAUUGGUUUAGAACCUUCCUUGGGCUUGGAUUGGAAGGGUUCUAGCUCUCUUUUGGAGCUUUCGAAGAGAUUUCUUCUCUUGAGGUGAGUUUUGGCCCUUUUUGCUUCUAGGUUAAUGUUUGAUCUUACGGUUGGUCGUAAUGCCCUCGUAUCUCUUCGCUGAUUACUUUUAGGAAGUUUUGAGACUUGGGGACAACUUUGUUCGGCGAAACGAGGCCCUACGCGACGGUUCGGUGGGUUUGACCUAGCCACACAAUGAGAAAUUCUCAUUUGUGCUUAUUUAAGUAUCGUUAAAUGAAAAAGCAUGCAUAUUCUUGUUAUAUGUAUUUAUUGUGAAUUUUAGAAUGCUUAAAAGGCCUAUGUUGUAUAUGAUGAAAUUUUGGACCUCUAUGGAGUAGAGAGUAGCUUGGUAAGCCUAUGGUUGCAUUUAGCGUUCUAUAUGCAGAGACUUGGUUUCAUGCUUCUAUAGUGUACAUGAGCUUUGAUUCAUGCAUUUAAACUUAAGUUUACUUGUGACAUGAAAGAUGAUGAAAUUGCCAUAUAGAGGUAUUGGAACUAGAAUGUACGUGAUCUAGAGCUAAUGUCAUCAAGCGGCAUUGAGCUCGGGACAUGUGAGAACCUAGUGGAUAGGGCCAUUGAGGGAUUUGGAAUACAUGUUGAACAUCAAAUUGUCUAAGUGUCAUCAAGGGGCACUAGGCGAAGCAAAUAUUGAGAAUUCACAUUAUGCCUUAAACUAGAUCUUCGGGAUGUUAGUGACUAUACCAUGUUAGAGACAUGAGAAUUGGAUACUUGAGACUUGGACUUUGCUUGCUUGCCGUUUGUGCUCAUUCACACAUGCUUGUGAGGGUCGCUCCCUACAAGCCGGCACUCCGGAGUUAGCCUACGCGACUUUUGUUCGCUCGUGCGGUAUCGAGACGCCUACGGGGUCGAGUGGGACAGACACAUUCCAUGGGUAGGAAUGUCGGGCUACCACAGGCACUUAGGCGGCACAAGCCGGACUACCUUGGGUAGAUCCUUAAUUGGAAAUGAAAAUCGACACGGUUUGAGAAUGAAUGAUCACUACUAGAUAGGCUUAUUAGUUGGAUUACAUUUACAUGCUUUUAGCAUAGUGUGAGACAUGUAGUAUACUUGGUUGCCAUGAUAGAACUUCUACAUCAUGCAUUGACAAAGGUUAACAACAUUAAACUAGUGCCAUUGGACUUAAUUGUAAUGAUAGAUAGAUGUACAUUUUGGUUGACAUCAUGCUUACUUGAGACACAGUAGACUAGCAUUUCAAUUAUGCUUUCUUUCAGCAGUUUAUUUACAUGCUCCUUAUCGCUUAUUAUUAUUAUCGUUGCUUACCCUUAUUUUUGGGGCCUAGUGGAGCAUGAGCUGAGGUCAGUAAUUGCCCACUGGGAACUAUAAAUUAUAGUUCUCACGCCCUCUUUUUCUCGAUGUUUUUCAGAGCCUUCCACUCAGGGUGAGGCCAGGGACCGCGGGAAGGGAGUUGCUUCGAGCUAGCUUCCUUCGAGGACGGUUCGCUAGGUGGUCUACCUCUCGUCGUAUUUUGUUUUGGAGAGGUUGAGAGUUUUACCAGUGUACUAGAGACCACCAUUUUUGUAUUAGAGGCUGAUACUGUAUAACUUAUGUUUACUUUUAUGUUUUAGUUACGUUCUUUUACUAUUGGUGUAGAUGUUAGAACUUUACUCGCUCUGAUAUCAUUAGUUGCUAGUUAUUUCACUUUUUUUAUUUGUUCCAUCUCUUGCUUUUACUUCUGCUUUUCUUGUAGACGCCUUAUAUGUGUAGGCAUAUGGCGGGUCUGGGCACGCUACCGGGAGGGCCUCCGCCGGUCCCGGGGCGUGACAAAAGGUAUCCCAAAACAAGUGCUAAACUGAAUACAUGGGUGGUCUCUCUAUACAUGGUACCCAAAACACUCUCUUACCAAAAACCAAAGAGAGAGAAAACCACCUAAGAGCAAAACGCCUCUCCGCUAGCUAGCUAGCUACGCGACCCCUUUGCCGCGAUCCCUUGCCUCCGCCGGUGCCGAAGGCUCUGAAAGAGAACAUAAAAAAACAGGGCAUGAGAACUAUUAAAAAUAGUUCCCAGUGGGCAAUUACUGACUUCAGUGAAGUGUGCCACUAGGCACAAAAGCUACGAAGCAAGGUCAGUACGAGUAUAAACCAAAGCGAUAAAUGCGAUAAGUAAAUAACCAAACAGUAUACUUGCUACAACAUGAAAUCUCUACUUAGCAUGAUUUGCAUAAGUAAUAAACUAUUCUAACAAGAAUGUGCCCAAGCAUACUAGUAUGAUGUCCAAAAGCCAAAUAGUAAAGAUGUCAAUAUUUACUAUUCUAAUCGAUGUCCACACGUCACGACGACUACUCGAAGUCCAAUCUAAAGAGACCCGCCCGAAGGCUGUCUUGGCCCUGAGACCCACCCGUAGGCUGUUUGACCAAUGCCGAGCCUAAUGGCCCCGUGGUAGUCAACAUCCCCACCCUAGGGAUGAGCCUGGCCCACGGCAAUCCACUUCGGCGCCCAGUCCCGCACGGCGAACAAGUAUCGCGAUGGCCAUCUCCGGAGUGCCGGCUUGUAUGGAGCGACCCUCAUAAGCAUGUGCGAAUGAGCACAAAUGGCAAGUAGUACAAGAUCCAUCUCAAGUAUUAAGUCCUCAUGUCCACAAACAUGGAAUAAAUCAUAUAUCUCAUAGGCCUAUCUCUAUGUCAUCAUGUCUAAGAACAUGGAAAUGUAGAUGUCAAUGGCCUAUCACUAUGUCCCAAUAUAGUAGUUUCACCGUUCACUAUAUCAAGUGCCCCUUUAUGACACUUUUGAUUUCAAAGUCCAAACAUGAGUUUAAUGUGUAAGAAUAUAUGUUUCAAGUCCUCUUCAUCACGAGAGACCUAUUCCCAACAUGCUCGAUAAGCUACGAUCUGAUAUACAUGCUCAAUAUACCAGGUUCCCCCCUGUUACAUGAGGUCGUUUUUCAUGAUACAUAGCAUAUGUAUACUAAGCAUUCUAAAAUUCACAUAAAUCAUAUUUAGCAUGGAUAUGAAGUUAUUUCGACGAUACGACAAGUAUACAAAACAUAGGGGCCAUUUUGCCCCGAUUUCAUGAAGCCAAACCCACCGAACUUCACGAAGCUCUUCGUUUCGCCGAACGGAGGUGUCCACUAGUCUCCUAGCACCCUAAAGAUGUAGGAACAAGAGUCAAACGAACGUUACGAACAACCGUAAGGUUGGUCUUUAACUAUCUCAAGCUAGGGUUGGGAAAAACUCACCUCAAUGAAGAAAUCCUCUCUUAAGCUCCAAAUGGGAGUUAGAGUUCUUCAAAUCCAACCUAAAGGAAGGUUCUAAAUCCAUCAAUGAGGUCUCAAAGUCCCCAAAUCAAAAAUCCCCAAAAAUAAACCCUAAAUCCCAAAAUCUAGGGUUUCAUCUAGUUUAAAGCUUCAAAACUAGGAUCUAGAGGAAAGGGACUAGCCACAUACCUCUAAGAUGCUCCAAACCAAGUCCAAGAUGCUCUAGGGUUGGAGUUUGAUCCUCUCUCAAGCUCCAACAACAAGCUCCAAGCCUCCAAAGGUGAGAAAAGAGAGAAAGGGUUGGUGCUCCAAGCUCCCUCAAGCAAGCUCCUCCUCUUCUUCUUCUUCUUCUCCUCCUUCUUCUUCUCUCUCUAGAGAGUGUGAGAGGGUGAGAAGUGAGGAAAAGAGAGGAGAGAAAUGAUCUCUAGACCAUUAGAAGUAACAAAAUCCACUCAAGCCCCUAAAAAAUCCAAUAUUACAUCAGCCCGGACUGGGCAGUUUUCGCCCAGCGAGACCGGUCUCACGCUGCCUGGGACCGGUCCCACGCCGCGAACCCGAAAAACCAACAUUCGGGAACCGGUUGCCCCGGCCCGAGACCGGUUGCUUUGCCAUGGGAGACCGAUCUCUCCCACCUGAGACCGGUCCCCGAGAGUGAAAACUCUCAGGACCUCCAAAACUCAGAUUUUUCGAGCUUUUUAGGUCGGAACACCUUCCACGACCUUCCACCAAGUGUGGAAAAGCUCGGAACCCAAGUCUAACACUCGAACCUUGCAAUUUACACAGGUCUAGUGUGUUACAACUUACCAACAAGUGAAGGCCGAGCGUCGAUUUCUAGCCUAAAGCUACAAAGCCUACCCAUCCCCGUGUGGAAAUGGGAGGAAAUAUCGAUGGACUUUGUGGUCGGCUUGCCUCGCUCAACGGGCGGCCACAAUGCAAUUUGGGUUAUUGUGGACCGAUUGAUGAAAUCGGCUCACUUCUUGCCGAUCCACACCACAUGGGCGGGCGACAAGUUGGCACAGGUAUAUCUUGACGAGAUAGUGAGGUUGCACGGGGUGCCGAAGUCGAUCGUGCCGGAUCAUGACCCCCGAUUCACUUCACAUUUCUGGAAGAGCCUGCAGGAAGUUCUUGGUACAUGGCUCGACUUCAGUACUGCAUUUCAUCCUCAGACAGAUGGGCAAAUAGAGAGAACCAUCCAAACUCUGGAGGAUAUAUUGCGAGUGUGUGUCAUCGACUGCAAAGGGAGUUGGUGUGAUCAUUUGCCGAUGUCCGAGUUCGCCUACAACAACAGUUAUCAUGCUAAUGUAGAGAUGGCACCGUUUGAGGCUCUUUACGGGCGGAAGUGUCGAUCUCCUAUACACUGAGCGAUGUAGGUGAGCGUGCUGAGUUCGGCCCCGAUGUGUUGUGAUAAGCGGAGGAGAAAGUCCGCCUGGCUCGCAAGAGAUUGCUCACGGCGCAGUCGAGACAGAAAAACUAUGUAGAUAGACGCCGUUGAGAUAUAGAGUAUGCGGUGGGCGAUCGCGUAUUCUUUAAGGUUUCACCGAUGCGGGGUGUGAAGCGGUUUGGAGUGCGGGAAAAGUUGAGUCCCCGGUACAUUGGACCUUAUGAAAUAUUAGAGCGAGUUGGCACGGUGGCUUAUCGACUCGCUUUGCCACUGAAGCUCGCAGAUGUACACAAUGUGUUCCAUGUCUCAAAUCUUCGUAAGUAUAUUCACGACCCCGAGCAUGCAAUGCUUUACGAGCCGCCGGAACUUCAAGAAGACUUGAGCUAUGAAGAGUUUCCGGUGCGGAUUAUCGCACGAGAGGUGCGAAAGUUGAGAAAUCGCGAGAUUCCCUAUGUGAAAGUCCAGUGAAGCAAUCACGACGAUCGCGAAGCCACCUGGGAACUCGAGGAUAUGAUGAGAAAGCAUCAUCCUCACUUGUUUCAGGAAUAAGGUAUGAGAACUGAGUUUAAAAUUAAGUUGAAUCAGUUUCGAGGACGAAACUCCUUUUAAGGAGGGGAGGAUGUAAGGAAGUGAAUUCUCAAAAUGCGAGGGUUGCACUUCAUCCAGGAUCGACUACUUGUCGAGUGGGUUGACUUCGAAAAGGCCGGAGUGGCAUGGAACCCAAAAAGUGCAUUGAGAUAGAGUCCACGAGAGCAAUAGUGCAAAAUCUGCACUGGGCAGAUUCUGCUCCGGGGGACUGGUCCCUGGUGGGAGAGACCGGUCCCCGAAGCUGGUGGUUGCCGGGAUGCCUGGAGCAACCGGUCUCUGGAUUGAGGGAACUGGUCCCCGAACACGACACCAGCGAGAAAAGCAGAAAUUUGGCUAAGUCCUGAAAAUCCAGCUCUCGGGGACCGGUCUCUCAGGCAAGGACCGGUCUCCUAGGGACCGGUCUCUCGGGUUGAGACCGGUUCCCGAACGCGUGCACUCGGGGGAAGCUCUCGGGGACUGGUCCCAGAGGGGAGAGACCAGUCCCUCCGCCCGCGAACAGCCCAGUGAGGGCAGUGCACAGGGUGGAAAAGUGAGGGAUUUUAUUGCAUUUGUUACAUUAGAAGGGGUGUAUAGAAGGGGCUGAGCCCUCUCCCCUCUCUCUCACUUGCACCCUCACUCUCUCUUUCACUCAUCUCUCUUUCUCUCUCUAGAAGGAAAAGAAGGAGAAGAAAAAAGAGGAGAAGAAGAGGAAAAAGAAGAAGAAGAUAAGGAAGGAGAAGAAGAAUGAGAUCAAAGAGGAACUUUUGGACAUCUCCCUCUUCCUCCCCUCUUCUCUUUGGUGUAGCUCAAGAGAUAAGCUACCAAACCCUAGCUUGUAAACUUAGGGUUUUUGUAUUUCUAGCUUUAGAAAUGGGUCAAAUGGACCUUAAGUAAGCUUCAAAGUAGAUCAAUCCGAGAAAUCUAGGGUUUGAUUGAGUGGUUUGCUAUAGGUGCAAACCUAGGGCUCCAAAUUGGAGUUUUUGGUAAAGUAUGAGAUUGAUCACAUUUGAGGCUUUGUAAACCAAAUUGUUAGGUAACUAAACGCGGGGGCGAAGUCGGAUUUUCGAUUUUUCAAGCGGGUCAGGUCCUGUCCGUUCGGCGUCCGCUUGCCGCGCCCGAACUGCGCCAAAUUGGUAGCGUUUUCGGGGCGGGGCGUGACAGGAAUCCUGCAGGGACAGCACAUAUGCAUGUGUUUCUACCUAUGAAUGAUUAGUAGUGGGGGAAAUUAUAUAUGCUUGUUCUUGGUUUAGAGGUUGCAUAUUAAUGUUCUAAAAAGGAUUGAGCUACAGAUUUUCAUGUUAGAGCUCUUAGAACCAUGAAAAAGCUUGGAAAACUUGAUGUUGGCAGCAUACAAGUAUAUGUAUGUAUAUAUAUGUACUUGUGAAUUGUAUGUUAAGAAGGAAUAAAACCUAGGUUCAAUUGACUUUAAAUUCUGAAUUAGCAUGAUUCUAAUUACUAUAUUAAGGGUUGAUGUUUACUACCUAAAGGGGGGUUAAUUAUGAGUUGUUCUGUUUUCUAAAACCAUAAACUGCCAUAGGGAACUUAAUAGAAGACUAUAUGUACGUAUAGUGACACUAUAUAUAUAUAUAUGGAACUUGGGGUUAAAUGCAAAGUUUGAAAAGAUGUGAAUAUGACUUAAGUUUAAUCCCUUUUAUUCCUCAUUGAAGAAAGGUUUGACGUGCUCGGAAGCCUAAGUUGGUAUUUCGACGGACCUACGGCGCGCUAGUUAAGAGACGCUUCGUUCUAGUUCGUAUACAUCAAGUCACGAGGACUUGAUACUUGUGAGCUCCGAGAUAUUGGCUUUAGUAUUUCGGCAUCCCUACAGGUGGGUGGUGCUAUCCGAAAUCUUUGAAUCCCUUAUUAUGUCUAUGUCGCCUCAUUGAUCAUAUUUAUAUAUGAAUUGCUUUGUAUUCAUACAUUAUAGGAAAAUUGUCACUAUACAGUUAGUAACUGAAUAAUUGAAUUCCUGUCAAUGUUAAGAACAUAUGGAUAAUAGAAUAUGGACAUAGAACCCUAUGAAUGUGUGAAUUUACUGUGGACUAUGAUAAUAGUAAAUUUGGUGACAUCACGACUAGAGAAUUCGUUAGCAUCGAGAGUGGAAUUGUAAAACUAGCAUAAAGAGCUAGUUAGAGUUAAAGUGUGGCAUUGUCAUUCAUUGGACCCUCUAAAUGAGGAUCAGAUCAUACUCACAUUAGUCUAAUGCUCGAGGAAGGUCGCUCCUCCUUGGGCGAUGAGCUUCGGAGUGGUCAUCAAAUGGAUUAGGAGCUAGCAUCUCCCAAGUAGACGGUCCUGUUCGGAUGUAGCUUGCGUCUCCCCGAUAGUAGGGAUUUGGUUGGUGAGUUAUUGUUAACCAAAUGGUUAACCAGCUUGAUUGGGUAAUGAUUAUUAAUAGCAUGCAUACAUCAAUUUCCUAUGUUAUCUACUGUUUCUUUCAGCUUUGUACAUGCAUUGUAGUAGUUACAUGUUAUAGCUGGUUACUAUCUAUUCUUUCUUCUUGUCUAUAUAUGCCCGAAUAGACCUAGUGGGUGAGUCGGCGAGGUUGGCGGCCGAACCCACUGAAAACUAUUAGUAGUUCUCACACCACUAAUCAUGUAGAUCCUAGCGCGAGCGGAGCGGUCGAGGAUCGCGGCAAGAGCCCGGCAUCUUAGCUAGUGAACUCCAGAGUAUAGUUAUACACCCAUUUUGGUUUCAUGUUGUAUAUAUUUGAUGUUAAAGAAACAUGUAAAAGAAUGUAUAAAUGAGCAUGUAAAUAACUAAAUGUUGUAGUUAUUCAUGUUUAUAGUUUGGUUUAAAGUUUUCAAACAUACAGUGAAUGCAUGUUUAGCUAGCUUACUUGCACUCGUUCUUGUUGCUUGCCCUCGUGCAAGCCAUGUAUAUUGAAAUGUUAUCUUGGGAGUUGUUUAUUUUUUUAUACAUGUACUAUGUUGUUGUUGAGCCUUGGGCGGACAAGGGAGGUGCUGUCUGUUCGGCGUCUGUGUACGGGCCCGGAUCGACCAAAUUGGUGAUAGCGGGACGUGACACCCUGGCUCUCUGGAAGGUGAGCAAGGUGACCUUGAGUUGUCGCUGAUCACUAUAGUUAUCUCGGUUUCUGUCGGAGAAUCAUCAGUUUGCUAUUUUUGCAUUGUCGCUCUCAAGGCCUUAUAUAUUUGCUGUAAUCUUGGCCCCGGAGAGCUCCUCGGCUAUUUUUCUUGCCCUAGACAAUGAGCACAGGCUUCGCUACAUUGAGACCUAUCCACUGGUGCCCUUAGUUGGUCUCGGAGACGCGUGGUGUUCUCUAUCGGCCCUAGUGAUUGUGUAUUUUAGCUUAUAUUGUGAUAUAUCUCUUGCUUAGGGGCCUCCUUGGAAUUUUAACAGCAGAGGCUGUUUUGGGCAGCGUGAUGCCACUUGAUGUGACCCUCUGGACUAGUUGUCCGAGCUUCCGAUGCCCUCGCUGAAUCAAAUUUAAUUUUUGAAGCAUUUUCCGACAAAAUCAUCAGCGAAACGCGGUGACCAUUGUGGGCCCCACUUGUUAGUAGUGUUAUCACCCCAGGUUUGUCGUGGAGCCUCAUUGGCUGGUUACAUUCGCUAUCUUGAGUUUCUGAAGACAACGAGUGAGCGACGGAGGGUUUCAAUGCCAAAAACAACAUUUUCGAAAAUUCGGAAUGGCAUUAAGUACAUUGUGGUGUAUUUGUAUUUCUUGGGCUUGUGUUUGUUGUUUGAACAUGAAAGUUGGUGCGUUUCGAUACAGCGGGUGACUAGAUUUGUACUAUGGUUCCUUUCGAAACACUCUGUGGCAAUCGAAAGUGUUUCGGUGGACUUUUUGGAACUCUCGACAGUUCUGAGGUUGUGGGUUUAGUGUUUUGAAGUCGACUUAGGGGAUCUUGACUUGGUGGAUCUUUCGGUCUAGUUGAUGUCCCAACAUGCCUUGAGCAUUAGACGCUGCGACGAUGAUAGGUUGGUGCUUCGAUCCGGAGUUGAUACAGUGGUUUUAGCUUGGUGAUGUUCUUCCCUCACUCUUUGUUGUUGUUUUGCAUACUAUUGAUUAGCAUUUACUACUAGACUUCUGAUUUAUUUACUCUACUUCUACUCAUUCACAUAUUUGUAGUAAAGAGGUGUUUGGUUGUUGCAUGAUCUUUAUCUGAGAGACCUGUUUGGUUGGUGUUGAUUGGUUCGUUGAUCUAGUGAUCUAGUUUGGACAGGUGUUGUUUAUUGACAUACUCUUGGCUAUUUGCCGUCUUGAUUGACUAUUGAGUAUUUCGCGUUGAUCGUCGCAGCUUAGGUAGCAUAUCACGUACACCAAUGGUUUGGUCACCGUGUGGGUGUUCUUUUUCAAAAAAGUGGUCAUUACUUUGACCCGUUGGCCCUUGCAAGGUGCUAGCUGGUGUAAUAUACCGAACUUUUAUAGUCAUGAAGUUUCGAUGGAUGUUAGAAGCUAAUGGAAUUGUUCCAGUGAAGAUCGGGAACGUACGAGUGUUUUCGAUAUGCGUUGGGCGUGGAAACGGAACUCGAAAAGCUAUGAUUGGACUUUGCCCGGAAUCCAGCAAAGCGUGGAUGAAAUAAUGGUCUAAAUGCGCUGAAAAUGUGUUUUGGGCGUCUCGGUGUGAUAUGUGAUAAAUCGGAGGACCCGGGAGCGAAAACGAGCGAAAACGGACCAAAGGCUAAAAUUGCUGAAGUUGCUGAUUUUCGGGUUGUCUGGACCUACGGGGUCCGGACCCUGGCUUCAAGGUCCGAACCUCGAGAGUGAGAAAUGCCCAGUGAAGGCUGAUGGCAGUUUGGUAAUUAAGGGGAGGUUGACUUAUAAAAGGAAGCUUCUCCUUCCUUCUUCUUCUUCUUCCCAGCCAAACACCAACACACACACAUAGUGGUAGAGAGAGAGACUCUAUCUCUAGAUUUUUUCCUUCUCUCUCUAGAUCUCUUUCCCAAAAUUGGAGGCUUGGUGGAGAAGGAGCUUGGGAACGCAUUGGGAGCAACGGUUCGAGUCUUUGUGCACCCGGUGGAGCGGCGUGCUUUCGACUCGGCGUUCGCAUUUUGGUAAGAGUUUAGGAUUUGGUUAAAUCUUUCAUGAAUGAUAUUCUAGUAGUUUCUAGAAUAUUCUAAGUAUGUUACUCCAUAUGUUUUUGGGGUAUAUGAGGGAUAUAUGAAAGCUAGGGCUUGAAAUGGGGUUUUGGGAUUUUUAGGGUUUUGAUCUAAUUGAACCCUAUUAUCCUCUAAUUGAAGGUUAGAGAUGAGCCCUUGAAGACCCUAGGUUGCGGAUUGGCCAGCGUUCGAUGAUCAAUUUCAAGUUCAAGCCGAACCGAACAACGAGUGCCGCGGGAGCCCGAUUGCAAGUGUCGACAAGCAAUCGGAGAGCCUUACGAGGUGGGUUGUGCUCCACCGAAGCGAUUAGGUCGCUUCCAUGCCAAAGUGAAGUGUGUUUCGUUAUCGAUGCAUGUAGUGGUAGUUAAUUGCCAAGUAAAAGAAUGCAUAAGAUAAAGUGACUGCAUGAGCUAAAUGCUAAAUGAAUGUAUAAGAUAUAUGCUAAUAAUGAAUGCUGAUAGAGAUGCUAAUUGUGAAUGAACAUGCAUGAUAAAGAAACUAAUUGUGAUAUAUUGACUACCAUUUCGAUAAGAACAUAGAUAUGUGCAAGAGAUGCUAGAGAAUACAUGCAUGUUGAUAUCUUGUGAACAUAUGCUAGAUUCAUAUGAAGGUUGAACUUGAGUCGACGAACUCUAAGUAUAGUAGAGAACUCGACAAGUGUGGUGUCACAACCCGCGACCACCCGCCUAUUUGGCCGAGUCGCGACGCCGCCGACAAACCGCCGAACGGACAGGGUUUCCCCUGUACACGGACAAAGUCUCCCCUGUACAUUCAAGGCGUCGCAACCUGUACAAUACAAAGAGUUCCAACCAGGAACAGUAUUCAAGCAAGGAUUACAUAAGGAAGUAUCGAAAACAUAAACACCUAGAUCACAUUCAUUCAUUUUUACAUCACAUUUUUCUUUUUUAUAUUUAACUUCCAAAUUACAAUCUAGAUAUUACAAUUUACACAACUUGCUUCUUUUCAUUCUUCUCAUCCCUAAGCAAAGCCGACUCAGGGUAUUGCUAUCUCUGGUCUCGGUGGUAGGGCGCUAACUACGGAGCUACGCCCUCGCCUUGCGCCACCGCGCCGCUCACGUGCGACCUGUAACACCCCAAAACAACGUGGGGUGAGAACCAACUCCAUGGUUCCCAGUGGGUACAGCGACCCAAGGGAAAAGCUCGAUCAAUAUGUCCAAGGGAGGCGCUGCAACAUGUUAGUCCAAUAGAUAUCCACAAAUAAUAUUUAUGCAAAUAUUAAAUACAUGUUCAUGCCUCACAAAUGCAAUAUGUAAAUCAUGCAAGUAGAUUUAUUGAUUCUACUCUCUAUUAUUUACCAUUCUUUAUAUUAUUAGCAAUCCUUUAUUACUUAGUCAUUCUUUACUUUUAGUCAUUCUUUAUUCUUAACCACACGAUGGUCCUUUGCCAAUGCUCUUCUAAGGUCACUCUUACCUUAGCCAACUAUGCCAAUUAUCAUGAUCAAGACCCAAUCCUCUCGGCUAACCCGUAGGUUUCGCCUCAAAUCUCUGCUAUCGGGGAGAUACCCGCUACAACCCGACGGGACCGUUCUUUGGGAAGAUACUCGCUACAACCUAGUGAACCAACACUUACCAACCCAAAUCCCUACUAUCGGGGAGAAUUCCGCUACAACCCGACGGGACCGUACUCUGAGGAGAUACCAGCUACAAUCCAGUGAACCAAAACUACCAACCCAAAUCCCUACUAUCGGGGAGAUACCCGCUACAACCCGACGGGACCGUCCUCUGGGGAGAUACCCGCUACAACCCAGUGAUGACAACUUCGGAGCUCAUCGCCCGAGAGGGAGCUACCACCCUCGAGCAAGGACUAACAGGUGAGUAUGAUCUAUGAUCAAAUCCAUAAUCUUGAGGAUGUCAAGUUCAAUCCAUUCCUUAACUAUAAGGAUGCCAUGUCACAUACGUCAUUUUCUUGCAUUCUUUACUUUCAUGAUGCCACACACACAAAGUGUUUUUUUAACUCUUAUUAUGCCUUCAUUGUCUUUUUAAUGCCAUACACACACUAAGGCUGCGUUUGGUUCAGGUAUAUGUAAGAACUGCUUGUUCCAGGGAUAGGUACAAGUUCAGGUAUAAGCAGGAACUAGACCAAUUUUACGUUUGGAUGAAAAUUGAGUUGUUCCUAGGAAUAAGAUAAAUAGCGUUUGGAUGGUUAAAUUGGAACAAAAGGAAUAAAAGUUAUAAUUUGAAAUUAACAUUAUAUUAUCUAAUNUCCUUUGCCAAUGCUCUUCUACGGUCACGCUUACCUUAGCCAACUAUGCCAAUUAUCAUGAUCAAGACCCAAUCCUCUCGGCUAACCCGUAGGUUUCGCCUCAAAUCCCUGCUAUCGGGGAGAUACCCGCUACAACCCGACGGGACCGUACUCUGGGGAGAUAUCCGCUACAACCCAGUGAACCAAAACUCACCAACCCAAAUCCCUACUAUCGAGGAGAUACCCGGUACAACCCAACGGGACCGUCCUCUGGGGAGAUACCCGCUACAACCCAAUGAUGACAACUCCGGAGCUCAUCGCCCGAGGGGGAGCUACCACCCUCGAGCAAGGACUAACAGGUGAGUAUGAUCCAUGAUCAAAUCCAUAAUCUUGAGGAUGUCAAGUUUAAUCCAUUCCUUAACUAUAAGGAUGCCAUGUCACAUACGUCAUUUUCUUGCAUUCUUCACUUUCAUGAUGCCACACACACUAAGUGUUUUUUAAACUCUUAUUAUGCCUUCAUUGUCUUUUUAAUGCCAUACACACACUAAGUGUUCGUACUUUCCAAUGUCAAGUUCUUUACUCUAUUUGAAUUAUCGUCCCAAAUGCACAUUCAUAUGAAUCUACCAUAUUCUCACAUUAUGUCAACAUACAAGUGUUCUUCAACAUUUCCUACACAUGUUUGCAUUCUUAUCAAAAUAGUAAUCAUUAUACAUUUGGCACAUAACUCAUACAUUCUUUAUUAGUAUAUAUCUAUGCAUUCAUUUCUAAAACAUACAUUGUCAUUCAAGAUAGUCAGUACUUAGCAUCUCAUGCUUUCUUUAACCUCUACCAUAUGCAUUCUUAAUUAACAUAAAUCUCAUUAUUUAUUUCAUUUCAUUGGUAGGUAAUCUCAACUACAUAAUAUGUUUCAAGCAUUCAUAUUAUCAUGUAAGCUUACCAAUAAAACUAUAUGCAUCAAUGAUAAACAUUUAUCUUAGACAUACAGGCGACCUAGUCGCUUCGGUAAACACAACCCACCUGUUAUCGCAUUCCGAUUGCUUGUCGACACUUGCAAUCGGCCUCCCGCGGCACCCGUAACCCGGUUCGGCCCGGACUCUCGCGCGACAACCCGAACGGCCUCCAAUCCACGAUCCGGAAAUUAAAGGUCUUCGGUUAUGCGCCACGGUGUUUCAAAUCCGUUUUCAUGAUUUUACGACGUCGCCUCGGCCCUCCCGGCGGAAACGAAGCCUAACGUCCGUUUCUUUAAUAACUUCGCAACGGCUCGACGGAUUGCCGAAUUGACUUCCCCAACGCGUUCGUUUACCUAGCAAUUAGGUUUACGGAUGGUCAAAUGAGAUCAAACCCUACAAUUUUACAAAACUCCAUUUUGGAGCCCUAGGUUACAACUAUGCAAGAAAUCAUCAUUUUGGAACCUGAUUCAAGCAUUAAUCUUCUAAUUAGCAUCUAAGAAUGCUACUAAAUCCAUCUUUAGAGCUUAAAUGCAAAACCCUAGAGUUCUACCAUUAUAAACCUAGCCUCUACACAUGCUUCAAUUAACCCAAAUUAAAUGGAUUUAACAUGCUAAUCAACCCAUUAGAGGCUAUUAGAACACUAGGAAUUAAGGAUUAAGCCAAAUCCCAAGAGCUUACCCAAAUGUGAACACUGCGACGAAAACAAGCCGCUCCAACGGGCGCACGAAAGCUCGAUCCGUCGCCUCCAACGCGUUCGCAAGCUCGUUCUCUGCCAAUGCCGCGAAUUUGGGAGAGGGAUCUAGAGAGAUGAGAGAGAUAUUUAGAGAGAAGUGGAGCUUUCUCUCUCCCUCACCAUGGUCGCAUGGUGCUUGGAUGGUGGCCGGCUGUGUGGAGAAGAAAAGAAGCCAAUGCUUCUUAUAAUUACACCCCAAAUACUAUUCACAUUCAGGCUGUUUAGCAGUUAGGUCCCGACGGAGCCCUUCUGAUUGUCCGUUUGAGCUCAAAUUUGACAGGCAUGUUCGGUUUUACUUAACUUAACAAAGUAGUGAUCACUCUUCCAGUUUCGACCCCGUUUGGUUACCGAAAGCUGUACCGAAUUGUAAUCUUUAACAGAUAGCUGUGGGAUUUUAUUUUCUACCUUCCGGGUGUCAGAAUGGCAUGAAACUUUAAACCUAGCCUCAUAAAAAUAAUUCUGACAUCUCCGCCAAUUUUUAUAAUUUUCUGAGACUGCGCAUUUUCUGCUAAUUUAUCUGUCCCGUUUCCAACAGAAAAUUCUAAAUCUUCUGUUUUAAUUCCGAUUUCGGCACAAGUCACUUAUGACUUAUGUGUUACUUCUCUAAAUCCAAUAAAAAUAAUUUUUCACACUAUUUUUAUUUAUUUUUUUAUUUUAAUACCAAAAUCUGGUAUGUUACAUUCUCCACCUCUUAAAAAGAACUUCGUCCGCGAAAUUCAAACCACGCCUCAAUUUAACUCCUUGAGCAAUUGAGGAUACCAACUCAUUCUCACACUCCAGAGCGGCUUUAUACCAUCGUGGUUCCCGAAGCGUCUCAUACUGAAGGACGUCGGUUCAAUCCUCGACACAUUUGCAAAGUGUGAUACAAAAAUGCAUCACGGGUCUUGCAAGUCACAGUGGCAGCGCAAGUUGGUGCUCGACGACUCUACGCGCUCCCACGCCACUCGCCAUUCGUUAUGCAAAGAACUCUUCUUUGCAUUCAUCUUUUCUUUAGGAAUUACAUGCCGACUCGAUUACCGACAUUGCUUAGAAGCAAUAUCACCGGUGCAUCGCUUCACUGUGAGAGCUCCAAUCUCAACCGAAUCUUGCUCUACUACGAGAUGGCACACUCCGGCACAUCUCAAUCCUCAAGAGAGCUUUACGUCAUUUCUCGCGUGGCUAUCCAAUACUCAAGUGUCUCAAUGAGACCACUUACUUUCUGUUUUCAUUGCCAUGACCAACCAAUUCGUUCUUACAACGAAUUAAUACGAGCCCUCUGUUCGCUAAUACAAGCCAAACUCAUCCACAGAGUUAUCGGCCAUAACGCUUACUUUGGUUUUCAUAAGUGGACCGAAGGCCACCGAUUCUACGUAGGCCUACCGCCUAUCCCGUCUCCAUACCCGUACCGUCUCUCGCUCUCAAGCGCAGACCCAAUCAUAAUCGGGCGAAAUUCUCAUUUAGGAAUUCGCACACACUCCAAUCAGGAGCAACCAGGAGCCCAAACCACUAUAAAUCCUCGGGUUGGGUCACAACCGAACUCUCGGUAUAUCCUCGAUCUCAAAAUCCAACACGUGGCACUCCACGCUCCCGGGUCUAAGCUCGGACUACCGCCCUGACCAAAACUCCGCCCUACCAGUAGGUACCGGGCCGCUGUCUCUCACAGCUGACUGCGCCUACCCGAAGGGCCCAGGCUCCACAGUCCACCAGUGGUCCAGGCACGGGUCGUCCCCAAGCAUUACCCGUCGUCGUCGUCCUACACGACAUACUCUAUCGAGUCACGCGUACCACUCUCGGCUCCUAAGCACCUAGUGCGAGCCACCAACCCUACAAGUGAUCCAUGGCCCGCUUCACACUUGGCAAUGCUAAAGUGCUAUUGCCAACACACUCACUCGGUUGAAUCAAUCCGCACUCUAUGAGUACCUAUACUCGAACGUCAUACGCCUCUAUAGCGCUUCACACUAAGUCAAGCAUCAGGCAACCAUGCCUAUGCACGCUGAUCGCACGAGCACUACUCACCCACCUGAAUUCGAGGUACCACUAGGCCUCACAUGCCCGUAUUCGGCAACUAAUCGGCCAUUCUCUCAACAGUGAUCUCACUUUCACUGUUCGAUCUACCGGAACGAUAUCUUUACUACUCGGGCUACUUGGGUAUUCUCAAGCAUCUUGGCUCAACUCUCGCAAUCUCCUAUCCAUUGCCUUGAGAGUCGGUCAACCAUCUCCACAUUUACCCCGAGUCUCAUCAUUCGGUUAUCACUAGCAACUUGCUAGUGCCAUCUAGCUCUUUACUUGCACCGGUAGGUGCUACACCUUCACCGCAUAAGCAUACUCGGGCAUUUACACUUACCCGUCCACUUGGUCCCUACUACUCUGACGUAUCAACGGUAGUAAGUGACCGCAUGAUAAAUGCAUGCAAGGUUCCUCGACCAGGGUCGCGUACUCAUGGCCACUCAGUGCCCACCGCGAACCCUCCGGUCGCCACAUUCUCAUCACUCACUCUCCAGACCGUGCUGUAGGUGACGUGCCCACAAGCUGUCUCGGAGAAGAAGAGGCCAUCGCCAACGUCAAGGCUUGGCUCACGCCCACACGAAUGCAUAUCUCAUCACGCAGCACACCCCGCCGCGCCUAGUGAGAACUCUUGCAGUCCCGUAUCUUGGAGAAGUUAACGAAGACACCUCCAAGGUUCGGGAUUGCAAUUGCACUCGAGAAUGUACACUGCCCAAAUUGGGCAAAUCUCGCGGUGGGGGACCGGUCUCUCCGACCUAAGACCGGUCUCCGAGAGCUCCACCCGCGGACUGCGCAGCUUGCGCAUGAUGCAACCGGUCUCACCUGGUGCAACCGGUCUCGAGAGACCGGUCUUUCCCUGUUGGGACCGGUCUCCGAGAGCUGGUCUUCUAGGACUUAGCCGAUUUUCCACUCUGCUCGAUGCCUACGCACACGGAGACCGGUCUCUACCUCUUGGGACCGGUCUCCGAGAGCUAAAAACCUGCAGUUUGGCAGAUUUUGAUUCCCACGCUCUCGAAGAUACCCAAAUAAUGCACUUUUGCAUUAUUUGACGCCUUCGGCCUUUCCGAAACGUACCAACCUCGCACUCUGGUCAAUUUGACCAAGGUUCGAUAUUUAUUUACCGUGUUUUCGGUACGUUACAUUCUCUCCUUCUACAAGGAGUUUCGUUCUCAUUACCCCGCACUAUGUCUGGGAUGCAACUUCUGACACGGGAGAAUUUUCGCUCGUAUUCCCUCACGGCGCGGUCUACCUGCCGCAGCUUCGAGAACCUUUCCUGAAGCUUUUUUUUCCAUCAUCAGAUGAGUAAGCGAAGAAUACUUAUUCCCGAAACUCAUUCCAAACCAUAGGAAGGAGACCAGGCAGUCGAUCCCACUCGACGCUUGUCCACCACACCUUCGCCGACUGUUUGCACGCAACGCAGGGCUAGGUGUACCUUGGCCCACUUAACAGUGCACAGAUCCCCUAAAGGGAGUCUCCAUGAAGUCGAUCCACAACUCCACGAUCAACGGAUUUGCGUCCUCUUGGCAGCCAUCUGCUGACACUACACUAAUUUGGCUCAUUACCCCGCCACUCACACGAGAGUGGCCAACGGCUCGCGAAGUCCCAAGUCUCCGCUUGUUUCGGAUUGCUUAGGGACAACUUGUCCCAUCCCGCGUCGAUCUAAACGAAGAUCGCCUACGCGGCGCUAUCGCUUCCUAAAACGCGGCAACUUCAUUAAUCCUCGACCUUCUAGGUCGAACACGAGACACUUAAUACCGACUCAAAUAGGGCGAAAGUCACGCAAGGGCGCCUAUUCUCAUCACUCGGUUUCAUGUUGUCGUACGCCAACAUGAACAACCUUGGCUGAGAAUAAACCACACCUCGAGUCUACCUCUAAUAUCCGUCUUAGAGGUUUACAACACAACCCAAUCCAUUAUCCUUUCGCCACAAGUCAUAAGUCCUCGUCUCUCACGAGCCUUAUUCUCCUAUGGUUUGCUAUCCUAGGGUCUCUGUCACGCCCGGGUACCAGCGGAAGCAUAUCCGGUCGCGCGCACAGACCGCCGUGUACACCACAACUCAAGUAUACACAAGGCGUCUACAAACCACAUAGUAAAAGCAUAUAAUUCUAACUAGGUAAUCAGAGCAAGACUUAUAAGUUUAAACUUAUACAAUCCAAACCUUAAAACAGGAAAUAAGAACAAAGUACCGUCUACAAAAACUUAAUAUACAUUUCUGUACUACACUAUAUAAACUGCUGGAGGUGAUCUAGUACACGUCCAAAAAGGCUCUAGCUAGUCGCUGACCCAUCGCCAGAAACCCUAGCCUUUCCCGCUGUGGAAGGCUCUGUAAAAACAACAACAAAGAGGGCGUGAGAACUAUUAAACAAUAGUUCCCAGUGGGUAAGCCGCCGAGAGUGGCGAAGUACACCACUAGGUCAACUGUGGCAUGAGUAGAUAGCAAUAAAUAAGCGGGUAAAUGCAGAUAAUUAUGCAACAGAUAUGGAAGUAAACUACUCAUGCUAUUUGCUCAACCAUAAAUAAAUAACAAUAGAUUGCAGGUAUCAGUUAUCAUGAUAGAUUCUAUCAAUCAUAUUACUUGACAAUUUAACCAAACAUAUAUCAGAAUGUAUGCAAGAUAAUUCACUUUACUAAAAUUACAGAUGAUAUCAUGUAAUUACCUUGUUCCAUAGCAAGAAAGAGACAUAAUGUCAUUCAUUAUGUUGCUAACCAAUCAUGAUGUCAACUUCUAGGUUAUUCAUCGCUAGGCUCACUUUAGAUGUCAACUUUCUAGUAUGUUCAUCAAUAAGUUCACUUAACCAAAGACAUAAAGUAACUGUACUACUAUGUCCAGCUAAGGUUAAAGUACUUGACAUAACCCAAUUUCCAACAGACUUACACAAGGUAAGUUCAAGCCGCGCCGUGCCUAAUGGCCCCGUGGUAGUCAACAUCCCCACUCGAGGAAUGAGCCUCCCCCACGGCAUUCCAUUUCGGCGCUCACUUUGUACAUUUGCGAGCAUCUGUCGCUAAGCUGUUCGGGAGUGCUGGCUUGGGAGGGAGCGACCCCGCAAGCGUGUGCGAACGCGCACAAUGGUAUGCAAACCGUAGUCCAUAGUACCAAUCUCACAACAGCAUCAUGUCCCUGACAUGGUGUCUCAACUCGAGCCACUCCGGAACGCGGGGCUUGGGGGGGCGCGACCCCCGCAAGCAUGUACGAAAGAGCAUAAUGGCAUGCUAGCUAUAGUCCAGGGUACAAAUAUCUCAACGACAUCAUGUCUCUGACAUGGAAUCUCAACUCGACCCAAGGUCGGCACUGUAGUACCCAAUCAUAAGUCACUAUCAACAACUUGUUGAUAUGAUUCUACCAAUAACUAGUAUAACUUGACAAGUUAAGGCUUUACAUCACACUCGUGACUCUAUCAGGCUAUACCUGGUCAGUGAUUCACAACCUCUCACUACUCCUUACACAUAAGGAAAGUGGUUUGCUAAUGUUCUGUUCAAAGACUCAUGGCACAUAUCCUGUAGUUCAAUAUAAAUCUCUACUUGACUAUACAAGUAUGUUAUCAUAUCCAAAUCUAGUUAUCUACUAGAUUAUAUUCAGUUGUAUAACAUUCAAGUUAUGCCAUCUUAUGAGGUUCUAGUUACUUACUUGAACAUAUAUCAUAAUACAAGUCUAUCAUGUGAAAGCAUGAGCGAUAACUACUCUUCACGUGAUCUCUAUGCCAUUCCUUCUACAAUUAGAAAUGCAUAUGCAAUCAAAGGUCUUUACCUGAUCUAUCAGAGUAUAGCAAUCAUACUUGCUAUAUAACAGUGCAUAGCCCAAUCCUAAAUACAUCAAUCUAACACUGCAUAUGCAAGCUACUAGUAUCAUGAACACGUAGUACUUUAACAACAUGUAACCAUAUAGAGUGAACAAGUCACGAAUCUUUCAUUACUGUUUAUCAUAUCCGAUAUGAUCUACACAUCAAUGCAUGUCGCAUGAACUAUACAUAUAUGCACAUGAAUAAGGAAUAACUUCAACUCAGAUGUCAAAGGAGACAUAGAGAAAAUUCACCCAUUUCGGGAAGGUCCGACCCACCUAUCCCCAAGCUCAAUCCAGCCAAUAGAAGUCCCGAACUCAGCUCAGCGGAGCCCCAACUCUGCUGAAAACAAAACACGGAAGGCGCAUCAAACUACGACCGAAAUGUCCAAUUUCGGCACACAUUGUACGUAGUACAAAGUAAUAACUUAAAUUCCUGUUUGGGCUCAGUUCAAUACCUCAAGUUUAGAAGCCAAAAGCUCUCACAUCACAGCCGACGAUAAUCCGAAGGUCAAUCGCAAGCUCGCUGCGAACAAUCGCCACAACGGCAUCAAUAUAGUCGAAUUCUUGCAAUUUCAGUUUUCUAACUGAAAUCCUUGCUUACCUCAGGUUAGAGUACCUUCUAAACCAGCCUCCUAGGUCACCAAAAUUGCCUAAUAAAUCGGAAACCUGCUGUGAACAAACAAGUCCAAACUGCAUAAAGUUACACAAUUAAUCCUCGUUUGGUUCCGAAAUCGAGUCAAUAGUCAACUAAUUACCUUGGCUAAGCCUCAAGCCAGCUUUUCCCUGAUUUAGACAGAGGAAUAAUAGCAAAAUAACUCCUCUUUAGCUGUUGGAAUUGCCCUCUAACUCAGCUGGGAGCAACAAGACCAAAACCACUCAAAAUCCGACACUAAACGUCCAAUUAGAGGAGGUUUAAGCUAUAUACCUUUCAACAGCUGCAACUCAGCUCUUUCUGGGGUUAAGAUCCCAGAAAAGUCAAUAAAUAUCCUCCUCCCCACGUUCUAAAAGCUUUCCUUGACUCUCCGAACCAGCGAGCAACGAGUGCGGCGCGAAAACGGCGCGAAUCGGCGGCUUUUCUCUAGAGAGAGAAAAACCCUAGAGAGAGAGAAAGAGAGAAGGUGAAAGAAGCUUCUCUGAACUCAAGCNCUUGUGAACGUUGACAUUGAUUUGUUCGAUAUUUACACUCUCGGGGCAAAAUUGAACAAUAUAAUUAAGUUUUACACUUUGUUUGAUUGAAUAAGAAAAAGAACUCGUUGCAAAGUUAUAAUGUUAGGUCGUAACCGAGUAGUCUAAUAUUUUUCCGGUUUUGGUUCUUGUGAAUGCGAACAUCGUUUCGUUCCACUAUUACACUCACGGGGCAUAAUAGAACAAAAUAAUUAGCUUUUACUUUUUGUUCGAUUGAAUAAGAAAAAGCACUCGUUGCAAAGUUAUACUGUCACGACCCGCGACCACUCGCCAAUUUGGCCGGGUCGCGGCGCCGCCGACAGACCGCCGAACGGACAGGGUUUCUCCUGUACACGGACAGAGUCUCCUCUGUACAUUCAAGGAGUCGCAACCUGUACAAUACAAAGAGUUCCAACCAGGAACAGUAUUCAAGCAAGGAUUGCAUAAGGGAGUAUCGAAAACAUAAACACCUAGAUCACAUUCAUUCAUUUUUACAUCACAUUUUCCUUUUUUACAUUUAACUUUCAAAUUACAAUCUAGAUAUUACAAUUUAUACAACUUGCUUCUUUUCGUUCUUUUCAUCCCUAAGUGAAGCCGACUCAGGGUACCGCUAUCUCUGGUCUCGGUGGUAGGGCGUUAACUAUGGAGCUACGCCCUCGCCUCGCGCCGCCGCGCCGCUCACGUGUGAACCUGUAGCACCCCAAAACAACGUGGGGUGAGAACUAUAUAAAUAUAGUUCCCAGUGGGUACGGCCACCCAAGGAAAAAGCUCGAUUAAUAUGUCCAAGGGAGGCGCUGCAACAUGUUAGUCCAAUAGAUAUCCACAAAUAAUAUUUAUGCAAAUAUUAAAUACAUGUUCAUGCCUCACAAAUGCAAUAUGUAAAUCAUGCAAGUAGAUUUAUUGAUUCUACUCUCUAUUAUUUACCAUUCUUUAUAUUAUUAGCAAUCCUUUAUUACUUAGUCAUUCUUUACUUUUAGUCAUUCUUUAUUCUUAACCACACGAUGGUCCUUUGCCAAUGCUCUUCUAAGGUCACUCUUACCUUAGCCAACUAUGCCAAUUAUCAUGAUCAAGACCCAAUCCUCUCGGCUAACCCGUAGGUUUCGCCUCAAAUCUCUGCUAUCGGGGAGAUACCCGCUACAACCCGACGGGACCGUACUCUGAGGAGAUACCAGCUACAAUCCAGUGAACCAAAACUACCAACCCAAAUCCCUACUAUCGGGGAGAUACCCGCUACAACCCGACGGGACCGUCCUCUGGGGAGAUACCCGCUACAACCCAGUGAUGACAACUUCGGAGCUCAUCGCCCGAGAGGGAGCUACCACCCUCGAGCAAGGACUAACAGGUGAGUAUGAUCUAUGAUCAAAUCCAUAAUCUUGAGGAUGUCAAGUUCAAUCCAUUCCUUAACUAUAAGGAUGCCAUGUCACAUACGUCAUUUUCUUGCAUUCUUUACUUUCAUGAUGCCACACACACAAAGUGUUUUUUUAACUCUUAUUAUGCCUUCAUUGUCUUUUUAAUGCCAUACACACACUAAGGCUGCGUUUGGUUCAGGUAUAUGUAAGAACUGCUUGUUCCAGGGAUAGGUACAAGUUCAGGUAUAAGCAGGAACUAGACCAAUUUUACGUUUGGAUGAAAAUUGAGUUGUUCCUAGGAAUAAGAUAAAUAGCGUUUGGAUGGUUAAAUUGGAACAAAAGGAAUAAAAGUUAUAAUUUGAAAUUAACAUUAUAUUAUCUAAUUAAUUAAUAUCAAAAUAUUACUUAAAAAUAAAUAAUAAAUAAAUUAUUAAUAAAUAAUUAUAAAUAAUAAUAAUUAUUAAUUAUUAAUUAUUAAUUAUUAUCAUUAAUUAAUUAUUAUUAAUUAUUUAUAAUUAUUUAUAAGUAAUAAAUUAAUUAAUUAUUAAUAAAUUAUUAAUAAUUAUUACUUAAUUAAUUAAUUAUUAAUAACUAUUAAUAAUUAUUUAUAAGUAAUAAAUUAAUUAAAAAUAAUUAUCUAAUUAUUAAUAAUUAAUUAUAAAUCAUUAUUAAUAAAUAAUAAUAAUUAUUUAAUUAUUAAUUAUUAAUAAUAAAUUACUAAUAAUAUCGAUUAUCUAAUUAAUAAGAAUAAUUAUUUUAUUAUUAAUUAUUAAUUAAAUAAUAAUAUUAAUAAUUAAUUAUAAGUAAUAAAUUAAUUAAUAAUAAUUAUCUAAUUAUUAAUAAUUAAUUAUAAAUAAUAAAUUAAUAAUAAUAUCGAUUAUCUAUUUCUUAAGAAUAAUAAUUAUUAAUAAUUAUUAUUUAAUUAAUAAUUAUUAAUAAAUAAUAAUUAUUAAAUUAAUAAUUAUUAUUAUCUAAUUAUAAAUAAUUAAUUAUAAUUAAUUAUUUGUUUAUUUAUUUUAUUAUUUAAGCAAUAGAUAAUAAUUCAAAUAUAUUAAUUAGAUUAAUUAAUAAUUUACUAUCAUUAAAAUUUAAAUUUAUAUUUAAUUAACCUUGUUCUCAUUCGGGAACAAGCCUGUUCCAGAAAAAAGGUGGAACAGCAGUUCCAGCUAGUUCUAGUCUUAUACCAGCUAGUUCCAGAAACCCAGGAACUACUGUUCUCGGUUACCAAACGCUGCGUUUGGGAACAAAGGGGGGAACAAGGGCUUAUUCUCCCUCUUGUUCCCGAACCAAACACUAUAAGUGUUCGUACUUUCCAAUGUCAAGUUCUUUACUCUAUUUAAAUUAUCGUCCCAAAUGCACAUUCAUAUGAAUCUACCAUAUUCUCACAUUAUGUCAACAUACAAGUGUUCUUCAACAUUUCCUACACAUGUUUGCAUUCUUAUCAAAAUAGUAAUCAUUAUACAUUUGGCACAUAACUCAUACAUUCUUUAUUAGUAUAUAUCUAUACAUUCAUUUCUAAAACAUACAUUGUCAUUCAAGAUAGUCAGUACUUAGCAUCUCAUGCUUUUUUUAACCUCUACCAUAUGCAUUCUUAAUUAACAUAAAUCUCAUUAUUCAUUUCAUUUCAUUGGUAGGUAAUCUCAACUACAUAAUAUGUUUCAAGCAUUCAUAUUAUCAUGUAAGCCUACCAAUACAACUAUAUGCAUCAAUGAUAAACAUUUAUCUUAGACAUACAGGCAACCUAGUCGCUUCGGUAAACACAACCCACCUGUUAUCGCAUUCCGAUUGCUUGUCGACACUUGCAAUCGGCCUCCCGCGGCACCCGUAACCCGGUUCGGCCCGGACUCUCGCGCGACAACCCGAACGGCCUCCAAUCCACGAUCCGGAAAUUAAAGGUCUUCGGUUAUGCGCCACGGUGUUUCAAAUCCGUUUUCAUGAUUUUACGACGUCGCCUCGGCCCUCCCGGCGGAAACGAAGCCUAACGUCCGUUUCUUUAAUAACUUCGCAACGGCUCGACGGACUGCCGAAUCGACUUCCCCAACGCGUUCGUUUACCUAGCAAUUAGGUUUACGGAUGGUCAAAUGAGAUCAAACCCUACAAUUUUACAAAACUCCAUUUUGGAGCCCUAGGUUACAACUAUGCAAGAAAUCAUCAUUUUGGAACCUGAUUCAAGCAUUAAUCUUCUAAUUAGCAUCUAAGAAUGCUACUAAAUCCAUCUUUAGAGCUUAAAUGCAAAACCCUAGAGUUCUACCAUUAUAAACCUAGCCUCUACACAUGCUUCAAUUAACCCAAAUUAAAUGAAUUUAACAUGCUAAUCAACCCAUUAGAGGCUAUUAGAACACUAGGAAUUAAGGAUUAAGCCAAAUCCCAAGAGCUUACCCAAAUGUGAACACUGCGACGAAAACAAGCCGCUCCAACGGGCGCACGAAAGCUCGAUCCAUCGCCUCCAACGCGUUCGCAAGCUCGUUCUCUGCCAAUGCCGCGAAUUUGGGAGAGGGAUCUAGAGAGAUGAGAGAGAUAUUUAGAGAGAAGUGGAGCUUUCUCUCUCCCUCACCAUGGUCGCAUGGUGCUUGGAUGGUGGCCGGCUGUGUGGAGAAGAAAAGAAGCCAAUGCUUCUUAUAAUUACACCCCAAACACUAUUCACAUUCAGGCUGUUUAGCAGUUAGGUCCCGACAGAGCCCUUCUGAUUGUCCGUUUGAGCUCAAAUUUGACAGACAUGUUUGGUUUUACUUAACUUAACAAAGUAGCGAUCACUCUUCCAGUUUCGACCUUGUUUGGUCACCGAAAGCUGUACUGAACUGUAAUCUUUAAUAGAUAGCUGUGGGAUUUUAUUUUCCACCUUCCGGGUGUCAGAAUGGCAUGAAACUUUAAAUUUAGCCUCAUAAAAAUAAUUCUGACAUCUCCGCCAAUUUUCAUAAUUUUCUGAGACUGCACAUUUUCUGCUAAUUUAUCUGUCCUGUUUCCAAUAGAAAAUUUUAAAUUUUCUAUUUUAAGGCACAAGUCACUUAUGACUUAUGUUUUACUUCUCUAAAUCCAAUAAAAAUAGUUUUUCACACUAUUUUUAUUUAUUUUUUUUAUUUUAAUACCAAAAUCUGGUAUGUUACAUGUGGCAUGUAAAGAAUCCUAAGUGUGGAUAACUAGGAUAACAAGAAUCAUGAGUGGCAUUGAAUCUAGUGUCAUUGAACAUAGGUGAAUCAUGAGUGGCAUUAAACCUAGUGUUAUUGAACAUAGGUUGAGAAUUGAACCUAGAGUCGAGUGGACCUAGGAUGGAAAGGACAUUGGACCUAGUGUUGAGUAAACCUAGGUUAUGAGUUGUUAUGGAUCAUGGCAGUAGAGUGACCACUAGGAUAUGUAUAGCCAAACCUAAAGACGGUGAUGACAUAGGGUAAAACCAACCCUUGAGAUAUGAAAGUGUAAUAUACCGGAUUUUUUUUAAUAUAAAAGUAGAUGUAAAUAAAAAUAGUGUAAAAUACUAUUUUUAUUGGAUUUAGAGAAGUAAAAUAUAAGUCGAAAAUGACUUGUGCUGAAAUCGGAACUAAAACAGAAGAUUUAGAAUUUUCUGUGAGAAACGGGUCUGAUAUUUUAGCAGAAAAUGUACAGUGUCAGAAAAUUAUGAAAACUGGAGAAUAUAUCAGAAUUACUUUUAUGAGGCUACAUUUAAAGUUUCAUGUCAUUAUGACACCCGGAAGGUGAAAAAUAAAAUCCGAUUGUUAUCUGCUAGAGAUUACAGUUCGGUGAGCUUUCGGUGAUAAAAAAUGGUCCAAAUUUAAAUUUUAAGAUAUUUUUUUAUCCUUAUUAAUGUUAAUCGAGCCUGAUUGCCAAAUUUGAGCGUAAACGGAGGCUCCGGCGAUAGGUUUCAGAUUCUGAAUUGGGAACCGUAUUAUAGAAAGAAAUUUCGACUUUUGUGGAGGGGUAAGUUGUAAUUUUUUUCUGAUCUUAUCUACAACCUAGCCCUCCACUAGCUGCUUGCGUACAGGGAGGUAUUUCUCUCCUUCUAUCUCUUUCUUUUGUCUCUUUCUCUCUCUCUCUCUCUCUCUAAUCGUGUGAAGUAGAAUGAUGGAGAUGUUGGUGAAGUAGUGUGUGGAGCUAAGAAGGAUUUCAGCAGCAGGUUAUUUUGGUGGAGUAGAGAAAUUUGAGGUAAGUUGUGUUAAAGAUAUGCCUUCUUUUUUGGUUUGGUUCAUACACCGGAUUUAUGGAAAAAUAAAAAGGAUCUCAUAAGGAUUUAUUUUUGGUGGAUCCUAAUUUAAAUUGGAAUCCUAGAUAGACUAGGAUUGGUUUCCAUAUAAUACUCUAUAUUCAAUAAUCAUAUUGAAUUAGAGUAGGAUUGAGCCAAAUCCCUCUCUAUAUAUACAUGCAUAUGCAUGUACGGCUUGGUGAGGCGUGUGGUUAAAUUAAUUAGCAUUCACAGUCCGGCUAAUUAAUACACGGUGUCUCCUGUGGCCAUACGGGCGGAAGAGGCUGAGGAAGAGGCUUAAUUAAUUAGCCAUCGUGGACCGUACGGCUUCGGGUGCAUAGAAGCAAAUUAAUUAGCAUAAGGUGUAUUGGCUAAUUAAUUAACAUAGCACCAUCCGUACGGCAUAAGAAGGCUGCACCUUUGCAUGCGACGUCGGAUCGGAGUCGGCAGCAGGAGCGACGGUUCUCGACCAAUUGCCUGAGCGGUUCGGAUUCUUCGAAGCAACGGCAUAAAGGAAUUUGGUUAGAGUUUCUAUACUUCUCUAAUUUUGGUCUUCUCGGUUUUACGAAAAGCAUUUUCUGGUAUUUUCUUGGAGUUUUCGUUGGAACAAGAAAAUGUGGAAUUCACUAUAAGGUUCUUGGUUUUUUUAUCCGAAGAAGACAUAAGGUGUAAGCUUGUACUUCUAUUUCUUCAUAUAGUGGAAUACAUCUCUCUCGCUCUUCCCGUGGACGUAGGCAAUUGCCGAACCACGUAAAUCUUGGUUUCUUCUUUCUGCAUUUAUUUCUUUUACCGUUCGGUCGAUUUUCUCUAUUUUUCGUGCAUCUUUGUUGGUAGCACAUGACGGACGAUCCAUCCGGUUCCCAACAAGUUGAUGAUGCCUUUUUGGUUAGAGAUUAUCUUAAUUACCUUAGAAAGAGAUUAAGCCUUGGUUUCUUAGGUGCUAGAAGUGUAGCUGCCAUAGAAACCUAAGGAAGAAGCUUUGAAUGGAGUUGAAAGAUUGGAGGAAUUAAAGUUCUCGGCUGAGAGGAAAGUUCUUUGAGCAGAAAAUUUGGCCCGUUGGAGAGGAAAACUUGAGGUAAGAUGGCUGUGAUUUCUUGCUUAGAAUUGUGCUACUUACCCUAGAAAGGUUUGGAUAACAGAUGUUUUAUAGUUACUAUAACUUAUAUUACUAUGUGAACGUAGAAAUGAUGUUAUAAGCAGCUUGUGUAUAUAAGUUUGGGUUGAAGUAAAACUUGGGCUGUACUUGUCAGAAUUUAUGUUGCUUAACCUAAAGGAGAAAUUAGGUUAGAGUUUCUUAGGUUCUAAGCUGAAAUUGCCAUGAAAGCAAUCUAAAUUAAGCUAAUUGUUGUAUGUAUAUAUGUGAAAUAAGUAACCUGAGAUAAGUGGAUUUUAAUUCUUGAUUAGAGUUAUAGUAUUUACUUUAUAAAAGGAUUUCUUAAUUGCUAGAGUUUGAAGCCGCCAUGAAACCUAGAGAACAAACCCUAUGUUAUGCGUAAAAUGUCGGAUUUUCGACUACGCGGCUAAUUGUGAUCAAAUUGAUCAAAAUAAUGAGAAAAAGGAAAUUGGGUUGCUUCCGAGCUUAAUUGGUAGCUUUGGCAUAGCGUUUAGUACGUUUUGGAAGUGUUUGGAUGGACUCGGAAAGAACUAGAUGUGCAAAAGGGGCUGAAAACUGCUGCUGUCGGCUAUUGUUUAGUGCAGGGACUGAUUUGUAAACUGUUGGACUACAAUGCAGUUUUAGUCUUUUGAGGGGUUAAGAGGGCUUUAAAACAGGGUUUUUGUUGUGGGAGCUGAAAGCAACCGGUGGAACAUCGAAUUAAGGUAAAUUUGAUUAAAGAUUCAGUUAAUUACCUUUGGAGAAUAGUUAACUUGGAGUUCUAUAUAGUGUAUAAGUUGUGGAAAUGUGAAAAUUGCAUUGUGAAUCUUGUGUAGAUAAACUGAUUAGAGAAAAACUAGGGGGAAUUAAAUGUAUUCCCUGGUUUCGAUGACUUCCUUUGUUGUAUAGGAGGGUUAAACCAAGAGUUUCUAAGUAGUUGUAAAUUGUAGUAGUGUAGAAAAGCUGUAAAGAAGUAAAUUAUCAAAAUACGAGAGUUUGACUUUGUCCUGGAUCGACUAUUUGUCGAAUGGGAUGGCUUCGAAGAAGCCCAAGAUGUUAAAACGGGCCAAAGCGCGUUAACAUGGGGUCUACGAGAGCUUGGAGGCAAAAAUCUGCAAAUUGCAUAUUUUCAGCUCCAGGAGACCGGUCCCAAGUGGGGCAGACCGAUCUCCGCGCGCGCAGGUAGCCCAAACCGAGAGGGGGCAGCUCUUGGGUUUCAGCCUCCACGCAGAGGCAGACCGGUCCCAAGGGGGCAGACCGGUCUCGGAAGACCGGUUUCACCGGAGGGAGACCGGUUGCUACGCGCGUGAGCCCUGCCAGCCGAGAAGGCAGCUCUCGGAGACUUGUCCCAAGCAGCAUGAGACCGGUCUCCCAGGCCGCGAACAGCCCAGUGAGGGCGGUGCACAGGAUGAAACGUUGAGGGGCUAAAGUGAAUUUUGUUACAUUAGAAGGGUAUGUAGGCCCUCUCCCCCUCUCACUCUCUCUCAUUCCCAUCUCUCUCUCUCUCUCUCAUUCUCUUGCUCUAUCUCUCUAGAAGGAAAAGAAAGAGAAGACCUAGGAGAGGAAGAAGAAGGAAAAGAGAGGAGAAAAAGAAAAAAGAAAGAAAGGAGAAGAAGAAGGAGAGCAAAGAGGAGGACUUGGACCUCUCCCUCUCCCUCUCCCUCUUUUUUUCUCUUUGGAGCUAGCACAAGAGGUAAGCCCUAACCCUAGCUUUUGUAAACUUAGGGUUUUUGGGUUUUGAGCUUAGAAAUGGGUCAAAUGGACCCUUAGCAAGCUUCCAAAUAGAUCAAUCCUAAACUCUAGGGUUUUGAAAGAGAGGUUUGCUAUAGGUGCAAACCUAAGGCUCCAAAUUGGGGUCUUUGAUAAAUGAGGAGAUUGAUCUCAUUUGGUGGCUUGUAAACCUAAUUGGCGGGUGUCUAAACGCGUUGGGGAAGUCGGAAUUUCGAUUCGUCGAACGGAUAAAAACAUAUGAGCAAAAUGAUGUUGAUUAUGCUUCGUUUCGACCUAGGAGGCCGAGACUUCGAGGAAGCAAGUGCCGUGGAUCAUCCUUAGGACCUCUACGACGAAAGUAGCGAACGCGAGGUGGGGGGGUGUCAUCCCGAAGCUACCGAACCCUUUUCUAUGUCUUAGAACUAUUAGAAAUUUCAUCUCUUGCAUGUUGCAUUGUAGGGUUGCAUCGUAGUACCUUUCCUUAUGCUUUUCAAUGUUAACCUAGUGUAUAUGGAAUACUUGGUGAAAAAUGAAUAGGUAAGGAUUGGGUCGGAACAUGGAUCCUAUAGUGCUAAAAGAAAGAGAUGACUCGAGGUUAUGUGUUGACAUAGAAAAUGACAUGGUAUGUUUAAAGAACAUAGAUCGAGUGGCAUUGUAUGUUUAAAGAACAUAGAUCGAGUGGCAUUGUAUGUUUAAAGAACAUAGAUCAAGUAGCAUUGUAUGUUUAAAGAACAUAGAUCGAGUGGCAUUGACAUAGUGUACUUGACACUAGAGGUCGUGGACAUAGGGAUAGGUGAAUCCCUUAGAAAAUACCUUGUGAACAAUGAAUUUAAUUGAGCUAAAUACUGUUGCAUGUGUAUCGGAAUAGAGUUCCGAAAUAUUGUUAGCCCUAGUUUGUAGGGUAUCUUCACUUGGAGAGGAUAGAUCUACCUCACAGUCUACUACUUUGGGAUGGUAUAGCCAUUCAUAUCCUCACAUAGAGAGGAUGGUCGUCGAGUACUCCGGAGUGUCAGGCGAUAGGGACCACAUGGAGGUCCGUAGACAACCCCGGGUUUUGUGAGCACAUGGAGCUCCUCACCCAACGGGGGGUGUGCGUGAGGCGUAGGCAAACCCAAGGGUUGUGCCAUGGAUUGGGUAAAUGUAAAGUUAAUGUGUCAUCGAACAUUAUUAUCGCAUUGAACAUUGUAUAUCGAACAUGGAUCGAUUUGGUAGCAUGAUAGUAUCCUUUUACUAUGUGAUGCAUGCAUUCAUAUCUACAUGAUCAUGGGCAUAGUAGCAUAGUUUACUUUAUGCUUUUACUGCUUUGAAAUAUCAAUCUAUUUCGUUGUUGCUUAUGCCCACUUGGACCUAGUGGAGAGAUCGGCAGAGUCGGCGGCCGAGCCCACUGGGAACUAUGGAAGAUAGUUCUCACCCCACUAUAUUUUCAGUGGUAGGUACAGGUUUGCCAGGCGAGGACCGCGGCAAGGGCAUCGUGCCCGACCAGUGAGUUCGUGGUAGAUAGUAGCUUUCCUUUUUGCAUUUAGUACACCUAUGUAUUUAUGAAAGAGACUCAUGUAGGUGAGGUUGGAGAGCUAUGUAUUCGAUGAACAUGUGCCUAUUUUGAGGAAAUGAUGUAAAUGUUAAAGAUUGCAAAUUAUUGUAAUAGCUAGUAAAGUAUUCUCUUUAUUUUCACUUGUAUUUACUUGUGGAUUACUUGCUCUUUUGUUGUAGUUGGCACUAUUUGUGCCCAAGCGAUCAUAUAUGUUGAAUUUAGUUUUCCUGGGUAAAUUCUUGUAUAUGAUCAGGUUUGAGCCUUGGGCGGACAGGGGAGGUUCUAUCCGUUCGGCAUCCGCUUGCCGCGCCCGAAACGCGCCAAAUUGGUAGUGUUUUCGGGGCGGGGCGUGACAGAAGCAUUGAGAUUAGGUUGAAAUCAACAUGAAUGUACAUAUUGAUAUAGAUGUAUGUGCAUAGUGUUAGAAGUAGAAACCAGAACUUGGUUGAUCCUAUACCGUGUUUAAUUAUGUUAGUAUAUUCAGUCCAGGAAAGAGUUUAAACUAUAGAUUUUGAUUAUUAAGCCCAAAUGCUGAAAACUCGAUAUAGAACUAGUUUAUACUAUAGAUGUGUGUGUAUAUGUAUAUAUACAUAUAGAUGUAUAUGUGCCUAGUGUUAAGAUGGAAAAACUGAAUUAAGAGAGGUUGAAAUUAUGAAUUAGGAUGACUUAAUUACUGCAUAGAGAAGUUAAGCUAUGCCUAAUGCAGUUUAUAGAGUCAGAAUGAUAAUAUGUAACCUAUGGUAAGCUAUAGGUGAUAUAGUGGAUAUGUGACUUAUGAAUUAAAGUAAAACCUGUGGCAGAGCUUGUGAUGUUAACUAUUAAGAUUGAUGGUUACUACCCUAAAGAGAGUUAAUUAUGAGUUGUUUUAACUUCUGUAUCCGAACUGCCAUAGGGAAUUUAAUAGAAGAUUAUAUGUAUAGAGGUAUUGGCACUAUUCAUAUAUAUAUAUAUAUAUAUAUAUAUAUAUACUAUAUAUAUAUAUAUACUAUAUAUAUAUAUAUACUAUAUAUAUAUAUAUACUAUAUAUACAUUCAUAGAAGAAUAAAAGAUAUUAUAUUUAAGUACAUUCUUAUUUUUACAAAUUCCAUUUAACUUUAACAUAUAUAUAUAUAUAUAUAUAUAUAUAUAUAUGUUAAAGUUGAAAUGCGAAGUUUGUAAAAAUAAGAAUGUGACUUAAAUAUAAUAUCUUUUAUUCUUCUAUGAAUGAAGGUUAAACGUGCUCAGAAGCUUAGAUUGGUAUUCCGACGGUCCUACGGCGCACUAAUUACGAUAGACGUCGUUCUAGCUUUAUUCGCAUCAAGUCACGAGGACUUGAUAGUUGUGAGCUCCAAGACAUUGGUUCUAGUCUUCGGCAUCCCUACAGGUGGGUGGUGCUAUCCGAAAUCUUCGAAUCCCUCUUUAUGUCUAUGUUACCUUGUUGAGCAUAUCUGUAUAUGAAUCAUAUAAUAUUCAUGCAUUAUAGGGUAAUUGGCAUUGUGUAGUUAUGAAAUGAACAAUUGGACAAAUUUUAUUGUUCAGAACAUGUGAACCAUAGAGUGUGGACAUAUAACCCUAUGAAUGUGUGAAUUUAUUGUGGACCAUGACAAUAGUAAAUUUGGUGACAUUAUGACUAGAGAAUUGGUUAGCUUCAAGAUUGGAAUUGUAAAACUAGCAUAAAGAGCUAGUUAGAGUUAAAGUGUGGCAUUGUCAAUGUAUCCUCUAAGCGAGGAUUAGAUCAUACUCACAUAGUCUGUUCUUAGCUUGGCGGUGGUCGCUCCACCCAAGCAGUGCACUCCGGAGUUGUCAUACAAUGGGCUAACGUACUUGCCCAUGGACUAACGUACUUGUCGAGCAGACGGUCCCGUCGGGUUAGUAGCGAAAUUCUCCCCAAUAUUAGAGAUUUUUUGGUAAGUUAUAGUUGACCAAAUGGUUAACCAGUUUGAUUGGAUAAUAAUGAUUAACAACAUGCAUGCAUCAAUUUCAUAUGUUAAUUACUGUUUAUUUUAGCUUGUACAGGCAUUGUAGUAGUUACAUGUAUAGCUGGUUACUAUUUACUCUCUUUUCUUACCUACAUAUGCCUGAAUAGACCUAGUGGGUGAGUCAACGAGGUCGGCGGCCGAACCCACUGGGAACUUCCAGUAGUUCUCACCCCACUAACCAUACAGAUUCUAGCUGAGCGGGUUGGUUAAGGAUCGUGACUUGGACAGCGCUCCAUAGAUAGUGGACAUCCAUUGAGUAUAGUAUACCUUGUACAUUUCAUCUAUUUAUAGUUGAUGAAAGCAAAUGUAAAUUAUUCAAUUGAGAGAUGGUAAUUGUAUAUCUAUUGAAGAAUGUACGUAUGUGAUCAAAUGAUAAGCUUUGUAUUUGAUUUAAAGUAAUCAAGAUACAAUCUAUGAAUGUUUUAGUUAGUUUACUUUCACUUGUGUUUGUUGCUUGCCCUUGUGCAAGCCAUGUAUAUUGAAAUUUUUUCUGAGCAUUUUUUUUAUACAUGUAGCUGUAAUUGUUGAGCCUUGGGCGGACAAGGAAGGUGCUGUCCGUUUGGCGUCUGUGCACGGGUCCGGAUCGACCAAAUUGGCGAUAGCGGGACGUGACAGAAAGUGGAUUCCGGAAUCCCGGCUGCGAGUGCAGCGGCUGCAAGUGCAGUGUAUGAGACUUGCAACUAAGUGCAAGUGAAUCAUAAGUGCGGGUAUGUGUGGUUCUCCUUGUCCGACAGUGAUUCAACAGGUAUGUGUGGUUUUCUUCGCCCGGUAAAAGAGAAUAUUGAGCGCUACGGUGCGUGUGGCAUAUUCCCCUCCCACCGGAAAGAUUCCUGACCACCGGUGUGCACAGUUCUUCGCGACCCGUUGGAAGAUGUGGUUUGUGGAUUGAAGGCUGAGGUGUAUGUGAGAGUUCCUUCAUCUCGAGCCUGACAGAGCGCAGAUUAUCUGCGGAUGAUUGACUCAAGAGCGUGUCGAGUGGCAUAGUUGACUAAGGUAAAAGUAACUUUAGGAAAAGAGUGGCAAUGAGCAUAGUGUGGCUAAGGUAAAAUAACCUUAGGAAAGAAUGAGAACGACUAGUAAUAAAAAAUGUCAAAGAAUAAAGAAUUGCAAGUAGUAAAGAAUGGCUAGUAAUAAAGAAUUACAAAUAAUAAAGAAUGACAAAUGAUAGAGGGUAGAAUCAAGUGAUCUACUAGCAUGAGUUGCAUGAUUCGCAUAUAGCAUGUUGUGAGGCAUACGCAUGUAUUUUAAGUACUUGCAUAUAUUAUCUAUGGAUAUCUGUUGUCCUAACAUGUUGCAGUGCCUUCUUUGAACCUGGUGGGUCGAGCUCUUCCCUUGGGUGGCCGUACCCACUGGGAAUUAUCCGUAUAGUUCUCACCCCACGUUGUUUUGGGGGAUUUCAGGUUCACACGCGAGUAGUGUGGCAGCACGAGGAAAUGGCGUACCUCAGUAGAUAGCGCCCUACCACCGAGAUCAGAGAUAGCAGUACCCUGAGUUAGCUUAACUUAGGGAUGUAAAAAUAAAAGCGAAGAACCAAGUUGUAAUAAGUUGUAAUAAUCUUGUUAAAGCUAGAUUGUAUUUGGAAGUUAAAAGGAAGUAAGAAUGUAGUAUGUGAGUUGAAUGUUUGUAAUAGUUAGCAAAUAUAUUUUUGAUACCUUCCUUAUGAAAUUCUUGUUUGAAUGCUGUUCCUGGUUGGAACCUCGCGCAUUGUAUGGAUUGAGACGCCUUGGACGUAUAGGGGAGACUCUGUCCGUUCAGCGGUCUGUCGGCAUGCCUGAACCCGACCAAAUAGGCGGGGUUUGGGGCGUGACAGCUGUGGUUUUGUGCCGGUGGGUGAGCAUACUGUGGCACUACCUGUGGUCUUCAGACCUAUAUGGCGAGGUGUUUCGAUAUCAAUUUCAUACAGUUGAUGCAUUGUCUAUUGUUUACAGUAGCGGUAGGUGAUUAUUGUUGGUCUUAUCUAAAUUUCUUUAUUCGCUAUUGUACAUGAUUAUCUAUCUAUCUCAGUUGUUUUUCUCUUGCUAGUGAGUAUAUUUGCUCUCGUCGGCUUGUGGUGUCCACUGGGAGACCGUUGUUGGUUUCUCGCCCCCCCCAGGUGAUGUUGGUGGUAGGAGUCGGGACGGUGUGUGAGGUGUGGUAGAUAACAAGCUCUAGAGGUCCUGAUAUAUCUGCAUUGAUUAUAGUUAUCUCGAUUUGACCAUUUCCUUUAUGGUUAAUAAAUUAAAAAUUGUGGUUCAGUUAUCUGUGUGUUUGAUUGUCAAUCCAUGAAUAAUCUAUGCUGUGGAUGAUCUUUUAAUUACAUGUAUUUGAAAUAGUAAUUCUUUUGGGAUUCCCGGUGAUAUGUUACUUCGGUUUUAUCAUAUGUGGUUUUCUAUCCCUCGAGGUAUUCAGUAUUUUCGAAAAAUGAGUUUCCAUGUGGGAGACUGUUUUCAAAUGAUUUUACGAUUUUAUCGAUUCUUAGAAUUUCAAAAAAAAUAAGUUUCCAGGUGGAAAACAUUUGUAAAUGAUAGUGUUGAUUGUUGUGGUAAUGUGCAUUUGCAUCAUCCUUUGCUUUGCCUAAGGAGUGUUUGGAGCAUGCAUCAUCGCAAGGAUUGCUAGCUGAUUGAUUAUUGUAAGCAUCUAUAUUGUGAAUGCUGUUUGUGUGUGUAAGGAAGUGAAUUCUCGAAAUACGAGAGUUGAACUUUGUUUAGAAUCGACUGAUUAUCGAUUUGGUACACUUCGGAAAGGCCGAAGGCGUCAAAAAUCCAAAAAGUGCAUUGGUAAGGGCCUCGGAGAGCAAGAUGUGAAAAUCUACAACUUUGCAGAUUUUGCUCUCGGGGACCGGUCCCUGGUGGGAGGGACCGAUUCCCGCAAGCAGUGUGUGCGGCAGAAAACUCUGCGCACAGAGUUUACUAUCGGGGACCGGUCCCUGAUGGGACAGACCGGUCCCCGUACACGUAGAAAGGGAGGCAGAGUCCUCUACCCGCGAGAGUUGCUCUCGGGGAUCGGUCCUUCUAGGGACAGACCGAUUCCCGUGUGUAACAUACCAGAUUUUGGUAUUAAAAUAAAAAUAAAUAAAAAUAGUGUGAAAAACUAUUUUUAUUGGAUUUAGAGAAGUAAAACAUAAGUCAGAAGUGACUUGUGCUGAAAUUGGAAUUAAAACAGAAGAUUUAAAAUUUUCUGUUGAAAACAGGACAGAUAAAUUAGCAGAAAAUGCACAGUCUCAGAAAAUUAUGAAAAUUGGCGGAGAUGUCAGAAAUAUUUUUAUGAGGCUAGAUUUAAAGUUUCAUGUCAUUCUGACACCCGGAAGGUGAAAAAUAAAAUCCCACAGCUAUCUGUUAAAGAUUACAGUUCGGUACAGCUUUCGGUGACCAAACGGGAUCGAAACUGGAAGAGUGAUCGCUACUUUGUUAAGUUAAGUAAAACUGAACGUGCCUGUCAAAUUUGAGCUCAAACGGACAUCCAAAAGGGCUCCGUCAGGACCUAACUGCUAAACAGCCUGGAAUGAAUAGUGUUUGGGGUGUAAUUAAAUAGAAGCAACUUGCUUCUUCUCCCUCAACCAACCAGCCGACCACCCCCCCCCCCAACCGUGCGGCCAUGGUGAGGGAGAGAGAGAGCUCCACUUCUCUCUAAAUAUCUCUCUCAUCUCUCUAGAUCUCUCUCUCAAAUUCGCGGCGUUGGCGGAGAUGUUUGCGAACGCGUUGGAGGCGACGGAUCGAGCUUUCGUGCGCCCGUUGGAAUGGCGUGCUUUCGUCGCGGCGCUCACAUUGUGGUAAACUUUAGGGAUUUGGCUUAAUCCUUAGCUUUAAGUGUUCUAAUAGCCUCUAAUGAGCAUUGUUAGCAUGUUAAAUCCAUUUAAUUUUGGUUAAUUGAAGCAUGUGUAGAGGCUAGGUUUUUAAUGGUAUAUCUUUAGAGCUUCGAUUAUAUGCUUUAAGAAUGAAUUUAGAGAAAUUCUAGGAUGCUAAAUAGAUGGUUAAUGCAUGAUUCAUGAAGUUAAAUGAUGGAUUUUGCUAUACUUGCAUCUAGGGCUCCAAUUUUGGGGUUUUUGUAAAUAGUAGGGUUUGAUCUCAUUUGACCCUCCGUAAACCUAAUUGCUAGGUAAACGAACGCGUUGGCGAAGUCCGUUCUGCGAUCCGUCGAGCCGUUGCGAAGUUAUUAAAGAAACGGACGUUAGGCUUCAUUUUCGCCUAGAGGGCCGAGGUGACGUCAAAAAAAUCAUGAAAAUGGAUUUGAAGGACCGUGGCGCAUAACCGAAGACCUUUAAUUUUCGGAUCAUAGAUUGGAGGCCGUUCGGGUUGUCGUGCAAGAGUCCAGGCCGAACCGGGUUACGGGUGCCGCGGGAGCCCGAUUGCAAGUGUCGACAAGCAAUCGGAAUGUGAUAACAGGUGGGUUGUGUUUACCGAAGCGACUAGGUCGCCUUUAUGUCUAAGAGAAUUAUGAAGUUAUAUUGAUGCAUAUAGUUGCUAAAAGAAUGCAUGUGAUAACGUAAUGUAAAAGAUAAGCAAAUGCUUGAGAUGGUUGCUAUGUAAUAAUUAUCAUAGAAUGCAUGCUAAGUAUGUCAUGAUAAAAUGCUAGAGGCAAGUAUGUGAUUAAUGUUAGUUGGAUGUAUGUCAUAGAAAUGCUAAAGCAAGAAUACUAAAGUAUACAUGAUAAGCCUGAUGAAGUCAUAACAAAUGCAAGCAUGAGGUUAAUGCUUAGAAUAUAGAUGAUGACAUAUUGUGAAGUAACAUAUUGUGGAUUAUAUUAAAUAGAAACAUAUACAUGUUGAUAUGUGUGGACAAUCUAUAUAUAUUAGAUCGAGUGGCAUUAAACCUAGUGUCUUGAACAUAGGUUGAACAAGUAUAGUGUGAACCUAGUGUCAUGAAUCUAGCAAACACUUAUGGCAUUUGAGUAAAUAUAUUUUGUAUCAUUCAUGCAUGAUAGGGCUAUACAUGUGAACCUUGGUUGCUUUCAAUGACAUGUUCUAACGUAGUUGAACAUAGAGAACGGUAGAACCAUAAUGGACAUGUAUGUUAGGCCUAUUAUUGUGUGAAUGUGAGAGUUGGACUUGGACAUUAGCAAACCAAGGUGACAUUGACAAUAGAGACGUUGAUUGGUAUAAAGAACACAGUUGUUAAACAUAGUUUAACCAAGAGUGGCAUUGUGUCAAGAAUGACCAAGAAAGUGGCAAGAAUAAAUAGGUAGAAACCUAUCAUGAGAAAGACAUUGUGGCUAGUGGCUAAGUAUCCUCAAGUUGAGGAUUGGAUCGACACUCACGAUAAGUCUUGGCUUGAGGGAGGAAGCUCCCCCUCAAGCGGUGUGUUUCCGGAAACAGUCACCACGGGGAUAGUGGCCCCGAAGGACGGUCCCUAGGGGAGGUUCGAGGCCCCCUGUUAUGACGGGAUUUUGGGUUGUGAGUUUUUGGGGUUAACAAGUGUUAACCGGUAAGAUUGGGUAAAAGCCAUAGAUUGGGUAUUCCUGUCGAGUGGAUUUUGGGGGCUGAGGUGUAUGUGAGAUGUCCAUUAGCUCGAGCCCGGUUAUAUGCGGUAUUCCGCAGUUGAUUGACUCAAGACCGAGUCGGGUGGCAUAGAUGGUUAGGGUAAAAAUAACUUUAGAAAAGAAUCACCAAUGAGCAAAGUGUGACAAGAAAAUAGAGUAAAGAUUGGCUAAUGAAUAAGAAUAGCUAAUAAAGUAAAGAACGGCUACAAGUAAAGAAUUUACAAGUAGUAAAGAUUGGAUAACGAUAAAGAAUGGUAAUGAUAGAGAGUAAAAAUCCUUUUACCUACUUGCAUGAGCUACAGAAUUUGCAGAAUGUUCAUAUUGCAUAUUGUGAAGCACAACAUGUAUUUCAAUAUUUGUAUAUAUAUAUAUCGGUUGGACUAACAUGUUGCAAUGCUUCCUUGGACCUAUCGGUGGAGCUUUUCCCUUGGGUGGCUGUACCCACUGGGAACCAUGGAGUUGGUUCUCACCCCACGUUGUUUUGGGGUGUUACAAGUUCGCACGUGAGCGGUGCGGCGGCGCAGGCGAGGGCGUAGCUCCAUAGUUAGUGCCCUACCACCGAGACCAGAGAUAGCGGUACCCUGAGUCGGCUUACUUAGGGAUGUAAGAAAAUAAAAAGAAUCAAGUUGUAAUAAUUAUGUAAAAUGAUUGUAUUUGGAAGUUGUAAAUCAAAUUGUAAUUGGGAUGUAAAACUAUGAAUGUGAAUGCAUGUAAUAAUAUAGGAUGUGUUUAUAUUGUUUGAUACCUUCCUUAUGCAAUCAGUGUGUGAAUACUGUUCCUGUUUGGAACCAUUUGUAUUGUACAAGUUGUUGAGCCUUGAAUGUAUAGUGGAGACUCUGUCCGCAGUACAGGAAAAACCCUGUCCAUUCGGCGGUCUGUCGGCGGCGCCGCGACCCGGCCAAAUAGGCGGGUGGUCGCGGGUCGUGACAGAUAAGAUGGUAUUAGAGCAUAAAGAGAACAUAAAAAGAAUAAUAGAAAUGGUUUAGUUGGACGUAGGAGACCCUAGGAUUGUAAACCAUAGGAGAUUAAGGCUCGCGAGAGACGAGGACUUGUGACUUUUGGCGAAAGGUUAAUUGAUUGGGUUGUGUCAUAAACCUCUAUAACGGAUAUUAGAGGUAGAUUCAAGGUGUGGCUUAUUCUCAACCGAGGGUGUUCAUGUUGGACGCGUACAACAUGAAACCGAGUGAUGAGAAUAGACGCCCUUUCGUGACUUUCGCCCGAUUUGAGUCGGUAUUAGUUGUCUCGUAUUCGACCCGGAGGGUCGAGGAUCUAUCAAGUGUCGCGUUUUAGGAAGCGAUAGCGCCGCGUAGGCGAUCUUCGUUUAGAUCGAUGCGGGAUGGGACAAGUUGUCCCUAAGCAAUCCGAAACAAGCGGAGACUUGGGACUUCGCGAGCAGUUGGCCACUCUCGUGUGAGUGGCGGGGUAGUGAGCCAAAUUAGUGCAGUGUCAGCAGAAGGCUGCCAUAUGCCAAAAGGACGCGAAUCCGUUGAUCGUGGAGUUGUGGAUCGACUCCAUGGAGACUCCCUUUGGGGAUCUGUGCACUGUUAAGUGGGCCAAGGUACACCUAGCCCUGCGUUGCGUGCAAACAGUCGGCGAAGGUGUGGUGCACAGGCGUCGAGUCGGAUCGACUGCCUGGUCUCCUUCCUAUGGUUUGGAAUGAGUUUCGGGGAUCAGUAUUCUCCGCUUACUCAUCUGAUGAUGGAAAAGAAAGCUUCAGGAAAGGUUCCCGAAGCUGCGGCAGGUAGACCAUGCCGUGAGGGAAUACGAGCGGGAAUUCUCCCGUGUCGGGAGUUGCAUCUCGGACAUAGUGCGGGAUAAUGAGAACGAAACUCCUUGCAAAAAGGGAGAAUGUAACGUACCGAAAACACGGUAAAUAAAUGUCGAACCUUGGUCAAAUUGACCAGAGUGCGAGGUUGGUCCAUUUCGGAAAGGCCGAAGGUGUCAAAUGAUGCAAAAGUGCAUUAUUUGGGGAUCUUCGAGAGCGAACGAGUCAAUCUGCCAAAACUGCAGGUUCUAUGCUCUCGGAGACCGGUCCCAUGUGGGUGAGGCCAGUUUCCCAAUGCGCAGGCAGCAACCCGAGAGGAGGUGUUGGCUCGGUCUGGGAAAAUCAGCUCUCGGAGCCCGGUCCCAACAGGUCGAGACCGGUCUCCAGGGACCGGUUGCACCAGGUGAGACCGGUUGCAUCAUGCGCAAGCUGCGCAGUCCGCGGGUGGAGCUCUCAGAGACCGGUCUUAGGUCGGAGAGACCGGUCCCCCACCGUGAGAUUUGCCCAGUUUGGGGCAGUGCACAUUCUCGAGUGCUGUUGCAUUCCCGAGCCUCAGAGGUUUUCUUUGUUGACUUCUUCAAGAUACGAGAAUUGCAGAAGUUUUCGUCAGGCGCGGUGGGGUGCGCUGCGCGAUGAGAUAUGCACUCGUGUGGACGGUUACUGGGCCGUGACGUUGGCGACGGCCUUUUCUUCUCUGAGACGGCUUGUGGGCGUGUCACCUACAGUACGGUCUGGAGAGUGAGUUAUGAGAAUGUGGCGAACGAAGGGUUGGCGGUGGGCACUGAGUGGCCAUGAGUACGCGACCCUGGUCGAGGAACCUUGCAUGCAUUUAUCAUGCGGUCACUUACUACCGUUGAUACGUCAGAGCAGUAGGAACUAAGUGGACGGGUAAGUGUAAAUACCUGAGUAGCCCGAGUAGUAAGGAUAGCGUUCCGGUAGAUCGAACAGUGAAAGUAAGAUCACUGUUGAGAGAAUAGCUGAUUAGUUGCCGAGUACGGGCAUGUGAGGCCUUGUGGUACCUCGAAUUGAGGUAGGAGAGUAGUGCUCGUGGGAUCAACGUGCAUAGGCAUGGUUGCCUGAUGCUUGACUCAAUGUGGGACGCUAUAGAGACGUGUAGAGCGCUCGAGUGUGGAUACUCGUAGAGUGCGAUUUCGAUUCAGCCGGGAGAGUGAGUUGGCAGUAGCACUUUAGCAUUGCUAAAUGUGAAGCGGACCAUGGAUCACUUGUAGGGCUGGUGGCUCGCACUAGGUGCUUAGGAGCCGAGAGUGGUACGCGUGACUCGAUACAGUAUGUCGUGUAGGACGACGACGACGGGUAGUGCUUGCGGACGACCCGUGCCUGGACCACAUGUGGACUGUGGAGCCUGGGCCCUUCGAGCAGGCGCAGUCAGCUGUGAGAGACAGCGGCCCGGUACCUACUGGUAGGAAGGAAUUUUGGUCAGGGCUGUAGUCCGAGCUUAGACCCGGAGCAUGGAGUGCCACGUGUUGGAUUUUGAGAUCGAGGAUAUACCGAGAGUUCAGUUGUGACCCAACCCAAGGAUUUAUAGUGGUUUGGGGUCCUGGUUGCUCCUGAUUGGAGUGUGUACGAAUUCCUAAAUGAGAAUUUCGCCCGAUUAUGAUUGGGUCUGCGCUUGAGAGCGAGAGACGGUACGGGUAUCGAGACACGAUAGGCGGCGGGCCUACAUAGGAUCGGUGGCCUUCGGUCUACUUAUGAAGACCAAAGUGAGCGUUAUGGUCGAUAACUCUGUGGAUGAGUUUGGCUUGUAUUAGCGAACAGAGGGCUCGUAUGAAUUCGUUGUAAGAACGAAUUGGUUGGUCAUGGCAAUGAAAACAGAAAGUAAGUGGUCUCUUUGAGAUACUUGAGUAUUGGAUAGCCACGCGAGAAAUGACGUAAAGCUUUCUUGAGGAUUGAGAUGUGCCGGAGUGUGCCAUGUCGUAGUAGAGCAAGAUUCGGUUGAGAUUGGAGCUCUCACAGUGAAGCGAUGCACCGGUGAUAUUGCUUCUAAGCAAUGUCGAUAACUGAGUCGGAAUGAAAUUCCUAAAGGAAAGGUGAAUGCAAAGAAGAGUUCUUUGUGUAACGAAUGGCGAGUGGCGUUGGAGCGCGUAGAGUCGUCGAGUACCGACUUGCGCUGCCACUAUGACUUGUAAGACCUGUGAUGCACUUUUGUAUCACGCUUUGCAAGUGACUUUAGGAUUAAACCCACGUCCUUCAGUAUGAGCCGCUUCUUGAACCACGAUUGUGUGAAGCCGCUUUGGAGUGGGAGAAUGAGUUGGGGCCCUCGAUUGCUCAAGGAGCUAAAUUGAGGCGUGGUUUGAAUUUCGCGGACGAAAUUCUUUUUAAGGGGUGGAGAAUGUAACAUACCAGAUUUUGGUAUUAAAGUAUAAAUAAAUAAAAAUAGUGUGAAAAACUAUUUUUAUUGAAUUUAGAGAAGUAAAACAUAAGUCAGAAGUGGCUUGUGCCGAAAUCGGAAUUAAAACAGAAGAUUUAGAAUUUUCUGUUGGAAACGGGAUAGAUAAAUUAGCAGAAAAUGCACAGUCUCAGAAAAUUAUGAAAAUUGGCGGAGAUGUCAGAAAUAUUUUUAUGAGGCUAGAUUUAAAGUUUCAUGUCAUUCUGACACUUAGAAGGUGGAAAAUAAAAUCCCACAGCUAUCUGUUAAAGAUUACAGUUCGGUACAGCUUUCGGUGACCAAACGGGGUCGAAACUGGAAGAGUGAUCGCUACUUUGUUAAGUUAAGUAAAAUCGAACGUGCCUGUCAAAUUUGAGCUCAAACGGACAUCCAGAAGGGCUCCGUCGGGACCGAACUGCUAAACAGCCUGGAAUGAAUAGUGUUUAGGGUGUAAUUAAAUAGAAGCAACUUGCUUCUUCUCCCUCAACCGACCAGCCGACCACCCCCCCCAACCGUGCGACCAUGGUGAGGGAGAGAGAGAGCUCCACUUCUCUCUAAAUAUCUCUCUUAUUUCUCUAGAUCUCUCUCUCAAAUUCGCGGCGUUGGCGGAGAAGAGGCUUGCGAACGCGUUGGAGGCGACGAAUCGAGCUUUCGUGCGCCCGUUGGAGCGGCGUGCUUUCGUCGCGGCGCUCACAUUGUGGUAAGCUUUAGGGAUUUGGCUUAAUCCUUAGCUUUAAGUGUUCUAAUAGCCUCUAAUGAGUAUUGUUAGCAUGUUAAAUCCAUUUUAUUUGGGUUAAUUGAAGCAUGUGUAGAGGCUAAGUUCUUAAUGGUAUAUCUUUAGAGGUUUGAUUAUAUGCUCUAAGAAUGGAUUUAGAGGAAUUCUAGGAUGCUAAAUAGAUGGUUAAUGCAUGAUUCAUGAAGUAAAAUGAUGGAUUUUGCUAUACUUGCAUCUAGGGCUCCAAUUUUGGGAUUUUUGUAAAUAGUAGGGUUUGAUCUCAUUUGACCCUUCGUAAACCUAAUUGCUAGGUAAACGAACGCGUUGGCAAAGUCGGUUCGGCGAUCCGUCGAGCCGUUGCGAAGUUAUUAAAGAAACGGACGUUAGGCUUCGUUUUCGCCUAGAGGGCUGAGGCGACGUCAAAAAAAUCAUGAAAAUGGAUUUGAAGCACCGUGGCGCAUAAUCGAAGAACUUUAAUUUUCGGAUCGUGGAUUGAAGGCCGUUCGGGUUGUCGCGCGAGAGUCCGGGCCAACCGGGUUACGGGUGCCGCGGGAGCCCGAUUGCAAGUGCCGACAAGCAAUCGGAAUGCGAUAACAGGUGGGUUGUGUUUACCGAAGCGACUAGGUCGCCUUUAUGUCUAAGAGAAUUAUGAAGUUAUAUUGAUGCAUAUAGUUGCUAAAAGAAUGCAUGUGAUAACGUAAUGUAAAAGAUAAGCAAAUGCUUGAGAUGGUUGCUAUGUAAUAAUUAUCAUAGAAUGCAUGCUAAGUAUGUCAUGAUAAAAUGCUAGAGGCAAGCAUGUGAUUAAUGUUAGUUGGAUGUAUGUCAUAGAAAUGCUAAAGCAAGAAUACUAAAGUAUACAUGAUAAGCAUGAUGAAGUCAUAACAAAUGCAAGCAUGAGGUUAAUGCUAAGAAUAUAGAUGAUGACAUAUUGUGAAGUAACAUAUUGUGGAUUAUGUUAAAUAGAAACAUAUACAUGUUGAUAUGUGUGGACAAUCUAUAUAUAUUAGAUCGAGUGGCAUUAAACCUAGUGUCUUGAACAUAGGUUGAACAAGUAUAGUGUGAACCUAGUGUCAUGAAUCUAGCAAACACUUAUGGCAUUUGAGUAAAUAUAUUUUGUAUCAUUCAUGUGUGAUAGGGCUAUGUACAUGUGAACCUUGGUUGCUUUCAAUGACAUGUUCUAACGUAGUUGAACAUAGAGAACGGUAGAACCAUAAUGGACAUGUAUGUUAGGCCUAUUAUUGUGUGAAUGUAAGAGUUGGACUUGGACAUUAGCGAACCAAGGUGACAUUGACAAUAGAGACGUUGAUUGGUAUAAAGAACACAGUUGUUAAAUAUAGUUUAACCAAGAGUGGCAUUGUGUCAAGAAUGACCUAGAAAGUGGCAAGAAUAAAUAGGUAGAAACCUAUCAUGACAAAGACAUUGUGGCUAGUGGCUAAGUAUCCUCAAGUUGAGGAUUGGAUCGACACUCACGAUAAGUCUUGGCUUGAGGGAGGUAGCUCCCCCUCAAGCGGUGUGUUUCCGGAAACAGUCACCACGGGGAUAGUGGCCCCGAAGGACGGUCCCUAGGGGAGGUUCGAGGCCCCCUGUUAUGACGGGAUUUUGGGUUGUGAGUUUUUGGGGUUAACAAGUGUUAACCGGUAAGAUUGGGUAAAAGCCAUAGAUUGGGUAUUCCUGUCGAGUGGAUUUUGGGGGCUGAGGUGUAUGUGAGAUGUCCAUUAGCUCGAGCCCGGUUAUAUGCGGUAUUCCGCAGUUGAUUGACUCAAGACCGAGUCGGGUGGCAUAGAUGGUUAGGGUAAAAAUAACCUUAGAAAAGAAUCACCAAUGAGCAAAGUGUGACAAGAAAAUAGAGUAAAGAUUGGCUAAUGAAUAAGAAUAGAUAAUAAAGUAAAGAACGGCUACAAGUAAAGAAUUUACAAGUAGUAAAGAUUGGAUAACGAUAAAGAAUGGUAAUGAUAGAGAGUAAAAAUCCUUUUACCUACUUGCAUGAGCUACAUAAUUUGCAGAAUGUUCAUAUUGCAUAUUGUGAAGCACAACAUGUAUUUCAAUAUUUGUAUAUAUAUAUCGGUUGGACUAACAUGUUGCAAUGCUUCCUUGGACCUAUCGGUCGAGCUUUUCCCUUGGGUGGCCGUACCCACUAGGAACCAUGGAGUUGGUUCUCACCCCACGUUGUUUUGGGGUGUUACAGGUUCGCACGUGAGUGGCGCGGCGGCGCGAGGCGAGGGCGUAGCUCCAUAGUUAGCGCCCUACCACCGAGACCAGAGAUAGCGGUACCCUGAGUCGACUUACUUAGGGAUUUAAGAAAAUGAAAAGAAUCAAUAGUAAUAAUUAUGUAAAAUGAUUGUAUUUGGAAGUUGUAAAUCAAGUUGUAAUUGGGAUGUAAAACUAUGAAUGUGAAUGCAUGUAAUAACAUAGGAUGUGUUUAUGUUGUUUGAUACCUUCCUUAUGCAAUCAGUGUAUGAAUACUGUUCCUGUUUGGAACCAUUUGUAUUGUACAGGUUGUUGAGCCUUUAAUGUACAGGGGAGACUCUGUCCGCAGUACAGGGGAAACCCUGUCCAUUCGGUGGUCUGUUGGCGGUGCCGCGACCCGGCCAAAUAGGCGGGUGGUCGCGGGUCGUGACACCGUGCCUGAAAACUUGCAGUCUGGGCAGGGCAAGAGAGGCAAAGUGGGGGGGUGUAAUAGCAAUUGGAGCACUUAUGAAGGGGUAUAGAGGGGAAAUGAGCCAUCUCCUCCUCAUUUCUCUCCCAACACACUCACUCUCUCUCUCUCUAAACUCUCUCCCUCUCUCUUUAGAAGGUGAAGAAGGAGGAGAUUUUGGUGGAGGAGCAAGCAAGGAGAAGGCCUAGCAUCAUCUUCUUCCUCCUCUCCACCAUUGGAGCUAGCACCUUAAGGUAAGCUCAAAGAGCUUUCAUGGUAGAACCCUAUAGUUGGAUUUUUAUCCUCUAGAAAUGGUUUUAUUGGAACCCUAGCUUCUCUACUAGGUGGGUUAUGCAUGAAUCUAGAGCUUCAUUGAGGGAUUCUUGCUAGUUGUAAACCUAGGGCUCCAAAUUGGGGUUUUUGGAAAUAGAGGGUUUUGAUCUAAAUUGAUCGUGUAUUAACCUAAUUGCUAGUUGUUUAAACGCGUUGACGAAGACGGUUCGUCGAUUCGUCGAGCGGGUGCGAAGAUAUCGCCGAAACGAGUGUUCGUGGGUUUGUAUUGACCCGAGGAGUUGAAGCGGCGACCGAAGAUCGCGAAAUCGAGUACCUAGCCUCGCAACAUUACCCAAAGGUGGGGGGUGUCAUCCCGAAGCAACCGGGCUUCUCCCUAUGUCUAAGUACUUAUGUGUCGAUCAUAUUCCAUAUGUGAAUCUCAUGCAUGAUAGGGUGUUUAGAUGUUACAUUUACUAUUCUUACAUUCUCCCUUAUAAUGCGGCAUAGUAGGCUUGGCAUGUGCACUUAGGGUGCAUGAGAAUGAGUUGUGGUGACAUAGAACUCUAUAGAGAUAAGUUAAAUAGAAACUUGAUCUUGCAUUGAUGAAUAUGAUGAUAUAUGACCAGUGUAGUCGAGACAUUGCAUCAUGACGAGUGGCAUGUGAACUAAGUAAACAACUUGACGAGUGGCAUUAGAGCUUAGUGUUAAAAGAAUACUUGUGUCAUGAUGACCCUAGUGGCAGGGUAUCCUCAGUGGACGAGGAUUGGAUUAUACUCACAUGGUCUGUUCAGCGCUUGUGGCGGUCGCUCCGCACAGGUAGUGCACUCCGGAGUUGGCACGUGAAAGAUUGGGAUAGCCUAUGUAGGGUCCCAAGGGAUAGCUUAUGUGGGGUCCCGCAGACAGUCCCUUGGGUGGUUCGAGUCCCCCAUUAAAGACAGAUUUGAGAUGUGAAUCGUGGGCACGCCUAUGGGCCAGCCAGAGGAUUCGAUAAUAAACUCAAGAGAAUUGUGCAAUUUGAGCAUACUGAGCAUAGUAGAGUUGCAUUCAUGCUUGAUAGAGUUAUAGUAGCAUGUUAGUGUUUACAUGGCUAUGUUGGUUACUCUUGUUUCUCAAGGCAUAGUAGAAUAGUGCAAUUCUUUCAAUAUGCAUCAUUUACAGCUUUACAUAUCUAUCUAUCUAUCUGUCUAUUCCUGCUUAGACCUAGUGGGGAGAUCGGCGGAGUCGGCGGCCGAACUCAUUGGGAACUAUGGACAAUAGUUCUCACCCCACUUUGUUGCAUGGCCGAGUUCGAGUACUCCCGGCGAGGACCGCGGUAAGGGCAUCGCGCCCUAGUUUAGUAGCAGCUCUCCUAUGCAUUAGAGUACCUAUGUACCUUGGGAUAUUGGUGUAUUAAGUAGGGAGUUACAUGUAUUUUGGGAUUAUACUAGUUACCAGAAACUUGUAUAUAUUCAUUUUGGAAGUUACAAAUGUAAACCGAUGUAAAUGAAUGGUUGAAUGGAUGUAAUAAAUAGAUGUAUCUCUCUUUGUUCACUUGUAUCAUUACUUAUGUCUUGCUCUUACUUUGUUAGCACUUGUGGUGCUUCGCAUUUGAUCAUGUAUGUUUAUUAAGCAUGUUCCUGGAAGCUUGAUUGUACUUGAUCAUGUUGUUGAGCCUGGGGCGGACAGGGGAGGUGCUGUCUGUCCGGCAUAUGCUCGACGCGCCCGAACCGAACCAAAUGUGUAGCGAUCUCGAGGCGUGACAGUGUGACCGAAUAAUAGUGUUGCAACACUUACGUAGUAGUACGCCGUGCAAAUAUAGGGAAGACUCUAUCUGGGUAGACAAGAAAAAAUUUGGAUUUGUGGCGGGUCUGUUCUGUCUCGUGGCAAGUUGUAUUUCAAAAAACAAAUUGAGGCAUUUUUCACUUGCUUUACUUUCGAACUGGAUUUUUCUUUGAAAAAGCUUUACAAAAUAGGCCCCGGGGCAUGACAGAAAGCUUUGCAAAACCUUCUACAAAUCGAUGAUAAUAACCAGCCAACACUAGAAAACUCUGCAACUCAGAAACACAUAACACUGUAGAUAUAUAAUCAUAAUCACACUAAUCCUUGAAAUAGUAUAACAUCUUUGGCCACUCCAAACCUCAAAACACUAUACAGGUGGUCCAAUACUACACACGCAAAAAUAGUAGAAAAUGGUAAUUAUCCAUGAUUCCCUUGCCUCAAUCAGUCGUUGGUGCUGAACGCUCUGUAAUAAAAUAUUGAUAAAAAAGGUCUAAGAACUAUAAGCAAGUCCCUAGCGGGUAUGGUCGACAAUGCCGCCGGUCUACAUGCACUACUAGAAAUAGUAAAUAACUGUGCAGUAUAAAUGAAUAGGUAAUAAUAUGAACAAUUGCUGAAAAUAAUUACUGCUAUCCUACCUCUAUAAUAUAACUAAAAACGGUAAAUUUUGUAUUUCAUGCAUCAAUUAGAUACUGAAUAAAAUAAUGCAGUAAUGCCCAAUCAUAGUGACCGACUCAACAGUCAGAUCUAGCCUGCGCCGCCUCGUGCCCAGCACCCACCUAUAGUGGUAUGUUAUCACACAGGCUACUGUCUGGCCCAUGCUAUAAUAAUACUUCAUAGCCUGACCACUGGAGUGGCGCUUACAGGAUGCUAUCCCAACCGAGUAUAGUAUCACUAUCAAGUUCAAAAUGGUAUGCAGGCUAUAGUCAAAUACGCUGAUCAAAUAUAUCAUGAUGAUACUUUUAUAGUAUCCCGAAUACACUUAUAGUCUCAAACUAUCUGCCGCUGUCUAUUGGUUUUUAGGGUAAUAUCACAUAAUACUAAUAAUGAAAAAAAUGCAUAUCUCAAUAUACUCUACAGGUAGGUGUCAAAAUAUCACUAUUAUCUCAAUUAUGUCAACAGUUCAUCUCAUAGACUAAAUAAUAUAAUCUAGAAAAGGGAUAAUUGCCUAUAUAUGAUGUAUUUUUGAAAGGAUGAGUUUUUGAAAGGGGAAGAUAUUUUUAACUUCGACGCAUGAACAGAGGGGGAGAUUUUUUUAACUUUGUUUAUUACUUACUUUGUUCGUUGGAGAGAGUAAUAUUUUUGCAGAUUUUUGAAGACGUUAAGACUCCUUGUGUCUAAGUCAUAGAGUUUGUUUAGGAGUUGCAAAAUUGUAAUUUUGUAUUUUCUUUGGAUCUUUCACGCGAGAAGUUCAUUGUUUUGGUGAUGGCAAUGAAUUUCGAUUUUUGACUUUUGGAGUGUUGAGUGUUGUGAGUAUUUUGAUGUAUUUUUGAGUUUUGUCACCAAAUUGCCAAAAGGGGAGAUUGUUACGGAUUUUAAGUCGACAUACUUCACGAAAUAUGCCAACUUAAAAUCCGUAACAAUCUCCCCCUUCGGCAAUUUCGUGACAAAACUCAAAAAUAUAUCAAAAUACUCAAACACUCAACUCUCCAAAAGUCAAAAAUCGAAAUUCAUUGCCAUCACCAAAACAAUGAACUUCUCGCGUGAAAGAUCCAAAGAAAAUACAAAAUUAUAAUUUUGCAACUCUAUUGUAAGUUUUGGGGGUGCCCAAGGAUCUAUCUAGAUUGUAUCUAACACCUAGAGGGGGGGUGAAUAGGUGUAAAAAUUGAAAAACCACAAAUCUCGAUGCGAUAAAAAAUAAAUGCGAAAAAUAAAAGGCACACCGAGAUUUACGUGGGAAAACUCUAACUCGGAGUUAAAAACCCACGGGACCAACAUGCGAUAACAAUCCACUAAGAAUAAAAGAUUACAAGGUGAUUUACCGAAUCCAUUGACUCAAACCUCUCUUUUAUCUCCUUUGGAUCUCGCGCACACCAACGGGUUGUCCACGCCCCACGUCCGACUCCACGAACGCUACGUCCCGAAUCCACGAAACGCCAACACUUCGAAUCCACGAAGCCUCGAACACGUCGAAUCCACGAGUGCACUCCGUCCGGAGCAAGAACAAUACGAUCGAUGAUGAUUUAUUGCUUAGAUUAUCAUUAAAGAACCGUAGAAGAUAUUUCUAAGCAAUAGUUGGAUCAAUUCGCCAUGAAGAACGAGAAAUUAGGGUUACACGAAUUAAACCGAUAGAAACUUGUUGUUGGAUAGAAGAAAGAAAGCACCUAACAAGUUUCUACGGUUUUGAAAAGAUAUUCUAUGCUUCACCGUUGAUUAGAAACACCUCUACAUCUUAUUUAUAGGUUUAGAAUACUUAGAGAUAGACUAGGAUUUGAAAACCUGAUUUUUAAAACCAAUUAUAAGACUUAGAUAGACUAGGAUUUGAAAACCUGAUUUUUAAAACCAAUUAGAAGACUUAGAUAGACUAGGAUUUUAAAAAAUACAAUUUUAAAAACUGACGACGUCCUUAGGGACCGGUCCUUUUGAGGAGACCGGUCUUUGGGAGACCGAACUCUCAAGUUGGAGACCGGUCCCUCGUUGCGUGCCUGAAAAUCCAAGCUUCGGGAACCGGUCUCUCAGCACAGGGACCGGUACCUUGCUGCGUGCCAGAAAACUGAAGCUUCGGGAACCGGUCUCUCAUCUCAGGGACCGGUUGCCUCAACUUGUCACACAACGAGGACCUUCAGGGACCAGUCUCUCAUUUCAGGGAUCGGUCUCUGAACACUGAAAAGUUCAGAUAUUAUAUUUUGAAACAAUCCUAAAUCUUCCAAACACUUUUAAAUGUUUAUAAAUCAUCAUCAACAGUAUUUAAACUUACCGAGCAUUGUGGAUCUGUGUUUUGAGUUCUCAAGUCUUUGAUCUUUAUCUUUUCUUCUCUAAACCUUCAAGACUCUGACAUACUUUAUGAAAUAUGCCAACUUAAAAUCCGUAACAAUUUCCCCCUUUGGUAAUUUCGUGACUGUAAGGGCUGAGAUUUUGACAGUGCAACUAAACUCUCUGUGGACGAUGUUUUAGUGUGUAAUUUAAUUACAUAAGCACUCAUCAAGUUUCAGGGGAAAAUGAGCUAGAAUGGAGAAGUUACGCGAUUAUUAGUUUUCACUUAAAGUGAAUAGUAACUCGGUUUUUCGGUGAAGCCACGGAGUAGAAUUUGCUUUUGGCGCGUAUUGGACUCCGAUCAAAGGACUCCAAUAGCUCGUUUCGACUGGUUCAGCUAUUCUGGAACUAAUGGCACUGACAGAAUUGGAUUCUGAUGCACGGUUUUCGAGAAAAGGGAGUUUUAUCAAAAAGCAGGUUUUCGCUCUUUGCUAUUCUUGCAUUAUGGAACCCCUCGUGAUCUAUGUAUGUGAUCUGGAGUUGAGUAAAGGCUGUUUCGGGUACCUACUAGUGGUAGGGAAGUCUAAUUCGAAUUCGAAUUUAAGGUUUAUUGGGUUUACACAAUUGUGCUACUGUGGUGUUUGGAUUUUUGGAGAAGAGGAUGGGUUUUGUCGCAAAUCGGCCACCAAGCUUGAUGAAACGAAAUUGUAGUUUUGAUGCUCUCGUUGUGCUGAACGCGAUGGUGCUGUCGGAUUGAAAAUCUGACGGAUGGAUCUCCUAAUAUCGCACGAUUAUCGAGGAAGGGUCACAAGUGGAGAAACGGUAUGUCCGCGAAAACUAUUAUAUUUUAUGUGUCGAUUCGCGCGAGAUUGGAAGUGGAGGUACGUAUUUACAAAACACAUGCGCUGGUUGGGACUUUGAUGAAAAUAUUCAAACAUGGAGGACUUUGGUGCAAAGUGGCAUAUGGUAUAUAAUAUGCCUCUAGGGUUUCUUUGCACAAAACCCUAGAUCCGGCCGACCGAAUCCUCCAGCUAUGCCCUAAAUAGCUUCAGCAGGUCCUUGCCCAACCCAUGCUCGCACCCUGGCCACCGGCAGGUGCUCCGGCCGUCGGAAAAUUGGAACCCGGCCACCCUUCAAGAUAUCUCUGUCCACCUUGCCUCCAUCUCGGCCAGGGAACAACUAAAACCCAUAGGACUCCCCCUCUGGCCGAGACCCGUCUCCAGCAGCAUCGCCGCCGGCCGCCGCCGCCCUUCGAGCAGCCGGCGCAACCUGGGAGAUCCGCGACCACCCACAGUUAGCCCUGACUGGGCACCGGUGAGGUUGUGGCCCGCGAGCCAUCACUGCCAUGGAACGGUCGCGCCGUCCUCCCACCACCUUCUGCGAUCUUCCGCUCGCCGCCUCUCGCCAUCCCCGUGGCUGCCGGCCGCCGGGAGAGCUCUCUGCGGCCGUCCAAAAUGCGUGCGGGCCAUGCAAGGGCCCGUACUAUUUCCGACUGCCACCGCCGCCCACCGUCGGGUGCCUCGCCCUCCCCUCGACCUCCCGCGACGGAUCGGCGUCGCCCCGACCUCCUCCGGCCGCCGCUGCGCCGCCGGGAAGCCUUGAACCCGAGAGCAUGUGAAUGGUUGGAUCUCAGCCACCGCGCCACCGGCCGCCGCCCGCCGCCGGCCAGCACCUGCCUUGGACUCCUCCGACCGGCCGCACCCGUACCCGGCCGAUGCGCCCGCCGCCGGCCGUGCCCUAGCUCCACCCUAUCCGGUAAACUAUUUUCAGCCUGUCUGCGCACUAGUUUUCUGUUUGGAUCACUGUUCCGGCGGCCCGGGGCUGUCCCGAUGCCUCCGGAGGUGAGCACAGUGAUCGUCAGUCAGUGCUGAUCACAAUGCUCACCUCACUUUGCGUCAGUGAGCUUCGGAUGAGUUAAUUAGAGGUGUUUUAGUUUCAGUGCGCGCUGUUUCGCUGAACUUCGUGUCGCUCGUGCGCUUCCCACAGUGGCCGAAAUUGCUCUGAAAGGUGAGCACGGCCUUCGGCACGCCGAGACCUGUCAGCGGGUGUCUCGGCUUGGCCGAAUGAUCCCUGGUUUACGAUGUCGAACUUGAUAAAACUCAUUUUUCUCAAAAACCGUGCAUCAGAAUCUAAUUCUGUCAGUGCCAUUGGUUCCAGAAUAGCUGAACUGUUCGAAACGAGCUAUUGGAGUCCUAUGAUCGGAGUCCAAUACGCGCCAGAAGCAAAUUCUACUCCGUGGCUUCACCGAAAAACCGGGUUAGUAUUCACUUCAAGUGAAAACUAAUAAUCGCAUAACUUCUCCAUUCUAGCUCAUUUUCUCCUGAAACUUGACGAGUGCUUAUGUAAUUAAAUUACACACAUAAACAUCAUUAACAGAGAGUUUAGUUGUACUGUCAAAAUCUCAGUCCUUACAUUAUCCCUCCCUUAAAAGAAGUUUCGUCCCCGAAACUUAACCACAUACCCAUCAUCAUCGAAUAAAACUUUGCUCCACCAAUGUGAUAUCACCCUGGGGUACUAAUCAGUCACAAUUUCCUUGAAUCUGGGCAAAUCAAUCUUCAAUUAAGGGGAGAAUAGAACUGCGGUUACAUUUGGAUGAGACUAACCCAAAAUCUUCGCACAAGCUGGUGUCUCAGUCGGGAGUAGUGGCGGUGUUCCUUUUGGAUAUUGAGUUGUGGGACGGUGUUCCCCAGGUGUUUCCACUCCUGUCAAGUGGGGCCUUGAAGGGCCAGGUGAUCUUCGGCUUAGGCGAGUGUUUUAACUGCCGACGCCCAGGCCACUCUUCCAACUAAGGGCACGAGAGCUACUGCGAGUGUCUCUACGGAGACGGUACAUAGACCAGUUACGGUCACGACUUCAGUGGGGCUACUAGGGUGUAGCCCAGGGUUUGGUUAGCGGUCGUUUAGGCGACUGCAUUGUUAGUGUUGCUUCCGCAGAUCUUUGGGUAGGGUUGUGAGCCUACAUCUCCUCCUUAAUUGCUGAUGAAUUUAGCGAUUUGGGUCUUUUGACCUUGAACUAGUUCUUUUGUCAAAUUGACGUGUACUAGAGUCGGAUUGACACAGUUUUGGUGUCAGGUUUCCGUUGAGGUAUACAACGUAUGUGGUUAUUCUAACACCUAAAUUGGUGUGUUGUGGGUUAGUUUGUAGUUGGUGAUAGGUUUCGUCUUGAUUUAAGAGACUCCAGGUUAUCGUUGGAAUUCUCGGAGCUUUGAUUAUGGUACGGUUGUGGUGCGGAAAUCGGUUAGAGGAACCGUUUCCUAAAGUCUCAGUUUGUGCGGUUCGUGGCUUAGUACCACUAACAGCUUUCGGAUGUUGAAAGUUAUAGGAUUCCCUGUGAGUCGAUUCAGGUUCGUUCUGAUUUCGAAUGUUGACUUGUAAAGUCAAUGUUUCGAUAGUAAUGGUUGUGAACUCUUGGUUCAGCGAAGAAGUAUCAAGUGGCUUGAUACUUUGACGUGUCGUGCUUCCAGCUUGUUGUUGGUAGUAGAUCUUCGGUAUUUCAUUUUCUUUUGAUAAGUACAUUGGCUGCAGACAAUGUACCGUCGAAAGUUUGGAUGAAAUACCUCUCCUAUUUGGGACUCAUGGAUUGGGUCGGUAUUUCCUUUCUCUAGGCUGUCUUGUUGGAAAAGCUAGAGUGAUGGUCAUCUCUGACCAUGUGACGAGCCUUGGGUUAUUCCCUGGCAGGUUUUGCGCAGUUGAUUUAUCGUCACUGCUGAUGAUUUUGACCCUUGUUCGAGUCUAGGUUAGCGUUGGUUUUAUUGUUGUGCCUUCCUCAGCUAAAAGGUUUGGUUAUUUAGUAGUCUCGGUCUGUUUGUCGAGAGGUUCGGAAUCUCAGUUGUUGAGUUACUUGAGCCUGGUUGUCGGCUAUGAUUGUCACCGUAUGUGAUAGCGUUUAGGGUUUGCGACUCGGCGUGUCGUGUAAACCCGGGAUUGGUAUGCUUGUCCGGUUAACUGGUGACAGGUGCGCCUGGGUCUCAAUGAGACAGGUAAUUGGGUGUUGCUGGGAACAUCGAUCGUUAGGGUCCCUUGUAGGACGGCAACGACAGGGUCUCGUAGAGACAGGUGUUGAGCAUCACCGAUGGUUGUUAUCGCAUGUGCGAUUGGCGACCUGUGCAUCAAAGGAUGGACUUGCAAAGAGCUUUUGGUGGUCUGUUGGUACCGGAUUAGGUUUGAGGAGACAAAAUUGUCUAGCUCAAUUGGUAUUGUCGGUUGGAUCUUUUGGUCAGGUGGAAAGUGAGGUCUUGGACCUAGGACUAUAGAUUGUCGCAGGUGACUUUCCGUUGAUGGAGGUUUUGGCAGUUUGUGUGGUUACUGGUGGGAAACUGUGGUCUCCAAGGUGAGAGUUUUGACUCAGAUCUUAGAACAACGUUUUGUGUUCGCUCGUGGUGAGCAGGUUGAUAUUGUUGGCUAGUCGGAGUGUAUCAUCGUGACCUACGAAACCACUCCAGACUUGUGGUGUUGUUCCGUGACUUUUCUACGUGAACAUUCGACGUAGUCGAGUCGGUUACUGCUAUGCAGACCAAGGUUGAGUGGACCUAAAGUUUCUGAGUGGUGAAUUAUUAUCUCAGAAUUGGUAAUUUGGGAUCAUAUAAUCCUGGUCGCGGGACUAUUUUUGUCCGCAGGUUAUAGGAUGGUGUUGAUCCCGAUAGGUCCCGAUCCAUAGAUUUUGGGUUAGUCUCAUCCAAAUGUAACCGCAAUUCUAUUCUCCCCUUAAUUGAAGAUUGAUUUGCCCAGAUUCAAGGAAAUUGUGAUUGAUUAGUACCCCAGGGUGAUAUCACAUUGGUGGAGCAAAGUUUUAUUCGAUGAUGAUGGGUACGUGGUUAAGUUUCGGGGACGAAACUUCUUUUAAGGGAGGGAUAAUGUAAGGACUGAGAUUUUGACAGUGCAACUAAACUCUAUGUUGACGAUGUUUAUGUGUGUAAUUUAAUUACAUAAGCACUCGUCAAGUUUCAGGGGAAAAUGAGCUAGAAUGGAGAAGUUACGCGAUUAUUAGUUUUCACUUAAAGUGAAUAGUAACCUGGUUUUUUGGUGAAGCCACGGAGUAGAAUUUGCUUCUGGUGCAUAUUGGACUCCGAUCAUAGGAUUCCAAUAGCUCGUUUCUACCGGUUCAGCUAUUCUGGAACCAAUGGCACUAACAGAAUUGGAUUUUGAUGCACGGUUUUCGAGAAAAGGGAGUUUUAUCAAAAAGCAGGUUUUCGCUCUUUGCUAUUCUUGCAUUAUGGAACCCCUCGUGAUCUAUGUAUGUGAUCUGGAGUUGAGUAAAGGCUGUUUUGGGUACCUACUAGUGGUAGGGAAGUCUAAUUCGAAUUCGAAUUUAAGGUUUAUUGGGUUUACACAAUUGUGCUAGUGUGGUGUUUGGAUUUUUGGAGAAGAGGUUGGGUUUUGUCGCAAAUCGGCAACCAAACUUGAUGAAACGAAAUUGUAGUUUUGAUGCUCUCGUCGUGUUGAACGCGAUGGUGUGGUCGGAUUGAAAAUCUGACGGACGGAUCUCCUAAUAUCGUACUAUUAUCGAGGAAGGGUCACAAGUGGAGAAACGGUAUAUCCGCGAAAACCAUUAUAUUUUAUGUGUCGAUUCGCGCAAGAUUGGAAGUGGAGGUACGUAUUUGCAAAACACAUGGAGGACUUUGGUGCAAAGUGGCAUAUGGUAUAUAAUAUGCCUCUAGGGUUUCUUUGCACGAAACCCUAGAUCCGGCCGACCUAAUCCUCCAGCUAUGCCCUAAAUAGCUUCAGUAGGUCCUUGCCCAACCCAUGCUCGCACCCCGGCCGCCGGCAGGUGCUCCGGCCGUCGGAAAACUGGAACCCGGCCACCUUUCAAGAUAUCUCUGUCCACCUUGCCUCCAUCUCGGCCAGGGAACAACUGAAACCCAUGGGACUCCCCCUCUGGCCGAGACCCGUCUCCAGCAGCAUCGCCGCCGGCCGCCGCCGCCUGGGAGAUCCGCGGCCACCCUCAGUUAGCCCUGACUAGGCACCCGUGAGGUUGUGGCCCGCAAGCCAUGGCCGCCAUGGAACGAUCGCGCCGUCCUCCCACCACCUUCUGCGAUCUUCCGCUCACCGCCUCUCGCCGUCCCGGCCAUCCCCUUGGCCGCCGGCCGCCGGGAGAGCUCCCUGCGGUCGUCCAAAACGCGUGCGGGCCAUGCAAGGGCCCGUACUGUUUCCGACUGCCACCGCCGCCCACCGUCGGGUGCCUCGCCCUCCCCUCGACCUCCGGCGAUGGAUCAGUGUCGCCCCUACCUCCUCCAGCCGCCGCCGCGCCGCCGGGAAGCCUUGAACCCGAGAGCAUGUGAAUGGUUGGAUCUCAGCCACCGCGCCACCGGCCACCGCCCGCCGGCACCUGCCCUGGACCCCUCCGACCGGCCGCACCCGUACCCGGCCGGUGUGCCUGCCACCGGCCAUGCCCUAGCUCCACCCUGUCCGGUAAACUAUUUUCAGCCUGUCUGCGCACUAGUUUCCUGUUUGGAUCACUGUUCCGGUGACCCAGGGCUGUCCCGAUGCCUCCGGAGGUGAGCAUAGUGAUCGUCAGUCAGUGCUGAUCACAAUGCUCACCUCACUUAGGGUCAGUGAGCUUCGGAUGAGUUAAUUAGAGGUGUUUUAGUUUCAGUGCGCGCUGUUUCGUUGAACUUUGUGUCGCUCGUGCGCUUCCGACAGUGGCCGAAAUUGCUCCGAAAGGUGAGCACGGCCUCCGGCACGCCGAGACCUAUCAGUGGGUGUCUCGGUUUGGCUGAAUGAUCCCUGGUUUACGAUGUCGGACCAUAAAAGUGCCGAAAUCACAUAAAAUAAUGUGAUUUCGGGUAAUCGAGAGGGCUUUUAUGUGUUUUGGGUUGUUGCGGCUGCUGUUGGCAGCAUGGGUGAGCAGUGGGUGACCUCUGGACUGAUUGUCCAAGGCUCCAAACCUUUGCGAAGAUCGAAAAUGCAUUUCCGGCGUGUUUUUCGGCGAAAUCCGCCGACGGAACGUGUGUUCGGUUCGAAAUUCUUCCGACGGUGUCUCGGGAUGAUUAUUAUGUCGCUGAACCUAGUUGGCUGGUCACCCGCGUCAUUUCGAGGGUUCGAAAAUGACGGGUGAGCGACGGUGGGUUCCCAUGUCGAAUUAGACACUUCCGGGAAUCCGGAUCGAAACGAUUAUCCGAUGAUAAUUGUUUCGACGUGAGGAGUUGUGUUUGCUGCCAUGAUGUACGAUUAUUUAUGUUUAGUGGUAGCGGGUGACUCGUAGUGAUAGUCGGUGCAUUCCGGGACAGUUCGUGGGUCCCGACGGAGUUCCGGUGUGAUUUUCGGGACUUCCGGCGAGUUACGGUAGUCGGUAUUGGGAAACCGAUCUCCGUGGAUUUGUUUGUGGGUUGUGGAUUUAGUGAUUAUUAGUUAUGGGUUAGGCACUAACCCGGUGGACCUUCCUUAGGUCCAGUUGACAUUCUUUUGCAGUCAGGAGACAGGCGCGACAUCCUUACAGGUGGGUACUUCGAUCCGACGUUGGUACAGUGGUGCACGCUCGGUGAUGGUUUCUUACCCUUGCUCUUUUGCUAUUAUCCAUGCAUAUACUAUAUGUUGAGCUUUGCACCUCUAUUGUUCCAUUAUACUCUACUCAUAUGUUUCUAUGCUUAGUAUCAUGUGUAGGAGUAGAGUAGUUUAUCGAUAUGUGAUACCUAUGACUUGGUUGGUCAGUUCUUGUAUCUCGUUUUUGUGACCUAUUCGGUCGUUUCCUUGACUUCUGUCAUUCGAUGACCAUUGAGGUCGGUGUACCCUGAGGGGUUGGAUUGUCAGCUAGUGGCCGACGGUAGUUCUGGAUUCUAUUAAUACACUCUGGUGACCUAUUCAUCGUUUCGUCAUGCAUAUAUGUUAGUUGACUUGAGUAGUCAGUACUUGUAUACCUUCGGUAGGAUAUUGAGUUGUUCCAUUCUAGUUGACCUGGUUGGUCGGUUCUCCUAUGUGGUAUCCGUGACCUGGUUGGUCGAUUCUUGUACUUCGUAUUAGUGACCUGGUUUGUCGAUUCUCGUACUUCGUGUCAGUGACCUGGUCGGUCGGUUCUUGCAUCUACAGUUUAGUUGACCCUUCAGCAGUAUUUGCAUACUUCUGAGAGGAUGUUGAGUUGGUCCAUCCUAGUUGACCUGCGUGGUCAGUUCUUGUUCUUCCUUACAGUUGAUGACCUAUACGGUCGAUGAGCCCUGUGGGCGGGAUUGUCGGCUGGUUGCCGAUGGUUGAUCAUUGAGCAUAUUGCAUUGAUCGCCUGAUACUCGUCGCAUUUCACGAACACCGGCAGUCUGAUCCACCGCAAGGGGUGUUCUUUUCCGGAAAAGUGAUUGCAGAUGCCAACCCGUGAGUCCUAGAGGGGUUAUAUGCAUGUUAGAGCGGCAGUGGUACUAUCGGGAGGUCUCCGGUGUGAACCUCCAGGGCACAGGCUUGAGGUUUGCGGUGCGGACUAAUAGAGCAGCAGAUUUCAGAUUGGGUAUAUUUGGACUUCUUGUCCGGUUGACGAAUAUAGCUAUAGUAGCGGUUGUUGUUUCUAUACCUUCAGUUCUUUCGUUACACUGUCUUGCUACUAUAGUUUUGUUGCAUGUAUACUUUCAGUUGUUCAUUACAGUAGCGGUAGUUGUACUUUUAUAUAUAUAUCUAUCUCUUUCGUUCAUUAUUGUUGCUACUGUAUUUAGUAUACCUGCUCAUGAUCUUAUAUUUCCACUGACCCGUAUUGUUGUUUAGCUCUUCCUGAUCCGGUGAGUACUUCUCGCCUUCAUCGGCUUGCGGUACCCACUGGGAGGGAAGACAUGUUUACAUGUUCUCACCUCUCCCACCAUUUUUGAGGUAUCGCGGACGGUGAGAGUUGCGACGAGACGUGAGACACGUUCGUAGUGGUCGCUAGAGCUUCCGACCCGGUUUGUUGGUUUAGUUCCUACCCUGUUUACUUUGUUAUUAAUAGCUUUAAUAUUUUUUGGUUCAGUUGGUUUAUGUUAGUUGAAUACAUGUGGUUUUAAAUGAACUAUAGAACUUGUGGGUUUUCUGAAAAGGAAAAAUGGUUUUCUACCCCUCGUGGUAACGUUUUUAAAAGAUAAAAGUUUUCGUGUAGGGAACAGUUUUUAAAAGAUUUUCUGUGGAUUUAUGUUUAGACAUUGAAUAUAAAUCUGUGAUGUGAAUGGUGAAUGUAUGAAUAUUUAGUUGUUUAUAUAUAUUCAUUUAGUUGUGGUUGUAUCCUGGUGUACAUGUUAUACUUCUUGUACUUGUGCAACGCCGUGCAAAUACAGGGGAGACUCUGUCCUAGUGAACAGUGGAUUCUCUGGAUUUGUGGCAGAUCUAGCAUACCCUGGGGUCAGGUUUUCAAAAAAAAAAAAAAAAAGACGCAUUUCCGCUGUUUUUCAAACUAAAAGGGACCCCGGUACGUGACAGUGACAAAACUCAAAAAUACAUCAAAAUACUCACAACACUCAACUCUUCAAAAGCCGAAAAUCGAAAUUCAUUGCCAUCACCAAAACAAUGAACUUCUCGUGUGAAAGAUCCAAAGAAAAUACAAAAUUACAAUUUUGCAACUCCUAAACAAACUCUAUGACUUAGGCACAAGGAGUCUUGAUGUCUUCAAAAAUCUGCAAAAAUAUUAUUCUUUCCAACGAACAAAGUUAGUAAUAAACAAAGUUAAAAAUAUCUCCCAUUUUGUUCAUGCGUCGAAGUUAAAAAUAUCUUCCCCUUUCAAAAACUCUGUAAUGGGCUGAAAUUUGAUUACAAGCUAAUUGUGAUCAAAGUGAUCACAAUAAUGCUAAAAUGGAAAUUAAGCAUUUCUAAACUUAAUUAGAGGUUUGAGAGCAGCAAUUCAAAUGUUUUGGAAGUGUGGGAAUAGACACGAAUGGAAUCGAAGUGGUUAAAGACCUCCAAUUGCCAUUGCUUCUCUUAUGCUGAAAUUUUAGUUAACUUAGUAAAAAAUGAUCAAGUUAAUGCAAAUUUGAGAAUUAAAUGUUAUCAAAUUAAUUUGGCAGCUUGGGAAGUUCAUUUGGUAUGUUUUGGAAGUGCUCGAAGUGAAUUGGAAGUGUCAGAAACCUCCAAUCACUGCUGCUAUCAAGUAAUGCUGAAAUUCCUAGUUAAUGUUGAUCAAAAUGAUCAACAUGAUGCCAAAUUGGAAAUUAAUUGCUUCCAAAUUAAUUUGACAACUUGUAGAGGUAUAUUAGUGUAAUUUGGAAGUGCUUGAGUGGACUUGAAGUGAGUUGGAUGGGCAAAAUAAGCUUCAAAGUGCUGCUGCAUCUAGUUGUUUAGUGCAGGGACUGAAUUCUAAGCUUCAGGGACUGAAAUGUAAAUCUGAAGGCUGCAAUGCCCUUUUGCUGAAAUUGAGGGUUAAGUUGCAAAUUUUCAUCUUUAUCACUUAAUCCCAGCUGAGUUGCAUGUGUGUACGUGUCCACUGCCCUUUUUCCAUCACUUCUUUCAUUCUUUUUCUUCUUCUUCUCUCUUUAGGCUGAUGGAAACCAAGAAAGAGUUGAGGAGUUUGAUGUUGGCAGCUUGGAGGACUUGUGGGCUGAGAAGAAGUCUGAACCAAGCUUAUAAUUUCUGAUGUUGAAGUUGUUGGGCAACCUGAAAUAGCACCUAAUUAAGGUAAUUGGUUCUAGUAACUGAUUAGUAUCAAGCUAAUUACCUUAGAAAGGAUGCUUACAUGGAAUCCUUGCUACUAGUGUUAGCUAUUCUGGAAUUUCAAGCCGAAUUCAUGUUGCUGCUGCUGUCGAAAUGAAGAGAGGGCCAAUUGAUGCAUGGAACAAGUUGAUUCAGCAUCAGGUUAGCGUAAGUUUAUUCCUUAUUGGAUCAUAGUCCAAUUAAUUGCUUUAAAAUGGAUCAAGUUAAGAACUAUGUGCUGAAAUUUCAGACUUGAAGCUGAAUUGUUGAGUUGUUGAAGCUAAGAUCACCCUGGUUGAAUACCUAAUUAAGGUAAACUGGUUCUAAUAUCUAAUUGUAGACAAGUUAGUUGCAUUAAAGAUGAUCCACAUAAGAGUAAUUGCUGCCAGGGUUUUGAUAUUGGACUGAUUGCAGCAAAGAACAAGUCUGGUUCAACCUUGAAGUGAAAGCUUGAGUAUUCUAUAGUGUCACCUAAAUAGCUUGGNUCGAGCUACAGAAAAUCUGAGAGAAGCUUGAAUCCUGGUAAAUGAUGCUAAAUACCUUAGUAGAAUAUGAUUACUUGUGUAGAAUUCAGGAUUAGUUAUUGCUGAAAACUGUGAAGCUCAAAUGCUGAAUUUCAGCAUUUGAGAUCCUGGAUGUUAAGGCUGAGAAGGAACCAGUUCAAUAGCAAAUCGAGAUAAAUUGCGCUUAGAACUCAAUUAGUUGUAAUUGAGAGAUGUUAAUUAAGAAUCUGAUGGAUAAUAAAGCUAAUAUAAAUGCAAAACUGUAUUGAUGAGUUCCUAUUUGGAACACUGUGAUUGUAACUUACACUAUACAUAAAUAUAUAGAUGUUUAUAUAUCUAUAUAUGUAAGUGGGAGUUAAGAUGCUAACUUGUAAAAUAUGAGAAUAAGGCUCUAGUUUAAUCUCUUUUAAUCCUUGAUAAAUGAAAGUUAAUCAUGCUCGAAAGUCUAAAUUGACUUUCCGACAGGUCGACGACACACUAGUUACGGUACAGACCGUUCUAGUUCUAUUUACACCGAGUCGCGAGAGCUAGUUGUCGACGCAUUUUGAGACGUGGAUUCUAGUUGUUUACAACACUACAGGUGGGUGGUACUAUCCGAAGUCUUUGAAUCACCUUUUAUGUCUAUGAUUAUUCAUUGAGCAUAAUUAUAUUUGUAGUCAUGUAUUAUAGGGUGUUCGGCAUUGUGCAAGUGAAAAUAUAAAUUCCUAUCAACAAUGAGAACUUGUGAACCUUAGAAUGUGGACAUAGAACCCUAUGAAUGCAUGGACUAUAACAAUAGUGAACUUGGUGACAUUCUAACUAGAGAAUUGGAUAGCAUUGAGAAAUAAAACAGUGAAACUAGCAAAAAGAGCUAGUUAGAGUUAAAGUGUGACAUGGCUAUUAUUGAAUCCUCUAAAGGAGGAUCAGAUCUUACUCACAUAGUCUGUUUUUAGCUUGGUGGUUGUCGCUCCCCCCAGGCAGUGCGCUCCGGAGUGGUCACUUGAUGGGUUAAAGAAUUUGCCCUUGAACUAAAGUAUCUGUUCUACAGACGGUCCCGUCGGGAGGCAGCUUAGGGCCCGCCAGGGAUUGAGUUAGUGAGUUACAGUUAACCAAAUGGUUAGCUAGAUUGAUUGAGUAUUGGUACAUUACAGCAUGCAUGCAUACUUACAGUUUUCAUGUAUCAUUUCUUUUAGCUUUGUACAGGCAUUGUAGUAGUUAUAUGUUAUAGUUGGUUACUAUCUGUUUACUUCUUUUGCCUACAUAUGCCUGAAUAGACCUAGUGGGUCAGUCGGCGAGGUCGGCGUCCGAACCUACUGGAAACUUUUAGUAGUUCUCACACCACUAACCACACAGGUUCCAGUGCGAGCGUUGUUGCCGAGGAUCACGGCAAGAGCCCUGCAGCCUAGCUAGUUGACACCAGAGUAUAGUAGUUUACCAUUUUGGUUUUAUGUUACACAUUUUAAUGUAAUGAAACUUGUAAAUGAAUAUAUAAACAGUAUGUAAAUAACUAAAUGUUCCAGUUAUGUAAAUUCAGUUUAAAGUUUUAAAUUACAGUGAAUUUCAUGUUUAGUUAGUUUACUAUCACUUGUGAUUGUUGCUUGCCCUUGUGCAAGCCAUGUAUAUUGAAAUGUUAUCCUGGGAAUUGUUUAUUUCUUUAUACAUGUACUCGUUGUUGUUGAGCCUUGGGCGGACAGAGGAGGUUCUGUCCGUUCGGCGUCUGUGUACGGGCUCGGAUCGACCAAAUUGGCGAUAGCGGGACGUGACAGAAAAAGUGGUAUCAGAGCAAGCGAUAGUAAAAGUCUAGGAUGACCUACGGGACUUAGGAUUGGAAACCUAGGAACCAGGAACGCGAGUGGCGUGAAUCUAAUGAUAGCGAAAGCCAAAUAAAUUGGGUUAGCUGUUAGUAAGUCUCUAAUGUUAAUUAGGGGCUGAUCCAGGUGAUAUUUGUACACAACUUAAGGAGUUAUGUUGGGUGGCCAACAACAUAAAGCCGAGGGUUGAGUAUAAAUAUGCUUGAUUGCUUUCGCCUGAUUGGUUUCGUUUUACUAAUGUGAAUGGUUUGUUUCAGGAGAAAUGCCACCGCGACGUGCGACGAGAUCCACUCCGGCAUCACCUUCUGAGGUGCCAGAGCAGUUUGGGUCUGGUGAGGUUCAGGAGUUGUGUGCUCAGGUGAGCGCGUUAGUCGGGGCUAUGCAGAGACAGGAGGAACAUAUAAAGAGUCUACAGGAUCAAAUGUCGCGACAGGCGACAACAGCAGCACCUGGGAGUCAGGAUGUACCUGUAUCUGAGGCGCCGAUGACCGUGCCUCCUGUUCCGCCGACUGUUCCUCCCAUGGUUUCUGGGCCUUCUGCUGUAGAUCCAGCCGUGGUAGAGGCCGAGCAAGUGCGAUUUGUAAAGGUACUAGAGGCAUUUAUGCGGUUUAAUCCGCCUAUGUUUGACGAAAAAGAAGCAGAUCUGUGGGUAUUGGAGACGUGGUUUACAGCGAUGGAGGCAUUAUUUGAGGACAUUUAUACCCUGGAAAGGGACAAGGUUCCGUUGGCAGCGCACUGUUUUGAGAAGGAUGCUCAGAUAUAGUGGCAAAAGGCCAAGAAGAAGCGGGCAUCAAACUUAUCACCGUUCACUUGGGAGGAGUUUCGAGAGCUGUUAUUUAUGGAGUACUUUCCUGACAGUGAUAAAGGGAAAAUGAAGAAAGACUUCCGUAAGUUGAGACAGGGAAACCGUUCGGUAUGGGAGUACGAACGAGAAUUUACUCAUUUGGUGAACUGUGUGCCUGGGAUGGUUCAUACAGAUCGAGAUCGAGCGGAGUGCUUUGAGCGGGGGUUGCGACCGGACAUAUUCAGGACAGUCAAUGCUCUAAAGUUAAAAACUUUUGAGGAAGUUUUAGAUCGAGCUCUUUGGGUUGAGCGCGAGAAUGCGAUUGCGCGUUAUGAACGCGAAUCGUUUGAAAGAGAACGAGAAAGAGAAAAAGAAAAGAAAAGGACUACUAGUGGUGCCGGGGGACAGUCGAGCUCUAAACGGCCCCCUCGGUAUCUACGUUCCCAGUCGAGGUAUUAGGGACCCCCGAGGUGUGUGAUUUGUGGCGGGAAUCAUCGACCGUCGGCUUGUUCACAGCAUGAGGGCAAGUGUUACAAGUGUGGGCAGCCGGGACAUAUGAUUCGUGAUUGCCCGAGGGGAGCAUCAUUUGCACCGUCGACAGCUUCAGUUCAGUCACGUGCGAGGCAGCGUGCGGGUCUCCCACCCGCUAUGUCAGCUGGGCGAACGUUUGUGCCGCGCCAGUACGAGCCACCCCGACCUGCACCGAGUACACGGAUUGAUGCACCACGACCUGCACCGAGUGGUCGUGUAUUUGCAGCUCAGACUGAGGAUCCUGCCGUGGUCGACGAUGUCGUGGCAGGUAUUGUUUUACUUUAUGGUAUUAGAUCUCGUGCAUUAUUUGACACUGGUGCAUCUCAUUCAUUUAUCAGUAGUUCAUUUGCUAAAACACAUGAUAUUGAGAUUUUGGAUAGACCAGAUGCCUGGUGGGUCUAUGCUCCUGAGCACACGUUUAGUGUUCACGAGGAGUGUACGGCAUGUCCAGUUCAGGUUGGAGAUUAGAUUAUGCCAGCUGAUUUGUUAGUGUUGAAGCAAAUGAAAGGUUUUGAUAUAAUCCUUGGGAUGGAUUGGCUUACAAAGUACUAUGCCACGAUUGACUGCGAAAGUAAGAUUAUUACUUUUCGUGAACCUGGGCAAAAAGAAGUUGUGUAUCGGGCGUGUAAGAGUUCGCUCUUUGCGUUAACAGUAUCGACGUCGAGAGCGAGAAAGUUGAUUAGUAGUGGAUGUGUGGCUUAUUUGGCAACAGUUAUGGAGACUCAGAAGGAACUUCCAGUACUUGGAGAUAUUCCAGUAGUUCGAGAGUUUCUUGAUGUGUUUCCUGCGGAGUUACCGGGAUUGCCGCCGGAUCGGGAAAUUGAGUUCGUUAUUGACUUGAUUCCCGGAACGGCACCAAUUUCGAAAGCUCCGUACAGAAUGGCACCUGCUGAGUUGAGAGAGUUGAAAGCUCAGUUACAGGAUUUGAUGGAUAAAGGCUUUGUGAAGCCUAGUGUAUCACCGUAGGGAGCUCCAGUUCUGUUUGUAAAGAAGAACGACGGAACGCUUCGACUUUGUGUUGAUUAUCGUGAACUGAAUAAGAUCACGAUCAAAAAUAAAUAUCCGUGGCCGCGAAUUGAUGAUCUAUUUGAUCAAUUGCAAGGAUCACGAGUAUAUUCGAAGAUUGAUCUCCAAUCAGGUUACCACCAAUUGAAGAUCAAACCAGAGGAUGUGCAUAAGAUAGCGUUUCGCACUCGUUAUAGUCAUUACGAGUUUACAGUGAUGCCGUUUGGACUGACCAAUGCCCCUGCAGCGUUCAUGGAUCUAAUGAAUAGGAUCUUUAAGCCGCUGUUGGAUCAGUGUGUGGUAGUAUUUAUAGAUGAUAUCCUGAUCUUUUCUCGAAGUAAUGAGGAGCACGAAGAACACUUGAGAACAGUGAUGCAAAUUCUUCGGGAGAAACAGUUAUAUGCCAAAUUGAAGAAAUGUGAAUUUUGGCUGCGAGAGGUCGCAUUUUUGGGGCAUGUGAUUUCUAAGGGUGGUGUUUCUGUUGACCCAAAGAAAGUGGAGGCAAUUAAAGAUUGGCCUCGCCCGACGACUGUUGCUGAGAUCCGCAGUUUUCUUGGAUUAGCGGGGUACUAUCGGCGGUUCGUGGAGGGAUUUGCAAAGAUUACUACUCCACUAACACGCCUUACACAUAAAGGAACUAAAUAUGUGUGGAGUGAAGAAUGUGAUCGCAGCUUUCGGGAGUUGAAAGAAAGGUUGACUUAGACUCCUAUUCUUGCCUUGCCGAUUACGGGGGAGAGUUUUGUGAUCUACAGUGACGCUUCCUACAGUGGACUUGGGUGUGUACUUAUGCAGGGUGGUCGAGUGAUUGCUUAUGCGUCUCGCCAGCUGAAGAACUAUGAAAAGAAUUAUCCUAUUCAUGAUUUGGAAUUGGCGGCGGUGAUCUUCGCACUGAAGUUGUGGAGACAUUACCUUUAUGGCGAGCAUUGUGAAAUCUAUACUGAUCACAAGAGCCUGAAGUAUUUAUUUACCCAAAAAGAGCUGAAUAUGCGACAACGCCGGUGGUUAGAAUUAUUGAAGGAUUAUGAUGUUAAUAUUCUAUACCACCCAGGAAAAGCGAAUGUAGUUGCAAAUGCACUGAGUAGGAAGUCUGUGGAGAACUUGGCUAUGGCGAUCACCCACCAACCGUCAUUGUGGAAGGAAAUGUGGCAGUUUGACCUUGAGGUAGUAGCUCCAGAGGUACCAGCUAUACUCGCCGCUCUAGUUAUUCAACCGACCUUGUUGGAACGGAUUAAAGAUCGGCAAUCUUUAGAUCCUAUCUCCAAAAGGUGCGGUAUGAAGUUGAGAGCGGACGUGGUGAUGAUUUUACAGUGGGAUCUGAUGGAGCACUUCAGUUUCGAAAUCGGUUGUGCGUGCCCAAAGACGAGGAGAUUCAGCGAGCUAUUUUGAAGGAGGCUCAUCAGUCACCUUAUAGUAUACAUCCAGGUGGCACUAAGAUGUACAAAGAUCUUAAAGUGCAUUAUUGGUGGCCUGGAAUGAAGAAAGAUAUUGGACAGUUUGUGGCGCAGUGCCUGACAUGUCAGCAAGUGAAAGCUGAGCGCAGAUUUCCCGCGGGAAAGUUACAGAGCUUGCCUAUUCCGGUCUGGAAGUGGGAGAACAAUUGCGAUAGAUUUCAUUGUUGGAUUACCUCGAUCACAGGCUGGACAUGAUACCAUUUGGGUGAUUGUUGAUCGGUUGACGAAAUCGGCACAUUUCUUACCGAUUCAUGCUACUUGGUCAGGGGACAAGUUAGCACAGGUGUUGUAAGAUAUCGAAAUUCGACGAAAACGGCUAACUUUGGCACAAUGGACCAAAGUGAGCGAUCGGAAGUUGGGACAAGUCCCAUUCGGUAUUCCAACGAGUUUGGAAGAGCUAAAAUGAGUUCCAAAGGUGUUGGAAUGGGUUUGACGUCGAUUGGCGCGAAGUGGAGCCGAAGCGAGGCUGAAAACAGCUUUCUGGAGCUGGUGUACCGGUACACGCAUGAUGGCUGUACCGGUACAGCCAUUGCUGCCAGGCUGCGCAGCCCUCGGGUUUGCUCUCGGGUUUGGCCGUUACGCAGGGCGCGUACCGGUACGCAAACCCGUGUACCGGUACACGAGCACGCAGCAGCGGGUUAAGUUGCAAAAUCUGAUAAAAGGAGGGCUUUUUAGCAUUUUGUUAUAAUAGAGGACUUAACCCUCAUGCCCUCAGCUCUCUCCUCUCUCACUCCCACAGCCCCUCUCUCUCUCUAGCUUUCUCUCUCUCUCUAACCGGUUGGGAGAAAAGAAGAAGAAGAAAAAGAGAAGGAAAAAGAGAGGAAGAAAAGGAAGGAGAAGAAGGCGAAGAAGGUUUUGAAGUCCUUCUUCAUCUCGUUUUUGGCCUAGGGCUUGCUUUGGAGCAAACCCUAGAGGUAAGCCUCAACCCCUUUCAUGGUAACUUGUGAUUUCUAGGGUUUGGAUGGUUUUUGUUGCUUUUGAUGGUUCAAAUGGAACCUAAUGAGCUUAGAGAACAUGGAUUUAGCUCACAUUGAAGCUAUAAUCCAUAACCUCUCAUGGAUCCCAACCCUAGGGUUAGAUUUUGGGGAUUUUAAAAAUGUGAGGGAUUGAACUCUUUUGAGGGGUUAGAAACCUAAUUCUUAUGCUUAUAAACGCGUAGGCGAAGACGGUUCGUCGAUCCGACGAGUGGGCGCGAAGAUAUCGCUAUUCGAUGCGCUAAAGGGUUAAAGUUAACCCAACGAAAAUUAAGCGGCGACAAGACUAGCACGAGAACGCGUCUCGGAGUGUUUGCGGCAUCACCCAAGGUGGGGGAGUGCCAUCCCGAAGUCAUCGGGCCACCUUCUAUGUCUAAGUUUUAAUUGAUCUAUUUGCAUAUUGUGCAUAAUACAUAUAGGGUUAGAAAAUGAUUAUUGUUGCUUAUACUUGCAUACUAUUAGUUCAAUAAAUAUAUAUAUUGCUUGGUUGGUUUAUGAUCUAGUAUGCAUGAUGGUUGCUUGAUGAAAAUCUAGACCCUAUAUGAGAUGAUUAAUGCUUAUGUUGCUAAAGAACUAGUAUGAUGAAACUAGUGUUGAUAAUGAGUCAAAUUGACGAGUGGCAUCUAGUUUAGAAAACUAUGACAAGUGGCAUCUAGUUAGAAAAACUAUGAUGAAUGACAUUGUUGAUGUUUCCUUGAGAUGAUCACAUUAGUGUAGUUGAGACACUAUGAGAUUGGGUACAAGUAUACAUUGAUUCCAUGAUGAUAUUACCCUAAAAAAGGGUUGUUGCUGUUGCUCGUGAGAUGAUCUUGCUCACAUUGCCUGUCUGCGCUUGGUGGGGUCGCUCCCCUCAAGUUGUGCGCUCCGGAGUUUGGUCACUAGAGAGGCAGCCGUCCGGUUCGAGGGCGGCGGGCGGACCGCCGAACGGACAGCACCUCCCCUGUCCGCCCAAGGCUAAACAAUGAGAUCAUGUACAACAAGUCCCCAGGAAAUCAACUUGAAUACAUACAUGAUCAUGCAACAACAGCGAGAGCACAAACAGUGCUGAACAAUACGAGAGCAAGCGUCACAAGUAGAAGACAUACAAGUGAAACAAAAGAGAGAUACUUAACUAUUCUAUUACAACCAUUCAGCUCGAUACAUUUAAUUACAACUUGCAUUCUUUUCCAAACUAUGAAUAUAAGCUUACAUUCUUCAAAAGAUAAACAUUAGUUUACAUUUAUCUCAAAAUACCUCACAUCCUAUACAUCAUCUACUCUCAAUACAUGUAUAGGGUAACUCUAAUGCAANUGAAAUGGUAAUAUGAUAGAAUUACAUAGAAACUGAUUGAUACUCCUAGCUGAUUUGGGAUUGGUUGCUAGGGUACUUGGAGUGCAUCGGAUACUUGUACUUACAAGUUCAACUAGAGUCGUUGAUUAUUGGUGGGUUGGACCUUCCCAAAAUGGGUGAAUUCCCUCUAUGUCUCCUUUGACAUUAUGAGUGAACAUAUUACAUGCUUAUGUGAACCUAUGUGUAUUUGAAGGAUUUGAGACAUGCAUCCAUGUGCAUACCAUAUCGGAUAUAAUAGCAUCUCUAUGCAAUAGAGAAAGAAUUAUGAAAUGGCCUAUUUCCCAUAGAUCAAUUGCUCUAUUCUCAUGUAUCCAUGUUAUUAGUAGCUUAUACGAACAAGAUAAGCAUGAUAUUAUUCAAGAGGGAGGAAUUGUAAAACCAGGAGUAAUAUUUAGCCCUACUGAACAACAAGGAAAUGAUGUACUUGAGAUGAAAGCAUGCAAUUCUAUGUUGUAGACAUAGUGCUUGAACUCUUAGUCUAUCCUAUAUAAUGAGGUUAUUAAUACAUUCAGGUGGAAUCAUGCAAGAGUAUAUUGGACAUUGUUUUACUUACUUGUGUUGACUAGUAUACUAUUGUUUUCAACUGAUCAAAUUAGCAUGAACUUUGUGUUUUGGAAUAUGAUCUAAUUAAGUGAUCAGAACUUGGCAUGAUGAUAUAAUAUGAAUGUACCUGGUUAAAUAUAAUAUAGUGAAAUGACUAGAAUAACCAUCAUGUAUACUAGUAAGAUCAAACCAAAGUAUUUGCAUGUGACUUAUUUACUCCAAGUGGUGAAGGGUUAAGUGGAACUUUAGAAUAUGUGCCAUGAGUCAUUUAAACCUAGAAUGAGUCAUUGAAUAUGACCUUAGUAAACCACUUUCCUUAUGUAUAGGGAGUAGUGAGAGGACUCUAUAUGAAUAUGCAUAGGUAUAGCCCAUCAUGAUAUUAAGUUUAUAAUUAUUCAGGUUAUACCAGCUAUUGGUCAAAGUAUGUCAACAAGUAGUUGAUAGUGACGUGUGGUUUGGGUACUACAGUGUCGACCUUGCGUUGAAUUGAGAUUCCAUGUUAGAGACAUGAUGAACUUGUGAUACUUGUGCUAUGGAUUAUAGCUUGCAUGCCAUUAUGCUCUUUCGCGCACGCUUGUGGGGAUCACGCCCCCCAAGCCAGCACUUCGGAGUAGCUUAGCGACAGAUUGCUCACUUAUGUACGAAGUGAGCGCCGAAGUGGAUUGCCGUGGGUAGUGUUAACUUCCACGGGGCCAUUAGGCACGACGCGGCUAUGACCUCACCCUGUGUAAGUUUAUUGUGAAUUGGGCCAUGAUGAGCCACUUUAACCUUAGAUGAACAUAGUAGUAAGAAUACUUUAUGUCAUGGGUCGAGUAAACUUAAUGAUGAACAAGCUAGAAAGUUAGCAUCCUAAUUAGUUAGUAGCAUAGUGAUAGUAUGGUUACACUGUUACCAGUGUAAGUACUAUCUAUAUAACAUCAUCAGUUAGUUCAAUGAUAAUGAGAAUCAUUGCAUAUAGCCUAGCAUAUGGGUAUUCAAAUUGUCAACUAACAUGAAUGAUAAAACUUAGCAUGCUAAACUAGUAUUCAACCUGUUGAUUUAUAUUUAUAUAUUUUCUGAGCAAAUGUCAUGAUUGAUUUAUUUCAAUACUUGUUACAGUAUGGUUACACUGUUACCAGUGUAAGUACUAUCUAUAUAACAUCAUCAGUUAGUUCAAUGAUAAUAAGAAUCAUUGCUUAUAGCCUAGCAUAUGGGUAUUCAAAUUGUCAACUAACAUGAAUGAUAAAACUUAGCAUGCUAAACUAGUAUUCAACCUGUUGAUUUAUAUUUAUAUAUUUUCUGAGCAAAUGUCAUGAUUGAUUUAUUUCAAUACUUGUUACACUUGCUUAAUUAUUGCUAUUUACUCAUGCCACAGUUGACCUAGUGGUGUAUUUCGCCACUCUCGGUGGCUUACCUACUGGGAACUAUUAUUUAAUAGUUCUCACACCAUCUUUGUUGUUGCUUUUACAGAGCCUUCCACAGCGGGAAAGGCUAGGGUUUCUGGCGAGGGGUCAACGGCUAGCUAGGAUCAUCUUGACGUUAAAUAGACAAACCUUUACCAGUUUAUGUAGUUUAGUUCAGUGAUGUAUAUUGAGAUCAUGUAAAUUGUAUUUUGUUUUUAUCUGUUGUAAUAAGAAUUUGGGUUGUAUAAGUUUAAACUCUUAGUUGUGCUCCUAUUACUUAGUUAAGUUAAGAUUUUGUUGUGUUACAUUACUCUCUUUGUUGACACCUGGUGGACAUCAUGUAGUUUAGUGUACACGGCGGGUUUGUGCACGUUGCUGCAAGCUUCCGUUGAAGACCAGGGCGUGACAACAUGAGUCGAGUUUCGCAUAUGCUUACGGAGAUUUGAUACAUGAAACACAUUAUGAACUCCCGCAAGCCUUGGUGGUAAUGCUAACUUGUAUGCCACCGCGCCGACGCGUUCCAAUAUUUCGAACGGUCCAACAUACCGGGGACUUAGUUUCCCACGGACUCCAAACCGUUUUACUCCACGCAUUGGCGACACCUUCAAAAAAAGAUGCGGUCUCCAACCGCAAACUCAAGAUCUUUUCUAAGCUUGUCGGCAUAGCUUUUUUGCCGAGAUUGCGCCAUCGCAAGUCGCUGGUGGGCAAGGAGAACUUUCUCUUCCGCCUCCCGCACUACAUCGGGGCCAAGAGCAACUCUCUCGCCCACAUUGCUACAUGGCACACAAAGAACCCUUCUUUGCAUCUACCAUUCGCUACCGAGCACAUGAAGGACUUAUCCCUCUACAACUCUGCUGAAUACCUCUUUCUUCGAGAUCAGGACUACCCCUUAUCCUCGUGGUGUGGAUCUAACAAGAAUGCAUCAACUGGCCGAAUGGUCCACCACCACUACACAAUAUGUACGUGUAGACCUCCUCGAUCCACUCAAGUGUGCACAAAGUGGCACUCUACCACUUUGGCUAUCCAAGAGUAUGCAUCCCCAUUUAUGACUCUUCUUUGCAUUCAUUAUCCCUUCAGGGAACACACUCCGAUUCUAUCACCGGCAUUGCUUAGAAGUAAUAACCCGGGUGCAUCGCUCCAUCGCGAGUGCUCCAAUCACAAUCGGACUCUUAGCUCUGCCGCGAGAUGGUCCACUUUGGCACAUCUGUACAUUCCAGUUCAUUUAAGAGCAUAGUCCCCAAAUCUCACGUGGCUUUCUACUAGCUCAAUGUCUCACAAAGAGCACUUCAUCUUUUUGAUACCAUAUGCCACGGUCAACAUCAAUCGCUCUCACAACGAGUUCACACGAACACUCCGUUCAUGAAUCCAAGCCAAUCUCACCGACAGAGUUGUCGGCCAAACCGCGCACCUUGGCUUCCACAGGUGGACCAAAGGUCACCAAUCCUACGUAGGCUUACCACCUAAACCCAUCUCAACUACGCACAGCAUCUCUCGUUUGCAAGCGUAGACCCAAUCAUCACUGGGCGAAAUUCUCACUUGGGAAUUCGUACACACUCCAACUAGGAGCAAACGAGACCCCAAACCACUAUAUAAUCUUCGAGUUGGGUCAUAACCGAACUCUCGGUACACUAUUGAUCACACGAUUCACACGUGGCACUCCACGCUCUCGGGUCUCAGCUCGGACUACCGCCCCGACCAUAAAUCUCUGCCUUACACGUAGGUACCGGGCCGCUGUCACUCACAGCUGACUGCGCCUGUCCAUAUGGCCCCAGGCUCCACAGUCCACAAAUGGUCCAAGCACGGAUCGUUCUCAAGCCAUACCCGCUAACGUCGUCUCUCACGACAUGCUCUACCAAGCAACACACAUCUCUAUCGGCUCCUAAGCAUCCAAGGCGAGCCACCAUGUCACGCCCCGGAGCUGCCAAUUUGGUCGGUUCGGGCACGCGAACAGACGCCGAAGGGACAGCACCUCCCUUGUCCGCCCAAGGCUCCAACAACAUGUAUAAUACAAGCAAUUCAAUACAAAUUAACGCAAUUAUAUAAGGUUUGCACGGGGCAAACAACAACUAUGACAAGUGAAAGCAUCGAAACUAACUAAACGUUCAACAUACAAGUCAUUUGAUUUCAUUUGAAUCAAACACAAGUAAAUUUAAAAUAUUACAUUCAUAUUCUUUUUCAUUCACAUUUACAUCACAAAGGCAUUCAACCCAAAAUAUGUUAUUUACAUCUUUUUCUUACAACUUUUUUGUUCAACAUACAAAAGUUGAUUACUAAAACAUAGGGUAUGCUUAUAAACUCCGAGGCCACUAACUCUGGCGCCAAACCCUUGCCUCGAUCCUCCGCCGCCUCGCUCGCUCAUGGAUCUGCAGGGUUAGUAGUGGUGUAAGAACUACAACGAAGUUCCCAGUGGGUUCGGCCGCCGACCGCGCCGACUCGCCCACUAGGUCUAUGCAGGCAUGUGUAAUUCAAGGAAUGAUAGAUUGCAAACCAACUAAUGCAAAACUAUUACAAUGCUUGCAAGAAAACUGUCAACAGAUAGAUAAUCAAAUACAUGAUAAAUAUGCAUGCAUAUUCUUUUCCUCAUUCAUUUUGGCCUUUACCCAAUUAUCCCGGGAUUCUCCUGGUUCACCCCAAACUCACAGUCCAUUCAUCUCGUCUACUGGGGGAGGCACAUGGCACUACCGCCCAAGGAAUCUUCGCCGGGGUACUUCCCCGUGGUGUCUACACUCCGGAGUAUACCGCUUGAGGAGGAGCUACCUCCCUCAAGCCGGAACCAAUGUGUGAGUACGAUCCAAUCCUCAAUUUGAGGGCGUAGCCAAACCUGUCUCAAUGCACAAAGCCUCAAUGCCAAGGAUAGGUCAUUACCAUAUCACAUUCCCACUAUACCUGAGCCACAAUGGUCCUGAUGCCAUUAUAGGUUAAACCUUGUUUAGCCGUUCUUAUUUUCGGUGCCAAUAUCGUCACUAAUGUCAAUGUCACCAUUGUUUACUAUGGUCAUAGUCUCUUUUUCAUACAUUCACAUACACAUAGGGUUUUUCGCAUUCAUAGUUCACAUGGUUCUAUAUCAAUUCAUAUGUUCUCUAGCAUACAAUUGAAUCUCAACCAAUCAUAUUCAUCACACUACCCUAUAUGCAUGAAUGCUAAUAUCAAUAUGCUCAAUAAUGGUAACAUAAACAUAGAAAAAAAUUCGGUGUUUCCGGAUAGCACCCCCCACCUCUUGGUGAUGCUAAGAUGCUGUAAUCCAAUUUUCCAUAAUUUUUAGACCUCUAUGCCGCUUGCUAUGGCAAAAUAAAGUUGAAACGGGCAUUUUUCCUCGAUAUCUUCGCGUACGCUCGUCGUAUUGCCGAACCGAGCGCGCCAACGCAUUCGUUAACCUACCCCGAAACCACUACCAAUUUGGCACGAUUCGGCCGUGGCGGCGGAUUGCCAAACGGACAGCACCUCCCCUGCCCGCCCAAGGCUCCACAACAAGAAUGUGUACAAGAAUUUACCCAGGAGAUUACAUUCUAAACAUAUACAUUCACAAGGGCACAAAUAGUGCCGACAAUACAAAGAGCAAGAAUCCAUAAGAUAAAAUAUGUGAAAUAAAGAGAAUACUUUACUAACUAUUACAUUAGUUUCAUCAUUUUCAUUUACAUCAUUUUCAUCCAAAAUGAAUACAUUUCUUUCAUCUCAAAAUGCAUAGCUCUCCAAGUCCUCACCUAAAAUGAAUCUCUCUCAAUACAUAGGUGUACUAAUGCAAAAGGAAAAGCUACUAAACUACCACGGUCUCACUGAUCGGGCGCGAUGCCCUUGCCGCGGUCCUCCCUCGGCAGCCCUGUACCUACCAUUGAAAAUAGAGUGGGGUGAGAACUAUCUUCCAUAGUUCCCAGUGGGCUCGGCCGCCGACUCUGCCGAUCUCCCCAAUAGGUCCAAGUGGGCAUAAGUAACAACAGAUAGAUAGAUAGAUAUGUAUCUGAAAGCUGUAAAUGCGAUAGUAGGAAAACUAUGCUACUAUGCCCAUAAUCAUGAAUAUGAAUGCAUGCAUCAUAUAAUAAAGGUUUGCUACCAUGCUAACAAAUUCGAUCCAUGUUCGAAUAGCAAUGUUCAAUGACAUUAUUAAACCUUUAACCUUUCCAUUUACCCAAUCUGUGGCGAGGCCCUAGGGCUCGCCUAUAACUCACCCUUCAAUCCCAAAGUGGGGAGGGAGCUCCAUGUGCACCCAAGCCCGGGACCGUCUGCGGACCUCCAUGUGGUCCGGACCUCCAAGUGGUCCUAGUCGCUCAACACUCCAGAGUACUCGACGACAAUCCCCUCCAUGUGGGGAUUGGAUGGCUAUACUAUUCCAAACGCAGACUGUGAGCUAGAUCUAUCCUCUCCAAGUGAGGAUGCCCUACAUCUAGGGUCAACAACUCAAUCAAGUCCUCUCCAAGCGAGGAUGCUCUACAAUAGAGUCUAUACCCAAUCGAAUCCUCUCCAAGUGAGGGAGCACUAUCACUGGGGUCAACAACCCAAUCAAAAUCCUCUCCAAGUGAGGAAGCCCUACCACUAGGGUCAAAGUCUCAAUCGACUCAUCGACAACCUCUCCACGUGAGGCUACUUAGGUUUACUAAGUUCUUUAUCCAUAAGGCAUUUUCUAAGGGAUCCACCUAUCCCUAGGUUCUCAAACCUCUAGUGUUAUUUACACUACAUUAAUGCCACUCGUCAUCAUUUAAUGUUUGGAUGCCACUCGUUUGUUCUUUAACAUUAACACUACUUUCUAUGUCAUCAAUACCCCCAUCGGGUUCACCUCUUUUCUUUCGCAUUAUAGGAUCCACGUUCCGACCCAAUCCUCACCUAUCUAAGUCACCAAGCGUUCCAAGUACACUAGGUUAUCAUUUAGAAAGCAUAAAGAAUAGAGUUACUAUGCAAUCCUACAAUGCAACAUGAAGAGAUGAGGUUAAAUGCAAUCUAAGACAUAGAAAAGAGUCCGAAAGCUUCGGGAUGGCACCCCCCCACCUUUAAUCGAUGUAGAGACUUCGGAAAUCCUUCUCAGCGAACUUUAAGAUAAGGCUUUAGCCUUCCUUGCCCAAAUCAACACUAACCCGGCCCUAUUUUGUCGAGAACUUCAUGCCGGCUCACCGAAUACCAAAACCGACUUCGCCCCCACGUUUUGUGACCUAACAAUAGGGUUUCCAAGGCUUCAAAUGAGAUCAAUCUCAUCUUUUCACAAAAAUUCCCAUUUUGGAGCCCUAGGUUUGCACCUAUAGCAAACCAUCCAAUAAAUCCCUAAAUUUAUGGGAUUGAUUUACUUAGAAGCAUGCUUAGGGUCCAUUUGACCCAUUCCAAAGCAUAAAAACCCAAAACCCUAAUAUUCUAGAAGCUAGGGUUCAAGAGCCUACCUCUUGUGUUACACCAAAGAGAAGAGGAGAGGGAGAUGAAGGUGCCCAAAGCCUUCCUCUUGAUCUCCUUCUUCUUCUCCUUCUUGUUCUUCCUCUUCUUUUCCUUCCUCUCCUUCUUGUUCUUCUUCUUCUCCUUUCCUUUCUAGAGAGAGAGAGAGCAAGAGAGCAAUGAGAGAGAGAGAGAGGGAGAAAAUGAGAGUGUGAGGGAGAGAGAGGGCUCAGCCCACUCUAAUAAAGGCCAUUUUGCAUAAAAACCCCUCAACUUUCCAUCCACUGCACAGCCCUCACUGGGCAGAGUUUGCGCGGAGGGACCGGUCUCCCCGACUUAGGAUCGGUCCCCGAGGGCCUCCCUCGGGCGCACGCGUUCGGGAACCGGUCUCUCCCCGGGAGACCGAUCCUAGGGAGACCGGUCCUCGCCUAUGUCACGCCCCGGGACCGAUACCAAUUUGGCCCGACCCGAGCACGUCAAACAGACGCCGAACGGACAGAGUUUCCCCUGUCCGCCCAAGGCUCAUCACAUGUACAUUUUCAUCAAUAGAGAAAAGCACUAGCGGAAACAUACACAAACGGCUUACACGAGGGUAAGCAAUAGCCAUUAGUGAAAGAAAGGAAAACUAAACAUUCACAAGUACUAUGAUUCAUUUUGAUCAAAUACAUUGCAUCCAUUUACAUUCAUGAUUCUUUGUACUUCAUUACACGUGGCAUCAUUUCCUUCUUACAUCACAUUUACCUCAAAAUACAUAUUACAUUCUUUUCUUUACAUUACUAGUCAUUAUAUACAAAAGAUGAACAUAGGGUACUUUACUACAAAAUGAAAUCCAACUUUGGUGGCCUCUGACUAAGGCGCGAUACCUUUACCUCGGUCGCUCGCCGGCUCGCUCGGUCCCGGCUCUGUGGAAAUAGUGGGGUGAGAACUACAACAAAGUUCCCAGUGGGUUCAGCCUCAACAUCACCGACUUUCCCACUAGGACUAACUCAGGCAUAAUAGAAAGAAUAAGCUGUAUAGUAACCAAUCUAUAACAUGAUGCUAAUAUGCCUGAACAAUAAGCAAGAAGUAUGCUCAACAUCAAAUAAAUGCAGAUUAUGCAAACUCAUUCGUUCUUUGACUUUACUUUGUACUUUGUUCUUUAUUCUUUGCUCUUUGUUCUUUGUUCUUUAAUCUCAAGGCUAACCCGGAGGUUUCGCCACAUUAGCUUGCUUCACAUUAAGUCUAUCAUCGCAGGAACUCACCCGCUAGGACCGUCCUUUGGGUUUACUCCAACCCGUGAUGCAUAACUCCGGAGCGCAUCGCCCGAGGGGGAGCGACCGCCCUCGAGCACAGAACUCAUAGCAAGUAUGAUCAUAUCCUUAACUCAAAGGAUUAUAAGUUCAAUCUUGACUUUACACUAGCUCUAGUGUUCAUUACAUCACUUUAUGUUGCAAACUCAUGCAAUCACGUUCUUUACAUUAUCCUUUACUUUUGCUGACUCUAGCAAUUAUAUUCUUUACAUUCUUUACUUUUGGCUAUCUCUAGCAUUUCACGUUCUUUACUUCCCACAUUGCGUUAACUUUAAGCAUUGUCAUUUUCAGCAUUCUUUACAUUACAUUGGUUCUUUACCUCACACUAUCUCUAGUGUCAAUUCACAUUAGCUUUAUCGAAUGCCACUCGAUCUAUGUUAUUGUGUCACUCAGUUCUUUUGCUCACUUUGGGUGCUCACUUUCUCUCAUGCAUACAUAGGGUUUUGACAUUCAUUUGGUUCUCUACCAUCAUUAUAAGCAAGUUGCACUCACAAUCAUGCUAUCAUCACAUUCUUAUCAUUACUUCACCCUAAUAUGCAUGCAACAAUAUAUAUAACACAUGCUCAAAUGAAUGACACAUUNCGACCUUGUCUGCGAUCGACGUCGAGGUGCCAUUGCUUCCUGAAAAGAAGCAACUCACAUUAGUCACUUGACCAACAUUACUUGACCAUACCCAAUUAGGCGAAAGCAACAUGCACAUUCAUCCUUGCCUCAAGCGUCAUGUCGUCGGCCGCCUGACACAACACUAGAAGUAGAGGAUAAACGAAAAUUAAACUUAGCCUCUAAUCACAUUAGAGACGUUCCAACUUAACCCAAUCACAUGCUUUCGCUAACUUUGAUCCCACGUCACUCACGUUUCCUAGAUCCUUAAGGCCUUCCAAUCCUAUAGGUCUCUAGGUCCAUUCCUAUUCUUUCACUCUUGUCUCUGAUACCAACUUAUCUGUCACGCUCCGGGACCGAUACCAAUUUGGCCCGACCCGAGCACGUCAAACAGACGCCGAACGGACAGAGUUUCCCCUAUCCGCCCAAGGCUCAUCACAUGUACAAAAUUCAAACAAGAAUUGCACUAACGGAAACAUACACAAAAGGCUUACACGAGGGUAAGCAAUAGCCAUUAGUGAAAGAAAGGAAAACUAAACAUCUACACAAGUAAUAUGAUUCAUUUUAGAUCACAUACAUUGCAUCCAUUUCUUACAUUUAGGAUUCUUUGCAUUCGUUACAUCAUUGCAUCAUUUCUUUCGUACAUCACAUUUACCUCAAAAUGCACAUUACAUUCUUUUCUUUACAUCACUAAUCAUCAUGUACAAAAGAUGAACAUAGGGUACUUUACUACAAAAUAAAACCCAACUUUGGUGGCCUCUGACUAAGGCGCGAUACCUUUACCUCGGUCGCUCGCCGGCUCGCUUGGUCCCGGCCCUGUGGAAAUAGUGGGGUGAGAACUACAACAAAGUUUCCAGUGGAUUCGGCCUCAACAUCACCGACUUUCCCACUAGGACUAACUCAGGCAUAAUAGAAAGAAUAAGCUGUAUAGUAACCAAUCUAUAACACGAUGCUAAUAUGCCUGAACAAUAAGCAAGAAGUAUGCUCAACAUUAAAUAAAUGCAGAUUAUGCAAACUCAUUCGUUCUUUGACUUUACUUUGUACUUUGUUCUUUAUUCUUUGCUCUUUGUUCUUUGUUCUUUAAUCUCAAGGCUAACCCGGAGGUUUCGCCACAUUAGCUUGCUUCACAUUAAGUCCAUCAUCGCAGGAACUCACCCGCUAGGACCGUCCUUCGGGUUUACUCCAACCCGUGAUGCAUAACUCCGGAGCGCAUCGCCCGAGGGGGAGCGACCGCCCUCGAGCACGGAACUCAUAGCAAGUAUGAUCAUAUCCUUAACUCAAAGGAUUAUAAGUUCAAUCUUGACUUUACACUAACUCUAGUGUUCAUUACAUCACUUUAUGUUGCAAACUCAUGCAAUCACGUUCUUUACAUUGUCCUUUACUUUUGCUAACUCUAGCAACUCACGUUCUUUACUUCCCACAUUGCGUUAACUUUAAGCAUUGUCAUUUUCAGCAUUCUUUACAUUACAUUGGUUCUUUACCUCACACUAUCUCUAGUGUCAAUUCACAUUAGCUUUAUCGAAUGCCACUCGAUCUAUGUUAUUGUGUCACUCUGUUAUUUUGCUCACUUUGGGUGCUCACUUUCUCUCAUGCAUACAUAGGGUUUUGACAUUCAUUUGGUUCUCUACCAUCAUUAUGAGCAAGUUGCACUCACAAUCAUACUAUCAUCACAUUCUUAUCAUUACUUUACCCUAAUAUGCAUGCAACAAUGUAUAUAACACAUGCUCAAAUGAAUGACACAUUAGGCAUAGAGAGAAGUUCAAUGAGUUUGAGAAGCACCACCCACCUCGUAGGCUUUCAAAGGUGCUCCGACGAUUUUCUUGGGAUUUUUUAGAUGCUUCGUUCUUUACCUGCGACAAAACGAACCCUUAUUAGGCCAUUUUGCCCAUAUCUUUACUUUGGCUUUUCGUAACGUUAAUCCGAGCGCACCAACGCGUCGGAAAUACCCCCAAUUAGGUUUCUAGAGGGUUAAUUGCACUUAGAAACCCCCAUGAGCAAAAGCCCCAAUUUGGGUGCCCUAGCUCCAAUACACAUAUCAAACCUAGGGUUUGAUCUCAUUCGGAAGCAAAAGUAGCUUCAUUAUACUCUAAAUAGUCCAUUAGAACCAUUCUUAGCUCACUCCAAACCCUAGUUUGGAUUUCACCAUUAGAGGUGGGUUGAAGCUCACCUUGAGCUCAACCAUGGUUUUGAUCUUUAAAGAAGCAAAAAGAAAGCUUCAAAUACUCCAAAGGUUCCAUAAAAACCAUCUUCAUUCUAAUCCAAACCCUAGUUUGGAAUUAAACAUGAGAAGGGGCAAAGCUUACCUCUAGGCUUGCUCCUUUCUUGCUCUAGAGAGGAAGAAGAUGAAGCCUCUUUGCUCCUUGAUCUUCUUCUUCACUUUCUUCUCCGUCUUUUCCUUCUUUUCUUCCUUUCUUCUUCUUCUCCUUUGUCUUCUAGAGAGAGAGAGGAGAGAGUGUGGGAAGGUGUGGAAUGAGAGAAAAGCCCUCAUAUCCCCCAUACAUAACCAUUGGGCUGCAAAAAUGCAAAUAAACCCCUCAACUUUUAUCUCUGUGCACUGCCUGGACUGGGCAGUUUUCGCGGGCAGAGACCGGUCUCCCCGAGCAGGGACCGGUCCCCGAAGGUCCACCCUACGCAGCCAGAGCUUUCGCGCGCAAUGCAUCCGGUCCCUCCCGGGUGGGACCAGUCUCUGGGGGACCGGUCUCUCAGACAGAGACCGGUUCCCGAGAGCUGUCCUUCCAGGACUUAGCCGAUUUUUCGGCUGUCUCAUUCUGCACGCGUUCGGGGACCGGUCUCUCCCACCAGGGACCGGUCCCCGAGAGCUCAAAAUCUGCAGUUUUGCAGAAGUUGAUUCUUUAGCUCUCGAAAACCUCCCGUAACUCACUUUUGAUGACUUUAACACCUUCGGACUUUCCGAAGUGUACCAUCCUCGCACUUUGGUCAAUUUGACUAAAGUUCGAUAUUUAUUUUCCGAAUUUUCGGUAUAUUACAUGAACAACCCUAGGCUCAAACAUUAACCAUCAUAAGCAAAGGGGCAAAAACUCACCUAUAGAGUAAAAUUCCCUCUCAAGCUCUAAAAGAGAGCUAGAACCCCUCCAAUCCAACCAAGAGAAAUGUUCUAAACCAAGAGAUUUAGCUCAAAAAGACCUAAAUCCAAAAUGCCCAAAACAAACCCCAAGUUUCCAUUCUAGGGUUUCAUUUAGUUUAAAGCAUCAAAAUUAGAAUCUAGAGGAAAGAAACUUACUACUAACCUCUUAGAAGCUUCAAUCCAAGCUCAAAGUUUACAAGGUGUGGAGAUCUCCCUCCUCCCAAGCUCCCAACCCAAGGUCCAAGCUUCUCCCAAGGUGAAAUUUGCUCCAAAAAGGAAAAAGAGGAAUUAAACCAUAAUAAUCCAAGAAAAAGAAAAGAUAAAUACCAAAGAGAGGCAAGGAGAAGCUCCCCCUACCUUGUCUCCACAGAUCCCAGCUCAGGGGAGGCCCUAAGGGGCGUGGGGUAUGUAUAGAGUUGCUACAAAAGCAAAUACACCCCUCAAAAGCCGUCAAAUUGCAGUCUGGCAAAGUGUACCGGUACAUGAAAAAGUGUACCGGUACAAAUCUUGCGAAACGUCAAACCCGAGCCUCGGGUUAGAAAUUCGUCACAAGUGUACCGGUACAACCACCAAGGUGUACCGGUACAAAAUCUGUACCGCUACAACCAUCAAGGUGUACUGGUACACAGCCCUGCAGAAAGCAAUCCGAGAGCAGCCUAAGUCCAUCGCUUUGGUGACCUUAGCGCUACAUAAAGCACCACAAUUCUCGGGAUACGAGCCAUAGGUCGGAACACUGUCAACGACCCACCAGAAAAUCUGCAAAAACUCAGAAUACUGAUCAAACACUCGAACCUCGCGAUUUGUAAAUGUCCACUGUGUUACAUGAACAUAGAAGUCCUAAUAAGACUAUCAAAGCGAGUAUAAUAAAAUCACUAAAGUUCUAGCAUAAAGGGAUCCACCAAAAAGAUACAAGAAUAUACAACUAAAUUCAGAAUCUAUCAUAAAGCUCUAAACAAUUACAUAAUACAUCUUUUUCAAAGGUACAAAAAGAAAAGAUGACAUUGGAUCCAACUAAAAUAACUCCGUAGGACUCUAGCUAGCCGCCAACCACUUGUCUCGAUCCCUAGCCACUCCCAAUGCGGAUGGCUCUAAAAACAACCACAAAAUAGAGGGGCUGAGAACUAUCAAAAAUAGUUCCCAGUGGACAAUUACUGAUCUCAGCGAAAUGCUCCACUAGGCUGACGUAAGCACGCUAUAAGUGUUAAUUCAUAAGCAGAUAUGAAAGCAGGUAUUUAAACAAGUUUCUAUCAAAGUCAUGUUUCUACUAGAAGGAUUAAUAAAUUAUCAUGCAUAUAAAGUUCUAUUGUCAUUUGAUCAACUAUAUAUCAAUGUCGGUUUACAUGCAUAAUCAAUUAUAUGCUAAUGUUCUAUUAUAUGCACAUUCAACAAUAUGCCAAUACUAGUUUACAUGCAUGUCCAUGAUAUUCAUAAUGCUACAAUAAGUGACGAUACAUCUCAUUACUAUUCUAACCAUACAUUAUGCCAAUCAAUAUAAGUGUAACAUACUACCACUAGAGUGUCAAUGCUAACAAUGACUAACAUAAGGUCCACAUAUGCACUAUCAUGCGUGUCCACUAUUCCAAUUGAUAUACAUCAUCUAGUAGUAGUUUUCACAUUACACUUUAGGUUUCAUAGUUCAAUCCUCGUCAUGGAUCUACACGUGUGUAGUCGGGCUGGUGCCGUGCCAAAAAUAGUCCCGUAGCAGUCAACAUUCCCACUGUAGGAAUGAGCCUCCCCCACGGCAUCCCAUUUCGACGCCCAAUCCCGCACGGUCGAGCCUGUGUCGCGUAGGCUAUCUCCGGAGCGCCGGCUUGUGGGGAACGACCCUCACAAGCAUGUGCAAAUGAGCACAAAGGCAAGCAAGCGUGAUCAAUAGUAUCCAGCUCUCGGUAAUCAUGUUUAAAAUAUGGAAUAAGUGGCAACGACCCCAAAGGUCCCAUAUGUUAGAAAAUUGCGUAUGGUAAAACACAGCGGAAAAAGAAAUCAAACAAAUUUGAUUUUGAAAACUCUCGAGAUCCAAUCUCAAAAACCACGCAAUUUGGAUCCCUCAUGUUCUUUAAGAUUAAAGGAGAAAAGUAAGAUCGAAUCUUUAUCUUUUUCGCGGAUAGAUCUUGUCAAGCCCCGGGGCCCAGCGGGAGCCCGCCCGGCACGUGUCCAGACCCGCCAUAUGUCUAAAACAUAUAAGGCGUGUACGAUACAGCAAUAAAUAAAAUUAAAUAAUACAAAGAGAUCUAGUGAUAUCAGAGCAAGGUACUACUAGAAUCUACAACAGGAGAGUAUAAUAAGAGCUAAAAUCCACAAAAAUAAAUCAUGAAGUAGAACGACAGAAUUCCGAGUACAAAUGCUAUAAGUGGUACAAUGGUGGUCUCUAUACAUGGUAACAAAACUCUCUCUCUCACCAAAUACCCAAAAAGAGAGUAGACCACCUAGGAGUAAAGGCAGGCUCCGCACUAACUAGCUACGCGACUCCCUCGCCGUGAUCCCGUGCCUCCGCCGGUGCUGAAGGCUCUGAAAAAAAGUAUCAAACAGAGGGCAUGAGAACUAUUAAAUAAUAGUUCCCAGUGGGCAAUUACUGACUUCAGUGAAAUGCACCACUAGGCCCAAAACUAANCCCUCCUUCCUCUCCUUCUCCUUCUUCCUCUUCUUCUCUAUCAAGGGUGUAGAGAGGGUUGAGAGAAGCGAAAUGGGGAGAAGAGAGGGUGGAGGGGUCAUAUAGACCCUCUAAUGUAACAAAAUCCCAAGAGACCCCUCAAAAAUCCAAUAUUGGAUCAGCCCGGUCUGGACAGUUUUCGCCCAGAGGGACCGGUCUCUCCCCAGCAGGGACCGGUCUCUCGCUGCGAACCCGAAAAACCAACGUUCGGGAACCGGUCUCUCCCUGCGCGGGACCGGUCUCUCUCUCUGCGAAGGCGCGCUCGGGGACCAGUCUCGCCCGCCAGGGACCGGUUGCCUCAGGGCUGCCGCAACACUGCUGAUUGGGGGACCGGUCUCUCCUUCCAGGGACCGGUCCCCGAGAGUGAAAACUCUCAGGACCAAACCAAAACUCAGGUUUUCGAACUUUUUAGGUCGGAAAACAUUCUACAACCCUCCACCAAGUGUGGAAAAGCUCGAAAUACACCCAAACACUCGAACCUCGCAAUUUGCAAAGGUCAAGUGCGUCACAGCAACAUCAUCCUCGUGAUGUCCCCACCUAGCACCACUAUCCGUUGGAGGUACGACCUCAACUCCAAUAUCAAACAGUACUACUGUAACAUACCACAUCCCUCGUAAAUCGUGCCGAGUUUCGUCGAAACGAGCGGAACGCGGAGUGGGUCGAGUGGUUAUAGGCCCUAAGUGCGUUGGAGCCUAUAUAUAUGGUGCAAAGGGACCCGAGAGAGUGAGAUUUCAAAAUCUGGCUAAGUCUCAGAUUUUGUGCUCCUGGGGACCGGUCCCUGAAGGAGAGACUGGUCCCCGUACGCGUAGCCUGCUAGGAAAUCUUGAGGCAUCCGGUCCCUGGUGGUGAGACCGGUCCUCGGGAGACCGGUCCCUGAGGGAAAGACCGGUCCCUCGUUGCGCAGCAGCUGAAAAAGCCCGAAAAUCGGCUAAGUCCUGGAACCCCUCGGGCAAAUCGGCUAAGUACUGAACCCCUCGGGCAGUCCGACUGGAUGUGGCCCUCUUGACCACACAAGUAACACUUGCCCUGCCUCUAAGAGCACUGUCGUGGGUAAUGACGACUACCGCAGAUCACGCAACUCAGAGUCUGGCGAUGCUCAGAUCCUCCACGCUGUGCAGAUGAGCCACAUCCUCGCGAUUGGCUCCUGUUCCUGGCAUAUCUCGGCGGCCUCCCAGAGUGCGUCUGACUCGCACCCUCAGCCGCAAGCCUCUUGCCUUUCCUUUGUCCGAGCCUCCUCGAUGCUCCUGCAAGUCCACCGCGCCGCUCUUCAUGAUGAGCGCACGGUUCACCACAUCUCAGUAAGUCUGAAGAUUGGAGGAUUACACCAACCGAAAGAUUAACGACUAAAGUCCUCCCUCGAAGAUGCGAGCCUUAUUCUCGUCGUCCUGCACAACAAAGGGCACAUAGUGUAGUAGCCGAGAAAACUCCCUCUCGCACUCGGCCACGGUUCGAUCUCCUUGGUGCACCUCGCACAGAUCCUGCUCCAUCUUCUCUUAACACUAACGGAAAAGUAGUGCUCCAAUAAGAGUUCCUUGAACCUCUUCCAAGAAAUGGCUGCUAGGUCAGUGUUGGGAUUAUCUUGGAUUCCCAACCACCAGCUAUAGGCCUCGCCGUCCAAAUGGUGAGUAGCGAGCCCAAACUCUGUCUCUCUUCUCCAUGAAAGUGUCGCGGAACAACUUCUCCAUGUGCAUAAGCCACUUUUCAACGAUCCAGUGGUCGGCUUUCGCUCUAUUAAAGAUCCUGGGAUCGCACCUCCUGAACUCGUUGAGGCGAUCUAUGAGCCGCUGCCGCUCCGCUUCCUCAACCAUCAAGGGGAAAACCGCCGCUGCUAUAGGCACCUGAGCUGGUGGUGCCGCAAAUACCUCCUCCCGAGGUGCUACCGCAGGUGCCGUCCGCGAAGUGUCGAGUGCAGGGGACGACCUCCUGGGUGCAACCCCCUCUACCAGCGCGGGUGGUACAGGGACCUAAGCCUCCCUGGCAGCCGCUUGCUGUAGUAGAAGAUUCUUCAGGCGCUGCAUCCGUGCCUCCUGUCGGCGCGCCGCAUCUGCAUGCUGUCGAGCCCCCGCCCCGCCUGCUGCGUCACCAAGUCAGUGAGGGCCGCAAUGUCACGCCCCGGGACCGGUAGAGGCCUUCCCGGUGGCGUGCCCAGACCCGCCAUAUGUCUACACAUAUAAGGCGUCUACAAUAAAAGCGGAAGUAAAAGCAAGAAAUAGAACAAAUAGAAUAAAUAGCAACUAAUGAUAUCAGAGCGAGUAAAGUUCUAUCAUCUAAACCAGAGUAAAAGAAACAUAACUAGACAAUAAAAGUAGCCAUAAGGUGGUACAGUAUCUGUCCCAAAGGUACACAAAAAGGGUAGUCUCUAGUACACUGGUACAGCUCUCAACCUCUCCAAAAUAAAAAUAUCGAGAGGUAGACCACCUAGCUACUCGUCUCUCGCAGAAGAGCUAGCUCGAAGCCACGCCCUUCCCUCGGUCCCUAGCCUCUCCCGGCAGGGAAGGCUCUGAAAGAAAACAUAAAACAGAGGGCGUGAGAACUAUAUUUUAUAGUUCCCAGUGGGCAAUUACUGACCUCAGCUCAAUGCACCACUAGGCCCCAAAGGAAAAGGGUAAGUAACAACAAUAAUGAUAAAAAUAAAGAGCGAGUAUAAGAACUGCUGAAAGAAAGCAUAAAUGAAAUGCUAUACUACCAUGUCCCAAGUAAGCAUGAUGUCAUGGUGAUGUACAUCUACGCUAUCACAAGAUAAUAUGUCCAAUGCAUACUAAUAGGCCAUAACAUAAUAAACAAGUAAACCUCACGAUGCAAUAUGUCAAUGCAAAAGGAGUAAGCUCUAUCAAAGCAACCCAGUAUGCUAAGAUGCGAUGAAUGAAACAGGCAAGUAUACUAUAUAUCCCAAUGCUAGGUCAUGAGCAUGUCAAGUAAUCCAACUACUAAGCCUAUCUAGUAGUGAUUAGUCAAUCUCAACACUGUGUCGAUUUCCAUUUCCAAUUAAGGACCUACCAAAGGUACUCCAGCUUGUGCCGCCUAAGUGCCUGUGGUAGCCCAACAUCCUUACUCUUGGAAUGUGUUUGUCCCACUCGACCCCGUAGGCUUCUCAAUACCGCACGAGCGAGCAUAAGUCGCGUAGGCUAUCUCCGGAGUGCCGGCUUGUGGGGAGCGACCCUCAUAAGCAUGUGCGAAAGAGCACAAAUGGCAAGCAAGCAUAGUCCAAGUCUCAAGCAUCCAAUCCUCAUGUCUCUAACAUGGUAUCGUCACUAGCAUCCCGAAGAUCUAGUUUACGUCACAAGGCGAGGUUCCAAACACUCACAACGCCUAGUGCCCCUUGAUGACACUUAGGCAAUUUAAUGUUCAACAUAAGCCAAAUCCCGCAAUGGCUCUAACCAGUAGGUUCACACAUGUCCCGAGCUCAAUGCCGCUUAAUGACAUUAGCUCUCUAAUUCACAUACAUUCUAGUUCAAUACCUCUAUAUGGCAAUUUUGUCACCUUUCAUGUCACAAAUAAACUUAAGUUUAAAUGCAUGUGCCAAUUCUCCUUUACACUAUAGAAGCAUGAAACCAAGUCUCAUAUAGAAUGCUAAAUGCAACCAUAGAUCUCUCAAGCAACUCUCUACUACAUAGAGGUCCAAAAUUUCACCACAUGCAACAUAGGCAUUUUAACCCUUCUAAAAAUCAUAAUAAAUGCAUCUAGCAUGGAAAUGCAUGCAUAAACAUUUAACAGUACUCAAAUCAACACAAAUGAGAUUUUCUCAUUGUGUGGCUAGGCCAAACCCACCGAUCCGUCGCGUAGGGCCUCGUUUCGCCGAACGGAGUUGUCCACGAGUCUCAAAAUACCCUAAAAGUAUUGAGCGAAGAGAUACACGGGCAUUACGAUCAACUAUAAGAUCAAACAUUAACCUAGAAGCAAAAGGGCCAAAACUCACCUCAAGAGUAGAAAUCCUCUCCUAAGCUCCAAAGGAGAGCUAGAAUCCUUCCAAUCCAAGCCCAAGGAAGGUUCUAAUUCAAGAAAUUUAGCCUCAAAAGCCCUAGAUCAAAAAGCCCCAAAAAUCAACCCUAAUAUACAUUCUAGGGUUCCAUAUGGUAAAACCUACCAAAUCAAGGAUCAAAGGGUAGAAUCCAAGUAGUAACCUCCCAAGAUGCCUCCAAACAAGCUCCAAAUCUUCUAGGGUUGAAGAUUGGUCCACCACCAAGCUCUACAAGCAAGCUCCAAGCCUUGCAAAGGUGGAAAGGGGGAAAAGGGUUGAGCUCCAAGCUCCCUCAACCAAGCUCCUCUUCUUCUUCUCCUCUUUCUUCUUCUUCUCUCUCUAGAAGGUGUAGGGAGUGGGUGAGAAUGAGGGAAUGAGAGAGGGAUGAGAGAGAAAUGGCUAAUAAGCCCAUCUAGUGUAACAAAUCCAGUGAGGCCCCUCAAAAAUCCAAUAUUGCAACAGCCUGGUCUGGGCAGUUUUCGCCUAGAGGGACCGGUCUCUCCCCAGCAGGGACCGGUCUCUCGCUGCGAACCCGAAAAACCAACGUUCGGAAACCGGUAUCUCCCUGCGCGGGAUCGGUUGCCUCGCCGGCUGCGCAGCACUGUUCACUGGGGGACCGGUCUCUCCUUUCAGGGAUCGGUCCCCGAGAGUGAAAACUCUCAGGACUCGCCCAAAACUGGGGUUUUCGAACUUUUUAGGUCGGAAAACAUUCUACGACCCUCCACCAAGUGUGGAAAAGCUCGAACCACAACCAAGAACUCGAACCUCGCAAUUUGCAAAGGGCCAGUGUGUUACACGCAAGCUGGCUCCUCAACUCACGGACCUCGCCGGAUCCGAAGGUAGCGGAUGUCUCCGCUUCCUCAAGGUUUGCAACGUCAUCCGCUCCAACAGACUUAGAGCGUGUAGUUGGCAGCGAUAUUACAACGUCAUAAAAGCACGAGUUAACAAAACCCACGCUAUCGAAUCCCCGCUCAAAACGAAUACCCAAAUCAUGCGAAAGUAAGGAAGUGUUAUCCACAACUAACUCCCGAUGUUACGUUGUCGGCCUCCAACGUAACCCUCCGCGAAGUUAGAAGUCAUACACUCCGAUCCAACUCCAACUUUUUAGAGUUAUCGUAAAACCCAAUUGAAAUACUUUCGCUUACAAGUCAAAUAGACCUCGUCUCUCAUGAGCCUAUUUUCUAUAGUCCAAUCGGCCUAAGAUUCACUAGGUCCACUAAGACUCAACCCUAGGCUCUGAUACCAAAAUAAUAUGUCACUCCACGGGGCCGAGCGGGAGCCCGCCCGGCACGUGUCCAGACCCGCCAUAUGUCUAAAAUAUAUAAGGCGUCUACGAUACAAAAAUAAAUAACAUUAAAUAAUACAAAGAGAUCUAGCGAUAUAAGAGCAAGUUACUACUAUAAUCUACAACAGGAGAGUAUAACAAGAGCUAAAAUCCACAAAAUAAAUCAUGAAGUAGAACGACAGAAUUCUGAGUACAAAUGCUAUAAGUGGUACAAUGGCGGUCUCUAUACAUGGUAACAAAACUCUCUCUCUCACCAAAAAUACAAAAAGAGAGUAGACCACCUAGGAGUAAAGGCAGGCUCCGCACUAACUAGCUAUGCGACUCCCUCGCCGCGAUCCCGUGCCUUCGCCGGUGCUGAAGGCUCUGAAAAGAAAGUAUCAAACAGAGGGCGUGAGAACUAUUAAAUAAUAGUUCCCAGUGGGCAAUUACUGAUUUCAGUGAAAUGCACCACUAGGCCCAAAACUAAGCAAGGGAGGUAAGAAUAAUAUGAAUAAAUAAAUCACAGAAAUAAAAGCUCACUAUAGCAUGAUGUCACUACUUUCAUCAGUAAUAAUCUACCACAUGAUCUCUACUUAGCAUGAAUUUGCAUAAGUAAUAAACUACCACAUGAUCUCUACUUAGUAUGAAUUUGCAUAAGUAAUAAGCCACCACACGAUCUCUACUUAGCAUGAAUUUGCAUAAGUAAUAAGCUACCAUGGCAUAAUUGCACAAGUAUAAGCCUAUCACAAUAAUCACAAGCUAGAAUGGUAAUGUGUCAUUAUCCACUAUUCUAGUCAAUGUCCAAAAGGUACAAUAUGUCGCCAGUAACCCAAUCAUGUGGAAGCUACCCGUAGGCAGUCCGGCCUACGCCGUGCAAACAAUGGCCCCGUCGUAGUCAACAUCCCCACUCCAGAAAUGAGCCUCCCCCACGGCAUCCUAUUUUGGCGCCCAAUCACGCACGGGCGAGCAUGUAUCGCGCUGGCUAUCUCCGAAGUGCCGACUUGUAGGGAGCGACCCUUAUAAGUAUGUGCGAAUGAGCAGAAUGACAUGCAAUCGAAUAAGUCCGUCUCAGGUCCCAGUGGUUCUGUAAUCUUAGCAUGAAUUUGCAUAAGUAAUAAGCUACCACAUGAUCUCUACUUAGCAUGAUUUUGCAUAAGUAAUAAGCUACCAUUGCAUAAUUGCACAAGUAUAAGCCCAUCACAAUAAUCACAAGCUAGAAUGGUAAUGUGUCAUUAUCCACUAUUCUAGUCAAUGUCCAAAAGGUACAAUAUGUCACCAGUAACCCAAUCCUGUGGAAGCUACCUGUAGGUAGUCCGGCCUGCACCGUGCCAACAAUGGCCCCGUGGUAGUCAACAUCCCCACUCUAGGAAUGAGCCUCCCCCACGGCAUCCCAUUUUGGCACCCAAUCCCGCACGGGCGAGCAUGUGUAGCGAUGGCUAUCUCCGGAGUGCCGACUUGUAGGGAGUGACCCUCACAAGUAUGUGCGAAUGAGCACAAUGGCAUGCAAGCGAAUAAGUCCGUCUCAGGUCCCAGUGAUUUAUCACUGUUUCAUCGGAUCUAAAACCCGGAAUACAGCACACAUCCCAAAGGCCUGCCUCUAUGUCAUCGCGUCUAAAACACGGAAUAUAGUAAUUGUCUCAAUGGCGUAUCUCUAUGUCAUCAUGUCUAAAACAUGGAAUAUAGUAACUGUCUCAAUGGCCUAUCUCUAUGUCAUCAUGUCUAAAAUAUAGAAUUUAGUAGAUUUCCAAUGGCCUAUCAUCAUGUCUCUAAGUUGUAGUUCAAUAAUUUUCUAGUUCAAGUGCCCCUUUAUGACACUUUUGCUUACUAUGUCCCAAUAUGAAUAAUAAGUCUAAAAGCUUGUCAUUUUAAUCAUUUUUCACACAAGAAACAUGAUCUUACAUCAUUCAUUAGAACAUUAAACUCAUGCAUACUAACAAUGCAUAUGCUUCUCUCUACAAUAUAGAGUCAGUUUUUCAUGAUGCAUAACAUAGGCGUCUUAAGCGUUCUAAAGUUCACAUAAGUUUCAUUUAACAUGAAUAUGCAUGUAUUUAUAGAAUACGAAAACAUUCAACCACAUAGGAGGCAUUUCCUCCCAUUUCAAUGAAGUCAAACCCACCAAGUCCUCUUGAAGCCCAUCGUUUCGCCGAAGGGAGGUGCCCACUAUCCUCCUAGCUCCCUAUAGGUAAAACUAGGGGAGUUACACGAACGAAACGAACUACAACAAGCUAAAACAAUAACAAACUCAAGAUAAGGGCGUAACUCACCUAUAGUGAAGCAAACCCUUCCGAAGCUCCAAAUGGGAGCUAGAACCCUUCCAAUCCAACCUAGAGGAUGAUUCUAAACCAAUCAAUUGAGCUCCAAAAGCCCUAGAUCAAAAAUCCCCAAAUCAAGCCCUAAAUCUUCAUUUCUAGGGUUUCAUCACAAAGAGACCAAUAAAACAUGAGUCAAAAGGGGAGAACAAGUUUCUAACCUCUUGAAAAGCUUCAACCCAAGCUGAAAGUCCUCUAGGUUCAAGGAUUUUUCCUCAAACAAGCCUAAAGUCCAAGCUCCAAGCUUCAACAAUGGUGGAAAUUGCUCCAAAAUGCAAAAAGAGAAGUAAAUCCACCAAAAUCCAAACUAAAAGGAGAUCAAAACCAAAGAAAUGGUAAAGAGGGCUCCCUUACCUCCUUCUCCUCCUUCCUCAGCUCAGGGAAAGCCCCAAGGGGCGUGGGUGAUAUAUGGAAUAUCUACAAUUGUAAAAACACCCCUGCAGUUCGACCAUUCAAAAUCUGUCACUGCGUACCAGUAUACGGGCCUCGGGUUUGACAGAUGCCAAACCCGAGCCUCGGGUUGGCUGGGAAGCUGCCUGUGUACCGGUACACGAGCCCGUACCGGUACAACCAUCAACCCUGUACCGGUACAGCCAUCAACCCUGUAUCGGUACGUAGUCUGCUGAAGGCUAUCCGAGAGCACACUAAUAAUCCAACUUUUUGGGUUUUGGUGCCAAGUUUUAAACCUCAAUUCUCGGGACUCGAACCAUAGGUCGGAACACUGUCUACGACCCUCCACAAAGUGUGGAACAGCUCGGAACACAAAUCAAACACUUGAGCCUCGCAAUUUGCAAAGGUCCAGUGUGUUACAGAUCUUCACCUCAAUUUGAUAAUCGUGGAAUUCGGUUCUCUUGAAGCCGCACACGCGUCCGGCCACUAUAGGUAUCCACACGAGGUUCUUGAUUUGAUCGAUGUCCUCACCGGGGUGCUAGCUCCCUUGCAAAGGACGUCUUUCUUGUUAGAAUAUGGAAGAGAGAAUAAGAGAGAUGACGGCUGGGGUUUUCUAAAAACUCUCGUAUAUUAUAUAUAGGAAUAUAAUCCUAUUCCUAAUAAUAUAAUGACAAUUAAGGAUAAGUAUAAAUCUAGAUUUAAAUUUAUCUUUUCCUUAAUUGGUUAGAUCGAUCAAAUUCUAAUUUGAUUCGACUUGAAUUUUAUAUUAAUUUGAUCUUAUCAAAUUAAUAAUGCAACAUUUGCACACAAGUCCUCUUAUAAUUUACUAACUAUUAGUAAGUCCUCUUUUGUAACAUUUACACUUUAAUACCACUAAUUUGUAACAAUUACAAAUUAGUCCAAUUAUCAACAUAUUGACAAUUAGGUCCUCCUGCGAUUCAAUAAUCGCGAUCUAGCAUCCGAUCAAUCACAACCUCUUAUGUGUGUGACCCUAUAAGUUCUAUUCUAUCUGGUAGUGAGAUAUAUUUUGAUCACUAUCAACAAUAUCACGGAAACUCCUUUCAGUAAAUCAGAACAAUUCCAACUCUGCCCAAUGAGAAUUAUCGAUCAUAUAGAUAAUUCUCAUGAGUCUCACAAUCCACCAGUGACGCCUAGCAGCAUGUAGUGGCAUUCCAGUAUAAUGGAAUACUGAACCUCUUGGUGCAAUUACCGUGUGAUACAAUCCUUCUAUCAUGAGUCCCGACAAGACGGAGGUUAUGGAAUAACUCGUCAAAGCCCAUCGCCUGUCAUAUAUUAAAUUUAUUCGACUCGAGUUUCUAAUAUCGGAAACCUUUUUUCGCUAUUAACUCUGCCCUGGCCAAGGUCUUCUGAACUCGGUCUCAUAAAUCACAUCGGACUAACACCCCUAUCUACCAAGUGAGAUAGAUUUUAUCUAAGUGUCACCCUAUUCCUACAAUAAACCUACUGUAGCCAACAUGCAUCGCAAGGACCCGAAUGGCUAGGGACCAAGUGUAUGUACAAUCAAACUACAGUAAUCUCAUUGUGAAUAGCCGAGGCACCGCAGGUCAAAGUACCAGUCACACUACUGCAACAUUGAGUAAGUCACUGACGAGUGAGAAGACAUCCAAGUGACUUCUCGUGAUGGUCACGCUCGGUACCCUUGUUCUCUAACAACCACCUGCAUAUUCGCUUCAGUGUCCCUACACUAUCGACUCGAGACCCGUCUACCCAAAAGAAAAGCGACCUAUGCACCAAUCUCACCGGAUCAAUCACCGCCCCCGUGAUGAUCCAUUGAUUGGGAGUAUUUAGGAAUUAACCACCAAUAACACAUGUCUCAAAUUCUCAACUCUUGAGAAUAUAUGUCAUCAUCUUAUUAAUUCCUUGGACGAUUCACGGACACAUACACAACAUGAAUAGAAAUAAAAAUUCAAAUUUAUUUAUAAUAUUUUAAAGUCAAAUACAAAUUUAUGUCCUAGAAAGAAUACAUGUGUCAACCUGGUUGACUUCUAGGGCAUACAUCUAACAAUCUCCCACUUGUACUAAAGCCAAUCAGCCAUAUACUGUAAUAUACUGAACUUCUAAAAUAUUGAAGUUACGGUGUACAUUUGGUUGAAAAGCCAUUUGAAUGGUCCCGGUGAAGUUCGGUGAAGUUCUGGAGCAAUCGGGCGUUUCGAUGCGCGUAGGUGCGAAAACGGAACCCGAAAGGUUAUGUUGGACCAUGAGCUAAAUCCAGCAUUAACGUGGAUGAAACGAUGAUGAAAAUACGCUCGAAAACAUGUUUGGAGAGUCUCGGUUCGAUUUGAAACGAAUCGGAUGUCAAACGAGCGAAAACGAGCGAAAACGGUGAAAAAAAGUUGAAAAUUUGGCUAAGUCCUAAAUGCUGGAAUUCUGGACCCUACGGGGACCGGUCCCUCAAGUCCAAGGACCGGUCCCUGAGCCCGAAAAAUGCCCAGAAUGAGCAGUGGCAGUUUGGUAAUUAGGGGAAAGUUGGCAUAUAUGAAGGGCUUUGCCCCUACUCCUUCUUCCUCCUCAUUCCAACACACACACACACAUAUACUGGUAGAGAGAGAUGCUCUCUCCUCUCUCUCUAGGAGCUCUCCCUCUCUCUCUAAGAGUGGAUUUAGGAGAAGAAGGUCGAGAUUGGAGCUUGGAGAAGGACCAACAUCAUCUUCUUCAUCUUCUUGCUAGCUAGUUGAGGUAAGCUCUUUGAGUCUCUCAUGGUAAAUGGCUAGAGCAUGGCUUAGACCUCUUUGAACUUAGCUAGAUGAUGUUUAUUGGUGCUCUAAGAGUAGUUGAUCUCAUUUAUUGUGAGAUUAGUAGCUUGUAUGAAGCUAAUUGCAACAAUGGUGAUUUAGGGCUCCAAAAAGAGGGCUUUUGCUUGUGAGGGGUUUUGAUCUCAAUUGACCCUAUACAAACCUAAUUGGGGGUAUGACGAACGCGUUGGUGCACUCGGUUCGACAAUCUGACCAGUGUACGAGAAGUUAUUGACGAAACAGUCUGUUUUGGUACAGAGAGUCGCAGCACGCGGGAUAAGCCUCCAAAAAUCAUGAAAAUGGAUCGAGAGCAUUGUGGCGUCGGGGAAUAAACUCCCGAACAGACGGAUCACGGAUUGGUGGCCGUUCGGGUGGUCGCACAAAAGUUCGGGCCAAACCGGGUCACCGGUGCCGCGGGAGACCGAUUGCAAGUGACUACAAGCAAUUGGAACGCGGUAAAAGGUGUGUUGUGCUUACCGAAGCGACUAGGUCGCCUUCAUGCCAAAGUAUAAUGUAUUUCACUUUUGAUGCAUGGUGGUGAUAAGAAUGCUAUAUAAGAAUGCAUGAUAAGAAUGCUAUGUAAGAAUGCAUGAUAAGAAUGCUAUGUAAGAAUGCAUGAUAAGACUGCUAAGAAAUGAAUGCAUGUGAUAGAUGUUAAGUAAUGCAUGUAAUAUGUGCCAAGUAACGAAUCAUAUGAGAUGUAUGCUAAAGAAUGCAUGUUGACAUAUUAUAGAAAUGCUAGAUGAAGCAUGUGUUAAAUGUUAAAGGCAUGUAUGAGAUGUAUGUUAAAUAAACAUAUGAGCUAGAUGAUGUAUAAAUGCAUGAUUUCAUAAUGUAAGAAUAUGUUAGAAUGAUAUGAGGGUUGAACUUGAGUCAAUGAACACUAAGUAAAGUAAAGAACUCGACAAGUGUCAUAUGUAAAGAAUCCUAAGUAUAAAUAACUAGGAUGACGAGUGGCAUUGAACCUAGUGUCAUUGAACAUAGGUUAUUCACGAGUGGCAUGUCAAGUAUGGUUCCUAGGUGUGGACAACUAGGAUAACAAGAACAUGAGUGGCAUUAAACCUAGAGUCAAGUAAACCUAGGUUGUGAAUGUAGUGACAUGAAACCUAGAGUCAAGUGAACCUAGGUGAUUAAGAAUAUUGAACCUAGUGUUAAUGAACCUAGGCUAAGAAGGUAAUGACAUUGAACCUAAUGUAUUAACUUAGGUUGAGUAAAGGCUUGGACCUAGAUAGGUCGAUAACAUAGGGUGAGACCAACCCUCGAGUAAUGUGAAGUGGAUUCCGGAAUCCCUGCUGCUAGUGCAGCGGCUGCUAGUGCAGCAUACAAGCUCGAUAGUUCUUGGCCGCGGGUGCAUGUGGCAUGUUCCUCUCCCACCGGAAGAACUUCGAGGCUUGUUAAUGAGCAAGAACAAUGAGCGCUAGGGUGCAUGUGGCAUGUUCCUCUCCCUAUCGGGGAUCUCGGCUGCGGGUGUAUGCGGCAUGUUCCUCUCCCAUCGGGGGAUCCCUGACCACGGGUAUACGCAGCUCUGGGCGACCCGUUGGGCGAUGUGGUUUGUGGAUUGAUGGCUGAGGUGCAUGUGAUAGUCCCUUCAUCUCGAGCCUGACAGAGCGCGGAUUAUCCGCAUAUGAUUGACUCAAGACCGAGUCGGGCGGCAAAGUUGGCUAAGGUAAAGAAACUUUAGGAAAGAAUGGCAAUGUGUAUAAUAUGGCUAAGGUGUGAGUACCCUUAGAAUAAAGAAUAAAUAAAAAAAAAGGGCUAACGCUAAAGAAUGGCAAGUAAUAAAGAAUAAAGAAAGACAAAUGCUAAAGAAUAGCUAGUAAAAUAAAGAAUGACUAAAAGUAAAGAAUGGAUAAGAAUAAAGUGUAAAAGCAAUUAAUCUACUAUAUGAGUUGCAUAAUUUACAUAUUGCAUGUUGUGAGGCAAAAGCAUGGUAAUGUUAGUUGCAUGAUUUACGAUUUCAUAUCUAUCUAUUGGACUAACAUGUUGUCUGCCUCCUUUGGACCUGACGGUCGAGCUCUUCCCUUGGGUGGCCGUACCCACUGGGAACCAUGGAGUUGGUUCUCACCCCACGUUGUUUUGGGGUGUUACAGGUUCACACGUGAGCGGCGUGGCGGCGCGAGGCAAAGGCGUAGCUCCGUAGUUAGCGCCCUAGCACUGAGACCAGAUAGCAGCACCCUGAGUCGACUUCUUAGGGGUAUAAAUUGCAAAGAACCAAGAGUAUGAUGAUUGUAAGAACAAUGUUGUAAUGACUAUAUUAAAACUAAAUUAUAUUUGGAAGUAAGAAUCAAGGAAUCAAAUAUGAUGUAAUCUAAGAAUGCAAAAUGUAAUAUGUGAGAUGAAUGCUUGUAAUAGCAAGUAGAUUUAUGUUUUUGAUACUUCCUUAUGCAAUCCUUGGUUGAAAUGUGUUCCUGGUUGGAACUUCGUAUAUUGUAUUGAUUGCGACGCCUUGAAUGUACAGGGGAGACUCUGUCCGCGGUACAGGGAAAAUCCUGUCCGUUCGGCGGUCUGUUGGCGUGUCCGAAACGGACCAAAUAGUCGGGCUCGGGGCGUGACAGAUAAGAUGGUAUCAGAGCAUAAAAAGAACAUAGAAAGAACAUAAAAAGAACAUAAAAGAGUAUAAAGAAAAUAGUUUAGCUUGACCUAAGGAUAGUAAACCAUAGGAUAUUAAGGCUUGUGUGAGACGAGGACUUGUGACUUGUGGUGAAAGGAUAAUGGAUUGGGUUACGUCGUAAACCUCUAAAAGGGAGAUUAGAGGUAGAUUCAAGGUGUGGUUUAUUCUCAACCAAGUGUGUUCAUGUUGGGCGUACGACAACAUGAAACCGAGUGAUGAGGAUAGAUGCCCUUGUAUGACUUUCGCCCGAUUUGAGUCAAUAUUAAAUGUUUCAUACUCGACCUCGAAGGUUGAGAAUUAAUCGAGUUGUCAUGUUUUAGGGAACGAUGGCACCGCGUAGACGAUCAUCGGCUAGAUCGACGCAGGAUGGGGCAAGUGAUGUCCCUGAGCAACCCAGAGCAAGUGGAGACUCGGAGCUCCGCGCACAGUUGGGAAUGUUGGUGGGCAUAGUGCAGCGUCAGCAGGAGGCUGCCAUGCGCCAGGAAGAACGGAUCAAGAGACUUCAGAAGACCGUGGAGCAGCUAGUUGCUGCGCCAGUUGCAGCUCGUCGAGGACUGGCAGGGCUUGCCGCAGAGAUGGUUCCGUCGGGGUCGGGCGAUCCAACUCCCGAAAGUGCAUUGGCGGAGGCGGAGAAAGAGCGGGCUAUGGCAGCCCUCAUGACCUUCGUAAAGUUUGAUCCGCCUACCUUCGAUGGAGAGAAUGUUGAUCCCUGGAUUGUGGAUAUGUGGAUUGACUCUAUGGAGACGCUCUUUGAGGAGCUGUACAUAUUGGAGCGGGACAAGGUGCCCCUAGCUAUGCAUUGCUUGAAGCGAUUGGCGGCCCUCAUGACCUUCGUAAAGUUUGAUCCGCCUACCUUCGAUGGAGAGAAUGUUGAUCCCUGGAUUGUGGAUAUGUGGAUUGACUCUAUGGAGACGCUCUUUGAGGAGCUGUACAUAUUGGAGCGGGACAAGGUGCCCCUAGCUAUGCAUUGCUUGAAGCGAUUGGCGAAGGUGUGGUGGAAAGGCAUUCGGCGGAAUCGAUCGCCUAGUCUUCCUCCCAUGACUUGGGAAGAGUUUCGGGGAUUGUUAUUUUCUACGUAGUUCCCCGAUAGUGAAAAGAGAAAGCUUCAGGACAAGUUCAGGAAGCUGCGGCAAGGAGACCGCUCGUUGCGUCCCGGAUGUGGUACGGGAUGACAAGGAUAUGGCCGAUUGGUUCUUACGUGGACUUCGACCAGAUAUUUACGAGAAGGUGCAAAUCCUCAAGCUCACAACCUUCGCGGAGGUGUUAGACCGAGCCUUGUGGGCGAGCAUGGCGAGGCUUUCGUGCAUGAGGAGCGCGAGUCUCAUAAGCAUGAGCGGGGAGGGGUGAGGCCACUGUCGAACAGUUCGGGUAGGCAGUCAAGUUCUAGGCGCCACUCGAAGCCGUCCUCUACUCGAUCCUCCCUAGGUUGUGUGAUUUGUGGUGGUACCCACCAGGCGCGGCGGUGUGCGUUGCGUGAUGGAAGAUGUAUCCGUUGUGGGCAGCCAGGCCAUAUGCGGGACCAGUGUCCGCAAGGUGAUAGCCGAGCCUUGGCAUUGGCGACGGCUUUUUCCUCUCCGGGACAGCCGGCGGGUGUGCCACCUGCGGCACGAUCGGGAGAGCGAGCGAUGACGGUGAUGCAACUGAGGGGUCCGCGGCGGGCGCCAAGUGGCUAUGGACACGCGACCCAGGUUGAGGGACCUACUGCUGACGGCGUCAUGGCAGGUAUGGUUUAGUUAAUGCAGUUAUGUGUUUCUGCAUGAUGUAAAGUGGUGCAUUGCAUGCAUUGAGCAUAUAGUCACUUACUACUAUAUGUAGUAGUAUAGUAGGGACCAAGUGGACGGGUAAAUGUAGAUACCCGGGCAUGCUCGUGUUGUGAGAGCGUAGUACCUACUAGUGCAGGUAGCGAGCUAUGUAGCACUAGCGAGUUGCUAGUGAUGGUCUGAUGAUGAGACUCGUAGUAGAGAUGGAAAUGAUGGACCGACUCGCAAAGCAAUGUGUGUAGCAGAUUGUGUGAGUUGAGUUACGAUGCUGGUGGAUACUCGAGCAGUUCGAGUAUUCCAGAUGUUGUUUCGGUAGAUCGAACAGUGAAAGUGAAUCACUGUUGAGUGAGUGGUUAGUUAGUACCCAAGUUUGGCCUGUGGGCCUAGUUGUACCUCAAUGUGAGGUAGGAGAAUGUGCUUGGUAGACGAUGUGCGGCGGCAAGAUUGUCCAAAGCCGAGACUUAGUGUAGAAUGCCAUCGUAGAGUACGACGCCCGAGUACAGGUACUCGCGGAGUGCGAAUAUGGAUCAGCCGAGUGAGUUUGUUGGCAGUAGCACUUGGGCAUUGCGAAGUGUGAAGCGUGCCUUGUGUAACAUAUGGCAUCCUGGAGCUGCGAUGUAAACUUUGAUCUAUUGGAUCAAAGUGAGAAUUGAGCUGGUUGGACGUCAUCCCCGAGUGACUUUGGACGCGUGAGAAUGAAUUCCGAUGAUAAGUAAGUGUUUCGGCGCAAAGUGGGCGCGAAACNGGUAUACCAUUUGGGUUCAUGUAUCAUCUAUUUCGAUGUACAGAGACAUGUAAAUGAAUGUAUUAUAAAGCAUGUAACUAGCUAAAUGUUUCAGUUAUACAGUUCAGUUUGAAAGUUUUAAGUUACAGUGAAUUUCAUUGUACAGUUAGUUUACUAUCACUUGUGUUUGUUGCUUGCCUUCGUGCAAGCCAUGUAUAUUGAAAUGUGAUCCUGGGAAUUAUUUAUUUCUUUAUACAUGUACUCGUUGUUGUUGAGCCUUGGGCGAACAGGGGAGGUGCUGUUCGUUCGGCGUCUGUGCGCGGGCCCAGAUCGACCAAAUUGGCGACCGCGGGACGUGACACCUUGGAUCACUCGUGGGGCUGGUGGCUCACACUAGGUGCAUAGGAGCCGAUAGUGGUACGUAUUGCUCGAUAGAGCAUGUAGUGCGAUUGACAGUAUGCUGAGAGUACGAAUUGUGACCCAACCCGAGAAUUUAAUGCUCUUUGGGGUCUUGGUUGCUCCUGGUUGGAGUGUGUGCGAAUUUCCAAGUGAGAAUUUCGCCCCAAUUAUGAUUGGGUCUACGCUUGCGAGCGAGAGGCGCUGCGCAUACGUUAAGACAGGUUUAGGCGGUAGGCCUAUGUAGUAUUGGUGGCCCUUGGUCUACCAAGGAAAAUCGAGGAAAGUGAUUUGGCGAGUAGCCUUAUCGGGGAGUUUGACUUGAGUUCACGAACGACGUGUUCAUGUGAGUCGUUGUGAAAGUGGUAUGAUGUUGACCGUGGCAUAUGGUAUUAGGUAAUGAGGUGCUCCUGGUGAGGCCUUGAGCUAAUGGCCAGCCACGUAGAGUUCGAGAAUUGGAAUUGGGAUGCGCCGAGGUGGGCCAUCUCACGUCAAAGUUAAAGGUUAGUGCGGAAUUAGAGCACUUACGAUGAAGCGAUGCACCGAUGAUAUUGCUUUUAGGCAAUGUCGGUGAUUGAUUUGGAACGCAUUCCCUGAAGGGAAAGUAAAUGCAAAGAAGGUUUCUUGCAUGCCAAGUGACAAGUGGGGUUGGAGCGCAUAGAGUCGUCGAGUUUCGACUUGCGUUACCACCUAGAGUGACGGAGACCGUAAUGCACUUUGUGAGAUGUGCCUUGCAAAGUUGGAUGCGUUUGGUGUUAUGAACUUCGUAGUAGUCCUCUUGGAUAGUUCCAAAAAGUGUAAAGCCAUUCCGAAGUGAAAAAGUGCUUUGGUGCCCUCAAUUGCUCGAGGAGCUAAAUUGAGGUGUGUUUUGAAUUUCGCGGACGAAAUUCUUUUAAAGGAGGGGAGAAUGUAACAUACCGAACAUCUAAAACUUUGAAGUUACGGUGUACAUUUGGUUGAAAAGCCAUUUGCAUGGUUCCGGUGAAGUUCGGUGAAGUUCUAGAGAAAUCGGGCGUUUCGGUGCGCGUAGGUGCGAAAACGGAACCCGAAAGGUUAUGUUGGACCAUGAGCUAAAUUCGGCAUUAGCGUGGAUGAAAAGAUGAUGAAAAUACGCUCGAAAACAUGUUUGGAGAGUCUCGGUUUGAUUUGAAAUGAAUCGGAUGUCAAACGAGCGAAAACGAGCGAAAACGGAGCGAAAACGGUGAAAAAAAGCUGAAAAUUUGGCUAAGUCCUAAAUGCUAGAAUUCUGGACCCUACGGGAAUCGGUCCCUUAAGUCCAAGGACCCGUCCCUGAGCCCGAAAAAUGCCCAGAAUAAGUAGUGGCAGGUUGGUAAUUAGGGGGAAGUUGGCAUAUAUGAAGGGCUUUGCCCCAACUCCUUCUUCCUCCUCAUUCCAACACACACACACACACACAUAUUGGUAGAGAGAGAUGCUCUCUCCUCUCUCUCUAGGAGCUCUCCCUCUUUCUCUCUAAGAGUGGAUUUAGGAGGAGAAGGUGGAGAUUGGAGCUUGGAGAAGGACCAACAUCAUCUUCUUCAUCUUCUUACUAGCUAGUUGAGGUAAGCUCUUUGAGUCUCUCAUGGUGAAUGGCUAGAGCAUGGCUUAGACCUCUUUGAACUUAGCUAGAUGAUGUUUAUUGGUGCUCUAAGAGUAGUUGAUCUCAUUUAUUGUGAGAUUAGUAGCUUGUAUGAAGCUAAUUGCAACAAUGGUGAUUUUGGGCUCCAAAAAGAGGGCUUUUGCAUGUAAGGGCUUUUGAUCUCAAUUGACCCUAUACAAACCUAAUUAGGGGUAUGACGAACGCGUUGGUGCGCUCGGUUCGACAAUCCGAUGAGUGUACGCGAAGUUAUUGACGAAACAGUUUGUUUUGGUAUAGAUAGCCGCAGCACGCGGGAUAAGCCUCCAAAAAUCAUGAAAAUGGAUUGGGAGCAUCGUGGUGUCGGGGAAUAAACUCCCGAACAGACGGAUCACGGAUUGGUGGUCGUUCGGGUGGUCGCACAAGAGUUCGGGCCAAACCGGUUCACGGGUGCCGCGGGAAGCCGAUUACAAGUGACUACAAGCAAUCGGAACGCGUUAAAAGGUUGGUUGUGCUUACCGAAGCGACUAGGUCGCCUUCAUGCCAAAGUAUAAUGUAUUUCACUAUUGAUGCAUGGUGGUAAUAAGAAUGCUAUGUAAGAAUGCAUGAUAAGAAUGCUAUGUAAGAAUGCAUGAUAAGAAUGCUAAGAAAUGAAUGCAUGAUAAGAAUGCUAAGAAAUGAAUGCAUGUGAUAGAUGUUAAGUAAUACAUGUAAUAUGUGCCAAGUAACGAAUCAUAUGAGAUGUAUGCUAAAGAAUGUAUGUUGACAUAUUAUAGAAAUGCUAGAUGAAGCAAGAGUUAAAUGUUAAAGGCAUGUAUGAGAUGUAUGUUAAAUAAACAUAUGAGCUAGAUGAUGUAUAAAUGCAUGAUUUCAUAAUGUAAGAAUAUGUUAGAAUGAUAUGAGGGUUGAACUUGAGUUAAUGAAUACUAAGUAAAGUAAAGAACUCGACAUGUGUCAUAUGUAAAGAAUCCUAAGUAUAAAUAACUAGGAUGACGAGUGGCAUUGAACCUAGUGUCAUUGAACAUAGGUUAUUCACGAGUGGCAUGUCAAGUAUGGUUCCUAGGUGUGGACAACUAGGAUAACAAGAACAUGAGUGGCAUUAAACCUAGAGUCAAGUAAACCUAGGUUGUGAAUGUAGUGACAUGAAACCUAGAGUCAAGUGAACCUAGGUGAUUAAGAAUAUUGAACCUAGUGUUAAUGAACCUAGGCUAAGAAGGUAAUGACAUUGAACCUAAUGUAUUAACUUAGGUUGAGUAAAGGCUUGGACCUAGAUAGGUCGAUAACAUAGGGUUGAGACCGACCCUUGAGUUAUGUAAAGUGAAUUCCGGAAUCCCUGCUGCGAGUGCAGCGGCUGCUAGUGCAACAUACAAGCUCGAUAGUUCUUGGCCGCGGGUGCAUGUGGCAUGUUCCUCUCCCACCGGAAGAACUUCGAGGCUUGUUAUUGAGCAAGAAUCAUGAGUGCUAGGGUGCAUGUGGCAUGUUCCUCUCCCUAUCGGGGAUCUUGACUGCGGGUGUAUGCGGCAUGUUCCUCUCCCACCGGGGGAUCCCUGACCACGGGUAUACGCAGCUCUGGGCGACCCGUUGGGCGAUGUGGUUUGUGGAUUGAUGGCUGAGGUGCAUGUGAUAGUUCCUUCAUCUCGAGCCUGAUAGAGCGCGGAUUAUCCGCAUAUGAUUGACUCAAGACCGAGUCGGGCGGCAAAGUUGUCUAAGGUAAAGUAACCUUAGGAAAGAAUGGCAAUAUGUAUAAUAUGGCUAAGGUGUGAGUACCCUUAGAAUAAAGAAUAAAUAAAAAAAAAGGGCUAACGCUAAAGAAUGGCAAGUAAUAAAGAAUAAAGAAAGGCAAAUGCUAAAGAAUAGCUAGUAAAGUAAAGAAUGACUAAAAAUAAAGAAUGGAUAAGAAUAAAAUGUAGAAGCAAUUAAUCUACUAUAUGAGUUGCAUAAUUUACAUAUUGCAUGUUGUGAGGUAAAAGUAUGGUAAUGUUAGUUGCAUGAUUUACGAUUUCAUAUCUAUUUAUUGGACUAACAUGUUGUUUGCUCUCCUUUGGAGCUUACUUGUCAGGUAAGCUUUGAUGGUCUUUGGUGGUCGUUCUUUGUAGUUUGGAUUUUAAGCUUCAAGAAUGGAGUUGGUUCUCACCCCACGUUGUUUUGGGGUGUUACAGGUUCACACGUGAGCGGCGUGGCGGCGCGAGGCAAGGGCGUAGCUCCGUAGUUAGCGCCCUACCACUGAGACCAGAUAGCAGCACCCUGAGUCGACUUCUUAGGGGUAUAAAAUGCAAAGAACCAAGAGUAUGAUGAUUGUAAGAACAAUGUUGUAAUGACUAUGUUAAAACUAAAUUGUAUUUGGAAGUAAAAAUCAAGGAAUCAAAUGUGAUGUAAUCUAAGAAUGCAAAAAUAUAAUAUGUGAGAUGAAUGCUUGUAAUAGCAAGUAGAUUUAUGUUUUUGAUACUUCCUUAUGCAAUCCUUGGUUGAAAUCUGUUCCUGGUUGGAACUUCGUAUAUUGUAUUGAUUGCGACGCCUUGAAUGUACAGGGGAGACUCUGUCCGCGGUACAGGGGAAACCCUGUCCGUUCGCCGGUCUAUUGGCGUGCCCGAAACCGACCAAAUAGGCGGGCUCGGGGCGUGACAUAUACCUAAGGCCCAUCUUCUCAAGGUGGACUUCAGUCUUCUGCUGGCUAAGUGGUUUAGUCAAUGGGUCUGCCAUGUUAUCCGUGGAGUCUACUCUCUACAUCUUGAUAUAUUUCUGUCGAGGUAGUCGCGUAUAAUAUGUAACCGCCGCUCUAUAUGCAUGAACUUCUGAUGAGACCUUGGCUCCUUAGCUAGGGCUAUUGCAUAGUUGUCACAAUAGAGUGGUAUAGCAUCUGAUGACAUCACACUUAAUUCCGCGACAAACUUCUUGAAUCAGAAGGCCUACAUUAAAUGCGGCAAUAUACUCAGCUUUCAUGGUAGGGUGGUUGUUUGGAACUAUUCUAAUACACCAAGCCACUAUAGCAUAAGAACACACAUCCUGACGUAGACUUUCUAUCGUGAACAUCAGACAUGAAGUCUGAAUCAGUAUAUCCUUAUAUUUUCAACUCUCCUCCUCCAAAGACCAAGAACAUAUCCUUAGUCCUUCUUAAGUACUUGAGUAUGUUCUUGACAGCAGUCCAGUGCUCCUCUCCUGGAUUAGAUUGAUAUCUACUUGUGACACUCACAGCAAGAGCGAUAUCAAGUCGUGUACAUAGCAUGGCGUACAUAAGACUCCCUAUUGCUGAGGCAUAAGGGAUCUUACUCAUACGUUGAAUCUCUUCAAAUGUAUUGGGGUAUAUUUUCUUAGAAAGAUAAAUUCCAUGUCUAAGAAGUAAGUCCCCUUUUGGAGUUUUCCAUGCCAAACUUUUUCAGCACCUUUUCUAUGUACAUUUUCUGUGAGAGGCCUAGCAUCCUUUUAGAUCUAUCUCUAUUGACCUUUAUCCCCAAAAUAUAGGAUGCUUCUCCUAGAUCUUUCAUGGAGAAUUCUUUAGACAAUCAUAUUUUAAUUGAAGUCAGCAUUGGAAUGUCAUUCCCAAUUAGGAGAAUGUCAUCCACGUACAAUACGAUGAAUAUGACAGCUCUCCCACUGACCUUCUUAUAAACACAUGGUUCCUCCUCAUUCUUAACGAAAUCAAACGAUUUAAUCACGUUGUUAAAACGAGUAUUCCAAGUCCUAGAUGCUUGCUUAAGUCCAUAAAUGGAUCGUUGCAACUUGCAUACUUUGUGACUUUCGUCACCGGAAGUAAAACCCAGAGACUGCUCCAUAUAGAUAUCUUCUUCAAGAUAUCCAUUUAGGAAGGCAGUUUUCACAUCCAUUUGCCAGAUCUCAUAAUCAUAGUAUGCUGCAAGGGCAAGCAGUGUUCGAAUUGAUUUAAGCAUGGCCACAGGUGAAAAGGUCUCUUGAUAGUCAAUGCCUUCGCGUUGACUAUAAGCUUUCGCAACCAGCCUUGAUUUAUAGGUCUCCAUAUUUUCAUCCGAACAUAUCUUUCUUUUGUAGAUCUAUUUACACCCGAUAGGUACUAUGCCUUCUGGUGGGUCUACCAAAAUCCAAACCUGGUUGGAGUGCAUUGAGUCAAUUUCUGACUUCAUGGCAUCCAGCCAUUUCUCGGAAUCGAUGUCAGACAUCGCCUCUUUGUAGGUUUUGGGAUCAUCACCAUGUUCCCUAUCUCCCAUGAGGAACAUUUCCUCUACAUCCUCUGUAACGAUACCUAAAUAUCGUUUAGUAGGAUGGGAGAUUCUACUCGACCUACGAGGUAGAGGAGGUACUACAUGUACUGGAUCAACUUGAAUAGGUUCUGUAGGUUUGAGGACUCGUUGCUCUUCAGAGACUCUCUCUUCAAGCUUAAUUUUUCUCCCACUAGCUUCUUCUUGAAUAAACUGUUUUUUCAAGAAAAUAGCAUGUUUGCUUACAACAACAUUGUGAUUCUCUGGGAUAUAAAAAUAGUAAUCUAAAGAUUCUUUAGGAUAUCCAAUAAAACGAGCCCUCUCAGACCUAGCCUCUAACUUGUCCACUUGUAGUCGCUUAACAUAGGCCGGACAUCCCCAAAUCUUGAUAUGACCAAGGCUUGGUUUCUUACCAUGCCACAUCUCAAACGGCGUGGUAGGAACGGAUUUAGAGGAAACUCUAUUUAACAAGUAAGCUGCGAUAAGCAAAGCAUGUCCCCAAAGCAAUAAAGGAAGAUCAGUGAAGCUCAUCAUAGAUCGAACCAUAUCCAAUAAGGUUCAGUUUCUCCGUUCUGACACCCCGUUGAGUUGAGGUGUUCUUGGAGGGGUCCAUUGUGAGACUAUGCCGUUUUCUUUGAGAUAAUUUAGAAACUCUCCACUAAAAUAUUCUCCUCUUCGAUCUGAUCGAAGAACCUUGAUGGAUUUUUCAGUUUGCUUUUCUACUUCAUAUCUGAAUUCUUUGAACUUUUCAAAAGUCUCAGAUUUGUGUUUCAUAAGAUACACAUACCCAUACCGUGAAUAAUCAUCGGUAAAGGUUAUGAAGUAGAGAUAACCACCCCUAACAUGCACAUCAAAUGGCCCACACACGUCAGUAUGUACCAGAAAAAGUAUCUCAGUGGCCCUUACACCUUGUCCUACAAUGGGUAAUUUAGUCAAUUUUUCUUGAAGAUAAGAUUCACAAACUAGAUAAGACUCUGAAGUUAAUAAGCCGAAAAGCCCAUCUUUAUCCAAUUUAUUUAUCCUUUCUUCUCCAAUAUGACCAAGCCUGAGGUGGCACAUAUACUUUAAGUUCAUCUCAUUUCUAGGUCUUUUAGACCCAACAGCAUUCACUACUUGCUCAGAAAUAUUUACAGAUACAUCCAUAUGUAAAUGAUAGAGACUGUCAAUCAUAAAACCACGGGCAAUAAUUUUAUUUCUAAAAUAAAUUAUGCAGUAGUUUUUGUCAAAAAUAAACCAUCCUGUGCAGAAAUCAAAUUUCUGUUAGCAGGAGGUACAUAAUAGCAGUCUUUAAGUAAUAAAACAUAUCCUGACGGUAGUCGCAAUGGAUAGGUGCCAGCAGCCACAGCAGCAACUCUUGCUCUGUUGCCUACCCGUAGGGUCACUUCACCUUCCCUAAGCCCUCUACUUUCCCUUACUGGAAGUAGAGGAAACCGUAAGGUUAGUUUCUAUUACGAGCAAGUCUGAUAUACCUUCCGAAGGUGUGUCUUCCUCUUAUUCUUCAAGCUCUCCAAGUAGACAGGAUAGUUCCUCUUCCAAUGACUGUCAACAUUGCAGUGGAAACAUUUUCCUCUGUUAGCGGCUUUUGUCUUAGGAGCUUUUCUCUUGGACUUGUUCUCCGUCUUUUAUUUCUUUGCGGGUUUUUUUUUCCAAUUAGAUGUUCUUUUGGAAGAGGAAGCCCACUCCACAGCGAGAACCGUGCCCUUUGAACUUUUCAAAGUCCUCUCUAUUAUUAUCAACAUGUUCAAUAACUCCGCAUUAGUGCAGUCAAUUUUAUUCAUAUGGUAGUUUACAAUAAACUGUCCAUACGAUACAGGAAGGGAUUGCAGGAUCAGAUCAACUUGCAAUUCCAUAUCCAUUUUCACACCGAGCUUCUCAAGCUCUUCGAGGUCUUUGAUCAUUGUCAAACAACGAAAAGACUGCCCUUUGGCUAGUUAUUGGACGGUUUGGUAAUAUGAGGUUUUCCUGGUCGAGAACAAUGCAGAGCUUCUUGGAAUUUAAAACUAUUUUAAAUUCCUUAGCCAGACUUUAUAAUUACAUUCAGUUAAGGUUUGGUGUCGAGAAGAUGAGAGAGAUAAUUGGAAGCAGAUAUUUGCUUUGCAAAGAGUAAAGAUUCAAGUUAGAUAUUUGUAUUUGUUUUGAAAAUUUAUUUUAGGAAUUUUAAAAAUAAAUUUAGCCUCCCACUAUUUUCUCGAGUCUCUUACACUCCUCGGGUAGAGAAAUGGAAACCCAACGCGACAAAAGGUUUCAAGUGGGUACUGCGGUCCCACCAAUUUAACGUACCACCACACCUAACAAUUAUUGGUGAUAUGUAAACCGAUGAGUGGACAACUCUUGUCCAAUGCUUCUCAAGAAAAUUGCAGUGAUCGCUCUCUAAGUCCUGUAGGCCCCACCUAACAGUUAUUGACCCCAUUCCUUAGUUAAGUCAGGCCUACCGUUCAAACAUGUAAGCAAAGCCGUCAUUGGGUCCCUCACCGGACAGUUAUUGGGCCCAACCCCAUCUUUACUCCGUAGCAUCUCCUGCUAAUAGAGUGGUUGCGCCUUCCCGAUGCAACUGACCACUGUAACCAGCCGUGCCAAUCAACACCAGAAAAACGCUCGCACUUCUACAACGGCAGAAGACCGCUCGGUUUAAUAUUUGUGUGGAGAUUAAUAUUUAGGUCUCAAAAAAUAUUUUAUUUAUUUACAUCUAAUGCAAAUAAAAAAACAAUCCGCGCAUAAAAAUAAUUAAACUGGUGAUGAUCAUGGAUCUUAGAAGUGGAUUCGGACUCGAGCCACUGAGUCGGAAUCGGGGUCUUAGGGUCAUAAAUUACAAGCACACACACGUCAUCGGUUUGAUCAUCUUCAACUUCUUGAUCCGAUCUGGAGCUUCAACUUGAUUUGAUCCUUAUCAACACCUUGAUCCGACCGCCAUCAAGUAUUCGUCUCUAUCCGGGCCUUGCGAACUUUUAGGCUUGCAACCGAUCAACCAAUGACGUGCAACCAUACAUUAUACAACCCAACAAUACAAAUGAAAUGAAAAUUAAUUACAUUUGAUAACUUUUAUCUCUAAUCUAUUGAGACACGCAGAUAUCCAAAUAAAUCGGCUUGUGCACGCAGACACAAAUAUAGCCAUCUCUAAUACAAAAUUCUUAAUUUAAACAAAUUUAAAAUUACAGGAUUCUGCAUACAUAUCAUACAUCACAUGUCGAAAUAUAAAUAGGUCGCUAUCCAUGAUCAUCACCGAUAUGUAUCUCAUACAUCACAUAUAUAAAAAAUAACUUUGGGUAUUCUAAUUAACCGUUCAACGAUAAUUCGAAAAAUAGUGUCUAAAUUAUUAAAAGCAAUCAAUCUUAUUGACCGUUCAUAAUUUUGAUCAACAACUUAAUCUUCAAAAAUAACAACUUGAUCUUAUCAAGAUUUGAUCUAAUCAAAUUAGAUCUUUCUCUUCCUUAAUAAUAUGUUAAUAUCUUUUAAAUUGAUCUAAUCAAUUUAAAAAUUUAAAAUUUUUUAAAAAAAAUAAAAAAAAAAUGUCAUUUGUUUCCGUACGGAUGCUACAGUAAAUAUUUUUUUUUUUUGCUAGAAAAUAAGAAAUCAUCGAUUAAGUUGUUUAAUCAAUUCGGACUUUUCGAAUUAGCCAAAAACGAUCUAUAAAUCGCUCUACCGGCGAAAAAUAGUUUAAAAUACCCAAAACUAUAAUUUUAAUCUUAAAAACAUGAGGAUGGCUCUGAUACCACUGUUAGAAAAUUGCGUACAGUAAAACGCAGCGAAAAAAGAGACAAAUUUGAUUUUGAAAACUCUCGAGAUCCAAUCUCAAAAACCACACAAUUUGGAUCCCUCAUAUUCUUUAAGAUUAAAGAAGAAAAGUAAGAUCGAAUCUUUAUCUUUUUCGCGGAUAGAUCUUCACCUGAAUUUAAUGAUCGUGGAAUUCGGUUCUCUUGAAGCCGCACACGCGUCCGGCCACCAUAGAUAUCCACACGAGGUUCUUGAUUUGAUAGAUGUCCUCACCGGGGUGCUAGCAGUAGUACACUGGACCUUUGCAAAUUGCGAGGUUCGAGUGUUCGAGCUGUGUUCUGAGUCCUUCCAAACUUUCUGGUGGGUCGUUGACAGUGCUCCGACCUAUGGCUCGUAUCCCGAGAAUUGUGGUUUAAAGCUGUGUACCAAAACCCGAAAAAAGGGGAUUUGGCGAACUCUCGGGUAGCAAUCUGGAGGUCUUGUACCGGUAUAAGAUUGGUGGUUGUACCGGUACAAGGUUGAUGGUUGUACCGGAACAGCCACCGGGCUUGUACCGGUACAGAGCCGUUGAACCCCGCCAACCCGAGCCUCGGGUUUGUGAUUUUCGUGGGGCUUGUACCGGUACAAGGGCCCGUGUACCGGUACAAGGUGGCAGAAUUUGAGCAGUUUGAACUGCAGGGGUGUUUUUGCGAUUGUGGGUCUCUUAUAUCAACAUCCACGCCCCUAGGGCUCUCCUUUGAGCUCACCACUGCAGGGAGAAAGGUAAGGCACCUCUCCCCUUCACCCCCUUUGGAUUUGAUCUUUUUUUAGCUUGGGAUUUAAGUGUUAAUCCCUCUCCUUUUCCUUUUGGUGCAAUUUCACCAUUGUUGAAGCUUGGAGCUUAGAUUUGGAGCUUUGUUGAGGGGAGAUCUUGGCAUUUAGAGAGUUUAGAGUUUGGAUUGAAGCUUCUAAGAGGUAAUCUACUUGUCCUCUCCCUCUAGAUUGGAUUUUUAUUGGUGGUUUUGAGAUGAAACCCUAGAAUGAGGUUUUAGGGCUUAUUUUGGGCAUUUUGAAUCUAGGACUUUUGGAGCUAAAUUAAUUGGAUUAGAAUCUACCUUUGGGUUGGAUCGAAAGGAUUCUAGCUCUCUUUAGGAGCUUGAGGGAGAUUUUUUACACAUUAGGUGAGUUUUAGCCCUUUUGUCUUGUUGGUUAAUGUUUGAUUUUAUAGUUGAUCGUAAUGCCCGUGUAUCUCUUCACUCAAUACUUUUAGGGUAUUUUGAGACUCGUGGACAAUUUCGUUCGGCGAAACGAGACACUACGCAACGGUUCGGUGAGUUUGACCUAGCCACACAAUGAGAAAAUCUCAUUUGUGAAGAUUUGUGUAAUAUACCGAAAAUUCGGAAAAAUAAAUAUCGAACUUUAGUCAAAUUGACCAAAGUGCGAGGAUGGUAUACUUCGGAAAGUCCGAAGGUGUUAAAACGAUCAAAAGUGCGUUGUGGAAGGUUUUCGAGAGCUAAAGAAUCAAAUCCUGCGAAACUGUAGAUUUUCAGCUCUCAGGGACCGGUCCCUAGUGGGAGAGACCGGUCCCCGAACGCGUAUGAAAUGAGACAGCCGAAAAAUCGGCUAAGUCCUGAGAAAGUAGCUCUCGGGAACCGGUCCCUGUCCGAGAGACCGGUCCCCGAGAGACCGGUCCCCCAAAGAGAGACCGGUUGCCCUGCGCGCAGCAGCCCUGGCUGCGCGGGGAGAGCCUUCGGGAACCGGUCCCUGAAGGAGAGACCAGUCCCCGCCUGCGCGAACAGCCCAGUCCAGGCUGUGUGAAAGAGUAAAGGUUGAGGGGUUUAGCUGCAAUUUUGCAACCCAAUAGGCUAUGUAUGAGGGCAAAUGAGAUAUUUCUCUCAUUUCUUCACCCUCUCACACUCUCUUCUCUCCCUCUCUCUCUCUAGAAGACAAAGAAGAAGAAGAAGAAGGAAAGAAAAGAAGGAAAAGAAGGAGAAGAAGAAGAGGAAGUGAAGAAACUCCCUCUCCCUCAUCUCUAGCUUGGAAAAGGAGAGCUUACAAGGUAAGCCUUGAACCCUAAUUAUGGUAGAACCUAAUUUAGGGUUUGGAUUAAGCUUGAAAUGGGUUUUGUGGAACCAUUUGAGUAUUUGAAGCUUUUCUUUUGCUUCUUUUGAGAUCAAGACCAUAGAAAUGGUGAAGCUUGAGGAGAGCUUCAUCACCUCUCAUGGUGGAACCCUAAGUAGGGUUUUGAUUUGUCUAAAGAUGGUUCUAAUGGACUAUUUAGAGUAUAAUGAAGCUACUUUUGCUUCUCUUUGAGAUCAAACCCUAGGUUUACACAUACAAUGGAGCUAGGGCACCCAAAUUGGGGCUUUUGCUCAUGGGGAUUUCUAAGUGAAAUUGACCCUUCAAAAACCUAAUUGGGGGUAUUUCCGCCGCGUUGGUGCGCUCGGAUUAACGUUACGAAAAGUCAAAGUAAAGUUAUGGGCAAAAUAGCCUAAUAAGGGUUCGUUUUGCCGCAGAUAAAGAACGAAGCAUCUAAAAAUCCCAAGAAAAUCAUCGGAGCACCUUUGAAAGCCUACGAGGUGGGUGGUGCUUCUCAAACUCAUUGAAUUUCUCUCUAUGCCUAAUGUGUCAUUCAUUUGAACAUGUAUAUAUAUAUUGUUUCAUGCAUUUUAGGGUAAAGUAAUGAUGAAAAUGUGAUGAUGUAUGAUUGUGGGUACAACUUGCAUAAUAUGAUGAAUGAGAACUAUGUGAAUGUUGAAAACCCUAUAUGUAUGCAUGAGAGAAAAGUGAGCACCCAAAGUGAGCAAAAGAACAGAGUGACACAAUGACAUAGAUCGAGUGGCAUUCGAUAAAGUUAAAGUGAAAUGACACUAGAGAUAGUGUGAGGUAAAGAACCAAUGUAAUGUAAAGAAUGAUGAAAAUGACAAUGUUAAAGUUAAAGUAAUGUGGGGAGUAAAGAACAUGAAGUGCUAGAGGUAGCCAAAAGUAAAGAAUGUAAAGAAUAUGAUUGCUAGAGUUAGCAAGAGUAAUGAAUGGUAAAGAACAAUGAUUGCUAGAGUGGCAACAAAAAGUGAUGAAAGAACACUAGAGCUAGUGUAAAGUCAAGAUUGAACUUAUAAAUCCUUUGAGUUAAGGAUAUGAUCAUACUUGCUAUGAGUUCCGUGCUCGAGGGCGGUCGCUCCCCCUCGGGCGAUGCGCUCCGGAGUUAUGCAUCACGGGUUGGAGUAAACCCGAAGGACGGUCCUAGCGGGUGAGUUCCUGCGAUGAUGGACUUAAUGUGAAGCAAGUUAAUGUGGCGAUACCCCCGGGUUAGCCUUGAGAUUAAAGAACAAAGAGCAAAGAACAAAGUGCAAAGAACAAAGAACAAAGAACAAAGAGUAAAGUGAAAAGAACAAAGAAUUUGCAUAAUCUGCAUUUAUUUAAUGUUGAGCAUAUUUCUGCUUAUUGUUCAGGCAUAUUAGCAUCAUGUAUAGUUUGGUUACUGUUUACAGCCUAUUCUUUCUAUUAUGCCUGAGUUAGUCCUAGUGGGAAAGUCGGUGAUGUUGAGGCCGAACCCACUGGGAACUUUGUUGUAGUUCUCACCCCACUAUUUCCACAGAGCCGGGACCGAGCGAGCCGGCGAGCGACCGAGGUAAAGGUAUCGCGCCUUAGACAGAGGCCACGAGAGUUGAGUUGGGUUUACAUUUUGAUAGUGGCUACCCUAUGUUCAUCUUUUGUACAUGAUGAUUAGUAAUGUAAAGAAAAGAAUGUAAUGUGUAUUUUGAGGUAAAUGUGAUGUAAGAAAGAAAUGAUGAAAUAAUGUAAUGAAAUGUAAAGAAUCCUAAAUGUAAGAAAUGGAUGCAAUGUAUAUGAUCUAAAAUGAAUCAUAUUACUUGUGUAGAUGUUUAGUUUUCCUUUCUUUCACUAAUGGCUAUUGCUUACCCUCGUGUAAGCCGUUUGUGUAUGUUUCCGCUAGUGCAUUUCUUGUUUGAAUUUGUACAUGUGAUGAGCCUUGUGCGGAUAGGGGAAACUCUAUCCGUUCGGCGUCUUUUUGACGUGCUCGGGUCGAGCCAAAUUGGCAUCGGUCCCGGGGCGUGACAAUUUGAGUAUCGUUAAUUGAAAAAGUAUGCAUAUUUAUGUUAGAUAUAUUUAUUAUGAAUUUUAGAAUGCUUAACAUGCAUACGUUAUGUAUAGUAAAUUUUGGACCUCUAUGUGGUUGGGUGCAUGCAUUUGGGAUGUAGCAUUCUAGUGGAAACUUGGGACCAUGAUUCCUAUUAUGAAAAUGAACAUUGCUUUCUUGCAUUUAACCUUAUGCCUAAUUGCGACAUUAGGGACUUUGGAAGCCUAGAGAGGCUUGGGGACUCAGGCUAUUUGAGGUAUUGGGCCGAUGUCAUAAAGAGGCAUUGGGCCCCCGGCUAUAGUGAAUAUUGGUAUUGACGUCAUAUUUGAAACAUAGAACAUGAAUUGAGCUUUACUAGUUGUGAUGCUUAAGUGUCAUAAAGAGGCACUAAGCAAGUGAGUGUUGGGUUAUCAUAUUGUGACAUAGAGCUAGACCGUUGGGUUACUAGUAGCUAUUGCCAUGUUUGAGACAUGAGGGUUGGAUACUUGAGCCUUUGACUACGCUUGCUUGCCAUUUGUGCUCAUUCGCACAUGCUUGUGAGGGUCGCUCCCUACAAGCCGGCACUCCGGAGUUAGCAUACGCGACUUAUGUUCGCUCGUGCGGUAUUGAGAAGCCUACGGGGUCGAGUGGGACAGACACAUUCCAAGAGUAGGGAUGUUGGGCUACCACAGGCACUUAGGCGGCACAAGCUGGACUACCUUGGGUAGGUCCUUAAUUGGAAAUGGAAAUCGACACGGUGUUGAGUGUGUUAUAAUCACUACCAGAUAGAGAGUAGUAGUUGGAUUACUUGGACUUGCUUUUAGCAUAGUUUUGGACACUUGAGUAUACAUACAUACAUGUAGUAUGCUAGGAGAUGUUGCUUAUUGCAUCCAUAUAUACAUUAUUGCCAUGAUAAAGCAUGAUCUUUAUAACUUCAUAAAGUAGACCGUGACAUUUACCUGUGGCUAUGUUGAAACAUAUUACUUACGCAUUGAACAUUCUUCUUUAUAAAAGAGUAAAUGUAAAACAUUGACAUCGUAAUGUUUAUGGUAUAGUAAGCUUAGUAAACAUGCAUACUUUCAUACCGCAGUUAUCAUUAUUAUUAUUGCUGUUUACCGUACUUACCCUUUUCUUUUGGGGCCUAGUGGUGCAUUGAGCUGAGGUUAGUAAUUGCCCACUGGGAACUAUAAAUUAUAGUUCUCACGCCCUCUGUUUUAUAUUUUCUUUCAAAGCCUUCAACGCCGGGAGAGGCUAGGGACCGUGGGAAGGGCGUUGCUUCGAGCUAGCUCUUCAGCGAGUGACGAGUUGCUAGGUGGUCUACCUCUCGAUAUAUUUUAUUUUGGAAAGGUUGAGAGCUGUACCAGUGUACUAGAGACCACCCUUUUGUGUACUUUUUUUUUGGACAGAUAUUGUAUUACUUUAUAUUUCACUCUUAUUGUUAUAGUAUUAUCCUUUUUCCUAAUUGUAGAUGAUAGAUCUAUUUAUGCUCUGAUAUCUCUAGAUGUUGUUUUUCUUUGGUUUAUUUUCCGCUGUUGUUGUAGACGCCUUAUAUGUGUUGACAUAUAGCGGGUCUGGGCACGCUACCGGGAGGGCCCCUGUCGGUCCCGGGGUAUGACAGAUUAGUUUUGUAUUAGAGCCUAGGGUUGAGUCUUUAUGGACCUAGCAAACCUUAGGCCGGUUGGACUAUAGGAAUUAGGUUCGUGAGAGACGAUGUCUAAUCGAUUUGUGAGCGAAAGUAUUAUGAUUGGGUUUUAUGACAACUCUAAAAAGUUAGAGUUUGAUCGGAGUGUAUGGCUACUAACUUCGCGGAGGGUUACGUUGGCGGCCGACAACGUAACAUCGGGAGUUAGUAGUGAAAGACACUUCCUUACUUUCGCAUGAGUUGGGUUUUAUCUAUUUGAGUGGGGAUGCGAUAGCGUGGGUUACUAACUUGCACUUUUAUGUUUUGUAGUGACGAUGCCGGUUACACGCUCCCAUUCUGCUGGGGCGGAUGAUGCGGCACACCUCGAGGAGGCCGAGACCUCCGCUACUUCCGAAUCUAGUGAGGUCCGUGACUUUUGGACCCAGCUUGCGGUCCUCACUGAUCUGUUGGCGCAGCAGACGGCAGCGGCGCAACGACAGGCUAAGGUGGCUCAGCGGCAGGAGAUGUGGAUGAAGCAUAUUGAGGACCUCCUACUUCAGCAGGCGGCAGCUUCGAGGGAGACCCAGGUUCCCACACCGCCAGCACCCGUGGUGGACGUCGCACCGAGGGCGCAGUCCCGCGCUCCCAGUUCUUCACGUGCGGCGCCGGCGAUCACACCUCGGGAGGAGGUGGCUGCGGCACUCCCAGUUCAGAGACCGGCCACGAGGGCAGCUUUCCCCGUGAGGGCCGAGGGAGCCGAGCGGGAUCGGCUCAUGGAUCGCCUCAGUGAUUUUAGAAGGUGCAGCCCGAGGACGUUUGAUGGCGAGAACGUCGACCACUGGAUUGUUGAGAAGUGGUUGAUGCACAUGGAGAAGCUUUUUCGAGACACUUUUGUGGAGGAGCGGGACAGAGUUUGGCUCGCCACUCACUUUCUCGACGGCGAGGCCUACCGUUGGUGGUUGGAUAUCCAGGACAACCCCAACACUGACUUGGCGGCGAUUACUUGGACGAGGUUCAAGGAGCUCCUUCUGGCGCACUACUUUCCGACCAGCGUCAAGAGGAAGAUGGAGCAGGAUUUGCGCGGCUUGCGCCAGGACGAGCGGUCAGUGGCCGAGUACGAGAGGGAGUUCUCCCGGCUACGUCACUGUGUACCGUUUGUUGUGAGGGAUGACAGGGACAAGGCCAGCAUUUUUUAGCGCGGAUUACGGCCUUCUAUCUUCCGGUUGGUGCAGUCUUCCAACCUCCAGAUCUAUCGGGAGGUUGUGGAUCGAGCAUUGAUUGUAGAGGCUGGAGCGGCAGAUCUUCAGGAGCGUCGCGAGAGCUCGGAGAAGGGGAAGGGAAAGAGGCCCGCGGCUGAGAGUGCGAGUCAAACGCACUCACGAAGGCCGCCGAGGCACCCCAGGAGCCAGAGGCAGUCGCAGGGACGUGGCUCGUCUACUCAGCGAGGAGGACCCGACCGUCGCCAGGCCCCCCGCUGCGUGAUCUGUGGCGGUCCUCAUUAUACGCAGCACUGUUCACGUAGCCGGAGCAGGUGCUUCUUGUGUGGCCAGGAGGGCCACUUUCAGUCGGACUGCCUGAGGAGUCCAUCGCCAGCGCCAUCUUCGGCAUCUGCACCAGCAUCGCCAGGUCCCAGCCAGGGGACAUCUUCUGCGCAUCACCAGGCCGGUCGGCCACCUGUCCAGCGGCAGACGGAGGGGUCACGACAGGCCCCGAGCGGGCGCAUGUACGCGGCCCAGACUGAGGAGGCGGCGGCAGCCGAGAAUGUGGUCGCAGGUAUCAUUUUACUUCAUGGUAUUCGAGUUAGAGCUUUGUUUGAUACCGGUGCAUCGCAUUCAUUCAUAGACCGGCUGUUUGCCGAGUUGCAUGGCAUCCCACUUGUAUCCUUGUUGCAUCCUGGACGAGUUGUUGUACCCGACCAUUCUUUGGACAUCCAAGAGUUUUGCCCCAGUUGCCCUGUUCGGGUUGGAAAUUGGAUCAUGCCCGUAGACUUGCUAGCUUUGCAUAAACUCGGGGAGUUUGAUGUUGUGCUGGGCAUGGAUUGGUUGACCAAGUACUACGCCACCAUUGAUUGCAAGAAUCGAACGGUGACGUUUAGAGAGCCGGGGCAGGCGGAGGUUGUGUACCGAGGAUGCCAGAGUUCGCUGUUUGCGAUGACGAUUAGCUCUUCUCGAGCUCGGCAGUUGAUUAGUAGAGGCUGCGUAGCCUACUUGGCUACUGUUGUGUUGCGGGGUGAGGAUGACACCCCUAGGAUUGAGGAUAUCCCCGUAGUGCGGGAGUUUGGAGAUAUGUUCCCAGCGGAGCUUCCAAGCAUGCCACCUGAUAGGGAGAUUGAGUUUGUGGUAGAUCUCGUUCCCGGGACUACUCCAAUCUCAAAGGCACCCUAUAGGAUGGCACCAGCAGAAUUGAAGGAGCUGAAGGCACAGUUAUAGGAUCUUCUGGACAAGGGUUUUGUGCGACCGAGUGUGUCACUUUGGGGAGCACCGGUUUUGUUUGUGAAGAAGAAGGAUGGAUCACUACGCUUGUGCGUGGACUAUCGUGAACUUAAUAAAGUCACGAUCAAGAACAAGUAUCCAUUACCGAGGAUUGAUGAUCUAUUUGAUUAGCUCCAGGGAUCUUGUGUAUAUUCCUAGAUUGAUUUGCAGUCGGGAUACCACCAGUUGAUGAUCAAACCUGAGGAUGUGUCGAAUACGACUUUUAGAACACGGUAUGGAUAUUAUGAGUUUACCGUUAUGCCGUUUGGGCUUACUAAUGCUCCGGCAGCUUUUAUGGAUUUAAUGAACCGUGUUUUCAAGCCUUAUUUAGACAGGUUUGUCAUGGUGUUCAUCGACGACAUUUUGGUCUAUUCCCGAAGUGAUGUGGAUCACGAGGAACACUUGAGACUUGUACUUCAAGUGCUUCGGAAAAAGAAGCUCUAUGCCAAGUUGACAAAGUGUGAGUUUUGGCUUAGAGAGGUGGCGUUUUUGGGCCAUGUGAUUUCAGGAUCAGGGAUAGUUGUGGAUCCAAGGAAAAUUGAAGCUGUCAAGAAUUGGCCGAGGCCGACGAGUGUGACCGAGAUACGGAGCUUCAUUGGUUUAGCCGGCUACUACAGGCGGUUCGUUGAGGGAUUUGCAAAGUUAUCUACCCCCCUCACGAGGCUCACGCAUAAAGGCACCAAGUUCAUUUGGAAUGAUGCGUGUGAAAGGAGCUUCCAAGAGUUGAAGCAGAGACUGACUACCGCCCCGAUCCUAACCUUGCCGACUGCCGGAGCAGGGUAUGUGAUUUAUAGUGAUGCUUCUUUUAACGGAUUGGGCUGUGUUUUGAUGCAGGACGGGAAAGUGAUCGCGUAUGCAUCUCGCCAAUUGAAGGAUUAUGAAAGGAAUUACCCCACUCACGACUUGGAGUUGGCGGCCGUGGUUUUUGCAUUAAAGCUAUGGCGCCAUUAUUUAUAGGGCGAGCGGUGCGAAGUAUAUACGAAUCACAAGAGCUUAAAGUAUUUAUUCACUCAGAAAGAGUUGAACUUGAGGCAGCGCAGAUGGUUGGAGCUACUCAAGGAUUACGACCUGACGAUUCUUUACCACCCGGGCAAGGCUAACGUGGUGGCGGAUGCGCUAAGUCGGAAAUCGACGGAGAACUUAGCGAUGCUUGUGGUUACUCAACUGCCGUUGAUCAAGCAGAUGAAGCGGCUGGAGUUGGAGGUGGUGGCUCCUGAUACACCUUUGAGACUUAUGACUUUGGUGGUGCAAUCUACACUUAUAGAAAAAAUUAAAGAAAAGCAAGUCUCCGAUGUUGAGUUGCAAAGGAUUCAAGCUAAGAUGGUUGAUGGUUGCACCGGUGAUUUCACUUUAGACGGUGAUGGAUUGAUGCGUUUCCGCGGACGACUUUGUGUACCGGCGGUGUCACGACCCGCGACCACCCGCCUAUUUGGCCGAGGUCGCGACGUCGACAGCGCAGAACGAACAGGGUUUCCCCUGUACUGCGGACAGAGUCUCCCCUGUACGUUCAAGGCAUCGCAAUCAAUACAAUACAAAGGUUCCAAACAGGAACAAUAUCAAUCAAGAUUGCAAGUGGAAGGUAUCAUACAACAUAAACACAUCCUAAGUUAUUACAUUCAUUCACUUUCAUAGUUUUUACUCACAAUUUCUAUUCUUUUUCAUCCAAAUGCAAUCUAAGUUAUUACAACAUUUACUUACUACAAGUUUGAUACAUUGUAUUCUUUUCAUUUCCCAUACCUCUAAGCUAUAUCGACAGGGUACUGCUAGCUCUGGUCUCCGGGUAGGGCGCUAUCUAUGGAUCUACGCCCUUUCCUCGCGCCGCUGCGCCGCUCUCGUGCGAACCUGUAACCCCCAAAACAACGUGGGGUGAGAACCAACUCCAUGGUUCCCAGUGGGUACGGCCACCCAAGGGAAAAGCUCGACCAAAAGGUCCAAGGAGGCACUGCAAUCAUGUUAGUCCAAAAACAUCUAUAGAUAUAUAAAUCAUAAUGUUAAUAAGCAACUAACAGAUAACAUGCCUCACAACGUGCAAUAUGAAUAUUAUGCAGUUCUAUGCAAUCAAGCAACCAUUCAGUAGAUCUAUUGAUUCUACAUUCAGCUUUACUAACUUUAGCUCAUGUCAUUUAGCCUCUAAGGUUCUACUACCUUAGCUCACAACUCAAGUUCACAUUGCCUCUAAGGUCUCUAUUACCUUAGUUCUUACCAUUAUCACUAGCUUAUAAGGUUUCUAUUAACCUAAUCGAGCUAACCACCCGACUCGGCCUCGAGUCAAUCAUCCACGGAUAGUCCGCGCACUGGCCGCACUCUGUGACUUAACCAGCUGGCGGCGAAGUCAUCGCACACGCCGAACACUGGUUCAAGUCCCUCAACUUGGCCACCUGGUGGCAAACGAAUCGCACCUCACCCAACAAUGGCUCAAGUCGAUCUGGCGGCAUAAUCCACAAACUGGCUUAACCAUUCGGCGGCGAAAUCGUUGCACACGCCACGUCAAUGGUUCAAGCCCCGGGCGGUGAUCUCAGUGCACUCACCUCCCAAUCCAUCCUUGGUAUCAACCUCGACGGCGAAAUUGUCGCACACGCCCUAGCCUUGAUACCAAGGUUAUCAAAGAUUCUGGGAUUCCGGAAUCCACUUUUCACAAGUCGAGGGUCCAUAGCCAACCCUAUACCGUCGACCUAGCUCAUCCUAGUGGCUAUACCACUCUACUCAUCAAACUAGGUUUCAAACACUCUAGGUUCUAUGUCCAUGUCACUUAACCUAGUUAUAAAUGCUAGGUUCAUGUCCUCGUAGCCUAGAUGUCCAUUUCUAGGUUUACUAGUUCGACCUAGGUUUACUAACACUAGGUUCGAUGCCACACACCUAGAUUAUUCAAUUCUAGGUUUACGUAUUUAACCUAUGUCCUUUAACACUAGGUUAGAUGCCACUCGAUCUACCUGACAACCUAGUUGUCCACUUAAGCAUUCUACAUUACCAUUUUCCGUUGUCGAGUUUUCUACUCAUUCUAGAUUAUCAAUUCCCUUCAUAUGCAUAUCCUCACAAUGCUACUCAUGUAUUUAUGCAGCUAUCUAGCAUUACAUAGCAUGCAUUAUAUGAUCUAUAUCAUUUAUAUGGACCUACUUAGCAUUUGCAUCAUAUUAUUAACAUGCAUCACUUAGCAUUAGCUACAUGCGCCAUUCACAUGCCUCGUUCACAUUUAUAUGCAUCAACAUGGGUUCUUAAUCAUCUUAGACAUAAAGGUGACCUAGUCGCUUCGGUAAGCACAACCCACCUUAACUCGCGUUCCGAUUGCUCGUCGACACUUGCAAUCGGCCUCCCGCGGCCUCCCGCGGCACUCGGCACUCGUUUGGGCCCGAUCUCACAGUUGCUCUCCAAGAGCGCGCCGCUUCGCCGUCUCAAGUGCUAACGGUCUUCGCCUUGCUGCUACGGUGCUCGGGAUCCAAUCCCAUGAUUUUACGACGUCGCCUCGGCCCUCCCGGCAGACCCGAAGCUUAAACGUCUAUUUCUUUAAUAACUUUGUAACGGCUCGUCAGAUUGCCGAACCGUCUUCGCCAACGCGUUUUGUUACCUAGCAAUUAGGUUUACAGAGGGUUGAAUGAGAUCAAACCCUCAUAUUUGCCAAAACCCCAUUUCGGAGCCCUAGAUUCCAAUUAGGUAAAAACCUAUCUUUAAAUCUCUAGAUUCUAGCAUUAAACAUCUAUUAAGCUUGCUAGGAAUCCAAUUAAACCAUUUCUAGAGAUCAAAACCCUACAUCUAGGGAUUUACCAUGAGAGGGCUAAGGGCUUACCUCUCAAGAUGCUCCAAUAGCAAGGAGGGAGAGAAGAAGGUGGAGUUGAUCUCCUCCUUGAUCUUCUUCUCCUUCUUCUCCUUCCUCUUCUUCUUCUCUUCUUUCUCCCCUUCUUCUUUUUCUUUUGUUUAGAGAGAGAGAGAGAGAAACGUGAGAGAGAGUGAGGGAAUGAGAGAAAGAGAGAGAGAGUCCUCUCUUAACCCCCUCUCAUAUUGUAACAUUUCCAAAUAAGCCCCCCAACUCUUCUAACCUCGCAGUAGCCCGAACUGGGCAUUUUUCGCGUUCGGGGACUGGUCCUUGCGGUGAGGGACCGGUCCCUGAGAGACCGGUCCCCGAAGGUCCAGAAUUCAGCCUCAAGGACUUAGCCAAAUUUUCAGCAUUUUCGCCCGUUUUUGUCCGUUUUAGCUCGUUUGACCUCCGAUUCACUUCAAAUCGAACCGAGACUCUCCAUACAUGUUUUCAAGCAUGUUUUCAUCAUCUUUUCAUCCACGCUAAUGCCGGAUUUAGCUCACGGCCCAACAUAGCCUUUCGGGCUCCGUUUUCGCGCCUAUGCGCACCGAAACGCCCGAAUGCUUCCGAACUUCACCGAACUUCACCGGAACUAUUCGAAUGGCUUUCUAACCAAACGUACACCGUAACUUCAUGAUUUUAGAAGUCCAGUACCUUACAGGCUGACUUGGGUAUUAAAGAGGAUAUUCUUCAAGAAGCACACCGAGCAUCGUAUGCUAUACAUUCGGGAGGCACCAAGAUGUACAAGAACUUGAAGUUGCUUUACUGGUGGCCCGGGAUGAAAAAGGAUGUUGGUGAGUUUGUUGCCAGAUGCUUAACUUGCCAACAGGUGAAAGCUGAGCACCGAGUUCCCAUGAAAAAACUUCAGAGCCUACCGAUUCCAGUGUGGAAGUGGGAAAAGAUUACCAUGGAUUUCGUGAUGGGAUUGCCUCGCUCACAGGCCGGGCAUGACGCUAUUUGGGUGAUCGUGGAUAGGCUGACGAAAUCGGCCCAUUUCAUACCUAUCCACACUAUUUAGACUGGUGAGAGACUCAGAUAGGUUUAUUUGGAUGAGAUUGUGCGAUUGCACGGGGUACCUACUUCUAUAGUAUCGGAUCGAGACCCCCGUUUUGUAUCCCACUUUUGGAGAAGCUUAUAGGAUGAUUUGGGUACGCGCUUGGACUUCAGCACUGCUUUCCACCCCCAGAGUGACGGGCAGUCGGAGCGUACUAUACAGACUCUUGAGGACAUGCUUCGAGCCUGCGUGAUUGACUUCCAGGGAGAAUGGUUGCAGCAUCUACAGAUGGCAGAGUUUGCUUAUAACAAUAGUUAUCAAGCAAGCAUCAAGAUGGCACCUUUCGAGGCACGUUAUGGAUGGAAGUGUAGAUCGCCACUUCAUUGGAGUGAAGUUGGCGAGAGAUUGGCUUUAGGCCCAGAUGUGCUCCAGAAGGCCGAGAACAAGGUUCGCAUUGCGCGGGAGCGACUGUUGACAGCCCAGAGUAGGCAGAAGAGCUAUGCUGAUCGGCGUCGACAAGACUUGAAGUUUCAAGUUGGAGAACACAUCUUCUUGAAAGUCUCGCUGACUCGAGGGAUUAGAAGAUUUGGAACCCGGGGUAAGUUGAGCCCCCGAUACUUUGGACCGUAUGAGGUUUCGGAGCGUGUAGGCCCGGUAGCGUAUAGACUUGCUCUACCGCCGAACCUAUCGGGUGUGCACAAUGUAUUCCAUAUAUCGGUCCUUCGGAAGUACAUCCACGACCCGGCUCAUGUUUUAGACGCUACGCUUUUGGAGCUGAGAGAGGACUUGAGCUUCGAGAAACAACCUUUAAGGAUUUUGGCUCGCGAAGUGAAAAGAUUGCGGAACCGGGAAAUUCCCUACGUGAAGGUGCUUUGGAGCAACCACGACGAGCGCGAGGCCACUUGGGAGUUGGAGAACGCACUGCGGGGCGCUACCCCAUCUUUUUCAGAUGGAGGCUUGAGGUACUUUGUCUUUUUCGAGUUUCGUGGACGAAACUCCUUUUUAUGAGGGGUGAAUGUAGUACACUGGACCUUUGCAAAUUGCGAGGUUCGAGUGUUCGAGCUGUGUUCUGAGUCCUUCCAGACUUUCUGGUGGGUCGUUGACAGUGCUCCGACCUAUGGCUCGUAUUCCGAGAAUUGUGGUUUAAAGCUGUGUACCAAAACCCAAAAAAAGGGGAUUUGGCCAACUCUCGGAUAGCAAUCUGGAGGUCUUGUACCGGUACAAGGUUGGUGGUUGUACCGGUACAAGGUUGAUGGUUGUACCGGUACAGCCACCGGGCUUUUACCGAUACAGAGCGAUUGAACCCCGCCAACCCGAGCCUUGGGUUUGUGAUUUUCAUGGGACUUGUACCGGUACAAGGGCCCGUGUACCGGUACAAGGUGGCAGAAUUUGAGCAGUUUGAACUGCAGGGGUGUUUUUGCGAUUGUGGGUCUCUUAUAUCAACACCCACGCCCCUAGGGCUCUCCUUUGAGCUCACCACUGCAGGGAGAAAGGUAGGGCACCUCUCCCCUUCACCCCCUUUGGAUUUGAUCUCUUUUUAGCUUGGGAUUUAAGUGUUAAUCCAUCUCUUUUCCCUUUUGGUGCAAUUCCACCAUUGUUGAAGCUUGGAGCUUGGAUUUGGAGCUUUGUUGAGGGGAGAUCUUGGCAUUUAGAGAGUUUAGAGCUUGGAUUGAAGCUUCUAAGAGGUAAUCUACUUGUUCUCUCCCUCUAGAUUGGAUUUUUAUUGGUGGUUUUGAGAUGAAACCCUAGAAUGGGGUUUUAGGGCUUAUUUUGGGCAUUUUGAAUUUAGGACUUUUGGAGCUAAAUUAAUUGGAUUAGAAUCUUCCUUUGGGUUGGAUCGGAAGGAUUCUAGCUCUCUUUAGGAGCUUGAGGGAGAUUUUCUACACAUUAGGUGAGUUUUAUCCCUUUUGCCUUGUUGGUUAUGUUUAAUUUUAUAGUUGAUCGUAAUGCCCGUGUAUCUCUUCGCUCAAUACUUUUAGGGUAUUUUGAGACUUGUGGAUAACUUCGUUUGGCGAAACGAGACACUACGCGACGGUUCGGUGGGUUUGACCUAGCCACACAAUGAGAAAAUCUCAUUUGUGAAGAUUUGAGUAUUGUUAAUUGAAAAAGCAUGCAUAUUCAUAUUAGAUAUAUUUAUUAUGAAUUUUAGAAUGCUUAACAUGCAUACGUUAUGUAUAGUAAAUUUUGGACCUCUAUGUGGUUGGGUGCAUGCAUGUGGAAUGUAGCAUUCUAGUGGAAACUUGGGACCAUGAUUCCUAUUAUGAAAAUGAACAUUGCUUUCUUGCAUUUAACCUUAUGCCUAAUUGUGACAUUAGGGACUUUGGAAGCCUAGAGAGGCUUGGGGACUGAGGCUAUUUGAGGUUUUGGGCCGAUGUCAUAAAGAGGCAUUGGGCCCCGGGCUAUAGUGAAUAUUGGUAUUAACGUCAUAUUUGGAACAUAGAACAUGAAUUGAGCUUUACUAGUUGUGAUGCUUAAGUGUCAUAAAGAGGCACUAAGCAAGUGAGUGUUGAGAUAUCAUAUUGUGACAUAGAGCUAGACCGUUGGGUUACUAGUAGCUAUUGCCAUGUUUGAGACAUGAGGGUUGGAUACUUGAGCCUUUGACUACGCUUGCUUGCCAUUUGUGCUCAUUCGCACAUGCUUGUGAGGGUCGCUCCCUACAAGCCGGCACUCCGGAGUUAGCCUACGCGACUUAUGUUCGCUCGUGCGGUAUUUGAGUGGCUACACGGUGAGUGGAAAAGACAUUCCAGAUAGGGAUGUUUGUACCAAGUACUAGCGCCAGUAGAACUAACUUGUAGGUCCCUAAGUUGGAAAAUGGAAAUUGAAUCUGUUGUUGUGGUAAUAUAAGAUAGAGGUCGAGUUGAUUCUGGUUGCUUCUAGCAUAGUUUUGAACCUUGAGUAUACUACAUACCAUGUAUCUAGGAGUAUGUGACUUAUUCUCCCAUAUUACAGUGUUCAUAAUACAUAUCUUAUAAAUUCAUAAAGAAACCGUGAAAUUUAACUGUGGAUGUUGGACAUAUAUUACGCAUUGAACAUUCUCUUAAUAAACAGUAAAUUUAACAUUGACAUCGUAAUGUUUAUGGUAUAGGUAAAACUAGAUAAACAUGCAUAUUUCAUACGCUUAUUUAUUUGAUGUUUACCGUACUUAUUCUUUGGCCUAGUGUGCAUUGACUUGAGGUAGUAAUUGCCACUGAAUAAUAAAUUUAGUUCUCAACCCUCUGUUUAUGUUUUCUUUACGAGCAUUCCAACGCAGGAGAGCUAGGGAGUGAAGGCGUUGUUUGACUAGCUCUAGCGGAGUGCGAGUUGCUAGGUUACUUGAAUAUUUUAUUUUGAAGGUGAGAGUGUACCAUUGUAUAGGAUGACCCUUUUGUUACUUUUUUUGGACAAUAUUUAUCUUAUUAUUUCAUUUUGUUAUAGUAUACUUUUCCUAGUGUAUGAAAUUAAUUUUGCUCUGAUAUUCUAGAUGUUGUUUUUCUUUGGUUAUUUUUCGGCUGUGUUGAGACGCCUUAUAUGUGGUUACUAUGGGGGUCUGGGCACCUACGGAGGCCCUGCGGUCCGGCGUGACAGGUCUAGCUCCCUUACCAAAGGGAUGUCUUCUUGCUAAGAAUAUGGAAGAGAGAAAGAGACGUUGAGGUUGGGUUAAAAACUCUGAAUUAUAUAUAGGAAUAAAAUCUAUUCUAAAUAAUAUAAUGAAUAGGAUAAGUAUAUAUCUAAGAUUUAAUUUUCCUUUCGCUAAGGUUAAUCGAUCACAUCUAAUUUGAUUCGACUUGAAUUUUAAUAUUAAUUUGACUUAUUUCAUUAAUGAAUGCACAUUUGCCCAUCUCUAUAAUAUUACUAAAUUAUAAGCUCUCGCUUAUAACUUAUACACUUUAAUACCACUAAUUUGUAACAAUUACAAAUUACUCCAAUUAUCAACAUAUUGACAAUUAGGUCCUACUGCGAUUCAAUAAUCGCGAUCUAGCUAUCCGAUCAAUCACAACCAUUUAUGUGUGUGACCCCAUAGGUUCUAUUCUAACUGGUAGUGAGAUAUAUUUUGAUCACUAUCAACAAUAUCACGGAAACUCCUUUCGGUAGAUCGGAACAAUUCCAACUCUGCCCAAUGAGAAUUAUCGAUCAUCUAGAUAAUUCUCAUGAGUCUCACAAUCCACCAGUGACGCCUAGCAGCAUGUAGUGGCAUUCCAGUAGAAUGAAAUACUGAACCUCUUGGUGCAGUUAUCGUGUGAUACAAUCCUUCUAUCAUGAGUCCCGACAAGACGGAGGUUAUGGAAUAACUCGUCAAACCCCAUCGCCUAUCAUAUAUUAAAUUCAUUCGACUCGAGUUUCUAAUAUCAGAAACCUUUUUCCGCUAUUAACUCUGCCCUGGUCAAGGUCUUCUAAACUCGGUCUCAUAAAUCAUAUAGGACUAACACCCCUAUCUACCAAGUGAGAUAGAUUCCAUCUAAGUGUGCACCCUAUUCCUACAAUAAACCUACUGUAGCCAACAUGCACCGCAAGGACCCGAAUGGCUAGGGACCAAGUGUAUGUACAGUCAAACUACAGUAACCUCAUUGUGAAUAGCCGAGGCACCGCAGGUCAAAGUACUAGUCACAUUACUGCAACAUUGAAUAAGUCACUGACGAGUGAGUAGACAUCCAAGUGACUUCUCGGGAUGGUCACGCUCGGUACCCUUGUUCUCUAACAACCACCUGCAUAUUCGCUUCAGUGUCCCUACAUUGUCGACUCGAGACCCGUCUACCCAAAAAGGAAGCGACCUAUGCACCAAUCUCACCGGAUCAAUCACCGCCCCCGUGAUGGUCCAUUGAUUAGGAGCAUUUAGGAAUUAACCACCAAUGACACAUGUCUCAAAUUCUCAACUCUUGAGAAUAUAUGUCAUCAUCUUAUUAAUUCCUUGGACGAUUCACGGACACAUACACAACAUGAAUGGAAAUAAAAACCCAAAUUUAUUCAUAAUAUUUUAAAGUCAAAUACAAAUUUAUAUCCUAGAAAGAAUACAUGUGUCAGCCUGGUUGGCUUCUAGGGCAUACAUCUAACACCAUAUAGUAUUACGAUGUCAAGGUUUAUCAUUUAUUAACCCAAAUGUCACUACAUGACGUUCAUGAUUACUAUGUCAAGUAACAGUUACUAGUUCAAAUGCACACAACCAUUGCCAUUAUCCUAUCUAGGAUAGUUCACUUUUGUCCAAGUCUCAAUGAGAGUUCACACUUAGUCUAUUCCACUAAAGCUAAGGAAGCCACUUUCUUAUGGUGUAUGCAUAGUUACCACAAAUUAUUUAUAAUGCUCAUGAUGCAAGCCAUGCACAUAUAUCUUCCUACCCAUACAUCCACCUUAUGGAGUAAUAACAAUUAUGCGAGUGCUUUCAUUCAAUAAUGCCAUAUGCAAAUAUUCAACUAGAAUGAAUGUUCCAACUUGGUUUCUUAUAGAUCUUACAUGUACUACGUUACCAUGUCCCAACUACUUGCCUACAACAAGUGUGAUAUUGUCAUGCAAAUAUAUGCAAAUGAAUGUUCCAACUUGGUUUUCUCUCUUUUGUGUUUUGUUGAGAGAGAGAGAGAUUUUGUAUCCAUGUAUAGAGACCACCUCUGUAUUACAUUCAGUUUUUGUACUCGGGUUUUGUUAUUGUACUACCUUAUGGUUUUAUUUAGUGGAUCUAGCUCUUUACUUAUUUUCUUUUCCUUGUCAUAGAUACUAGAUGUUGUAUACUCUGAUAUCUCUAGAUCUCUUCGUGCUGUUGCUUUAUUUAUUACCUUAUUGUAGACGCCUUAUAUAUUUUAGACGUAUGGCGGGUCUGGACACGCGCCGGGCGGGCUUCCGCUGGGUCCCGGGGCGUGACAGAUCAUGUCCAUGAUGUUCAUAAUGCUACAAUAAGUGACGAUACAUCUCAUUACUAUUCUAACCAUACAUUAUGCCAAUCAAUAUAAGUGUAACAUACUACCACUAGGGUGUCAAUGCUAACAAUGACUAACAUAAGGUCCACAUAUGCACUAUCAUGCAUGUCCACUAGUCCAACUGAUAUACAUCAUCUAGUAGUAGUUUUCACAUUACACUUUAGGUUUCAUAGUUCAAUCCUCAUCAUGGAUCUACACGUGUGUAGUCCGGCUUGUGCCGUGCCAAAAAUGGCCCCAUAGUAGUCAAUAUUCCCACUCUAGGAAUGAGCCUCCCCCACGGCAUCCCAUUUCGGCGCCCAAUCCUGCACGGGCGAGCUUGUGUCACAUAGGCUAUCUCCGGAGUGCCAGCUUGUGGGGAGCGACCCUUACAAGAAUGUGUGAAUGAGCACAAAGGCAAGCAAGCGUGAUCAAUAGUAUCCAGCUCUCGGUCAUCAUGUCUAAAAUAUGGAAUACGUGGCAACGACCCCAAAGGUCCCAUAUAGUAUUACGAUGUCAAGGUUUAUCAUUUAUUAACCCAAAUGUCACUACAUGACGUUCAUGAUUACUAUGUCAAGUAACAGUCACUAGUUCAAAUGCACACAACCAUUGCCAUUAUCCUAUCUAGGGUAGUUCACUUUUGUCCAAGUCUCAAAGAGAGUUCACACUUAGUCUAUUCCACUAAAGCUAAGGAAGUCACUUUCUUAUGGUAUAUGCAUAGUUACCACAAAUUAUUUAUAAUGCUCAUGAUGCAAGCCAUAAACAUAUAUCUUUCUACCCAUACCUCCACCUUAUGGAGUAAUAACAAUUAUGCGAGUGCUUUCAUUCAAUAAUGCCACAUGCAUAUAUUCAACUAGAAUGAAUGUUUCAACUUGGUUUCUUAUAGAUCUUACAUGUACUACGUUACCAUGUCCCAACUACUUGCCUACAACAAGUGUGGUAUUAUCAUGCAAAUAUAUGCUAAGUCUCAUUCAUGCACAUGUCCAAGUCAUAUAGUUAUGCUAUCGAUCUCAAGAUCAACACCUUGUUAGUUACUAGGUCACAAUGCCCUAUUUCCUUGUCUACACAAGUAUAUUAUUUGUAACAUACCAGAUUUUGGUAUAAAAAAAAAUAAAAAUAAAUAAAAAUAGUGUGAGAAACUAUUUUUAUUGGAUUUAUAGAAGUAAAAUAUAAGUUAGAAGUGACUUGUGCUGAAAUCGAAAUGAAAAUAGAAGAUCUAGAAUUUUCUGUUGGAAACGAGACAGAUAAAUUAGCAGAAAAUGCAGUCUCAGAAAAUUAUGAAAAUUGGAGGAUAAGUCAGAAAUAUUUUUAUGAGGCUAGAUUUAAGGUUUCAUAUUUUUCUGACACCCGUAGAGUGAGAAAUAAAAUCCAACAGCUAUCUGAUAAAGAUUACGGUUCGGUACAGUUUUCAGUGACCAAACGAGGUCGAAACUGAAAACAUAAGAUAUAUUCUCACUCAGUACGUUAAACCGAGGUUGUCUGUCAAAUUUGAGCCCAAACGAACAUUCAGAAGGGCUCCAACUGUUCCGAACUACUAAACUGCACUGGAAUGAAUAACGUUGUGGUGUUGACAAAAGAGGAGUGUUGACUCUUCUUCUUUUCCUUCAGCCGCACACACGCCACACACACACACGCGCGCAUGGAGGGGGAGAGGGAAACCCUCCCUUCUCUCUCUAAAUAUCUCUCUCAUCUCUCUAAAUCUCUCUCUAAAAAUUGGAGGGUUGGCAGAGAGCGAGCUUGCGAACGCGUUGGAGGCGACGGAUCGAGCUUUCGUACGCCCGUUGGAGCGGCGUGGUUUCGUCGCGGCGUUCACAUUUUGGUAAGCUUUUGGAAUUUUGUUUAAAUCCUUCAUGAAUGAUGUUCUAGUAGUAUCUAGAGUGUUCUAAACAUGCUCUCUCUAUUUAAUUUGGAUUAUUUAGAGGUUAAUUACAUGUUAGGGCUCCGAAUGGGGUUUUGUAAAAUAUAAGGGUUUGAUCUAAUUUGACCCUCCGUAAACCUAAUUGCUAGGUAAACGAACGCGUUGGCCAAGACGGUUCGGCGAUUCGUCCAGCCGUUGCAAAGUUAUUAAAGAAACGGAUGUUUAGGCUUCAUUUCCGCCUGGAGUGUAAGGAAGUGGAUUCUCGAAAUCCGAGAAUUGUACUUCAUACAGGAUCGACUAACCCUAUCGAGAGAAUGCCCUUUGUGGGAGUUAAGAAUGUCCAAAACACAAGAGGUGCUUUGGAGUUGAGUCCACGAGAGCGAAUGAUGCAAACUGCAUCAUUGGGCAGAUGUUACUCUCGGGGACCGGUCUCUAGAGGUGAGAGACCGGUUCCCUUGGCUGGGUGUAGCGGGGUUGCUUGAUGCAACUGGUCCCUGGCAGGGAGGGACCGGUUCCUGAACGUGGUCCCAGCGAGAAAUGCCGAAAUUUGGCUAAGUCCUGAAAAUCGAGCUCUCGGGGACCGGUCUCUCGGGCCAGGACCGGUCUUCCGAGGACCGGUCUCCCGGGGAGAGACCGGUUCCCGAACGCGUGCGCCCGAGGGAGGCCCUCGGGGACCGAUCCCAAGUCGGGGAGACCGGUCCCUCCGCGCGAACUCUGCCCAGUAAGGGCUGUGCAGUGGAUAGAAAGUUGAGGGGUUUUUAUACAAAAUGGCCUUUAUUAGAGUGGGUUGGGCCCUCUCUCUCCCUCACACUCAUCUCAUUUCCCUCUCUCACACUCUCUUUCUCUCUUGCUCUCUCUCUCUAGAAAGGAAAGGAGAAGAAGAAGAACAAGAAGGAGAGGAAGGAAAAGAAGAGGAAGAACAAGAAGGAGAAGAAGGAGGAGAUCAAGAGUAAGGCUUUGGACACCUUCAUCUCCCUCUCCUCUUCUCUUUGGUGUAGCACAAGAGGUAGGCUCUUGAGCCCUAGCUUCUAAACUUUGGAGUUUUGGGUUUUCAUGCUUUGGAAUGGGUCAAAUAGACCCUAAGCAUGCUUCUAAAUAGAUCAAUCCCAUGAUUCUAGAGAUUUAUUGGUGGUUUGCUAUAGGUGCAAACCUAGGGCACCAAAAUGGAGUUUUUGUAAAAGUAUGAGAUUGAUCUCAUUUGAAGCCUUGGAAACCCUAUUGUUAGGUCACAAAACGUGGGGGCGAAGUCGGUUUUGGCAUUCGGCGAACCGGCGUGAAGUUCUCGGCAAAAUAGGGCCGGGCUAGUGUUGACUUGGGCAAGGAAGGCUAAAGCCUUUUCGUAAAGUUCGCCGAGAAGAAUUUCCGAGGCCUCUACAUCGAUUAAAGGUGGGGGGUGCGAUCCCGAAGCUUUCAGACUCCUUUCUAUGUCUUAGAUUGCAUUUAAUAUCAGCUCUUACAUGUUGCAUUGUAGGAUUGCAUAGUAGCUCAUUCCUUAUGCUUUCUAAAUAAUAACCUAGUGUACUUGGAACGCUUGGUGACGUAGAUAGGUGAGGAUUGGGUCGGAACGUGGAUCCUAUGAUGCGAAAGACAAGAGGUGAACCCGAUAGGGGUAUUGAUGACAUAGAAAAUAGUGCUAAUGUUAAAGAACAAACGAGUGACAUCCAAAUGUUAAAUGAUAACGAGUGGCAUUAAUGUAGUGUAAACAACACUAGAGGUUUGAGAACCUAGGGAUAGGUGGAUCCCUUAGAAAAUGCCUUGUGGAUAAAGAACUUAGUAAACCUAAGUAGCCUCACAUGGAGAGGUUGUCGAUGAGUCGAUUGAGACAUUGACCCUAGUGUUAGGGCUUCCUCACUUGGAGCGGAUUGGGAUUGGGUUGUGGACCCUAGUGAUAGUGCUCCGUCACUUGGAGAGGAUUCGAUUGGGUAUAGACUCUAUUUGUAGAGCAUCCUCACUUGGAGAGGACUCGAUUGAGUUGUUGACCCUAGACGUUGGGCAUUCUCACUUGGAGAGGAUAGAUCUAGCUCACAGUCUGCAUUUGCGGUAGUAUAGCCAUCCAAUCCCCAUAUGGAGGGGAUUGUCGUCAAGUACUCCGGAGUGUCGCGCGACUAGGACUACUUGGAGGUCCGGACCACAUGGAGGUCCGCAGACGGUCCCGGGCUUGGGUGCACUUGGAGCUCCCUCCCCACUUUGGGAUUGAAGGGUGAGUUAUAGGCGAGCCCUAGGGCCUCGCCAUAGAUUGGGUAAAUGAAAAGGUUAAAGGUUUAAUAAUGUCAUUGAACAUUGCUAUUCGAACAUGGGUCGAAUUUGUUAGCAUGGUAGCAAACCUUUAUUAUAUGAUGCAUGCAUUCAUAUUCAUGAUUAUGGGCAUAGUAGCAUAGUUUUCCUACUAUCGCAUUUACAGCUUUCAGAUACAUAUCUAUCUAUAUAUCUGUUGUUACUUGUGCCCACUUGGACCUAGUGGGGAGAUCGGCAAAGUCGGCGGCCGAGCCCACUGGGAACUAUGGAAGAUAGUUCUCACCCCACUCUAUUUCCAGUGGUAGAUACAGGACUACCGAGNAGGGAGGACCGCGGCAAGGGCAUCGCGCCCGAUCAGUGAGACCGUGGCAGUUAGUAGCUUUCAUUUUUGCAUUAGUUCACCAAUGUAUUGAGAGAGAAUCAUUGUAGGUGAGGACAUGGAGAGCUAUGCACUUUGAGAUGAAAAAUGUAUUCAUUUAAAGAGAAUGAUGUAAAUGGAAAUGAUGAAACUAUUGUAAUAGUUAGUAAAAUACUCUCUUUAUUUCACAUGCUAUAUCUUGAGGAUUACUUGCUCUUUAUAUUGUUGGCACUGUUCGUGCCCUUGUGAAUAUGUAUGUUUAGAAUUUAAUUUUCUGGGUAAAUUCUUGUACACAUUCUUGUUGUUGAGCCUUGGGCAGACAGGGGAGGUGCUGUCCAUUCGGCAAUCUGCCGCCGCGGCCGAAUCGUGCCAAAUUAGUAGUGGUUUCGGGGCGGGGUGUGACAGUUCUUUGUGGUAUCAGAGCAACAAGAGCAAGUAAAGAGAGAAAGUCUAGGAUGACCUAGGAGACCCUAGGUUGAUAAGCCCUAAGGUUAUAGGUGCGUGAGCGGAACGUGAACCUAUAGCGAUGGCGGAAGUUAAGUCGAUUGGGUUGAAGUUGGCAAUAUGUCUCUAGUUGUGAUUAGAGACGGACUCAAGUUGUAGGAGUUCUUGUCUUGAGGUGGUUGUGUUGGCGGUCGAUGACAUGAUGCCAAGAGAUUAGAACAAGUGCACUUGUGUGCUUCCGCCCGAUUUUUGUUGUUGAGUCGUCAAGUGACAUAAUUGUGACGAGGCAAUUGGUUAAGAUAACUGACCGAGUAUCUGCAUUUCAGGGACUAAUGUCUCCAAGACGCUACACGCGUAGAUCUGCCCCAGCACCGAUUCCUGAGGUGCCCGAGAAGAAGGAACCGAACGUGAUCGAUCGGUUGCAAGCGCAGGUGGCCGCACUGACCAACGUGGUGCAACACCAGGAGACCCGAUUCGAGCGGCUCUGGGAUCUUUUGGAGCAGCAGAUUGCAGUGGCGGCCGCGAUGGUGAAUGAGGGCGGUGGUCCGCCCACACCCUCGACUCAUAUACCCGUGGCGGCAGAGGGUGAGGGCAUAGCGGCGGUUCCGGUGACGGCACGCCCACCGCCAGCGAUCGUACCACAGGCGGCAUCGGGAUCGGCUACACCCGAUGUGGCAGCCGAAGACGUGGAGGGAGAGCGCGCAUUGGCGGCUCUUAUCAAGUUCAACAAGUUCCAUCCGCCAACCUUCGAGGGCGAGAAGGUGGAACCGGAGAUGGUCGAGUCUUGGAUUGACUCGAUGGAAACCUUCUUCGAUGAUUUACGUACCUUAGAGAGGGACAAGGUGUACCUCGCCACCCAUUGCUUGGAGAAGGCGGCGAAGGUUUGGUAGAAGCGCGUCAAACGGGAUCGGCUUCCCGGCCUUCCGCCAAUGUUGUGGGAGGAGUUCAAGCAGGAGAUGUUUGCUAACUAUUUUCCCGACACACUGAAGCCGAAGCUCAAGGAGAAAUUCCGCAAGUUGGAGCAAGGGGACCGCUCAGUGGCGGAGUAUGAACAAGAAUUCUCCCAUAUCAUUGAUUGUGUCCCGGAUGUUGCAAAGGAUGACCGGGACUGGGCUGAGUGGUUCUUACGAGGACUUCAGCCGGGAAUUUACAAGGCCGUGCAAAUACUCAAGCUCACAACCUUUGCGGAGGUCUUUGAUCGAGCCCUAUGGGCGGAGCACGGAGACGCCCACGUUCGGGAGAAGCGUGAGCUUUUGGCGGAGUCCAAGGACAAGGGCAAGAAACGCCAAGGUGGCGGUAGUUCGGGGGGACAAACACGUUACAAGAAACCCCUGAAGUAUCCGCGCACUCAACAGAAGGGCGGUGGAGCGCGGCGUUGCAUCGUGUGCGGCGGAGACCACCCGGUCUCGCGCUGAGCAAGGCCGAGGCAAGUGCUACAAGUGUGGGCAACUGGGGCACUUCAUUCGGGACUGCCAGGGAGGAGGAGCCUCACCUGCCCCAUCAAUUGCAUCGGUGCCGGCGAUUCCGGCUCACUAUGGAGGAGCUCCACCCACGGCCGCGUCGACUGGACGCGCGAUGAUGCCGCGUCAACAUGAAGCAACGCGAUCGGCCCCGAGUGGACGGGUGUUCGCCGCUCAGGUCCAAGCUGAGGAACCUGCGGAGGCGGAGGAGCAUCGCCUUGUGGCAGGUAUGGUUUUAAUUAACGGAGUUCGCUCCAGGGCUUUAUUUGAUACAGGAGCCACGCAUUCAUUCAUAAGUAGAUCAUUCGCACGCAUGCAUGGCAUACAUAUAGAAGCGAGUGACAAGUGGCGAGUGGAGGCCCUGGGUCGACGUUUAACACUUACUCGGAGUAUGCGUCGUGUCCCGUACAAAGAGGCGACUGGAUUAUGCCUAUCCGGACACUGGAACUCGCAAAGCUUGAGGCUUAUGACGUCAUUCUGGGUAUAGACUGGCUCUCGAAAUAUCACGCAAUGAUCGACUGCAAGAGUAGGGUGAUCACAUUCUGUGAGCCAGGACAGGAAGAAUUCAUCUAUCGGACUUGUCAGAGCUCGUGCUUCGUCGCGACGGUGUCGGCGACGAGAGCAAGGAAGUUGGUCAACAGCGGUUGCACGGCAUUCUUGGCAACUAUUGUGGAGGUGGAGCGAGUAGCCCCAAUGUUAGAGGAGUUAUCCGUGGUGUGGGAGUUCCCGGAUGUGUUUCCUACGAAGUUGCCGGGGAUACCACCGGAUCGGGAGAUCGAGUUCGUCAUAGACUUGGUUUCCGGUACCGCACCGAUCUCGAAGGCUCCGUACCGAAUGGCGCCGGCGGAAUUGAAGGAGUUGAGGAGUCAAUUGCAAGACCUCCUCGACAAGCAAUUUAUCCGGCCAAGUGUAUCACCGUGGGGAGCCCUGGUGUUAUUCGUGAGGAAGAAAGAUGGAUCGUUUCGACUCUGCGUGGAUUAUCGAGAGUUGAACAGAGUCACGAUCAAGAACAAGUACCCACUACCCCGAAUCAACGACCUGUUCGAUCAGUUGCAAGGGUCGUGUGUGUACUCGAAGAUAGAUUUGCAAUCCGGCUAUCACCAGCUGAAAAUCAAGCCGAAGGAUGUGCAGAAAAUCGCGUUCCGCACGCGGUAUGGACAUUACGAAUUCACGGUCAUGCCAUUUGGACUCACAAAUGCUCCAGCGGCAUUUAUGGAUUUAAUGAAUCGUGUCUUCAGAGAGUAUUUGGAUCGGUUUGUCGUGGUCUUCAUAGACGACAUAUUGGUCUAUUCUCGUAGUGACGAGGAACAUGCCGAGCAUUUGAGAAUAGUGCUUCAAGUCCUUCGGGAGGAGAAGCUAUAUGCUAAACUGAAGAAGUGUGACUUCUGGCUCCGCGAGGUCGCCUUCAUAGGGCAUGUGAUUUCCGUAGGUGGAGUUUCAGUAGACCUGAGGAAAGUUGAGGCAAUCAAGGAUUGGCCGCGCCCGACGAAUGUCACGGAGGUUCGAAGCUUCGUGGGCUUGGCGGGCUACUAUAGGCGGUUUGUGUAAGGCUUUUCCAAGAUAGUGAUUCCACUUACCCGCCUGACUCAAAAAGGCACCAAGUUUGUUUGGAGUGAAGAGUGCGACCGGAGUUUUAAAGAGUAGAAGCAGAGAUUGACUUCGACUUCGGUGCUCGCUCUACCGGUGCAGGGCGAAGACUUCGUGGUCUACAGUGAUGCCUCCUAUCUUGGAUUGGGGUGUGUAUUAAUGCAAAGCGGGAAAGUGAGUGCGUAUGCAUCCCGUCAGUUGAAGAGCUAUGAAAAGAACUACCCCAUUCACGAUUUGGUGCUAGCGGCGGUGAUUUUCGCCUUGAAGCUGUGGAGCCACUACUUAUAUGGUGCCCAUUGUGAGAUCUAUACCGACCACAAGAGCUUGAAGUACCUGUUUACACAGAAGGAGCUCAAUAUGCGUCAGCGGCGGUGGUUGGAGCUAUUAAAGGAUUAUGAUGUUGAUAUCCUCUACCACCCCGGGAAGGCAAAUGUGGUCGCGGAUGCGCUGAGUAGGAAGUCGGCGAAGAACCUCGCUUUCGAUGUUACCCAGCAAACACCCCUGUGGCUGGAUAUGGAGCAAUUGGGCCUUGAGGUGGUCGCUCCCGAGGUCCCGACUCAGCUGAUGGCACUCGUUGUCCAACCGACCUUGUUAGAGAGGAUUAAAGAUCUGCAACCCGCAGACCCAGAGCUCCAAAAGGUGCGGCGAAACAUCGAGGAAGGGCAUGGCGGCGAUUUCAAGGUAGACGUCGAUGGUACGCUUCGGUUUCGAAACUGAUGGUGUGUGCCGAAAGAUGGAGAGCUUCGCGAAUUGAUAUUACAAGAAGCACACUGAUCUCCAUAUGCCGAUCACCCAGGCGGCACCAAAAUAUAUCAGGGACUAAGAAUGUAAUAUACCGAAAAUUCGAAAAAUAAAUAUCGAACUUUAGUCAAAUUGACCAAAGUGCGAGGACGGUACACUUCGGAAAGUCCGAAGGUGUUAAAAUGAUCAAAAGUGAGUUACGGAAGGUUUUCGAGAGCUAAAGAAUCAAAUUCUGCAAACUGCAGCUUUUGAGCUCUCGGGGACCGGUCCCUGGUGGGAGAGACUGGUCCCCGAACGCGUAUGAAAUGUGACAGCCGAAAAAUCGGCUAAGUCCUGGAAGGACAGCUCUCGGGAACCGGUCUCUGUCUGAGAUACCGGUCCCCCAGAGACCGGUCCCCCAAGGAGGGACCGGAUGCAUUGCGCGCGGCAGCUCUGGCUGCGCAGGGUAGACCUUCGGGGACCGGUCCCUGCUCGGGGAGACCGGUCUCUGCCUGCGAAAACUGCCCAGUUCAGGCUGUGUGAAAUAGAUGAAAGUUGAGGGGUUUGUUAGCAAUUAUGCAACCCAAUAGCUAUGUUAUGAGGGUAAAUGAGAAAUUUCUCUCAUUUCACCCCCUCUCACUCUCUUCUCUCCCUCUCUCUCUCUAGAAGACAAAGGAGAAGAAGAAGAAAGAAAGAAGAGAAGGAGAAGAAGGAAAAGAAGGUGAAGAAGAAGAUCAAGGAGCAAAGGAGCUUCAUCUUCUUCCUCUCUAGUGCAAGAAAAGGAAGCUUACAAGGUAAGCUUUGAACCCUAAUGUAGUAAAACCCUAGAAAUGGGUUUGGAUGACCUAGAAAUGAGUUUUAGUGAAAUGUUUAAAGAGUUUUGAAGCUUUCUUUUGCUUCUAAAGAGAUCAAAACCUUGAUUUGCAUUAGAGGUGAGCUUGGACCACCUCUCAUGGUGAAAUCCAAACUAGGGAUUUGGAAAGGUUAAGAAUGGUUCUAAUGGACUAUUUAGAGUAUAAUGAAGCUACUUUUGCUUCUCUUAGAGAUCAAACCCUAGGUUUUGAUAUACAUUGGAGCUAGGGCACCCAAAUUGGGGCUUUUGCUCAUGAGAGUUUCUAAGUGCAAUUGACCUUUUAAAAACCUAAUUGGGGGUAUUUCCGACGCGUUGGUGCGCUCGGAUAAACGUUACGAAAAGUCAAAGUAAAGUUAUGGGCAAAAUGGCCUAAUAAGGGUUCGUUUUGCCGCAGGUAAAGAACGAAGCAUCUAAAAAUCCCAAGAAAAUCAUCGGAGCACCUUUGAAAGCCUACGAGGUGGGUGGUGCUUUUCAAACUCAUUGAAAUUCUCUCUAUGCCUAAUGUGUCAUUCUUUGAGCAAAUGUUCUAUAUAUUGUUGCAUGCAUUUUAGGGUAAAGUAAUGAUGAAAUGUGAUGAUUGCAUGAUUGUGAGCACAACUUGCAUAAUGAGAUGGUUGAGAACCUAAUAAUGUCAAAACCCUAGAUGUAUGCAUGAGAGAAAAUGUGAGUACCAAAGUGAGCAACAAAACAGAGUGGCACAAUGACAUAGAUCGAGUGGCAUUUGAAAAUGAAAAGUAAAGAGACACUAGAGAUAGUGUGAGGUAAAGAACCAAUGUAAUGUAAAAGAUGCUGAAAAUGAUAAUGCUUAAAGUUAACGCAAUGUGGGAAGUAAAAGAACGUGAAAAUGCUAGAGGUACCAAAAGUAAGAAUGUAAGAAAUAUAAUUGCUAGAGUUAGCAAAAGUAAAGGACAAUGUAAAGAAUGUGAUUGCAUGAGUUGCAACAUAAAGUGAUAUAAUGAACACUAGAGCUAGUGUAAAGUCAAGAUUGAACUUAUAUAUCGAUCCUUUGAGUUAAGGAUAUGAUACAUGCUUGCUAUGAGUUCCGUGCUCGAGCGCGUCGCUCCGCCCUCGGCGAUGCGCUCCGGAGUUAUGCAUCCGGGUUGGAGUAAGCGUAAGGCGGUCCAGCGGGUGAGUUCCUGCGAUGAUGGACUUAAUGUGAAGCAAUUAAUGUGGCGAAGCCCCCGGUUAGCCUUAACGAUUAAGAAAAGAAGAACAAAGAGCACAGAAAUAAGGAACAAAGCACAAAGUAAGUCAAAGAAUUGAAGAUUUGCAUAAUCUGCAUUUAUUUACAUGUUGAGCAUACUUCUUGCUUAUUUCAUGCAUAUUAGAUCAUGUUAUAGAUUGUUACUAUACAGCUUAUUCUUCCUACUAUGGCCUGAGUUAGUCUAGUGGAAAGUCGGUGAUGUUGAGCCGAACCCACUGGGCCGAACUUUGUUGUAGUUCUCACCCCACUAUUUCACACGAGGCCGACCUGAGAGCCGGCGAGCGACCGAGUAAAGUAUCGCCGCCUUAGUAAGAGGCCACCAAAGUUGGGUACAUUUUGUUAGCAAACACCCUUUUGUCAUCUUUGUAUUUGAUGAUUAGCAAUGUGAAGAAAGAAUGUAAAGCUUAUUUUGAAGGUAAAUGUGAUGUAAGAAGGAAAUGAAUGGAAUUAUGUAAUGAAAUGUAAAGAAUCCUAAAUGUAACAGAUGGAUGCAAUGUAUAAUGAUCUAAUAUGAAUCAUACUACUGUGUAGAAGUUUAGUUUUCUAUCUUUCACUAAUGCUACUGCUUACCUCCGCGUAAGCACAUUUGUGUAUGUUUCCGCUAGUGCAAUUCUUGUUUGAAUUUUGUACAUUGAUGAGCCUUGGCGCACAGGGGAAACUCUGUCCGUUCGGCGUCUGUUUGACGUGCUCGGGUCGGGCAAAUUGGCAUCGGUCUCGGGCGUGACAAAGAAUGCACUAUUGGUCGCCGGAAUGGAAGGGUGAUAUUGGAGCGCUUUGUGGCAAAAGUGCUUAACAUGCCAACAAUGAAGGCCGAGCGUCGAUUUCCAGCGGGAAAGCUUCAAAGCCUACCAAUCCCCGUUUGGAAAUGGGAGGAUAUAUCGAUGGACUUCGUGGUCGGCUUGCCUCGCUCAACAGACGGCCACGAUGCAAUUUGGGUAAUUGUGGACCGGUUGACAAAGCCGGCUCACUUCUUGCCGAUCCACACCAUGUGGUCGGGUGACAAGUUAGCGCAGGUAUAUCUUGACGAGAUAGUGAGACUGCAUGGGGUGCCGAAAUCGAUCGUGUCGGAUCGUGACCUCCGGUUCACUUCACACUUCUGGAAGAGCCUGCAGGGAGCCCUUGGCACACGGCUCGACUUUAGCACUGCAUUUCAUCCCCAGACUGAUGGGCAAACAGAGAGAACUAUUCAAACUCUGGAGGACAUGUUGCGAGCGUGUGUCAUUGACUAUAAGGGAAGUUGGUGUGAUCACCUACCUAUGGCCGAGUUUGCCUACAACAACAGUUAUCAUGCUAGUGUGGAGAUGGCACCGUUUGAGGCUCUUUACGGGCGGACGUGUCGGUCUCCUAUACACUGGAGCGAUGUGGGUGAGCGUACAGAGUUCGGCCCCGAUGUUCUGCGAGAAGCGGAGGAGAAAGUCCGCCUUGCUCGCAAGAGAUUGCUCACGGCGCAGUCGAGACAACAAAGCUAUGCGGAUAGGCGCCGUCGAGAUAUAGAAUUCGCGGUAGGCGACCGGGUAUUCUUGAAAGUUUCACCGAUGCGGGUUGUGAAGCGGUUUGGAGUGCGGGGGAAACUAAGUCCUCGAUACAUUAGACCAUAUGAGAUAUUGGAGCGAGUCGGCACGGUGGCCUACUGACUUGCUUUGCCGCCGAAGCUUGCGAAUGUACAUAAUGUAUUCCAUGUCUCCAUUCUCUGCAAGUAUAUUCACGACCCCGAGCACGCGAUGCUAUAUGAACCGCCGGAACUUCAAGGAGAUUUGAGCUAUGAAGAGUUUCUGGUAGGGAUUAUCGCCCGAGAGGUGCGAAAGUCAAGAAAUCGAGAAAUUCCCUAUGUGAAGGUUAGGUGGAGCAAUCAAGAGGAUCGCGAAGCCACCUCGGAACUCGAGGAUCUGAUGAGAAAGCACCACCCUCAUCUAUUUGAGGAGUGAGGUAUGAAUUUAAGUUAAAGUAAUGAAAUGAGUUCGUUUCGAGGACGAAACUCCUUUUAAGGAGGGGAGGAUGUAAGAAAGUGGAUUCUCGAAAUCUGAGGAUUGUACUUCAUCCAGGAUCGACUAACCCUGUCAAGAGAAUGCCCUUUGUGGGAGUUAAGAAUGUCCAAAACACAAAAAGGUGCUUUGGAGUUGAGUCCACAAGAGCGAAUGAUGCAAACUGCAUCAUUGGGCUGAUGUUACUCUCGGGGACCGGUCUCUGGAGGUGAGAGACCGGUUCCCUUGGCUGGGUGUAGUGGGGUUGCUUGAUGCAACCGGUGCCUGGCAGGGAGGGACCGGUUCCCGAACGUGGUCCUAGCGAGAAAUGCCGAAAUUUGGCUAAGUCCUGAAAAUCGAGCUCUCGGGGACCGGUCUCUCGGGCGAGGACUAGUCUCCCGAGGACCGGUCUCCCGGGAAGAGACCGGUUCCUGAAUGCGUGCGCCCGAGGGAGGCCCUCUGGGACCGGUCCCAAGUCGGGGAGACCGGUCCCUCCGCGCGAACUCUGCCCAGUAAGGGCUGUGCAGUGGAUGGAAAGUUGAGGGGUUUUUAUGCAAAAUGGCCUUUAUUAGAGUGGGUUGGGCCCUCUCUCUCCCUCACACUCAUCUCUUUUCUUUCUCUCACACUCUCUUUCUCUCUUGCUCUCUCUCUAGAAAGGAAAGGAGAAGAAGAAGAACAAGAAGGAGAGGAAGGAAAAGAAGAGGAAGAACAAGAAAGAGAAGAAGAAGGAGAUCAAGAGGAAGGCUUUGGACACCUUCAUCUCCCUCUCCUCUUCCUUUUGGUGUAGCACAAGAGGUAGGCUCUUCAACCCUAGCUCCUAGACUUUGGACUUUUGGGUUUUCAUGCUUUGGAAUGGGUCAAAUGGACCCUAAGCAUGCUUCUAAAUAGAUCAAUCCCAUGAUUCUAGGGAUUUAUUGGUGGUUUGCUAUAGGUGCAAACCUAGGGCACCAAAAUGGGGUUUUUGUGAAAGUAUGAGAUUGAUCUCAUUUGAAGUCUUGGAAACCCUAUUGUUAGGUCACAAAACGUGGGGGCGAAGUCGGUUUUGGCAUUUGGCGAACCGGCGUGAAGUUCUCGGCAAAAUAGGGCCGGGCUAGUGUUGACUUGGGCAAGGAAGGCUAAAGCCUUUUCGUAAAGUUCGCCGAGAAGAAUUUCCGAGGCCUCUACAUCAAUUAAAGGUGGUGGGUGCCAUCCCGAAGCUUUCGAACUCCUUUCUAUGUCUUAGAUUCUAUUUAAUCUCAUCUCUUACAUGUUGCAUUGUAGGAUUGCAUAGUAACUCCUUCCUUAUGCUUUCUAAAUGAUAACCUAGUGUACUUGGAACGCUUGGUGACUUCGAUAGGUGAGGAUUGGUUCGGAACGUGGAUCCUAUGAUGCAAAAGACAAGAGGUGAACCCGAUGGGGAUAUUGAUGACAUAGAAAGUAGUGCUAAUGUUAAAGAACAAACGAGUGGCAUCCAAACGUUAAAUGAUAACGAGUGGCAUUAAUGUAGUGUAAACAACACUAAAGGUUUGAGACCUAGGGAUAGGUGAAUCCCUUAGAAAAUGCCUUGUGGAUAAAGAACUUAGUAAACCUAAGUAACCUCACAUGGAGAGGUUGUCGAUGAGUCGAUUGAGACAUUGACCCUAGUGUUAGGGCUUCCUCACUUGGAGAGGAUUGUGAUUGGGUUGUGGACCCUAGUGAUAUUGCUCCCUUACUUGGAGAGGAUUCGAUUGGGUAUAGACUCUAUUUGUAGAGCAUCCUCACUUGGAGAGGACUUGAUUGAGUUGUUGACCCUAGACGUAGGGCGUCCUCACUUGGAGAUGAUUGAUCUAGCUCACAGUCUGCGUUUGGGGUAGUAUAGCCAUCCAAUCCCCACAUGGAGGAGAUUAUCGACAAGUACUCCGGAGUGUCGCGCGACUAGGACCACUUGGAGGUCCGGACCACAUGGAGGUCCGCAGACGGUCCCGGGCUUGGGUGCACUUGGAGCUCCCUCCCCACUUUGGGAUUGAAGGGUGAGUUAUAGGCGAGCCCUAGGGCCUCGCCACAGAUUGGGUAAAUGGAAAGGUUAAAGGUUUAAUAAUGUCAUUGAACAUUGCUAUUCGAAUAUGAAUCGAAUUAGCAUGGUAGCAAACCUUUAUUAUAUGAUGCAUGCAUUCAUAUUCAUGAUUAUGGGCAUAGUAGCAUAGUUUUCCUACUAUCGCAUUUACAGCUUUCAGAUACAUAUCUAUCUAUCUAUCUGUUGUUACUUGUGCCCACUUGGACCAAGUAGGGUGAUCGGCAGAGUCGGCGGCUGAGCCCACUGGGAACUAAGGAAGAUAGUUCUCACCCCACUCUAUUUCCAGUGGUAGGUACAGGGCUGCCGAGGGAGGACCGCGGCAAGGGCAUCGCGCCCGAUCAGUGAGACCGUGGUAGUUAGUAGCUUUCCUUUUUGCAUUAGUUCACUAAUGUAUUGAGAGAGAAUCAUUGUAGGUGAGGACAUGGAGAGCUAUGCAUUUUGAGAUGAAAAAUGUAUUCAUUUAAAGAGAAUGAUGUAAAUGGAAAUGAUGAAACUAUUGUAAUAGUUAGUAAAAUACUCUCUUUAUUUUACAUGCUAUAUCUUGUGGAUUACUUGCUUUUUGUAUUGUUGGCAUUGUUCGUGUCCUUGUGAAUGUGUAUGUUUAGAAUUUAAUUUCCUGGGUAAAUUCUUGUACACAUUCUUGUUGUUGAGCCUUGGGCGGACAGGGGAGGUGCUGUCCGUUUGGCAAUCCGCCGCCGCGGCCGAAUCGUGCCAAAUUGGUAGUGGUUUCGGGGCGUGGCGUGACAUGGAGGGCCGAGGCGAUAUCGUAAACUCAUGAAAAUGGAUUUGAAGCACCGUGGCACAUAACCGAAGACCUUAACUUUCGGAUUGUGGAUUGGAGGCCGUUCGGAUAGUCGCGCGAGAGAUCGGGCCAAACCGGGUGCCGGGUGCGCGGGAGGCCGAUUGAAAGUGUUGACAAGCAAUCGGAAAGCGAUUUGAGGUGGGUUGUGUUUACCUAAGCGACUAAGUCGCCCUUUAUGUCUAAGAAACAUAUGAAUUCAUAUUGAUGCAUGUUAAUAAAAUGACAUAGCUAAUGCGUGUGGACAAUGUGAUGCAAACUGCUAAGUAGAUGCAUAUAAAAUGAUGUAAUAUAGAAAUGCUUAUUGACAUAAUGACAUAGUCUAGAAAUGCUAAAUGUAAUGUGCAUGUUAAUAUGAUAAGAAACCAUGCUAGUGAUAUUUGCAUGAUAAUGCAUUGAUAGUACAUGCUAGUAAGUAAAUGCAUAUUAAUACAUAUGUGUAUAAUGAGCAUGUUGGAUAAGAUUCGUGUACAUGUAGACUCGAGAUGACAAUAGGAUGUCAAGUAGAUCGAGUGGCACUUAACCUAGUGUUAAAGAACAUAGGUUGUGAAUUAAUCUAGAGUCAUGUGAACUAGAUCGAGUGGCACUUAACCUAGUGUUAAAAAACAUAGGUUGUGAAUGAAUCUAGAGUCAUGUGAACUAGAUCGAGUGGCAUCUAACCUAGUGUUAAAGAACAUAGGUUGUGAAUGAAUCUAGAGUCAUGUGAACUAGAUCGAGUGGCAUAUAACCUAGUGUUAAAGAACAUAGGUUGAGAAUGAACCUAGAGUUAAUCGAAUCUAGGUGUGUGGUAUUAACCUAGUGUCGAGAACAUAGGUUGAGAAUUGAGCCUAGAGUUAAAGUAAACCUAGGAUACGUGAUAAAGGCAUUGAACCUAGAGUCAGUUGGACCUAGGGUGAAAAGGACACUGGAUAUAACACACUGGACCUGUGCAAAUUGCGAGGUUCGAGUGAUUGGAUGUGUUUCGAGCUUUUCCACACUUGGUGAAGGGUUAUGGAAUAUUUUUCGAUCCAAAAAGUCCGAAAACUUGAGUUCUGGAUGAGUCCUGAGAGUUUUUACUCUCGGGGACCGGUCCCUGAUAGGAGAGACCGGUCCCCCAGUGAGCAGUGUUGCGCUGUCGGCGAGGCAACCGGUCCCUGGCGGGCGAGAUCGGUCCCCGAGCACGUCUUCACAGUGAGAGACCGAUCCCGCGCGGGGAGAGACCGGUUCCCGAACGAUGGUUUCUCGAGUUCGACACGAGAGACCGGUCCCUUGCAGGGAGAGACCGGUCCCUCUGGGCGAAAUCUGCCCAGACCGGGCUGAUGCAAUUUUGGCUUUUUGAGGGACCUCCUUGGAUUUUGUUACUUUGGAGGGCCUAAAUAGCCAUUCCACCCUCUCCUUUCCUCAUUUCCUUAUUCUCACCCUCUCCCUACACCUUCUAGAGAGAGAAGAAGGAGGAGGAGAAGAAGAAGAAGAGGAGCUUACUUAAGGGAGCUUGGAGCUCAACCACCUUUCUCUCCUUUCCACCUUUGCAAGGCUUGGAGCUUACUUGUAGGGCUUGUUAGUGGACCAAUCCUCAACCCUAGAAGAUUUGGAGCUUGUUUGGAGGCGUCUUGAGAGGUUAGUACUUCGAUUCUACCCUUUGAUCCUUGUUUUGGUAGAUUUUUCUAUAUGGAACCCUAGAAUGGGAUUUUAAGGUUGAUUUUGGAGCUUUUUGAUCUAGGGCUUUUGAGGCUAGAUUUCUUGAGUUAGAACCCUCCUUUGGGUUAGAUUGGAAGGAUCCUAGCCUUCUUUUGGAGCUUGAGAGAGAAUUUCUACUCCCUAGGUGAGUUUUUGCCCUUUUCUUGUGGUUGUUAAUUUAUGAGCCUAGAGUUGCUCGUAACGCUCGUGUCUCUUCGCUCAUUACUUUCAGGGUAUUUUGAGACUCGUGGACAACUUCUUUCGGCGAAACGAAGGACACCGCGACGGUUCGGUGGGUUUGACCUAGCCUGGCAUAUGAGAAAUUCUCAUAUGCUAUGUUUUAUGCUUGUAGAGUAAAAAAUUCAUGCAUUUCUAUGUUAAAUGUAUUUAUUGUGAAUUUUAGGAUGCUUAACAUGCCUAUAUUAUGUGUAAGAAAUUUCGGGCCCCUAUAUAGUAGAGGGCUACCAUGUGGGACUUGUACAUGAUUGGCAUCCUAUUGAGACUUGGAAUCAUAUUUCCUAGUGUGAAAAUGAGCAUUACCUUCAUGCAUUUUAAGCUAUUCCUACUUGAGACUUAAAGGAUCUUAGUAAGCCAUAAAGAGGCAUAUGAUAAGAUUGACAUGUGAGAUCGUGAGCUAAUGUCAUAAAGCGGCAUUGAGCUCGGGUUGUGUGGGAACCUAGUGGAUAGGGCCAUUGAGAGAAUUGGAAUAUAUUUGUACAUCGAAAUGUCUAAGUGUCAUAAAGAGGCAUUAGACUUAGUGAAUGAUAGGAGCUUCACAUUGUGAUCUAGAGCUAGAUCAUUGAGAUGCUAGUGACUAUUACCAUGUUAGAAACAUGAUGAUUGGGUACUUGAGACGAUGAUUACGCUUGCUUGCAAUAUGUGCUCAUUCGCACAUGCUUGUGAGGGUCGCUCCCUACAAACCGGCACUCCGGAGUUGGCCUACGCGACUUAUGUUCGCUCGUGCAGUAUCGAGAAACCUACGGGGUUGGGAGGGAUAGACUCAUUCCUAGAGUGGGAAUGCUGGAGCUACCACCGACACUUAGUGUAAUAUACCGAAAAUUCGGAAAAUAAAGAUGUCGAAUUUUAGUCAAAUUGACCAAAGUGCGAGGACGGUGCACUUCGGAAAGUCCGAAGGUGUUAAAAUGAUUAAAAGCGAGUUACGGGAGGUUUUCGAGAGCUAAAGAAUCAAAUUCUGCAAAACUGCAGAUUUUGAGCUCUCGGGGACCGGUCCCUGGUGGGAGAGACCGGUCCUCGAACGCGUGAGAAAUGAGACAGCCGAAAAAUCGGCUAAGUCCUGAGAAACUAGCUCUCGGGAACCGGUCCCUGCCUGAGAGACCGGUCCCCGAGAGACCGGUCCCCCAAAGAGAGACCGGUUGCCCUGCGCGCAGCAACUCUGGCUGCGCGGGGAGAGCCUUCGGGAACCGGUCCCUGAAGGAGAGACCGGUCCCCACCUGCGCGAACAGCCCAGUCCAGGCAGUGUACAGAGAUAAAAGUUGAGAGGUUUAUUUGCAUUUUUGCAACCCAAUAGCUAUGUAUGAGGGCAAAUGAGAUAUUUCUCUCAUUUCCUCACCCUCUUACACUCUCUUCUCUCCCUCUCCCUCUCUAGAAGACAAAGGAGAAGAGGAAGACAAGGGAAAGGAAGGAAAAGAAGGAAAAAAGGUGAAGAAGAAGAUCAAGAGGUGAAGCAACUUCAUCUUCUUCCUCUCUAGUGCAAGAAAUGAAAGCUUAUAAGAUGAGCUUUGAACCCUAUUGUAGUAAAACCCUAAAAUGGGCUUUGAAUAAACCUAGAAAUGGUUUUAAUGGAUUGUUUAGAGUCUUUGAAGCUUUCUUUUUGCUUCUUUAGAGAUCAAAGCCAUGGUUUAGCUUGAGGUGAGCUUUGGCCACCUCUAAUGGUGAAAUCCAAACUAGGGUUUGGAAUGAGCUAGGAAUGGUUUAGAUGAACUCUUUAGAGUAUAUUGAAGCUACUUUUGCUUCCCAAUGAGAUCAAACCCUAGGUUUGAUAUAUGUAUUGGAGCUAGGGCACCAAAUUGGGGCUUUUGCUCAUGGGUUAUUUUAGUAGAGAUUUUGGGCGUCUGUGUGCCGGGCAGGGAAGAACGAGGAUCCUUAAAAUUCAAAAAAAUCGCGAAGUCACCUAUGAAAGCCCUACGAGUGUGGUGGUGGUGGCUUUCAACUCGUGAACUUCUCUCUAUGGCCUUAAUGUUGCAUUUCAAUUUGGAGCCAUUAUUGUACAGCUUUGUUUGCAUUUGCUAUUUUUAGGGUAAAAGAGAUAAUGAGAGAUUUGUUGUUGUGCAUUUUAUUUUGGAUACAAACUUGCGCUAAUAUGAUUGGAGUAAUCCUAUAUAAAUCGAAAAACCCUAUGCUGUAGUCAUAGAAGAAAAGUAGCAUCGUCCAAAGUGAGCAUAAAAAGCAGAGUGCACUUGUGACAUAGAUGCGAGUGGCAUUUGAAACUAAAGUAAAUGACAUCUAGAUUAGUGUAGCCCAAAGAACCAAAGUGAUGUACAAAGAAUGAUGCAUAAUGACAAUGUGAAAGUUAAAGUAAAGUGAGGCACAUAAGAAUAAGAAUGUAAAGAACAAGAAUCUAAAGUUAGCAAAAGUAAGGAAAUGAUAAAGACACGCAAUCGACUGGCUAGAGUAGCAAACACGUGAAGUGACGUAAAGAACGACUAGAGUUAGUGGUAAAGUCAAGAUUGAACUAAUUCUUUGAGCUAAGGAAUUCGAUCAUCACUUGCAUGAGUUCCGUGCUCGAGGGCGUCGGCUCUCCCCUCGGCGGUGCGCUCCCGGAAGUUAUGCAUCCGGUUGGAGUAAACACGACGAAGGACGGUCCUAAGCGGUGAGUUCCUGCGAUGAAAUGGAUUUAAAUUGAAGCAAGCAAUGUGCGAACCCCGCGGCUUAGCCUUCGAGAUCAAAGAAUAAAGAAUAAAGAACAAAGAUCAAAGAACAAAAGAACAAUAGUAAAAGAUAAAGAACGAAAGAACUGCAUAAUCCUGCAUAUUUAAUGUUGAGCAUAUUCCUUGCUUAUUGUCAGGCAAAUAUUAGCAUCAUGUGUACAUUGUUACAAUAUUUCAGGCUUAUUCCUUUCUAUUAUCAGUUGAGUUAGUCCUAUGCUGGGGAAUCAGUCGUGGAUGUGUGGCGCGACACCCACUGGUAACUUUGUGUUGUGUUUCCACCCCACUAUUUCCACAGAGCCGGGACCGAGGCGAGCCGCGAGCGUACCGAGGUAAGAGAUAUCGCCGCCUUAUCAAGAUCAGCCACCAAAGUGGUUUCAUUUUGUAGUUAAAGUACCUCUAUGCAUGCCCUCUUGUACAAUGAUGGUAAAUGUGUAAAGGAAAAAAUGUAAUGGUAUUANNNNNNNNNNNNNNNNNNNNNNNNNUUCUAAGUGCAUGAAUUACCCUCAGAAACAGCUAAUUGGGGGUAUUUCCGACGCCGUUGGUGCGCUCGGUUAAGUUACGAAGAGUUUAUAGGAAAGAUAGUUGGGCAAAAGUGGCUAGUUGGCUUCGGUUUUGCCGCAGGUGAAGAACGAGAGCCAUACACUCUCAAGAAAAUCGUCGAAGGACCUUUGAAAGCCUAACGAGGUGGGUGGUGCUUUCCCAACUCCGUGAACUUCUCUCUAUGCUAAUGUGUCAAUUCAAUUGAGGCAUGAUGUACAUAUUUUUUUUUUUUUUUUUUUUUUUUUUUUUUUUUUUUUUUUUUUUUUUUUUUUUUUUUUUUUUUUUUUUUUUUUUUUUUUUUUUUUUUUUUUUUUUUUUUUUUUUUUUUUUUUUUUUUUUUGUUGCAAUCAUUUUAGGGUAAAGAGAUGAUGAGAAUGUGAGUUGCUUAUUGUGAGUUAAACUUUCCUAAUAUGAUGGUGAGAACCUAUAAAUGUAAAAACCCUAUGUGUAUGCAUGAGAGAAAAGUGAGCAUCGUCCAAAGUGAGCAAAGAACAGAGUGACACUUUGACAUAGAUCGAGUGGCAUUUGAAUACGUAAAGUAAAGUGACACUAGUUAGUGUGAGCCAAAGAACCAAAGUGAUGUAAAGAAUGAUGUAAUGACAAUGUGUAAAGUUAAAGUAAAGUGGGCAAUAAGAAUAAGAAAUGUAAAGAACAAGAAUCUAAAGUUAGCAAAAGUAAGGAAAUGUAAAGAACCAAUGAUGCUAGAGUAGCAACAUGAAGUGACGUAAAGAAACUAGAGUUAGUGGUAAAGUCAAGAUUGAACAUAUUAACCUUUGAGUUAAGAUUCGAUCAUACUUGCUAUGAGUUCCGUGCUCGGAGGGCGGUCGCGUCUCCCUCGGGCGAUGCGCUCCGGAGUUAUGCAUCACGGUUGGAGUAAACCACGAGGACGGUCCUAGCGUGAGUUCCUGCGAUGAUGGAUUAAAUGUGAAGCAAGUCAAUGUGCGAAACCCCGCGGGUUAGCCUUGAGAUUAAAGAAUAAAGAAUAAAAAACAAAGACAAAGAACAAAAGAACAAGUUAAAGAUAAAGAACGAAAGAACUUGCAUAAUCUGCAUAUUGUUAAUGUUGAGCAUAUCCUUGCUUAUUGUUCAGGCAUAUUAGCAUCAUGUUGUAGAUUGGUUACAUAUUUUCAGGCUUAUCCUUUCUAUUAUGCCGUGAGUUAGUCCUAUGGGGAAAAGUCGGUGAUGUUGGGCCCGAACCACUGGAACUGUUGUUGUGGUUUCUCACCCCACUAUUUCACAGAGCCGGGACCGAGCGAGCCGCGAGCGACCGAGGUAAGAGAUAUCGCGCCUUAGUCAGAAGCCACCAAAGUUGGGUUUCAUUUUGUAGUAAAGUACCUCUAUGCAUCAUCUUGUACAUGAGUGGUAAAUGUGUAAAGAAAAAGAAUGUAAUGUGUAUUGAGGUAAAUGCGAUGUAAGAAAGAAAUGAUGAAAUGAAAUUGAAGGAAUUCGAAAAUGAACAAGAUGAAUGCAUGUAUAUGAUCAAAAAUGAAUCAUAGUCAAGUAAAAUGUUUAGUUCCUUUCUGUUCACUCGUGGCUAUUGCUUACCCUCGUGUAAGCCGUUUGUGUAUUUUCCGCUAGUAGCUUUUCUCUAUUGAUGAAAAUGUACAUGUGUGAGCCUUGGGCGAUAGGGGAACUCUGUCCGUUCGGCGUCUGUUUGACGUGCUCGGUCGGCCAAAUUGGUAUCGGUCGGGCGUGACAACUGUAGGUGGCACAAGCUGGACUACAAUAUUGGGUCCUCGAAACAUGUUGGAAAUAAUGACAUUUGAUCGAGAGAUGAUAAUCACUACUAGAUAGGUUUAGUAGUUGGAUUACUAUGACAUGCUUUAGCAUAGUGUUGAGACGUAGUAUACUCGAUAGUUUAUUUAUUGCCAGCAUCAGUACACUUGCUACGAUGAUAGAGCAUAUUCAUCAUACAUUGACAUUGUGAUCAUGUUACUACCUGUUCGUUCUGUUUGGACAUAUUAGUCAUGUUUGGACUUACUUCAUUGGGAUAAAGUAGAUUACACACUUUUCGACAUCAUGUAUACUUUUGAUAUAGUAGCUUUAGCAAUUAUUUAUGCUUUCAUAAUGCAACUAUUUCGUUGCUAUUGCCUUGUCGACUUACCUUUUCUUUGGCCUAGUGGCUGCAUUGAAGCUGAGGCAGAGUAAUUGGCCCCUGGGGAACAUAUAAAUAUAGUUCUCACGCGUAUUUUGAGGUAAAUGUGAUGUAAGAAAGAAAUGAUGAAAUGAAAUUUAAGGAAUUCGAAAAUGAACAAGAUGAAUGCAUGUAUAUGAUCAAAAAUGAAUCAUAGUACAAGUGAAUGUUUAGUUUCCUUUUCCUUUCACUCGUGGCUAUUGCUUACCCUCGUGUAAGCCGUUUGUGUAUGUUUCCGCUAGUGCUUUUCUCUAUUGAUGAAAAUGUACAUGUGAUGAGCCUUGGGCGGAUAGGGGAAACUCUGUCCGUUCGGCGUCUGUUUGACGUGCUCGGGUCGGGCCAAAUUGGUAUCGGUCCCGGGGCGUGACACUUAGGUGGCACAAGCUGGACUACAAUAUGUGGGUCCUAGAACAUGUUGGAAAUAAUGACAUUUGAUCGAGAGAUGAUAAUCACUACUAGAUAGGUUUAGUAGUUGGAUUACUAUGACAUGCUUAUAGCAUAGUGUUGAGACGUAGUAUACUCGAUAGUUUAUUUAUUGCAGCAUAGUACACUUGCUACCAUGAUAGAGCAUAUUCAUCAUACAUUGACAUUGUGGAUCAUGUUACUUACCUGUUCGUUGUGUUUGGACAUAUUAGUCAUGUUUGGACUUACUUCAUUGGGAUAAAGUAGAUGUACACACUUUCGACAUCAUGUAUACUUGUGAUAUAGUAGCUUAGCAAUUAUUUAUGCUUUCAUAAUGCAACUAUUUCGUUGCUAUUGCCUUGUCGACUUACCUUUUCUUUUGGGGCCUAGUGGUGCAUUAAGCUGAGGUCAGUAAUUGGCCACUGGGAACUAUAAAUUAUAGUUCUCACGCCCUCUAUUUUAUGUCUUCUUUUAGAGCCUUCCACGCCGGGAGAGGCUAUGGACCACGGGAAGGGCGUUGCUUCGAGCUAGCUCUUCUGCAAGGGACGAGUGGAUAGGUGGUCUACCUCUCGAUGUUUUUAUUUUGGAGAGGUUGAGAGCUGUACCAGUGUACUAGAGACCCCCCCUUUGUGUACUAUUUUGGGAGACGUUAUUGUACUACUUUAUGUUCUACUCUUAUUAUUUUUGUAUACCUCUUUUACCUUGUUAUAAACUAUAGAUCUAUCUGUGCUCUGAUAUCUCUAGAUGUAGGUUACUUUUGGUUUAUUUUUCUGCUGUUGUUGUAGACGCCUUAUAUGUGUGGACAUAUGGCGGGUCUGGGCACGCCACCGGGAGGGCCUCUGCCGGUCCCGGGGCGUGACAGAUUAUUUUGGUAUCAGAGCCUAGGGUUGAGUCUUAGUGGACCUAGCAAACCUUAGGCCGGUUGGCCUAUAGGAAAUAGGCUCGUGAGAGACGAGGUCUAUUCGACUUGUGAGCGAAAGUAUUAUUGUAACACACUCGACCUGUGCAAAUUGCGAGGUUCGAGUGUUCGAUUUGUAUUUCGAACUUUUCCACACUUGGUGGAGGGCCGUCGAUGGUAUACCGGUCUAAAAGUUCGAUCUCGAGAGUUUUGGCAGAGUCCUAAGAGUUUUUACUCUCGGGGACCGGUCCCUGAUAGGAGAGACCGGUCCCCCAGUGAACAGUGCUGCGUGGCCGGCAAGGCAACCGGUCCCUGGCAGUCGAGACCGGUCCCCGAGCGCGUCUGCGCGGGGAGAGACCGGUCCCGCGCAGGGAGAGACCGGUUCCCGAACGUUGGAUUUUCGGGGGCAGGCUGAGAGACCGGUCCCAGGUCGGGGAGACCGGUCCCUCUGGGCGAAAACUGCCCAGACCGGGCUGAUGUAAAUUUGAGUUUUUGAGGGGCCUAUGUGGAUUUUGUUACUUUAGAGGCUAUAAGCAGCCUCUCCUCCCCUCUCACUCUCAUUUUCUCUCCCUCACACUCUUCCUACACUUCUAGAGAGAGAAAGGGAAGGAGAAGAAGGAGAAGGAGAGGAGAAGAGCUUGCUUGGAGGCCUUGGAGCACCAUCUUCUUCCUCAUUUCCCACCUUUGGAGGCUUGGAGCUUGCGGUUGGAGCUUUGUGGAGGAUCAAACUUCAACCCUACUUGGUUUUGAGCUUGGAUUGGGGCUUCUCUUGAGGUUGGUAGCUUGUAAUCCCCAUUUGUUACAUGCUUUCCUAGGUUUUACUAGAUGAAACCCUAGAUUUUGGGAUUUAGGGUUUAUUUUGGGGGUUUUUGAAUUUGGGGGCUUUGGAACCAAAUUGAUGGGUUUAGAACCUUUGUUUAGGUUAGAUUGGAAGGACUCUAACUCCCAUUUGGAGAUCGUGAGAGCCUUCUUCGCAAUCGGUAAGUUUUCUCCAACCCUAGCUUGAGGAGCUUAAUGAUUGAGCUAUUUGCUCUUCGUUUCGUUUGGGUGACCCUAUUUUUGAUGUUUCUAGGGUACUAGGGAGCUUGUGGAUACCUUCGUUCGGCGAAACGAAGAAGUCGAUUUUGGUGGGUUUGACUUCAUGAAAAUAGGGCAAAAUGGCCCCUAUGCCUUCUAAACUUUUCGUAAAGUAUUUUUGAAUGCAAAUUCAUGCUAAAUAUGAUUUAUGUGAAUUUUAGAACACUUAACAUGCAUGCCUCAUAUAUCGUAAAAUUUGUACUCCAUAUAGUAGAGCUAUAUGUGUAGAUUGCAUGCAUUGUGAAUAGUGCUUGGUUUUACAAGUUGAGAACAUGUCUCCAUGCUAGAGUUGAGUGAAUUUAAGCGUCAUGAACAUAUUAAUGCCAUGCUUGGAACUCGUUGAACCAAAGUGUCAUCAAGGGGCACUUGAAACUAGUAAACUAUUAAACUGCAACCUAGGGACAUGUUGAUAGGCCACUAUAUAUCUGCUACAUUCCAUGUUAGAGACAUGAUGACAUAGAGAUAGGCCAUUGAGAUACUUGACAUAUUCCAUAUUUUUAGACAUGAGGACUUGGUACUUGAGACAGAUCAUUGCUUGCUUGCCAUUUGUGCUCAUUCGCACAUGCUUGUGAGGGUCGCUCCCUACAAGCCGGCACUCCGGAGAUAGCCAUCGCGACACAUGCUCGCCGUGCGGGAUUGGGCGCCGAAGUGGAUUGCCGUGGGGGAGGCUCAUCCCUAGAGUGGGGAUGUUGACUACCACGGGGCCAUUAGGCACGGCGCAGGCCAGACAGCCUUCGGGUGGGUCUUAUAUGAUUGGGACUUAGUGACAGAACGUGCUAUGUGAACUUUAAAACUAUUAAAGUAGACUUGGACUAGAAUAGUAAACAAUGGCAUCUUUACUAUUUUUGCAUUGAGGACAUCGGAUUGGUUGUAUUUCUAUGAUGAUGCAUGUCAUACACAUCCAUAUACAUUCAUGAUAUCGUUGCUUCAUUACUUGUACAAAUCAUGCUAAAUAGAAAGUCUAUGUUAUAGUGAGUUACAUUUUACUUACCUGUCGCUUUACUACAUUGUUAGUCACUGACCUCUUUUUGUAGCUUUGGGCCUUGUGGUGCAUUCACUGAAGUCAGUAAUUGCCCACUGGGAACUAUUUUUAAUAGUUCUCACGCCCCUGUUUCAUUGUUUACUUUUCAGAGCCUUCGGCACCGGCGGAGCGUGAGAUUGGCCUAGGUGGUUUGCUCUUUCUUUUGUAGUUGGGAGAGUGAGAGAUUUUGUAUCCAUGUGUAGAGACCACCUAUGUACCUACUUUUAGCACUUGUAUUUGGGAUUUCCUAUUGUAUUUACUUUAUGUCUUAUUUAGUGAAUUUACUGUUUUAUCCCUUGUUGUAGCAUUUAGACACUUACUAUGCUCUGAUACUUCUAGAUGUCUUCUGUUAUUGCUUUUAUUAUUGUUGUUAGUAGACGCCUUAUAUGUUUUAGACGUAUGGCGGGUCUGGGCACGUGCCGGGCGGGCUUCCGCUGGGCCCCGGGGCGUGACAAUUAUGAUUGGGUCUUAUGACAACUCUAAAAAGUUGGAGUUUAAUCGGAGUGCAUGACUUCUAGCUUCGCGGAGGGUUUCGUUAGCGGCCGACAACCUAACAUUGGGAGUUAGUUGUGGAUGACACUUCCUUAUUUUCGCAUGAUUUGGGUACUGUUAUUUGAGUGGGGAUUCGAUAGCGCGGGUUACUAAUUUGCGCUUUUAUGUUCUGUAGUGACGAUGCCGAUUACAUGCUCUCAAUCUGCGGGAGCGGACAAUGCAGUGCAGUUUGAGGAGGCUGAGACCUCCGCUACCUCCGGAUCCGGCGAGGUCCGUGAGUUGAGGGGCCAGCUGGCAGCCCUCACUGAUUUGGUGACGCGACAGGCAGACACGGCGCUUCCACAGGAGGCGCGGAUGAAGUGCCUAGAGGACCUUCUGCUGCAGCAGGCGACGGCCAGGAAAACUCAGAUCCCUACACCUCCCGCACCAGUAGAAGUGGUUGCGCCCAGGGUGUCGUCCCCUGCACUCGACGCUUCUAGGACGGCACCAGCGGCGGCACCUCGGGGAGAGGACAUCGCGGCACCACCAGCGCGAGCAUCUGUAGCGGGGGCGGUUUUCCCCGUGAUGGUUGAGGGAGCUGAGCGGGAUCGGCUCAUGGAAUGACUCAGCGAGUUUAGGAGAUGCAGUCCCCGGACCAUUGACGGGGAGAACGUGGACCAUUGGAUUGUAGAGAAAUGGCUCAUGCAUAUGGAGAAGCUAUUUCGGGACACCUUCGUCGAAGAGAGGGAUAGAGUGUGGCUCGCCACACAUCAUUUGUACGGCGAGACCUAUAGAUGGUGGUUGGACAUCCAGGAGAACCCCAGCAUGGAUCUGACGGCGAUUACUUGGAGGAGGUUCAAGGAACUCCUACUGGAGCAUUACUUUCCGGACAGUGUCAAGAGGAAGAUGGAGCAGAAUCUACGCAACCUUCGCCAGGGAGACAGGACGGUGGCCGAGUACGAGAGAGAGUUCUCCUGGCUUCUUCAUUGCGUGCCCUUCGUUGUUCGGGACGACGAGGACAAGGCCCGCAUCUUUGAGCGGGGAUUGCAGCCUUCGAUCUUCCGAUUUGUUCAGUCUUCCAACCUCCAAACCUACCGGGAGGUUGUAAACCGCGCACUCAUCGUGGAGAGUGGAGCAGCGGAUCUGCAGGAGUGGCGAGAGGCCUUGGAUAAAGGUAAAGGCAAGAGGCCUGCGGCUGAUGGCACGAGUCAGGCGCACUAAGGGAGGCCGCCGAGACAUCCGCGACACCGGAGCCAGUCGUGAAGACGUGGCCAAUCUACUCAGCGAGGAGGACCUGAUCGACGCCAGGCUCCGCGCUGCGUGAUCUGCGAUGGUCCCUAUUUUUCACGGCAGUGUUCACGCAGUCGGGGCAGGUGCUACCUUUGUGGCCAGGAGGGCCACUUCCAGUCAGACUGCCCGAGAGGUCCAGCCCCAGCGCCAUCUUCGGCAUCUGCACCAGCUUUACCGGGUCCCAGCCAGGGGACACCUUCUGUGCAUCACCAGACUGGACGGCCGCCAGUGCAGCGGCAGGCAGAGGGGUCACGACAGGCCCCAAGUGGGCGCAUGUACGCGGCCCAGACUGAGGAGGCGGCGGCAGCCGAGAAUGUGAUCGCAGGUAUCAUUUUACUUUAUGGUAUUCGAGUUCGAGCAUUGUUCAAUACCAGUGCAUCGCAUUCAUUCAUAGACCGGCUGUUUGCCGAGUUGCAUGGCAUUCCUUUGACAUCUUUGUUGCAUCCGGGACGAGUCGUGGUACCCGAUCACUCUUUAGAUGUUCGAGAGUUUUGCCCCAAUUGCCCUGUUCGAAUUGGAGAUUGGGUUAUACCCAUAGACCUUUUAGCUUUGCAUAAACUCGGAGAGUUUGAUGUUGUUUUGGGCAUGGAUUGGUUGACCAAGUACUACGCCACUAUUGAUUGCAAGAAUCGAACUGUGACGUUUAGAAAGCCGAGGCAGGCGGAGGUUGUGUACCGAGGAUGCGCCAGAGUUCGCUGUUUGCGAUGACGAUUAGCUCCUCUCGAGCUAGGCAGCUGAUUAGCAGAGGCUGUGUAGCCUAUUUGGCUACUAUUGUGUUGAGGGGUGAUGCUGACGCCCCUAGGAUUGAGGACAUCCCCGUCGUACGGGAGUUUGGAGAUGUGUUUCCAAUAGAGUUACCAGGCAUGCCACCUGACAGGAAAAUUGAGUUUGUGGUAGAUCUCGUUCCCGGGACUACUCCAAUCUCAAAAGCGCCCUAUAGGAUGGCACCGGCGGAGUUGAAGGAGUUGAAGGAGCUGAAGGCACAGCUGCAGGACCUCCUGGACAAGGGUUUUGUGCGACCGAGUGUGUCACCUUGGGGAGCACCGGUCCUAUUUGUCAAGAAGAAGGAUGGAUCGCUUCGCUUGUGCGUGGAUUACCGUGAGCUCAACAAGGUCACGAUCAAGAACAAGUAUCCAUUGCCGAGGAUCGACGAUCUAUUUGAUAAGUUGCAGGGAUCCAGUGUGUAUUCCAAGAUCGACCUGCAGUCGGGAUAUCACCAGUUGAAGAUCAAACCUGAGGAUGUGUCAAAGACGGCUUUUAGAACACGGUAUGGACAUUAUGAGUUUACUGUGAUGCCGUUUGGGCUUACUAAUGCCCCGGCAGUUUUUAUGGAUUUAAUGAACCGUGUUUUCAAGCCUUAUUUAGACAGGUUCGUCGUAGUAUUCAUCGACGACAUUUUGAUCUAUUCCCGAAUUGAUGCGGAUCAUGAGGAACACUUGAGACUUGUACUUCAAGUGCUUCGGGAAAAGAAGCUCUACGCCAAAUUGAAGAAGUGUGAGUUUUGGCUUAGAGAGGUGGCGUUUUUGGGCCACAUGAUUUCGGGAUCAGGUAUAGCCGUGGACCCGAGAAAAAUUGAAGCUAUCAAGGAUUGGCCGAGGCCGACGAGCGUGACCGAGAUACGGAGCUUCAUUGGUUUGGCCGGCUACUACCGACGGUUUGUUGAGGGAUUUGCGAAGUUAUCUACCCCUCUCACGAGGCUCACGCAUAAGGGCACCAAAUUUGUUUGGAAUGAUGCGUGCGAAAGGAGCUUUCAAGAGUUGAAACAGAGAUUGACGACCGCCCCAAUCCUAACCUUGCCAACUGCUGGAGCAGAGUAUGUGAUUUACAAUGAUGCUUCCUUUAAUGGAUUGGGUUGUGUCUUGAUGCAGGAUGGGAAAGUGAUCGCGUAUGUAUCUCGCCAGUUGAAAGAUUAUGAAAGAAACUAUCCUACUCAUGAUUUGGAGUUGGCGGUCGUGGUCUUUGCAUUGAAGCUAUGGCGCCUUUAUUUGUACGGCGAGCGAUGCGAAGUAUAUACUGAAAGUUUUGAGGAACCCAAGGAUCUAUCUAGNAAAAACGAUCAAAAACAGAGAUCUAUGUAUGAACUUGAAAUUUUUCGAAAAAUAAACAUGAACGCGAUGAAACGAUUAAAUCCAAGCUAAAUACUCACAAAUUUCAGAGGGAAAUCGUGUAGAUCUGCAAGAGGAAGGCACCAGGGAUUUUUAGAGAGAGAAAGAACGAAUUUUGGUUUUGAUUUGAGAGAGAAAUAAACCCUAUAUCCGGUUAUAUAAGUCGCAGCUACAGUGCGCGUACCCGUACGGGAUCGUGUACCGGUACACGAUCUCAGAUUUCGAAAAUUUGAUUUGAAAAUCCAUCACAUUUAAAUUAAUUUCAUAUAAAUUAAGGCUUUUACUCCAAAAAUCAUUACAAUGAAAAUAAUAUAUUAUACAAUUUCAAAACACAUCGAAACAUCAAAAUUUCAAUAUCAAAAAUAAUUUAAUGAUUCAAAAUCAUCAAGAUGUAAGUUGAUGAAAAAUGAUUUUUAGAAAUUCAACAAAAUUGACACCAAUUUAUCGCAAUAUGUUCAAAAUAGAGAUUUAACUAAUAUGGCACCGGGGGUGGCUCUUUGAGCAUCUUUUCAACUUACCAUCUUAUAACUCCGAAAAGUCUAAAAUAUUCAAUUUUUUUUCAACCUCUUUCGGUUAAUCAAUUCAUUCUUCAUGUGGUAGCUUCACACACUUGCCGGACGACCGGGGUGGUAGCUCUUUCCUACAUGUGGUGGUAGUUUUCACACUCCUUUAGGAUGUAACUCUUUCUACAUCUUUUAAACAUAGAAGUUUCUUUUUCUCCAUUUUUUUUUAAAAAAUAAUUUCGAACUCCCCCUAAAUUAGACAAUCUCACAAUUGAAAAUAAUUUUGACGAAUUUUAGUCAAUUAGAGAAUAUCCAUUCAUCAUAUCCAACACUCACAACCAAGAUGAAUUAAUCACCAAAAAAUCAAAUUUGAUUUCAAAAUUUUGAUGAAUAUAUGCAUUAAGAAAUCAUAUAUUAAAUUAUCAUCAAAAUAAUAAACAGUGGAGUAAAAACGAUAAUUAAUAUGAAUUUAACUUAAUAUGAUUGUGAAGUUAAAUACCAUUUAAACAAAUUUAAAAAAAACUUCUCCUCAAAAUAAUGAUUCUCGAUCAUUUCCUUUCUCAAAGAGUUUGAAAUUUCCAAAUACCUUUCCUCAAACCGAUUUAUACACCAAUAAAUUCAAGCACCAAAAAUCAUGUAAACAUGUAAUGCAAUGAAUAAAAUUAAACAACAAGCACCAAUCAAAGCAUACUAAAGAUCAAAAAUGACUAAGACGAGGAGCUAGGAAAGAUAUCACCUUUCCGGAUCCAAACUUGUCGAAUCGUUGGUUUUCUCAACUUGUCGACGUUAGGUGCCGUUUGUUUAGACUUUUGAUCAACCGUUGGUGUUUUCUUCGGUUGAGGCUUAGGUUGAAUUUGUCGUUGAGGUUUAUGCACCCGGUUUGCAUGAACUUGACGUUGUGCAUUAGAAAUCCGAUUCUUUUGAGGUACUCGACUAACUUGAUUUUGCUUUUGAUUCCGUGGGGAAUGUCGAAUAGUAGAUGAAGCCGAUGGAUGUUUUGAAGUUGCUGAUUGUGACUUGCCAUUUUUGUUCGGGCAAUUCCUUUUAAUGUGUCCUUUGAUGCCACAUCGAUAACAUACUUUCUCUUUCAAAGUUGUUGAGACUUUAGAAGUUGAUUUUGAAUCCUUCUCAACGUAUGUUCGUUCAUAUCCAAGGCCCAAUUUGCUCGUUUGACCCAAUCCUAGCAUUUUAUCCAACUUCUUUGAUCCCGAAGAAAAUUGUUGAAGAUCGGAUUGGAGUUGACGAACUUGGUUGGUCAAGACUUGAUUGGACUUGUGCGAUUCAUGAAAUUGAUGCUCCAAAAAUCUAAUCUUAUCGUUAGAAGAUUUGAUCGUUGAUUCCGCUUCAUUAAGCUUCUCUUGGAGGUCCGAAUUAAUCUUCAAGUUUGAAUCCCUUUCCUCCUCAAGAACCUUAUUCAAAUUCUUUACGUUGUUGUUUUCCUCCUCAAGUUCCAACAAACGACGUCUCAACUUCUUGUUGAGUUUAGCCAUCUUCUUUGAUUCAAUGAGAAGUUGAUUGUACGCUUUCGCUAUGUCGUCGUCGUUUGAUUCCUCCUCACUUUCGCCAUUGUUGCUCGAAGAAUCAUGUGAAGAAAGAGAAAUGUUGGAAUUAGUAGCAAAAGAGGAUAAACACACAACAUUCGACGAAGGUAGAGAAGUGGUAGUAAAUAAGGCAAUUUGAUCAUUCUUUCCUUCGUCACUUGACGAUGAUUCACUUGAUGUUGAAUCAUCCCACGUCUUUGCUUGCAUAGCCUUUUGUCUAUACGUCUUCUUUGAAGGACAAUCCGUUGCAAUGUGGCCGUAGCCUUUACAUUUGUAGCAUUGGAUCUCUCCUUCAAAUUCAUCCUUUUCCUUUGAAGACUUUGCACGGUUUGUAUCCUUAGACUUUGACGAUGAAGAUGAUUUAGACAAAGAUUGUCGCUUAGACGAUGAAGCCUUUUUCGACGAAACUUCUUCGUAAGAAGCGCCAAUUGUUGUUCAAAGUCCGCAAUUGAUAAAUCAUCAUCGGAACUCGAGUCUUCGUCCUUCUCCUUUGUAGAUUUCAAUGCAACACCUGUGCUUUUAGAAGAAGACUUGACAAAAGAUUGAUUAGUAGGAAAAGUCAUCUCAUAAGUUUGCAAAGCACCUACUAAUUCUUCGACUUUCAUCUCGUCCGGAUGCUUAACCGUUUCGAUCGCGGCAACCUUUGCCCGAAAGCGUUCCGGAAGAGUUCGAAGAAUCUUUCUAAUAACCUUAGAAUCCGGGAUUUUCUCUCCCAAGUUAGCACAUGUAUUCACAACGUCUUGUAGACGUGUAUAGUACUCGGUAAAUGUCUUAUUUUCAUCCAUAGAAAUAGAAUCAAACUUGCUUGUUAGCAUUUGCAAUUUUUGGACCUUUACUAAGCUCGUUCUUUCAUGCGUAACUUGUAAAGUAUCCUAAAUUUCCUUUGCCGUUUCGCAAGCCGAAACACGAGUAAACUCCGUUUGAGACAAUGUAUUAAAUAAAGCGUUUAUGCCCUUGCCGUUAAACGAAGAUGUCUCGUUUUCUUCUUUCGUCCAUUUGUUCCGUGGUUUUGGCUUUUCAACAUUAUCGACCUUUUCUAUCGGAUGUUUCCACCCAAAUUCAAUUGAUUGCCAAACCCGCUCAUCGAUAGCAAUUAGAAAAGCUCUCAUGCGAACUUUUCAAUAAGCAUAAUUCGUGCCGUCGGAGAGCGGAGGUCGAUUAAUGUUACCACCUUCGGCCAUUAGAUAACAAUUUAUCUAGAUCCCUCUUUGAUACCAAUUGAAAGUUUUGAGGAGCCCAAGGAUCUAUCCAGAUUGUAUCUAUCACCUAGAGGGGGAUGAAUAGGUGAACGACCAAAAACCACAAAUCUCGAUGCAAUAAAAAUAAAUGCGGAAAAUAAAAAGCACACCGAGAUUUACGUGGGAAAACUCCAACUUGGAGAAAAACCCACGGGACCAACACGCGAAAAAACAAUUCACUAAGAGAAAAGAUUGCAAGGUGAUUACCGACUCCACGGACUCAACCUCUCUUAACCUCCUAUGAAUCUUCGCGCUACCCUCCAGGUUGUCCACGCCCUCACGUUCGAGUCCACGAACGCCUCCACUUCGAAUCCACGAAGCUUCAAUCACGCCGAAUCCACGACGCCACUCGAAUCCACAAGCCAACGAUCCGAAUCCACGAACCACCUUUGUUCACGCCGAAUCCACAACGCCGUUCAUGAAGAGCAUCAUGAUUAUGGUGAUCCUUCGCUUAAGAGUAUCGUAGAAAACCAGGGAAUAGAACUCCAAGCGAAGCGGAGAUCAAAUCGACAUAUAGAGAAUGCGAAGAACAAUAUCUCGAUUUGAUCUAAAGAGGCUAAUUUGUAGAAAAUAGGUUUAGAAUGAAAUCCGAGCCUCUAGGGUUUCUCAAACAUGUAUUCUUAUGAUGCUUGAUAUGUUAGAGAACCCCAAUAGCUUAUUUAUAGACUUUAGAAUCAAUUGGAGUCGGAUUAGAAAGUUUUCACGAUUUUACACUGUGUACUGGUACACGAAAGGCUGUCACCGGUACAUAAUGACGGAACGAAAAUUCAUUGCCAAUGUUGAUGGCUGUACCGGUACGUGGCGCUUGCUGUACCGGUACACAAUGCAUUUUUUCAGAUUUUGCAUUGUUUCGGGUUUUCAACGUUCCGAGGCACUUUCUAAUCCAUUAAACUUUGAGUUUAUGAUUCUAAUGCCUAUAACUAAGUAUGAAUCACUAUAACAUGAAUUAAAACUCAACCUUUACGUCGUGAUUCAUAUUGUGAGCAAAUUUCCAAAAUCUUUGAAAUCUUGAAUUCUUCAAUCUUCAUCAAUCCGCUUCGAUCCUUCAAGACUCCGAUUUACUUCACGAAACUUGCCAAUACAAAGUCCUUAACAUAUACGGAUCACAAAAGCUUAAAGUAUUUAUUCACGCAGAAAGAGUUGAACUUGAGGCAGCGCCGAUGAUUGGAGCUACUCGAGAAUUAUGAUUUGACUAUACUUUACCACCCUUGCAAGGAUAACGUGGUGGCGGAUGCGCUAAGUAGGAAAUCAACGGAAAACUUAGCGAUGCUUGUGGUUACUCAACCGCCGUUGAUCGAGCAGAUGAAGUGGUUGGGGUUGGAAGUGGUGGCUCUUGAUACACCUUUGAGACUGAUGUCUUUGGUGGUGCAACCUAUACUUGUGGAAAGAAUUAAAGAAAAGCAAGUCUCCGAUGUGAAGUUGCAAAGGUUCGAGCUAAGAUGAUUGAUGGUUACACCGGUGACUUUUCAGAGGACGGUGUUGGAUUGAUGCGUUUCCGUGGACGGAUCUGUGUACCGGCGGAAUCAGCACUUAGAGAAGAGAUUCUUCAAGAGGCACACCGAGCACCGUAUGCAAUACAUCCGGGAGGCACCAAGAUGUACAAGGACUUAAAGUUGCUUUAUUGGUGGCCGAGGAUGAAAAAGGACGUUGGUGAGUUUGUUGCUAGAUGUUUAACUUGCAAACAGGUUAAAGUUGAGCACCGAGUUCCUGCGGGGAAGUUGCAGACCCUACCGGUACCAGUUUGGAAAUGGGAGAAGAUCACCAUGGACUUUGUGAUGGGUUUGCCCCGCUCGUAGGCUGGGCAUGAUGCUAUCUGGGUGAUCGUGGAUAGGUUGACGAAAUCGGCACAUUCAUACCUAUUCACACUACAUGGACUGGUGAGAGACUCGCACAGGUAUACUUAGAUGAGAUUCUGCGAUUGUACGGGGUACCUACAUUUAUUGUAUCAGGCCGAGACCCCUGAUUUGUAUCUCACUUUUGGCGGAGCUUACAGGAUGCCUUGGGUACGCGCUUAGACUUCAGUACAGCUUUCCACCCCCAGAGUUACGGGCAGUCAGAGCGUACGAUACAGACUCUCGAGGACAUGCUUCGAGCCUGUGUGAUUGACUUCCAGGGAGGAUGGUCGCAGCAUCUACCGAUGGCAGAAUUUGCUUAUAACAACAGUUAUCAAGUAAGCAUCAAGAUGGCACCUUUCGAGGCACUAUGGACGGAAGUGUAGAUCGCCACUUCAUUGGAGGGAAGUUCGCGAGAGAUUGGCUUUAGGCCCAGAUAUGCUCCAGGAAGCAGAGAACAAGGUUCGCAUUGCUAGGGAGCGGUUGUUGAUAGCCCAGAGUAGGCAAAGGAGUUAUGCUGACAGGUGUCGACGAGACUUGGAGUUCCAGAUUGGUGACCAUGUCUUCUUGAAAGUCUCGCCGACCAGAGGAAUAAGAAGAUUUGAAAUUUGGGGUAAGCUGAGCCCCCGAUACAUCGAACCGUAUGAAGUUUUAGAGCGUGUAGGCCCGGUAGCGUAUCGACUUGCGUUACCUCCGAACCUAUCGGGUGUAUACAAUGUUUUUCAUGUAUCGGUCCUUCGGAAGUACAUCCAUGAUCCGGCUCACGUGUUGGACGCCACACCUUUGGAGCUGAGUGAUGAUUUGAGCUUUGAAGAGCAACCUUUGAGGAUUUUGGCUCGCGAAGUAAAGAGGCUGCGGAACCGUGAGAUUCUCUACGUGAAGGUGCUUUGGAGCAAUCACGACGAGUGCGAGGCCACUUGGGAGUUGGAGAGCGCCCUACGGGAGCGCUAUCCCCAUCUUUUUUAGAUGGAGGCUUGAGGUACUUUACUUUUGAGUUUCGCGGACGAAACUCCUUUUAGAAGGGGUGAAUGUAACACAUUGGACCUGUGCAAAUUGCGAGGUUCGAGUGAUUGGAUGUGUUUCGAGCUUUUCCACACUUGGUGGAGGGUCGUGGAAUGUUUUUUGAUCCAAAAAGUCCGAAAACUUGAGUUUUGGAUGAGUCCUGAGAGUUUUUACUCUCGGGGACCGGUCCCUGAUAGGAGAGACCGGUCCCCCAGUGAGCAGUGUUGCGCUGUCGGCGAGGCAACCGGUCCCUGGCGGGCGAGACCGAUCCCCGAGCGCGUCUUCACAGUGAGAGACCGAUCCCGCGCGGGGAGAGACCGGUUCCCAAAGGAUGGUUUCUCGGGUUCGACACGAGAGACCGGUCCCUUGCAGGGAGAGACCGGUCCCUCUGGGCGAAAUCUGCCCAGACCGGGCUGAUACGAUUUUGGCUUUUUGAGGGACCUCCUGGGAUUUUGUUACUUUGGAGGGCCUAAAUAGCCAUUCCACCCUCUCUUUUCAUCAUUUCCUCAUUCUCACCCUCUCCCUACACCUUCUAGAGAGAGAAGAAGAAGAAGAAGGAGAAGAAGAAGAAGAGCUUGCUUGAGGGAGCUUGGAGCUCCUCGAGGGAUCUUGGAGCUCAACCCCCUUGCUCUCCUUUCCACCCUUGCAAGGCUUGGAGCUUGCUUGUAGGGCUUGGUAGUGGACCAAUCCUCAACCCUAGAAGAUUUGGAGCUUGUUUGGAGGCGUCUUGAGAGGUUAGUACUUCGAUUCUACCCUUUGAUCCUUGUUUUGGUAGAUUUUACCAUAUGGAACCCUAGAAUGGNUUUCAUAAUGCAACUAUUUCGUUACUAUUGCCUUGUUGACUUACCUUUUCUUUGGGGGCCUAGUGGUGCAUUGAGCUGAGGUCAGUAAUUGCCCACUGGGAACUAUAAAUUAUAGUUCUCACGCCCUCUGUUUUAUGUCUUCUUUCAGAGCCUUCCACGCCGGGAGAGGCUAGGGACCAUGAGAAGGGCGUUGCUUCGAGCUAGCUCUUCUCCGAGGGACGAGUGGAUAGGUGGUCUACCUCUCGAUGUUUUUAUUUUGGAGAGGUUGAGAGCUGUACCAGUGUACUAGAGACCACCCCUUUGUGUACUAUUUUGGGAGAUGUUAUUGUACUACUUUAUGUUCUACUCUUAUUGUUUUUGUAUACCUCUUUUACCUUGUUAUAGACUAUAGAUCUAUCUAUGCUCUGAUAUCUCUAGAUGUAGGUUACUUUUGGUUUAUUUUUCCACUGUUGUUGUAGACGCCUUAUAUGUGUGGACAUAUGGCGGGUCUGGGCACGCCACCGGGAGGGCCUCUGCCGGUCCCGGGGCGUGACACUGGACCUAGAUAGGUCAAUACUAUAGGGUUUGAGACCAACACUUGAGUCGUGAAAUGGAUUCCGGAAUCCCUAGUGAAGUGGCCGCAAAGGAAGCNGCAGGGAGAGACCGGUCCCUCUGGGCGAAAUCUGCCCAGACCGGGCUGAUACGAUUUUGGCUUUUUGAGGGACCUCCUGGGAUUUUGUUACUUUGGAGGGCCUAAAUAGCCAUUCCACCCUCUCUUUUCAUCAUUUCCUCAUUCUCACCCUCUCCCUACACCUUCUAGAGAGAGAAGAAGAAGAAGAAGGAGAAGAAGAAGAAGAGCUUGCUUGAGGGAGCUUGGAGCUCCUCGAGGGAUCUUGGAGCUCAACCCCCUUGCUCUCCUUUCCACCCUUGCAAGGCUUGGAGCUUGCUUGUAGGGCUUGGUAGUGGACCAAUCCUCAACCCUAGAAGAUUUGGAGCUUGUUUGGAGGCGUCUUGAGAGGUUAGUACUUCGAUUCUACCCUUUGAUCCUUGUUUUGGUAGAUUUUACCAUAUGGAACCCUAGAAUGGAAUUUUAGGGUUGAUUUUGGGCCUUUUUGAUUUAGGGCUUUUGAGGCUAGAUUUCUUGGAUUAGAACCCUCCUUUGGGUUAGAUUGGAAGAUCUUAGCCUUCUUUUGGAACUUGAGAGAGAAUUUCUACUCCCUAGGUGAGUUUUUGCCCUUUUCUUAUGGUUGUUAAUUUAUGAGCCUAGAGUUGCUCGUAACGCUCGUGUAUCUCUUCACUCAUUACUUUUAGGGUAUUUUGAGACUCGUAGACAACUUCUUUCGGCGAAACGAAGGACACUGCGACGGUUCGAUGGGUUUGACCUAGCCUGGCAUAUGAGAAAUUCUCAUAUCCCAUGUUUUAUGCUUGUAGAGUAAAAAAUUCAUGAAUUUCUAUGUUAAAUGUAUUUAUUGUGAAUUUUAGGAUGCUUAACAUGCCUAUAUUAUGUGUAAGAAAUUUCGGGCCCCUAUAUAGUAGAGGGCUACCAUGUGGGACUUGUACAUGAUUGACAUCCUAUUGAGACUUGGAAUCAUAUUUACUGGUGUGAAAAUGAGCAUUACCUUCAUGCAUUUUAAGCUAUUCCUACUUGAGACUUAAAGGAUCUUAGUAAGCCAUAAAGAGGCAUAUGACAAUAUUGAUAUGUGAGAUCGUGAGCUAAUGUCAUAAAGCGGCAUUGAGCUCGGGUUGUGUGGGAACCUAGUGGAUAGGGCCAUUGAGAGAAUUGGAACAUGUUUGUACAUUGAAAUGUCUAAGUGUCAUAAAGGGGCACUAGACUUAGUGAAUGAUAGGAGCUUCACAUUGUGACCUAGAGUUAGACCAUUGAGAUGCUAGUGACUAUUACCAUGUUAGAGACAUGAUGAUUGGGUACUUGAGACGAUGAUUACGCUUGCUUGCCAUAUGUGCUCAUUCGCACAUGCUUGUGAGAGUCGCUCCCUACAAGUCGGCACUCCGGAGUUGGCCUACGCGACUUAUGUUCGCUCGUGCGGUAUCGAGAAACCUACGGGGUCGGGAGCGAUAGACUCAUUCCUAGAGUGGGAAUGCUGGAGCUAUCACCGAUACUUAGGUGGCACAAGCUGGACUACAAUAUGUGAGUCCUAGAACAUGUUGGAAAUAAUGACAUUUGAUCGAGAGAUGAUAAUCACUACUAGAUAGGUUUAGUAGUUGGAUUACUAUGAUAUGCUUAUAGCAUAGUGUUGAGACACGUAGAUAUACUCGAUGUUUAUUUAUUGCAGAUAGUACACUUGCUACCAUGAUAGAGCAUAUUCAUCAUACAUUGACAUUGUGGAUCAUGUUACUACCUGUUCGUUGUGUUUGGACAUAUUAGUAUGUUUGAUUACUUCAUUGGAGAUAAGUAGAUGUAGACACUUUCGCAUAUGUUUACUUGUGAUAUAGUAGCUUAGCAAUUAUUUAUGCUUUAUAAUGCAACUAUUUCGUUACUAUUGCCUUGUUGAUUACCUUUCUUUUGGGCUAGGUGGUGCAUUGAGUCGAGUCAGUAAUUGCCCGUGGGAACUAUAAAUUAUAGUUCUCCGCGCUCUGUUUUAUGUUUCUUUCAAGCCUUCCACGCGGGAGAGGUUAGGGACCGUGAGAAGAGCGUUGCUUCGAAGCUAGUUCUCGAGGGACGCGUGGAUAGGUUACCUUCGUGAUUUUUAUUUUGGAGAGGUGAGAGCUUGUACAGUGUACUAGAGACCACCCUUUGAUGUACUAUUUUGGGAGAUGUUAUUGUACUACUUUAUGUUCACUCUUAUUGUUUUUGUAUACUCUUUUACUUUGUUAUAAGACUAUAGAUCUAUCUAUGCUUUGAUAUCUCUAGAUGUAGGUUACUUUGGUUUAUUUUUCACUGUUGUUGGUAGACGCCUUAUAUGUGUGGACAAUUGGGGUCUGGGCACGCCACCGUGAGGCCUCUGCCGUCCGGGGCAUGAACUGGACCUAGAUAGGUCAAUAUAUUAGGGUUUGAGACAAACUUGAGUCGUGAAAUGGAUUCGGAAUCCUAGUGAAGUGGCGCAAAGGAAGCGGUGGCACUUGUCGGUAAAAGAGAUGGCAAGCGAAUCAUAACUGCAAGGUAGUGUUGGUUCUCCCAAGGCUCUGCAGUGAUUCAACGGUAGUGUGUGGUUUCUUCGCCCGGGAUGCCAUGAGAAUAAGAUGAAAUUUGGUAUGUGUGGUUUCCGCGCCAUUAGUUAUCAGAGAUGCGCUAGAUUGACUUAACCAUGUGGUGUGAGGCGAGUGGCCACUGCCAGAUGACUAAGCCAAGAUUUGAGCAUUGUUGGGCGUGUGAUGCCGAUGGAGUGUCGCCGCCAGGUGGCUAAGUCAUGACUUGAGUCAUUGUUGGGUCGAUGCGAUGAAUUCGCUGCCAGAUGGUUAAGUCAUAGGUGCGGUAGGCUGUGACGGCAGCCAGGCUGAGAUGCAGCCAGUGCGCGGACUAUCUGCGGAUGAUUGACUCGAGGCCGAGUCGGGUGGUUAGCUUGAUUAGGUUAAUAGAAACCUUAUAAGCUAGUGAUAAAGGUAAGAGCUAAAGUUAGCAAAGUAAAUGUAGAAUUAACAUAUCUACUAGUUGUUUAUACAGUUGCAUAGUUGCAUAAUAUUCCUGUUGCAUAUUGUGAGGCAAAGCAUGAUAUAUGUUAGUUGCAUUUAAAUUAUGAUUUCAUAUCUAUCUUUUGAACUAACGUGUUGUUGCCUCCUUUGGACCUAUUGGUCGAGCUUUUCCCUUGGGUGGCCGUACCCACUGGGAACGAUGGAGUUGGUUCUCACCCCACAUUAUUUUGGGGUGUUACAAGUUCACACGUGAGCGCGCGGCGGCGCGAGGCAAGGGCGUAGCAUCAUAGUUAGCGCCCUACCACCGAGACCAGAGAUAGCGGUACCUCGAGUCGGUUACUUAGGGAUGUAAAGAAUGAAAAGAAUCAAGUUGCAAUAAUCAUGUUAAAUCAGAUUGUAUUUGGAAGUUAAGUGAAAGCUAAUGUAAGAAUCUAAUGAGAUUUGUGAUGUAAACAUGUAUGAAUGUGAAUGCAUGUAAUAACAUAGGAUGUAUUAUAUUGUUUGAUACCUUCCAUUAUGCAAUCUUGAUUGAAAUGUGUUCCUGGUUGGAACUUCGCACAUUGUAUUGAUUGCUAUGGCUUGAACGUACAGGGGAGACUCUGUCCGCAGUACAGGGGAAACCCUGUCCGUUCGACAGUCUGUUGCGGCGCUGCGACCAGGCCAAAUAGGCAGGCGGUCGCAGGGCAUGACAUUAUUUAGCAUGUAAGAUGAUCACUUUACUAAACCAAUAAGUCGAGAUCCCCUAAGGGCCAUAUCAUCAUUCAUACUCUAACAUGCUUUCUAAGAUUGCAUAAAAGAGAAUUCACCAAAUAGGGCUAAUUCAUGCACAAGUUCACAUAAGAGCUUCUACUACAUAGAGCAUCAAAUUGUCCUUACAUAGCAUAUAUGUAAUGUUUCUCAUAAAUUCUUGCAUGUCAUUUUGAGUAUGAAAAAGCAUUUAAUUGGAUCUUAAAACUAAAAGGAGGUUUAAGGGGGAGUUUACCCAUUUCGGUGAGAUCAAACCUACCGGAAACACUUCGAACUCUUUCGUAACGCCGAACGAAGUUGUCCCCCAAGAUUCUAGCACCCUAAGAAAAAAUCUAAAGGGGUUAAAAGCUACAAAACAACUUCUUCGAAAAUUACACAUACAAGGUGUAAAAUGUACCUGUAACACACUGGACCUUUGCAAAUUGUAAGGUUUGAGUGUUUGCUCUGUGUUCCGAGCUUUUUCAAAUAUUCUGAAGGGUCGUUGACAGUGUUCCGACCUAUGGCUCAUAUCUCGAGAAUUGUAGUAUUUGAAGUAGCGCUAAGGCCACCAGAGAGGAGGAUUUAGGCUGCUCUCGGGUUGCAUUCUGUAGGGCUGUGUACCGGUACACCUUGAUGGUUGUACCGGUAUAGGAUUUAUACCGGUACACCUUGAUGGUUGUACCGGUAUAGGAUUUAUACCGGUACACCUUGAUGGUUGUACCGGUACACUUGUGGUGAACAGCCAACCCGAGGCUCGGGUUUGCUGUCUCGCAGGAUUUGUACCGGUACACUUUUACGUGUACCGGUAUACAGUACAGUGCGAGCAGUUUUUGUAGAGGGGUAUUUUUGCAAUUAUUGCAAAUCCUAUUUAUACUACCCCAGCCCCUUAGAGAGCUCUUUUGAGCCCUAACCAGUGGAAAAUACAGGUAAGACCCUCUCCCCUUGGUUUUUCUCCAUUUUGCUUGGUUUUUAGCUAGUUUUGAUCUCCUCCUCUUUACUUUUUCUUGCUUCUUGUUGGUUUCUAUCAUGAGAGAAGCUUAGAGUUCGGGAUUGGAGCUUUGUGGAGGGAGGAUCUUCAACCCUAGCUGAUUUUGGUCCUUAGUUGAGGCUUCUAAAAAGGUUAGUAACAUGUAUUCCUCAUUUAAUACAUGUUUUGAUGGAUUUUGCAUGUUGGAACCCUAGAUUUGGAAAUUAGGGUUAGAAAUGGAGAUUUUUGAUUAGAGAGUUUUGGAACCAAAUUGAUGGGUUUAGAACCUUUGUUUAGGUUGGAGUGGAAGGACUCUAACUUCCUUUUGGAGAUCCACUACAACAAAACUAGGUUAUAGGGACACUUUCUUGGGACACUUUAGUAUAAGUGUUCCAAAUAUAUUCAAAAAUUUUUAAAAUUUUAAAAAAAAUUUGCAAGGCCCAAAUAAAGACCUCAAUUACAAAAAAAAAAAAAAAGAAAAAGAAAAAGAAAAAGAAAAAAGGAUCGGUCCUCACCAAACCCGUUACCCUGGGUCGUAUUACCCUAAGUCGUAUUCCUCUUUCUCCCCUCACGUAUUACCCUGAGUCGUAUCCCUCUUUCUCCCCUCACCACCUCUUCUCCCCUCACCAAACCCGUCGAAACCCUAGAAAUCGGCCCUCGCGCUCCUCCUCCUCCGCCGUAGCACCCGAAGAGAUAAGGUACGAGACGCCACGGUCGCCGGGAGAGUUGGCACCAAACGUCGAGGCGGCGGCGGCGUUGGGGGAGGAGUCCGGCGAUCACUUCCUGGCUAUGCUCGCGGCGCGUUGAAGGUGCGGAACGAGGAGAAGGAGAAGGUAAGCUCGAUCGAUACUAAGGUUUCUUAUCAUGAGGAUUUAGGGUGUAAUCUCUUGUGAGAAUCUCUUCGUUCGUGAAUUGCUUGCUUGUUUGUGCAUGAAUCGAAUCUGAUCUUCGAUCGAUACUAGGGUUUCUUAUCAUGAGGAUUCAUACGCUUUUAGAAAGCUUCCAAAAUUGCUCAUGUAGAUCAUUUCAUGAAGAUCAAAAUAUUUCGAGUAGAUUUGCUCAUGUAAAGAAUUCGGUUUCUAUCAAAUAGGGCAUGUUGAGCGUAAUCUACUGGAGAAGUGCGAUAAUUUAGUAGUUUGAAGUUCUUGUACUUUGUCGAGUUGGGGAUGUAAAUAGUAAAUAAUAGUAGGUUGUGGAAUUCAUGGUGGACAUGACAAGGAUCUCAUGCUGGAAAUAUCUUAUGUGAAUGUUCCCAAGAGAGUUGGCAAAGUACUUAUUAUAGAUUCUGCUAUAGUUGAUGCCUAGUUGUACUUCACAUCCUUAUUCAAACUAAUAGUAGUGUUUUGAUAUAACAUUUGCCAUCACUAAAGCAAUGUUUCCUUAGUAAACUGGGCAAUCAUGGUUCAGAGUAGAAUGUGAGACAAUUGGAGCAACUCUUUAAGUUACCUACGAAUUGCAAGAAGAUAAGGAGCUAGGAGACUGACUGAACCAUUUAAUUCUUUUACCAUUUGGCUCUAUGCAUUUGAUAAAAUCUUUGUGAUCCUUUUGGCUUAGCUUUUCGUCUGUUUUUUUCUCAUAGUAACUAGGGAACAUGAGACUCUUGGGAAUUCUCAGAAACUCCAUUCAUUGAGGCAGGCCAUCACCAUGCAAGGAAGAUAAACAUGGGAACUUUUUUAAUGAUUAAGAAAUUGCUCUCAAAACAAAAAAAUAAAAAAAUAAAAACAAAAUAAAAGAAAAGAAAGAAAAGGGAUUAAGAUAUUGCUCAAAUGAUUCACAACUGAGAUCUCAUGUGAUUUGCGUAGAGUUAGUUAUGCAAUUACUGUCUUGAAAUUUGUUUUGGUCGUCCUUGAGCUUCUGUUAUCUGGUAUUGGUAAUCUUCUAUGUAAGCUUUUGAGUCAUCACAAGUUCUCUGUAGUUUGUUACCUGCAUUUCUUAUGGUCCAUUGGAUUCUUUUUAGUUAAAUAAUUCUCUACUUCAACUUUGGAGAACCUCAAGAGCUCGGAUUGAGCGCAUGAUCAGCUUCUAAUCCCAAUCUAGGGUUUUUGUUCUUAAGAUCUUACAGUGGAAGAGCACUUAAUUUGAUAUGUGAUUAUAUUUUUUAGAUUAAUUCCUUCUGAUUCUGAUCCAUAGUUUCUACCAACUGUAGUAUUUUGUUAUCAAAUUUAGUUGUACUCUACAGGCUAUCAUUAAUAAUUAGUAUAAUUCUGAACCAUUAAUCAGUUGAUUUCCUAACAAUGCAAAACAAAAGCAAAUGAGAUAUCUAGUUUCCUACAAUGGUAGCUUAGAGGGAGUUGGAUUAUUAGAAUGUAUAGAUUUGAUGUAGGAAAUUCACACUGUAAGGCAAUGUGGCUUGUUCAUGAAACAAUUUAGGAAUUUGCAUUUCAUUUUCCAGCUACCUGCUAGAUAAGCCUCGUAUCAAACCCAUAACUAAAGAUCUAGAGUUUGAGAAAAAUCGCCUCGCUGUAUUAUUUGAAAGGAUCCAAGACCCUGAUAAGUAACAUAUUAAUGUCUUUGGAUUGAAUUUCUCGAUACUAGUUAUUUCUAUCAUAAAGGGGAAAAGCCCUAAAGAAAUGAAUUUGGGGAUUUUUUCUUUAAAGUUUAGAUUAGGCUUUUUAGAACUUGAUUUGAAUUUGUUUAGAGUCCGUUUAAGUGCUACAUAUUAACUACUUUCACAGCUGGGCCAUAAUUUUUAGAGGAUUUGACACUAUAUGGUGAAAGCUCAAUUUUGUCGUUGAUGUGGGAUUCAAUUAUGGGUCCUUGGAUUGACACUUGAGGAGUCAAUUAGGUUCGUCGGGAGAGACCAAGGCCACAGGGCAUUGUGUGUUGGCAAGCAAACAACUUAAGGACAUUUGGUCAUCAUCUAUAGAUUAUUUUAUACGUGAUUAUCAUUCUAUACGUGAUUAAAUUUUCUUAGUCUUGACAUGUAUAAUUUUGGUAUUAACAGGUACCCAAACAUAAGUCUUGAUGCAAUUCAGGGGCUCUGCAGAAUAAGCGAUCAUUUCUUUUCAAUUGAGGUAACCUACUACCACAGCCUUAAUAUACUUUUCAAUUGAUUCUGCUAUUUUUGAGAAUUGCUUAUGUUAUACUUGGAUAUGUCAAUAACCCCUUAAUUAUUUAUUAUGUUCUGUUGGUUUAAUUUCAUUUACAUGUAAGCAUGUAGAUGAUCCAUCAGAAUCUGCACUCUUCGGUGGAUAUAGAUGUAACACACUGGACCUUUGCAAAUUGCGAGGUUCGAGUGUUUGGAUGUAUUUCGAGCUUUUCCACACUUGGUGGAGGGUUGUAGAAUGUUUUCCGACCUAAAAGUUCGAAAAUCAGGAAUUCUGGAUAAGUCCUGAGAGUUUUUACUCUCNUAAACUUGCGGUAUAGAUAUAUUUGGCACUCUCAUCUCUGUUAAGUUUUGCGGUGUAACAACAAUGUUUGGAUCAGACCACCCAUUUUCUGAUUUAUGGCGUAAUAGAUUGUUGUCUAUUCUCUGUCAUUUUUUCCAAUGCAUAAUAGACCAUCCGUUCUCUAUUAGUUUUUAUCAAGAUCGACACAGGUAAAGCAUUAGAUAAUUAUAAUCUGCUGCCACAAAUGAUAUUGAUGAAGACUAAGAUAAAGAGUGCAGCAAUUUUCGUGAUUCUAUCUACUUCCCUGGUAGUGUUACCUUUCUUAUGGUUUUAAUUUUGUCAUAAUUUUGUUGCUCAACUUUGUACUUUGAUUUAAAUACUAAUAUGCACAACUUUUGAUGUUUGUUGAUUGCGGAAAAGAAAGGUUUGGUUAGAUCAUUCCUUCACUUUUAGUAGUUCAAACAUGAAACAUAGGAUCUUUCUACUCUUUGAUCAGAAUAAAUGCAUGUGGUCCUCAUUAAUGGAGCUUCGAGUGAAGGGUAAGGAGCUAUAUGCUUGAAUAUUAUAGCUUCGAACAGAUGAUCUCAAAAUUUUUUGUACUUUGAUUUAUCUUAUUGCUUAUCUUAUAGCUAUAAGAUAAGCUAUAAGAUAAGCUCACUAUUUUUUGUAUUUUUGAUGAGCUAUAAGAUGUUUUGCUGAGCGAGUGAAAUUACCUAGUACCUGGUCUUUUAUUGAACUGUGUGAUCAAUUUAAAUUGUAAAAAUUUGUUAGAGUGUACUUUAAUAAUUUGGUUUAUUUUAUUCAUCUCAGUAAGGCUGCGUUCUCUGUGGGAAUAGAUGGAAACUAAGAUGAUAUGAGUAGGUCAUGCAUUUUCGUGGGUCGGUUAGAAAAAUUACUAGGGUAGCUCAUCAAAAAUAGGAAGUGCAAAAUGUGUUGGAAGUGUAUUUUAUCUUUCGAUGUUAAUUUAUUAGGCUAGAGCAAUAGGGGAGACUCCCUCAGUUUCUCUCUCCUGUUAUUAUUAUUAUUAUUAAUUAUGAGUUUGGUUGGCCUCUCUAAUCGUAAGACCCCUCUAGAAGGGGUAAAGAUAGGACCCUAUGAGCCAUUCUCUAUUUUUCUAAGAAAUGCAUGAACCAUCUUUAGAGCUGCAAUUUUUCUCUAGUUAAUGGUGAAUGCAUGACUAAUGAGUAGCUUUUUGCAUUUCUUGCGGAAUCUUCUAAAUUCAGGAGGAAAAGUAGUACUCUCUCUCUCAUAAGUUUAUUUUUUUGGGAUAAUAUCUAGGUAUAAUAUUUAAGCAUAUCCUUCACUAUUGUACUUUGAUUUAAAUACUAAUAUGCACAACUUUUGAUGUUUGUUGAUUGCAUAAAAGAAAGGUUUGGUCAGAUCAUUCCUUCACUUUUGUUUCUGAACGAAGUUCACAGUGGCAUACAUGAUUUAUAUUGUUCGUAAUUCCUGUGAGUAAUUUCUGCUUUUUUCUUUGUCGCGCCUUACAUGAUUUAUAUUGUUGUAUUAUUAGUCAUCAAUUGAUUCUACUAAGAUUGUUUUGUUAUUGUCUAUGGCAGGGUCUGGUAGUUAGCAAAUUUAUGUAAAGGCUUAAUUGCAUUCUAUUACACUGUACUUUGCUCUUCUUUUUUUUUUAUUUCAUUUGUUGUACUGCACUAUUUGCUCUUUGAAAGACACUACUAAAAGCUGCCAUUUUCUUAUGAAUUUCUAUACUGUUGUUUUGCAUGCUUUUGGCCUCACCCCUACAUUAGCUUUUCUACUCUAAGAAGCUGAAACCAAGAAGCUAAAAGAAAUUCGGAGCUUCUGGCUGGAGCAGGAAGCUAAACUGGGCUUUCGAACCCCAAAGCAAAAGCUAUAUGGUGGAGCUUAUGUUUCUGGUUUUGAAGCUGCUCCUGGAUGGAGCUUUUAGCAGACUUGUUUGAAGAUGCCAUCUCAGUUCUUUUCAUAAAUACCCUUUUCCAAUUUAAUCUAUUGUUUUGGAUGAAAGCUAAUUUUCGUUUCCUACUUUAGCGAGAAGCUCUAGGUUUUUUUAUUUGUGCUAGUGAAAAUAUUGCGAAAAUUGGUUGAAACGGGGAUUUUUUGCAGAAUCUUCUGCUUCACAGCAGAAAUAAGUUGCUUCUAUCAGACAUAAUAAGAAAUGUUUCUUGCAGCUUUACCCAAACACCCAUGAGAAAUGUGCUUUUUCUGGGAGUCGGUUGUCUUGUAUUCCUAAUGCAAAUUUAAAUUAUGUUAUCUAUCAGGUUCAUUCAACAAAAAUUAGGCGGUCCGUCAAUAUCUGAAUAUGAAAAACUACAAGCUGAGAAAUUGGACCUGCAGUUAAGGUACGAUGAACUCUUCGCAGCUCACCAAGAAACAUGCAGACAAGUAACUAACUCUUAGUUUGGUAUGUUAUUUAAAACUUACUUUCAGUUUCUUUUAAAACUAUGCUGAUUUAUGCUGAUAUUAUUAGUAUCAAUUAGUGGAUGCUUUUCUGAAUGAAAUCAAGCAACAUAUUUCUAGUGUUAGUUCGAUUGUACAAACUCAAAAAGUUACGCCCUUUGAUGUAGGAGCUCCGACUAUAACGAAUAAGCUUAAUUAUAUUCUUCUUUCAUGUAAAUGCAUGCUCAGGGAUGAUGACAACGUUUCUGAACUAUAAUUGGAUUAUUAAUGUCUCGAUACUAAUUUUGACGGAAAAUGAUUUGUUUUAAUUUCUUGCGGAAUUCUGCUGCAUUUUAUUGUUAUAAAACAUAGGCAAUACACUUCUUUUUUAAUGUUUGGCAAAUCAAGGAUGUUGCACAAAUUUGAACUAAUUCAAAUGUUAUUCAAUGUGCAGGUUCAAGUAUAUAGUCGUGGAGCCGAUCAGAAUUCGUUUAUGCAUUUUUUUAUUUUUGUUAUCAAACAAUUUUUGAUUUUUUGUAUUUUUUUUUCAGUUAAAGAGUUUAAUUUGUUAUAAUUACUACAACAUAUGAGUGGAUAUUAUUGUUGUGACGUAUGAUUUUAGUUUUAUCAUUUUAACGAGAAUUUAAGAAACUUUGUUAAUUGCUUUUUUUUUUAGUUUCAUCGAUUUAAUGUACAUGAGAUUAGCUUAACUAAAGUUUAAUACUACACUAGUUAUUUAAAUAAAAUAUUAUACUUUGAAUGACAAUGGGACAUUUAUAAAAUGUCACUAUAUAAAAAAAAUAUUACUUUUUUAAAAAAAAUUAGGGACACUUAUGGGUGUCACUAAAACCCAACAAAUAGUGUCACUAAACUGCAGCACUUAUUUUGGGAUAUACUGACACUUUAUUAUGUAUCGCUAUAUACCCUAGGGACUGCACAUAUAGCGACACUAUUUUUAGUGUCGGUAUUUUUGCCAGCAACACUUUUUUUAGGUUUUAAGGACACUUAAAAGUGUCGCUAUAGCUUAGUUUUGUUGUAGUGAUCGAGAGAGUUUCCUUCGCAUUCGGUGAGUUUUCUUCACCUUUACUUGAGUUGCUUAAUGUUUGAACUAUGGGUUGUUCGUAAUGUUCGUGUAUCUCUCUUUUCUAUAUCUUUAGGGUGCUAGGAGAGUAGUGGGCACCUUCGUUCGGCGAAACGAAGAGUUACGAGAGUCACGGUGGGUUUGAAUUCAUGAAUCAUGAGAGAAAUGUCUCCUAUGUGUUCUAUAUUUGUCGUAUCAUCGAAAUGUAUGUAUAUUCAUGCUAGAUAGAAUUUUUAUGAAUUUUAGAAUACUUAAAAUGUAGGGGUUAUGUAUCAUGAAAAUUCAACUCUAUAUAGUAAAGCACUAAGUGUAUUCCGUAUGCAUGUGAAAAGUAUUUUUUCUAGCAAUUUGGGAACAUGUCUUCUAUGAUGAAAAUGACUCGAAUCUAGUACUCUUGAACACUAUACUCAUGUUUGGACUUAGUGGAUGAAAGUGCCAUAAAGGGGCACUCGACUUAGUAAACUGUGAAAUUGCAACAUAGAGACAUAGUGAUAGGCCAUUGGACAUCGACUAUAUUCUAUAUUUUAGACAUAAUGAUAUAGUGAUAGGCCAUUGAGACAUAUGCUAUAUUCCAUAUAUUAGACAUGAUGACUUGGGACUUGAGACGGAUAUUACGCUUGCUUGCCAUUGUGCCAUUCGCACAUGCUUGUUAGGAUCACUCCCCAUAAGCGGGUACUCCGGAGAUAGCGAUCACAACACAUGCUCGCCCGUGUGGGAUUGGGCGCCGAAAUGGGAUGCCGUGGGGGGAGGCUCAUUCCUAGAGUGGGGAUGUUGACUACCACGGGGCCAUUAGGCACGGCACAGGCCGAACUACCCACGGGUAGGUCCUACAGGAUUGGAACAUUGGUGACUUAGUAUACCAAGUGGACAUUGACUAGAAUAGUAAACAUUGACAUUUUACUAUAUAGCUUGUGGACAUUAUGUUAGUUAUACUCUUGUACAUUCAUGUUAGAGUAGCUUUCAUACUUAUGCAAAUUUCAAACUAAGUAGAGAUAUCCUGUUGUAGUAAGCUUUUAUUUUGUUGCUUAAUGUUUCGUUUUGCCUCUACAUGCACUUACCCCUUUUAGCUUUGGGCCUAGUGGCGCAUUUCACUGAAGUCAGUAAUUGCUCACUGGAAACUAUUAUUUAAUAAUUCUCACGCCCUCUGUUUUGUGCUUUCUUUACAGAGCCCUCUACACCGGUGGAGGCACGGGAUCGUGGCAAGGGAGUUACCUAGCUAGAUAGGGAGGAGGUUACUUGUCACGCCCCGCCCCGAAACCAAUACCAAUUUGGCACGAUUCGGCUGCGGCGACGGACCGCCGAACGGACAGCACCUCCCUUGUCCGCCCAAGGCUCAACGACAGGAAUGUGUACAAGAAUUUACCCAGGACUUUAAAUUCUAAACAUACACAUUCAACGAGGGCACAAACAGUGCCAACAACAAGAAGAGCAAGUAAUCCACAAGAUAUACGAGUGAAAUAAAGAGAGUACUUUACUAACUAUUACAAUAGUUGCAUUCUUUACAUUUACAUCAUUUUCCCAAAAUGAAUACACUUGAUCCUCGAAAUACAUAGCUUUUCAACCUCACCUACAUGAAUCUCUCUCUAUACAUAGGUGUGCUAAUGCAAAAGGAAAGCUACUAUACUAUCACGGCCUCACUGAUCAGGCGCGACGCCCUUGCCGCGGUCCUCUCUCUGCAGCCCUGAACCUACCACUGGAAAUAGAGUGGGGUGAGAACUAUCUUCCAUAGUUCCCAGUGGGCUCGGCCGCCGACUCUGCCGAUCUCCCCACUAGGUCCAAGUGGGCACAAGUAACAACAGAUAGAUAGAUAGAUAGAUAUGUAUCUGAAAGCUGUAAAUGCAGUAGUAGGAAAACUAUGCUACUAUGCCCAUAAUCAUGAAUAUGAAUGCAUGCAUCAUAUAAUAAAGGUUUGCUACCAUGCUAACAAAUUCGAUCCAUGUUCGAAUAGCAAUGUUCAAUGACAUUAAUAAACCUUUAACCUUUUCAUUUACCCAAUCUGUGGCGAGGCCCUAGGGCUCGCCCAUGACUCACCUUCAAAUCCCAAAGUGGGGAGGGAGCUCCAAGUGCACCCAAGCCCGAGACCGUCUGCGGACGUCCAUGUGGUCCGGACCUCCAAGUGGUCCUAGUCGCGCGACACUCCGGAGUACUCGACGACAAUCCCCUCCAUGUGGGGAUUGGAUGGCUAUACCAUCCUAAACGCAGACUGUGAGCUAGAUCUAUCCUCUCCAAGUGAGGAUACACUGUAACUAGGGUCUACACCCAAUCCAAUCCUCUCCAAGUGAGGAGGCUCUACAACUAGAGUCAAUAACCCAAUCGAAUCCUCUCCAAGUGAGGACGCCCUACACUAGGGUCAACGACUAUCGCGGAAUCAUCGGUUCCCGACAUUCAUGUAAUGCUAUUUAGUUUUCUAAAUUCAUUGUUCACAAGGCAUUUUCUAAGGGAUCCACUUAUCCCUAGGUCCAUCGACCUCUAGUGUUAUUUACACUACAUUAAUGCCACUCGUUAUCAUUCAAUGUUUGGAUGCCACUCGUUUGUUCUUUAACAAUAACACUACUUUCUAUGUCAUCAACACUCCUAUCGGGUUCAUCUCUAUCUUUAGCAUCAUAGGAUCCACCUUCCGACCCAAUCCUCACCUAUCUAGUUACCAAGCGUUCCAAGUACACUAAGUCAUCAAUUAGAAAGCAUAAGGAAUGGAGCUACUAAGCAAUCCUACAAUGCAACAUGAAGAGAUGAGAUUAAAUGCAAUCUAAGACAUAGAAAGGAGUUCGAAAGUUUCGGAUGACACCCCCCACCUUUAAUCGAUGUAGAGGCUUGGAAAAUCCUUCUCGGCGAGCUCUACGAAAAGGCUUUAGCCUUCCUCGCCCGAAUCAACACUAGCCCGGCCCGAUUUUGCCGAGAACUUCACGUCGGUUCGCCGAAUGCCGAAAUCGACUUCGCCCCCGCGUUUUGUGACCUAUCAAUAGGGUUUCCAAGGCUUCAAAUGAGACCAAUCUCAUACUUAUACAAAAACCCCAUUUUGGAGCCCUAGGUUUGCACCUAUAGCAAACCACCCAAUAAAUCCCUAGAUUCUUGGGAUUGAUCUAUUUAGAAGCUAGCUUAGGGUCCAUUUGACCCAAUCCAAGGCAUAAAAUCCAAAAACUCUAAGUUUACAAAGCUAGGGUUUAGUAGCUUACCUCAAGAGCUACACCAAUGGGAAGAGGAGAGGGAGAUGGAGGUGCUCAAAGCCUUCCUCUUGAUCUCCUUCUUCUUCUCCUUCCUUAUCUUCCUUUUUUUUUCCUUCCUCUCCUUCUUAUUCUUCUUCUCCUUCUUUCCUUUCUAGAGAGAGAGAGAGGGAGCAAGAGAGAAAUGAGAGUGAGGGAGAGUGGAAUGAGAGAGUGUGAGGGAGAGAGAGGGCUCAGCCCACUCAAAUAAAAGCCAUUUUGCAUAAAAGCCCCUCAACUUUCCCUCCUGUGCACUGCCCUCACUAGGCAGUUUUCGCGCGGAGGGACCGGUCUCCCCGACUUGGGACCGGUCCCCGAGAGCUUCCCUCGGGCGCACGCGUUCGGGAACCGGUCUCUCCCCGGGAGACCGGUCCUCGGGAGACCGGUCCUCACCUGAGAGACCGGUCCCCAAGAGCUUGAUUUUCAGGACUUAGCCAAUUUUUGGCAUCUCUCGCUGGGACCACGUUCGGGAACCGGUCCCCCCCUACCAGGGACCGGUUGCGUCAUGCAACCCCGCUACAACAAGCCAGGGGAACCGGUCUCUUACUUGCAGAGACCGGUCCCCGAGAGCAACAUCAGCCCAAUGAUGCAAUUUGCCUCAUUUGCUCUCGCGGACUCAACUCCAAGGCACUUUUUGUGCUUUGGACAUUCCCAACUCCCACAAAGGGUAUACUUUUGACAAUUAGUCGAUCCUGGAUGAAGUACAAUCCUCAUAUUUCGAGAAUUCACUUCCUUACAUUACUUUUGUUUAGGUAGUUUUCUCUCUUUUGUGUUUUGUUGAGAGAGAGAGAGAUUUUGUAUCCAUGUAUAAAGACCACCUCUGUAUUACCUUCAGUUUAUGUACUCGGGUUUUGUUAUUGUACUACCUUAUGGUUUUAUUUAGUGGAUCUAGCUCUUUACUUAUUUUCUUUUCCUUGUCAUAGAUACUAGAUGUUGUAUACUCUGAUAUCUCUAGAUCUCUUCGUGUUGUUGCUUUAUUUAUUACCUUAUUGUAGACGCCUUAUAUAUUUUAGACGUAUGGCGGGUCUGGACACGCGCCGGGCGGGCUUCCGCUGUGUCCCGGGGCGUGACAGAUCAUGUCUAUGAUGUUCAUAAUGCUACAAUAAGUGACGAUACAUCUCAUUACUAUUCUAACCAUACAUUAUGCCAAUCAAUAUAAGUGUAACAUACUACCACUAGGGUGUCAAUGCUAACAAUGACUAACAUAAGGUCCACAUAUGCACUAUCAUGCAUAUCCACUAGUCCAACUGAUAUAAAUCAUCUAGUAGUAGUUUUCACAUUACACUUUAGGUUUCGUAGUUCAAUCCUCAUCAUGGAUCUACACAUGUGUAGUCCGGCUUGUGCCGUGCCAAAAAUGGCCCCGUAGUAGUCAACAUUCCCACUCUAGGAAUGAGCCUCCCCCACGGCAUCCCAUUUCAGCGCCCAAUCCCGCACGGGCGAGCUUGUGUCACAUAGGCUAUCUCCGGAGUGCCACCUUGUGGGGAGCGACCCUCACAAGAAUGUGUGAAUGAGCACAAAGGCAAGCAAGCGUGAUCAAUAGUAUCCAACUCUCGGUCAUCAUGUCUAAAAUAUGGAAUAAGUGGCAAUGACCCUAAAGGUCCCAUAUAGUAUUACGAUGUCAAGGUUUAUCAUUUAUUAACCCAAAUGUCACUACAUGACGUUCAUGAUUACUAUGUCAAGUAACAGUCACUAGUUCAAAUGCACACAACCAUUGCCAUUAUCCUAUCUAGGGUAGUUCACUUUUGUCCAAGUCUCAAUGAGAGUUCACACUUAGUCUAUUCCACUAAAGCUAAGGAAGUCACUUUCUUAUGGUGUAUGCAUAGUUACCACUAAUUAUUUAUAAUGCUCAUGAUGCAAGCCAUGCACAUAUAUCUUCCUACCCAUACCUCCACCUUAUGGAGUAAUAACAAUUAUGCGAGUGCUUUCAUUCAAUAAUGCCAUAUGCAAAUAUUCAACUAGAAUGAAUGUUCCAACUUGGUUUCUUAUAGAUCUUACAUGUACUACGUUACCAUGCCCCAACUACUUGCCUACAACAAGUGUGAUAUUGUCAUGCAAAUAUAUGCUAAGUCUCAUUCAUGCACAUGUCUAAGUCAUGUAGUUAUGCUAUCAAUCUCAAGGUCAACACCGUGUUAGUUACUAGGUCACAAUACCCUAUUUUCUUGUCUACACAAGUAUAUUAUUUAAUAUGUAAGAUGAUCACUUUACUAAACCGAUAAGUCGAGAUCCCCUAAGGGUCAUACCAUCAUUCAUGCUCUAACAUGCUUUCUAAGGUUGCAUAAAAGAGAAUUCACCAAAUAGGGCUAAUUCAUGCACAAGCUCACAUAAGAGAUUCUACUACAUAGAGCAUCAAAUUGUCUUUACAUAGCAUAUAUGUAAUGUUUCUCAUAAAUUAUCGCAUGUCAUUUUGAGUAUAAAAAACCAUUUAAUUGGAUCUUAAAACUAAAAGGAGGUUUAGGGGGGAGUUCACCUAUUUUGGUGAGAUCAAACCCAUCGGAAAUACUUCGAACUCUUUCGUAACGCCGAACGAAGUUGUCCCCUAAGAUUCUAGCACCCUAAGAAAAAUUCCAAAGGGGUUAAAAGUUACAAAACAACUACUUCAAAAAUUACACAUACAAGGUGUAAAAUAUACCUUGAGUCAAGAAGAACUUGAUCAAAGCCGAAAUCGAAGCUUGAAAAUUUCAAAUCCAAACUAUAAGAGUGUUCUACACUCAUCAAUUCCAACCCUAAAGCCUCAAAUCAAGAAACCCAAAAUAAAAUUCUAGAUUUCUCAUUUCUAGGUUUUAUCUCAAAAAUUCCACUAAAUCAAGAAUCAAAAUAGGGAAACAUGUUUCUAACCUAUCUAAAAGCUUCAAACAAGACUUGGAAUGAGCUAGGGUUGAAGAUCUCUCCUCCAACAAGCUUUUUACCAAGCUCCAAGCCUUCUCCAAAGGUGCAAAGUCCCCAAAAUGCAAAAUAGAGCAAAGAGGGGAGAUCAAAACCUAAAAUCCCAAGCAAAAAGGGAAGAAAAACUAAGGGAAAAAUAGAGUGGAGCUCACCUCUCCCUUUUCUAGUCGCAGCCCAAAAGCCCUUGUCCAAGGGGUGAGGGUGUAUAUAAGUUAUUGCGACAAAAGCGAAAAGAUCCUUCAAAAACUGCCAGACUGCAGUUUACACUGUGUACCGGUUCACGAAAAAGUGUAUCGUUACAAACUACUGUGCGCGCAAACCCGAGCCUCGGGUUGGCGGAAAACAACCCAUCUAUACCGGUACAAUCAUUAAGGUGUAUCGGUACAAAACCCGUUCCGGUACAACCAUUAAGGUGUACCGGUACACUUUCCUGCAGAGACAAACCCGAGAGCAACCCAAUAAUCUUCACUUUGGAGAUAUUAGUGCUAAGUUUAAACCUCGAUUCUCGAAAUACGAGCCAUAGGUCGGAACACUGUCGACGACCCUCCAGAAAGUCUGGAAAAAACUCAGAUCACAAAUCAAACACUCGAACCUCGCAAUUUGCAAAAGUUUAGUGUGUUACAAUUUGGCUAAAGUCCGGAUUACUUUACCGAAGUUUCGGUAUGUUACAUUCUCCACCCCUUAAAAUUAGUUUCGUCCGCGAAACUAACUUAAUUAACAUCUAGAUUUAUACCUUAAUCCAGAUUCUCGAAGAGAUGGGAAUAAUGCUCUCUUAUUGCACUCUCGAGCUCCCAAGUAGCUUCCCGAUCAUCGUGGUUCUUCCAACAAACUUUAACAUAUGAAAUCUCACGGAUUCCUAGUUUUCUUACUUCUCGAUCGAUGAUGUACGUCGGGAACUCUUCAUAAGUCAUAUCCUCUUGAAUCUCGGACGGUUCAAAUGAGAGAAUAUGCUUGGGAUCGUGAAUAUACUUGCGGAGAUUCGAUACAUGAAACACAUCGUGCACUCCCGCAAGCCUCGGUGGUACUGCUAACUUGUAUGCCACCGUGUCAACACGCUCCAAUAUCUCGAACGGUCCAACGUACCGGGGACUUAGUUUUCCACGGACUCCAAACCGUUUAACUCCCCACAUUGGGAUAUUUUUAGGAGUACGCUGUCUCCAACUGCAAACUCUAUAUCCUUUUUUCGCUUGUUGGCAUAGCUCUUUUGCAAGAAUGCGCCGUAGCAAGCCGUUGGCGGGCAAGGCGAACUUUCUUCUCCGCCUCCCGCACCAUAUCUGGGCCAAGAGUAACUCUCUCGCCCACAUCGCUCCAAUGAAUUUGAGAGCGACACUUCUUUCCAUAAAGGGCCUCGAAUGGCGCCAUCGCGAUAUUUCCUUGAUAACUAUUAUUGUACGCGAACUCCGCCAUCGGUAAAUGAUCAUGCCAUCCGCCCUUGUAGUCAAGUACACACGCUCGAAAUAUGUCCUCAAGUAUUUGUAUCAUCCUCUCCGAUCGACCAUCACUUUGAGGAUGAAAUGCCGUACUAAAAUCGAGCCGUGUGCCCAACGCAUCCUGUAGGCUCCUCCAGAAGUGAGAUAUGACCCUCGGGUCUCGAUCCGAUAUAAUAGACACGGGAACCCCAUGAAGUCUCACUACCUCGUCGAGAUAGACUUGAGCCAUCUUAUCUCCCGACCAUGUAGUAUGAAUCUAUAAAAAGUGCGCCGACUUCGUCAAUCGGUCUACUAUCACCCAAAUUGCAUCGUGUCCGCCUUGAGAUCGAGGCAAUCCGGUCACGAAAUCCAUUGUGAUAUUUUUUCAUUUCCAAACGGGUAUAGGUAGGCUUUGCAACUUUCCUACCGGAAACCGGCGCUCCGCCUUGACUUGUUGGCACGUAAGACAUUCUGCUACAAAUUCCCCAAAGUCUUUCUUCAUGCCCGGCCACUAAUAGUAUACUUUCAAAUCUUGAUACAUCUUGGUGCCGCCGGGGUGAAUACUAUAAGGAGAUUGGUGCGCUUCUUGUAUAAUCGCCUUGCGAAUGUCCUCAUUUUUAGGCACACACCAACGAUUUCUAAACCGGAGUGCGCCGUCGGUCCCAAUGCCAAAAUCAUCUACACUACCGCUCUCAACAUCACCCUGCAUCUUUUGGACAUAAGGAUCAGUAGCUUGUAGAUCUUUAAUCUUCUCCAACAAGGUGGGUUGAACCACCAAUGCCGCAAGUGUUGCUGGCAUUCCUGAAGCUACUACCUCAAGACCAAGUCGUUACAUCUCUUUUUGCAAUAAUGGUUGAGGUGUAAUUGCUGAAGCCAAGUUUUCUCACGAUUUUCUACUAAGUGCAUCGACCACGACAUUUGCCUUCCCGGUUGGUAUAAAAUAGUAACGUUGUAAUCCUUUAAUAGCUCUAACCACCGCCGUUGUCGCAUAUUUAACUCCUUUUGGGUGAACAAGUAUUUAAGGCUCUUGUGAUCCGUAUAGAUCUCACAAUGUUCACCGUACAAGUAAUGCCUCCAUAACUUUAGCGCGAAAAUAACCGCCGCUAGCUCAAGGUCAUGAAUCAGGUAGUUCUUUUCAUAAUUCUUCAAUUGGUGCGAAGCAUAAGCUAUAACUCGCCUAUUUUGCAUCAAGACACACCUGAGACCAACAUAGGAAGCAUCACUGUAUACCACAAUACUCUCCCCCGGCGUCGGUAAGGCAAGCACCUGGGUCGAUGUCAAUCUCUUCUUUAAUUCCUCGAAGCUCCGAUCGUAAUCAUCGCUCCAAACAUACUUAACUCCCUUGUGCGUGAGGCGCGUUAGUGGAGUGGUUAUUUUGGCAAACCCCCCCAUGAACCACCGAUAGUAACCCGCAAGUCCAAGAAAGCUACGGACCUCCGCAACACUUGUCGGGCGAGGCCAAUCUUUAAUUGCCUCUACUUUUUUCGGAUCCACCAAAAUGCCAUCACCCGAAAUCACGUGGCCUAGGAAAGUGACUUAUGAAAGCGAAAACUUGCACUUCUUUAAUUUUGCAUAUAGCUUCUAUUUUCGGAGUAUUUCCAACAUGGUCCUCAAAUGCUCCUCGUGUUCUUCCUCACUCCGUGAAUAAACUAACACGUCGUCAAUAAACACCACGACGCACCGGUCUAGCAACGGUCGAAUGACCCGAUUCAUCAAGUCUAUAAAUGCUGCCGGGGCAUUAGUAAGCCCAAACGGCAUAACCAUGAACUCAUAGUGGCCAUACCGCGUACGGUACGCCGUUUUGUGCACGUCCUGGGGCCGUAUCUUCAACUUAUGAUACCCCGACUGUAAGUCGAUCUUUGAGUACACCCUCGACCCUUGCAAUUGAUCGAACAAAUCAUCAAUCCUCGACAACGGGUACUUAUUUUUAAUUGUCACUUUAUUCAACUCGCUGUAAUCCACGCAGAGUCGUCACUUUAUUCAACUCGCGGUAAUCCACGCAGAGUCGAAAUGUGCAAUCCUUCUUCUUUCCAAAUAGCACCAAAGCUCCCCACGGUGACACGCUCGGCCUCACAAAGCUUUUAUCGAGCAAGUCUUGCAAUUGUGCCUUUAGCUCUCUUAGCUCUGUCGGAGCCAUUCUAUACGGAGCCUUCGAAAUUGGCGCCGCCCCGGGAAUCAAAUCAAUAACGAAUUUGAUCUCCCGGUCCGGUGGCAAUCCCGAUAACUCCGCCGAAAAUACAUCCGAAAACUCGCACGACAACUGAAUAUCACUAAGUUCCGGGUGCUCCUUUUGGGCUUCUACCAUUGUCACCAAAUAGGCUUCACAUCCACCCUUAAUCAUUUUUCUCGCCCUCGUCACCGAUACGGUCACCGCGAAGCGUGAGCUUUUACAUGCCUAAUAUACCAACUCUUCCUGAUUAGGCUCACGAAAUGUGAUCACCUUGCUUUUACAAUCUAUCACGGCAUAAUACUUGGAGAGCCAGUUGAUCCCUAAGAUUACAUCGAAUCCCUACAUUCGCUCUAGCACUAGUAGAUCUAUCAGCAUAAUCCAAUCACCGAUCUGUACUGGACAAGCCAAGCACUCAUCAUGAAUAUGAAACGAAUGCUCUGGAGCAUUUACCCACCAAUAAUCCUGAUUAUACGUGAUCUCCAUGCCAUGAGUUUUUGCAAAUGAUGCACCUAUGAACGAAUGUAAUGCACCUGUGUCGAAUAAAGCUCUAGCUCUAGUGCCUUUAAUCAAAAUUAUACCUGCCACGACAUCAUCUGGUGCUACAGGUUGCUCCUCCAUCUGAGUGGCAAAACCCGCCCACUCGGUGCUCUAGAUGUCUCCGGUUGACGCGAUGCAGAUGAGCGUCCAGCCGACAUCGCUGGGGGCAACCCCGCAAGCUAUCUCAGGGUGGAAGGAACUAAUGCCGCUGUCGGUGCAAACGAUCCCCAACUAGGGCACUCCUAGGCCAUAUGCCCCGGUUGAUCGCACUUGUAACACUUUCCUUCACGCUGCGGGCAGGUCGGCGGUCGAUGCUCACCGCCGCAAAUGAGUAGCGUGUGAGGUGGGUUAAUCAUCGGUUUGACUCCUAUGGGUUAUAUAGUCGACAUGUAUUCGGCACGUGUUUUUGCCUAUCGUAAUUGCUCUAUUCAUUGUUCAGCAUGAUUGAAAUAUGAAUUGGAGCUUAGUAUAUUGACUGUAGAUUCAUACAUAUUGGACUUGGAUAUAACAUAGGAGAAAACCAGUGAUUUGGACCUGUCACCUGCUUAACUACCGGAUUUAGCUUUAGGAGCCAUUGUUAUUUUGUAUCGCCGUAGUAUCAGCGUGGUAGAUACCCCAGAUAGUUUAGAUUACUAUUAUGCUCGUGAUGGGAUGCCAAGCCUAUUUUUACAGUAGUGUUUAGACUAUUCCGGAUUGUUGGAUGCUGUCGAGAUUGACGGUGGACCCAGAUUGCCAUUUUAGUAUCAGAUUAUGCUGAAGGCACGUGACUUGUUAGUUGGUAGACUAGUUGGACCCUGUGUACUUGACUAUAGCCUGCGAGAGCCUGAUUGAGCUCGACAGAGAUACGCUUGCAUACUCGGUUGGGUAGCGCCCAUGAGUGCCACUCCGGAGUCGGGCUUAGUGCUUCUGCGUUGAUGUCGAGGUGUCCUGUUUGGACUUGCUAUCCACUGACUGCUUAGUGUGGAGGUAGCUUUAGCUUCGACAGGAGAGACGGGCGUGUUCACAGUCCCUGGGACGGGUAUGAUUACAGUCCCGAGUGAGAUUGGGUCAGGUAUGACAUCUUCUACAGACUGUUAGUGUUAGAGCAUGAUAGUAUAGUGAUUUUUAGUUGUAGAGUUGUUCCAGCAUUAUUUAGUAUCCCACCUACCUUCUGUAGACUUAGUGGGUGGACCGAUGAUGUUGAGGGUGGCACCCACUAAGGACUACAUGUCUUUACAAUAGUUCUCACGCCCAGUUGCUAUUUGCUUUUGCAGAGCCUUCGGUUCCGGCUGCUGCAUCGUCCGAGAUAGAGCGUGGUAAGGGCGUUGCGAGUUAGAGCCCUACCAAACGAGCCGCCGAGUAGCACCAGCUACAGGUAGUUGUAGUUUUUGACUUCCUAUACAUACUGUUGUUGUAUCUCGCUUGGCGAGCUUUUGUUUACCGGAUGUUGUAUGUAUAGUGAACUUUAUUUUUCUAUCUGGUUAUACUUUGGCUAGCAGCUCUGUAGUGUUCCUGAGCUUUGGAUAGGAUUGGCUUCAAUAUUAGUGACUGGUCGACAUCUCUGGAGAGUGUCGAACUAAGUCGGAGUCAAUUCCGCACGAAUUGGAUGCAGAAUUGGACUCGACGCACUCAAUUAAGCAAAACUGGAGUUUUGCCAGUUUCGGGCGCCCAGAACAUUUUUAGGGUCGCCCAGAAACGAGUGUUGAAUUUAACUGAAACUGGAGGCCAAUUCGGAUCCCAUGUUCCGGGUGCCCAGAUGUGGGUCCGGAAAUUCGACAUCGUGAAUAUCGCUUGCUUCGAUGCGUGGCAGGCGGCAGGUGAGUUCCGCCGGAGCCAUUUACGGGCGCAGCACACCGUGAGCAGAGAGUCCGAGGAGCCCGUUUUGUGCAAGCUGGAUGUUCUGGUCGCCCAAAACAUGGUUCCGGGCGCCCAGAAACGCCCGUUUCUGCAGGGACACUGGAUAGCAGCUUCAGUUCCUGAGGCUUUUUGGAUCAUUCUAACUCACUAUAAAUACUUGGUAAACACCCCUUUGCUGCUCUUUUCCCCCCUUCUUCACAGAGAAGUCUCUUUUAGCAUCUCUACCCUCGGAUUUGCCUCAAAUUGCAUUAAACUUCCAUUGAUCCAGCUUGAUGGAGUGCUGAUUCUGUAGUUCUUCAGCGACGACCUCCAGUGUUUUGGCUCGUGCGCGAUGUAGGAAGGUCGGAUUUCGACGAAACUUGGUUUGCUGGAUUCUAGACUUCCAGAGGAAUCUACGAAGCCCUGAAUGGUAGAUUUUGGUUGAGGUUAGCUUGGUCGAACUGAGGUUUUUCUAGACUACUGUUGGCUUUGAGCUGAAAAUAGAAUUUUUGAGCUUUUCUUGAUGCUAUCUUUGUUGGCAGUGGAAUUUUGGACCUGAGUUUGAUCACCCCUCAGUAUUUGCUGAUUUUGGAACUGUUCUCACCUGAUUUGGAGAUCAUUAGGUGAGUUUUGACAUUGGAAUUGAGAAAUCCUAAGCUUAAGGCUAAAAUUGAUGAAUUUUAUUGGAUUUUGGAUGAAUUGUUAUAUCCAGAUCUUGAUGGGCUUUGUUGCUGGUUUGGAGGAGUUUCCAGCAGUGUUGCUUGUGAUCCGAGACCCUCUUGCUGCCAGGAGUUUCACUAGAGGUGGGUUAUCAUCGGUUUCGCUCCUAAGUGCAUGUUUAGUCGACGUGUAUAGUUCGAUUUUUGUAUAUCAUGCUUUAAUUCAUCGAUUAGCAUCUUGAAUGUAAUAUGAAUGUAGAAGCAUGCUGAAAUGAAUAUUUAUAUUAUACAUGUUGGACUUGAAAUUUGACUUAGGAGAAAACCUGCGUUUUGACCCGUCAUAUGUUUAAACUACCAGAUUUAGCUCUAGGAGCCGAGAUUCGAUUGUAUCGUUGCAGUAUUAGUGCGAUGGAUAUCUGGGGUAGUUUAGAAGGCAUUUACGCUCGUGCUGGGAUGCCGAGCUUAUUUUUCAGCAGAGUUUAGGCUGUUUCGGGUCGUUGGGUGCCGUUCGGGUUAGCGGUGGACCCAGAUUCUUGUUUUGGUCACAGAUUGUGCCGAGGGCACGUGGGUUUGGUUUGUAGGCCUGUUUUUACCCUGUUCACUUGACUUUGGCUAAUUGGAGCCUGUUUGAGCUCGACAUAGAUACGCUGCAUACUCGGUUGGGUAGCGCCCACGAGUGCCACUCCGGAGUUAGGCUUUGUGCUUUCGCGUUGGUGUCGCUCAUGCCGGUUGGACUUACUCUCCACGGACCAGUUAGUGUGGAUAGAGCUGGAUAGUCGCAACUCGGCAGGGACGGGUGUGUUCACAGUCCCAGGGACGGGUAUGUCUACAGUCCCGAUUGGAUUGGGUCAGAUUGGACAUUUCCUACAGUUGGUUAGUGUAGAGCAUGAUAGUGUAGUGUUUGAUAGCGGUAGAUUUUAUUCCUGCAUUUACUACUAUUCUUGCUCCCUUCUAUAGACUUAGUGAGUGGACCGAUGUUGUUUUGGGCGGUACCCACUGAGGACUACUUGUUUUUACAGUAGUUCUCACGCCCUGUUGUUACUUCAUUUUUGCAGAGCCAUCGUCUUCGGCUGCUGCUAUUGCUGAUAAGGAUCGAGGCAAGGGCGUCGCGAGUUAGAGCCCUACCCGACGAGCCGAGCUAGGGGUGCCCUACUACAGGUAGUAGUUUUGUUGGAGUUCAUGUACUUACCUACCUUUAACUCGCCAGUGCGAGUAGUUUUUGUGUAUCUUGGAUUUUGGGGUAUGUAUAUGGAACUCAGUUGGUUUUCUCCGUUUCUCCUAACCAGCUCUAUACUACUGUUUGUAGUAUUGUUUGAUUUACAGAUACAGCUAUCGCUUCGUAUACAGGAAAAAUUCCUUUGUAUACGGCGGAUUUGUCGGCGCGCCCGGGGAACGUGUAAUCCGGGGCGUGACAAGCUCUAUACUACUGGUUGUAGGAUUGUAUAUUUUACAGGUACAACUAUCGCUUUGUAUACAGGAGAAAUUUCUUUGUAUACGGCGGAUUUGUCGGCGUGCCCGGAAAAUGAGUAAUCCGGGGCGUGACAAUAUAUAUAUAUAGUAAAGGUACUAUGCUAUCGGAAGUAUAAAUUAGUUGGUACUUUCGAUUUUUUAGCCCUUGGAUCAAAAAUUAUACGGUUGGGAUGAUAGCAGUCCCCUUAGAGUUGAGUGGUCCCCCUAGGGUUGAGCGGUCCUCAUUGGUCAAUAAUAUUAAUCCAAUGGUUAGAAUAAUCAAUGGAGUUGAUCUAAGGGCUAAAAAAUCAGAAGCACCAACUAGUUUAUAUUUUCGAUAGCUUAGUAGCUCUUCUAUAUAUAAAUAUAUAUAUAUAUAGAGAGAGAGAGAGAGAGAGAGAGAGAGUUGAGCUAGAUCUCUAAAGCACAUGAAGGUAGGUGCUUUUGAAAGAGAUAUUUAGUUCAAUAAUAUAUAUAUUUAUUAUAUACUUAUACUUUAUAUAUAUAUAUAUAUAUAUAUACUAUAGUCGUCUCCGAUACUUUCGAACAAGUACGGGAGGCCCGGUGCUUGUAAGUUGUUUUCGAUGACUAGGACCGUUCCGAUUCGCACGAUCGCUCGUUAGGCUCAUGAUCUUCCUAUUGAGAACUAUCUAGAAUCAAUUUAGAUUUUUUUGACAGUAUUUACUAGCCGAUCAAAGAGUCUAAAAUGAUUUUACGGCGUGUGGAAUUUUUAAUGUGUCAACGGCUUGUUAGAGAGUAUCCAAUAUUACAUGAAUUUAAUAAAAAUUUACUUAAUCAAAGUAGCCGAUAUCAUUUCGAUGUAAAUUUGAAUCUUUUAUCACUUUUUUAUGAGAUUUGUUCAUUUUCUAGCGUUCAUUUUUGGUAACUGUUCCUAGACGCACAAACCGAAAUCAAAAAUAUAUGAAUUUGGUUUUCUAGUAGUUCGCUCCAUGGAUGUAAGUUUUAACAACUGAUCGCUGAAUCGAGAACUGUCCACAUUCAACAAGAUUAACAGAACGGGCCACAGCCCAUCCGCGUUACUUUCGACGCAUAGGAGCCUAGCUCUGUUAUUCUCUAUCUUUCUCUCUCUUAUAUUAUAUAUAUAUAUAUACUAGUUAUAGUCAUGUGCAAUGCCCGUCACAUUUAAUUAAAUUAAAGUUAUAUUUAUAUUUUAAAUUUAAAUAAUUAUUGAUAGUAUUAGUCUAUUUAUCAAUUAAUUUUUUUCUAACUUAAAUUUUUUUAAUUUGUAUCCAAAUUUAAAAAUUUGAAGUAAUUCUAAAUUUUAAAUUAAUGAAUUCAUAUUUAAAUUUAUGAACAAAACUCAAAAUUUGAAGUUAAUUUUGAGUCCAUAUUUGAAUAUAAAUGGUUAUAGAGACAUUGAUUUAUUUAACAUCCCAUCUAUUUUUCAAAUUUGAUAUAUUUUUAAGUUAAUUAAUUAUUUUCAAUUUGAAAUACUAUUUACACACCCAAAUAUUGAAAUUUGAAUUAAUUUCAAAUUUUGAAUAAUUUAAAAUUUAAAGUUGAUUUGAUAAACUUAUUUAAAUCAUUCUAUUUUUCAAACUUAAUUUUCUUUUAGUUAGUUAAUUGAGAGAUAGUGAAUACUAAAUAUUUUCAAUGUGAGUUGCGUAGAAUUUUUUUUUGAUGAGUAUGGAAUAUUUUUUUAUGGGGCACUUGUGAAAAAUAUUCAACAGUAGAUAUUUUUAGAUUGACAUAAAGUUGGAUAAGUAUGAAUUUUUUUUAUAUUCUCGUAAAUGAAAUGCAAUAUUUUUUCCUAUUAAAAAAAGGUCUGUCAACAGCUAUUUUAUUAAUAAUCCCAAAUCAAUAUAAAUUUGUGAAUCACAUUUAUUUACAAAUUUAAAAUUUUAAAUUAUAAAUUCUUAUAUUAUAUUUUAUUAAAAAAUAUCUCAUAUUUUAAAUAUUAGUAGAUAAAAUUUAGAUAAUUUUUAUAUAUUCACCUUUAAAAAAAUAUAAUUAAAUAUUAUAUAUGCGGAAGGUAUUAUGUGAUAGGAUAUUAUGUAGGCCGUAUUACGUGUGAGAAAGAAAAUAUUUAAAAAAUUCUUAAAUUGCAAAUAUUAUUUAUGAUAAAAAAUAGAUAUUACGUGGGCUACGGUUAUUAGAAGAUAAGGUGCGCAUAUAAAAUGUAAAAUUCAAUAUGCACUUUUUGAGGGCAAUUCAGAUAAAAAAAGUGACAGAUACUUAAAUCGUCAACUAUUGGAUUAAAUUCGAAGACUAAGAAUUAAUAUAUUUUAUGAUAAUUUAAAAAUAAAAUAUAAAUUGUACGGUUAUGAUUUAUUCUAUUAAACUUGAAUGAAUGAUAUUGCUAGUAUGCGAUUGGAAUUAUAUUAAUAGGGAGCGAUAUUUUGGGAAAGAAAAAAAUUUUAAAACUUGCUCUUUUAUAAGUAGUAUAUAUAUAUAUAAUAUUUACUAAGGAUCUAGGAUACUUUUACAAGCUAUCCAUCCCCAUCUUAUUGCUAUUCAACUUUUUAGCCAUUGGAGUCUACUUUUGUUUACAAAUAGCCCUUGGAUCAAACACUAUUCCACCUACCACCACCCUACCACCUACCUACCACCCAUCUAUCCAACCUUUCACAUCUUCUCCAUCCAAGGCUAAAAACACACAAGUACCACUGGCUGAUACUUGUAACAAGUAUUCUACCCUACUCAUAACUAUAUAUAUAUAUAUACUGCUCUAUAUAUAAUAUGACUACAUACUACGGUAUACUAUGAUAUAUAUAUAUAUAUCAUAUAUAUAUAUAUAUAUAUUAAUUACUAUAUUAUAGAUCACAGUGGGUUUAACGGAGCCCGAUCCGACGAUUUCGAAGUCGCAAGAUCGAAACGAGCCUGGAGCACGGAAGGCUCCAGUGCUUCCGAUCAUAUAUGGUCUCCGUGCUUCCGAUAAUAAUACUAGAUGUAGGUCUACUAUACCUUAUCGUAAGCACGGAGCCUUUCCGUGCGUUCCAGCUCGUUUCGCAUCUUGCGACUUUCCAAUCCGUCCGAUCGGCCUCCCUUACACACUUUGAUCUAGACGUAUUGAAGUACCCUACGAAAUAAAUUUACUGACUUUCUACGAUAUAUUUGCUUACGUGAACGCAAGGGCGCUCAAAAUCAACGGCUACAAAUAAAAAUCCUUACAUAAAAUGUAAUAUGAUGACACUUAAACAUUUUAACAAAGAGGGUCAUUGAUCUUCGUUCUAUACCUACUGUCAAAAAAUUUUUCUAUCAAAAUUUCACGCCGACUUCUGGAUAUCUUUUAACACCCGUUAAAACUUGCAAACGGCUCACCGCGCCAUGCUACAAUUUGUUGAUUUGAGUCCCAUUCGCAUCACUACGGCAAAUGAUCAAUCCGAAAGAAUAAUAAAUUUAUUUUCUAGUACUCCCAAACUACUCUAAAUCAAGCUUUAACGAGCCGAUCCCGACGAAUUCGAAAGUCGCAAGAUCGACAACCGAGCCGCGAAGCACGUAAGGCUCCGUCGCUUCCGAUUAGCAAUAGUAGCCUCACUCUAUACUAUAUACUAUUAUAUAUAUAUAUAUAUAUAUAGUAUUCUAGCCUAUCAAUCUCAACCCAUACCCGCUAGUGCUCGCGGAUUACACGCAAAUUUGCGGGUAUAGACACCAAUUUUUUCAACCUAAAAAAUUACAGAUAAAAAAUUAUGAAACUAUAUUCGUUUAGUGUCAAAUGAAUCCUCUACCAUUUUAGUAGCAAUAGGAAAUUAAUUUGAAAUACACACAAAUAUCCUCGAAGCCCCUAUGGUGGGCAAAACCCAAGCUUUGCUCGACGCGGUACUCAACCACCACCCACCCUCCUUCCCUCUCCUUUUUCCCCGAGUCCAACAAACGUUUUAAAUGUCCCAAUCAAUUCAUCUCUCUCUCUCUCUCCCUCCAUUACCCCGUCCCACCUCUCAUUUCUCCGCUCCAAAAGUUAAUCAUACUCCACACACCUCCAAAAUAAGAACCAUCCACCUCCUACCCCCUUAAUUCCCCUAUAUUUUUAAAGUUCGUCAAGAACCAUCCACCUCCUACCCCCUUAAUUCCCCUAUAUUUUUAAAGUUCGUCUCUCUCUCUCUCUCUCUCUCUCUCUCUCUCUCUCUCUCACUCUAAUUACUUCUUGCGUUAUAAUACGUUAUGCUUGAGUGAGACUAACUCUUUCUUGGCUCCCAUCUUGCUCUCUCCUUUCUCUUUGUGGACUCUUGUACGUAGUGGUUGUGAGCUCCCCCACCAAACAAGCCAAAUAAUCCCGAUCGAGAAGGCACCCAACUCACUACGUACCUCCUCUUCACUUGGGAAGAAGAAAGAGGGGGAGGGGGAGGGGGAGGGAGAGGAGACGGAUCAAGGUGGAAAUGGGCGGCGAGAGGAAGAAUUCGCUUCUUACUCUCGCCGGGCGGGUGCUGAAUUGUGCGGUGAGCUUUGUCGUGUUCUCCGUACUCGACGUUCUCGAUAUAAUCCUCUGCAUUGUCUACAAGCUCAUCGAUUAUGCCGUUGAGGCCGAGUGGAAGCCGUGCUACUGCUCGGCCUCCAAGGACAUGGUUGCCGGCAGCGGCAGCGGCAGCGGAGGCGGGCCAAAGGUGGUGCGGCUCUGCUCGUCGAAGCUCCAGCUGGAGGACGUCUCCGACACGCUGUACGCGCGUCCUUCAGUCGUCAUGGACGCUGCGAGGAAGGCGGGAACCACCGGCAGCGGCGCAUCAGUUGUCGUGAGCCCGGCACCGGCUGCGCCGACGUUCCGGGUCAGCACUGGUGUUGCGGAGAUGAUCCGAGGGAAGAUCGACCGGCAGCGGCCUACGCGGCCGGUGCCCUGCUGGUCCGACUGCUGCUGUAAGAUCUGCAAUUCGUGGAGCACCGCCGCGACCCCUUCCCAGCUUUACGUUCACGUGGAGGGCCCAAGAGGUAAAUGCUGCAUGCCCGAUCGAGUUAGGAUCCGGCCGGUAAAACGCAAACGGUAGUGUAAAUUUUAAAAACCUUACUUUUACCAACUAUAUAUAUAGUCGAUCGGUUUAGAAAUGAAAAAAAAUGCAUAUUGGUACGUAGUUAAUGAUCAAUGAAUUUGUGAUAUAUAUAUAUAUAUAUAUAUAUAUAUAUAUAUUGAAUCGAGAAAUGUGCACGCACAGUAUUGUCAUGCAUCUUUUUAAGUUUUUAAACACGUACUACUAGUCUGUAUAAUUUAAUAUAUUUAUCAAAAAAGAUUAUUGUUCUCAUUUUUAUCGGGCGAAAUAGCUAGUAGAUAAUAAUUUUUAAAAACAUUUUUAAAAGUGAAAAAUUUUAAUUAUUUUUUAAUUUCAUUUCUUAUUGCGAGAUGUAGUAUUUUGGAUGAAAAAAUCAAGCGUCUUAUCUAAAAGUUUACCAGGAGGUCGAACACGGGCAGCGUGCGUAAUGCAUGUGCUUAAUCCAACUAAACUAAAUGACGUCAAUGUUAUACGUACGUACAUUUUAAUUUGAAGAUUAUGUCGUCAUUAAAAUAUUUAUUUGGUGUUCCGGAGGGAAUAUAUAUAUAUAUAUAUAUAUAUAUAUAUGCUACAGAAAUUUUGCUCAUUAAUUAAUUUGCACAGAUGGUACGCAAUCUCGUAAUAUUAUUAUUUUGCGACUAUUAAUUAAAAUUGCCGAUCGACUGAUGAGUGGGCGUGCAUUAACGAAAUUGAGCAGACGGGGCGGCGGUGCCGGCGACGGAGGACGUGGUGUUCAUCCACGGAUUCAUCUCGUCGUCGACGUUCUGGACGGAGACGGUGUUUCCGGCAUUCAGCGAGCUGACAAAGUCGAGGUACCGCCUCUUCGCGAUCGACCUGCUGGGGUUCGGGCGCAGCCCGAAGCCGACGGACUCGCUGUACACUCUGCGGGAGCACCUGGAGAUGAUCGAGAAGUCGGUGCUGAAGCGGUUCGAGAUCGGGAGAUUCCACCUGGUGGCGCACUCGCUGGGGUCGAUCCUGGCCCUGGCGCUGGCGGUGAAGCACCCGGAGGCGGUGCGGUCGCUGACGCUGGUGGCGCCGCCCUACUUCCCGGUGCCCAAGGGGGAGGAGAGGGCGGCCGGGCAGUAUGUGAUGCGGCAGGUGGCGCCGCGGAGGGUGUGGCCGGCCAUCGCGUUCGGGGCGUCGAUGGCGUGCUGGUACGAGCACGUCAGCAGGACCAUCUGCCUGACCAUCUGCAAGCACCACCGCCUGUGGGAUCUGCUCUUCCGACUGCUCACCCGCAACAGGUAUGUAUGUGUGCUCUCAGCCAAUUACACACACCUAGCUAGCACUUAAUUAGCACUUGCCUUGCCUAAUUCCCUUUCCCUUUCCCUUUCCGUUUCCGUUUCCCUUCCUCUAGCUGUGCGUUGUGUUUGCUCUUUCUUCCGUCUCCAACCGUUUCGGUGGCUCCGCUUUUAUUAUUCUCGCCUCGUAUUUAUUCCUUCCCACGUUAUUGGCUUCUCACCCUCUAUUUUGCGCUCCACGUGCCCGGUCCCACAUAAAUAACAACCUGUUUAAUUCGUCCAACACUAGUGCUGCAGGUACACACAAUAUCGACGGAAGAAAAAUGCUACUAGCUAGCUAGCUAUAUAAGGUUAGAAUCAAAUCAAAUCAAAUCAAAUCAAAUCAAAUCAAAUUCGCAUGGUUGGAUUAAUGUGAUCCCUCUUAUUAAUUAAUAUUUAUUUAUUUUAUUUAUUUAUUUAUCACCUCUUUAAAUAUAAAAAUAUAAUAUAAUUAAAUUCAGCAAUACAACAAUUAACGACGUUUUAAUUAAGAGAGAUAUUGCGGAAAAAUCCAAAGCAUUUUUUCCUUUGUCUCGACGAAUAUUAAUUUAUAUAGAAGAUUCCAAAAUAUUAUUUUUCUAAACUGUUGAUGGGCAAGUUGAGAUGCAUGGUAUAUAAGAUUUUGUUUAAUGUAUACAUGCAAUUUUAAUAUAUAUGCUGUAUAUAUAUAUAUAUAUAUAUAUAUAUAUAUAUAUGAUGUUAGCAGAUAUAUAGCAAUGCGGCAAUAUAUAUAUAUGGUUCCCUUUUCCUGAUUCAAAAGUUAAACGGUGAUAUAUCGAUUGCAUGUCGCUAAUUAAAAACUAGCUAGCUAGCUAGUAUAAUAUAGUUAGUUUAAAUCACCGGCCGAUCGAAUUAGUAAAAUUUUGAAUCAUGUACAUUUUAAGCACCUGUCGACUUUGGCUUUAACAAUCAUCGUAUGAUAUGAUUUUUUGUAGUUAUUGCCAAAUCGAUCAUACUUGUGAGCCGCCCGCUCCGUUUGAAUUAAAUGGUAGACAGCACCAAAUAAUUAAGAAGUUAUUGGAAUUCAUUUGAUAUUUUAUUCUCUCACCCACACAGUAGCAAAUUCGGUUUUCCCCGUGGGGCCACUGAGUAUAUAUAAGGUCUGCUUUAUCUGUUUUGCCUCUGGUUUCAAUGGCAACAAUAAUUACCGUGCUUGAUAAAAAAUAAUUAAAAAUUCUGCUGUAGACAGAAAAUUUUGAGCCUCCAAACAAGAAAUUCCGACUGAUACUUUCGAUUAUAUAUACGCGACACUAACUGAAUGUAAUAGUUAUAUGUAUAUAUUAUUAUAUAUAUAUAUAUAUAUAUAUAUAUAUAUAUAUAUAUAUAUAUAUAUGAAAUAUAAUAGGAAUAAAUCUUUUAAUCAGGUUAUAGCAUUUUAGGUGAUUGUUACGCCCAAAUGGUUAAGAAAAAUUAAACGUGCUAGGGUUAGAAUAAUCAUAGAAUGUGUGACGCCCUAGAAAAUGGGGUAUUACAGUGGGUAUUAGAGCCAAUUACCAGCCGAAAAUAUUAGAUAAAUGUCGGCUGAGCCAAAAUUAUAUAGCGAGCUCAUCGGCAGAUCAUAGUUGUGGGUGGAGCACGACUCCCCACAAGGUCAAACGAGACCCCACAAGGUCAAAUGAGAUGAGUCUCAAAUCGCCUAUUGCUUGUGAAUAUGUUUAAGCCUAUCGAGAACGUCGAUAUAAUAGCACUGAAAUAGUUUUAUAUAUGAGAUAUAAUAAAAUAAGAUCAUUUUACCCGAAUAUAGCAUUUUAGGAGUGGCUAGCUAGGUUAAUUUAAGAGAUUAGGAGAUUUAAGCAUGCUAGGACUAAAUGGGCGACUCAUUGGAAAGUGGGGCAUAAUAGUUGAGGAUUGUGGAUCUAAAGUUUCAAUUUUGUUUGUGUCCAAAAGUUAUAAUUUUUUUCCUUAGAAUUUAUUUUAUUUUAUUUUUUGAGUUUUAAUAUUAAAGAAUAUUUUGGAUGAAGUUAAAAUUAAUAUGUGAUAACAGAUCAAGAACUUUGUAGCAAGAAACAGUUGGAAAGUUCCCUAUUAAAAUUUUAUUAAUUAGUUUUUUAGUUUCCCCCGCCCUUAUUUUGAACGGCAGCUUACGAGCUGUCAGAGCCGCGAAGAAAUCGAUGGCCUGACAUAUAUGGUAGGAGUACGUUACGUUUACUUUGCGUAACGACCUCUGAGGUCCUGCCGUGGGAGUGCGGGACGUCGGGUACGAAAUGCGGGAAACAGCUUCGGGUUUCGUACCACCGCGAUCGAGUAGGAAAACCAAGUCAAAUUUUCCACAUAUAUAUCAGGUAGGUUAAUUUCUAAUUGGGAGACGUUAGAUCGAGGAAAAAUUCUAGAAUGCAACGGGUAUAUUAGUGACGUGGCGUAACAAACCAAUCAAAUUAAUUCUUUUAAAAAUAUAUGUCCCAUCAUGAUUGUAAAAAAGUAUUUUUAUUGUAUUUUUGUUUGAAAAGAAGGAAUGUGAUUGGCUUGUUAUUGAUGACGUGGUGCAAGUGUGACAGUGUAGAAUUCCUCUAGAUCGAGACACGUAAAAAUAAGUAAUAACCGAAAGUAAUGUCAGUGGAAACAUAUAUAUAUAUAUAUAUAUGUAUAUAUAUAUAUAUACACAUAUAUAUAUAUAUACAUAUAUAUAUAUAUAUAUAUAUAUAUAUGAUAUAUAUAUAUAAUAUAGAGUGGGCAUAUAUAUUAUAUAUAGAGUGAAGUGAGGCUACUAUGCUAUCAGAAGUCGGAGCCUUCCGUGCUUCCAGCUAGUUUUUGAUCGUUGCACUUCGAAUUGUCGAUCGGUCUCCGUUAAACUUGAAUUCUAUGAGUAUUUGGGAGUACCUACAAUAAUGCGAUAUGGUGCGUUUGCUUCGUUUAACGGAUAGAAGAGCUUCAAAUCAACUAAAAUUUUUUGUUUAAAAAAUCUUUUUAAACUUUUAAAAUAAAAACGAUCUAGACUCUAGAUCCAAAUAUAAAAAAUUGUAUUAUCACUUUUUUCAAGGAUAGUUAUUUCCAGCCAUUUAUUUUUCUGUUUCACUUGAUGGACAGAGAACAAUAUCUGAAAAUGUGUGUUGAAAUUUGGAUUUCCAGGAUAGUUUAAGUAGUUUUAUGAUCUGUGUUGUAACAGUGCCGAUCAUCAAUUUGGAAGCCCUAUAUCAAAACAAAUCGGUAGCUAACGGCUCGUUUUACUACGAUAGUUAUUCUAGCAAAACCCUAUAUUAUAUAGUAUAUAUAUAUAUAUAGAUGAGAGGAGAGAGAGAGAGAGAUGAGGAGAGGAGACGAUGAGAGAGAGAGAGAGAGAACGAGAGAGAGAGAGAGAGGGAUGGAGGAGGGGAGGGGAAGUUGAGCUGGGAAUACUAUCGGUAGCAAACGCGGCUCCGUGCACCAUUUGUUUUCGAUGAUGGGAGCCUCCAAAUCGACGAUUAGUGCCGUUAAAAAUGCAUCAGUAUUACACUUGAUAUGGUAUUCUGAGAAUCAAAUUUCAUGCUUUUCCGAAUAUUUUCUCUUGUUCACUCAAGUGGGCGGUAUAAUGAGAUGGCUAAAAAUGAAUAUCAUCUACAAAAGUGAUGAUAGGAAUUGUUCUAAUCAAGGAUCGAGGUAGUGAGAUCUUGUUCUAAAUAGUUUAAAGAAUUUUAAAAUAACGAAAAUAUUCAAUUGAUUGGAUAGGUUACACGUAAACGAGAAAACCCUAUAUUUGACCAUUAAAAUUUACAAAUUUUUGAAACCCUUUGAAUCUAUUAGGUCAGAUGGAUGCGUCGGAGAAAGAUUUUGAAAUUAAUUUCGAGAUACUUCAAAGUGGUAUAGAUCAUGAUUCAACCGCCAGGGCUUACCGAUUAUCGAUUUGGAGGAUCUAAUCAGCUGAAAUUUAAAUGGAUGGCACAGGGGAGCCGUUGCUAUCGAUAGAUUCUACCUCAAACUUCUAUAUAUAUAUAUAAAUAUUAUAUAUUAGUCCGGCUAGGGGGGAUACUAUCGGGGAUAGCGCACAAGGAUUUGGUCAUCAAGUUGUUCUGCCGUUUCUUACAUUUACCUUUUUAUCAUUUUAUCCAUUGAUUAUACUAUUCAACGCAACACCCAUCAACAUAGAAGGACCCCAUCCAUCCUAACUAUACAUUUUUUAAUCCAAAAGGACAGCCAAAACUUAAUGUACCAGAUAUGGUACUAUUAAUAGUAUUCCAGCUAGUUAUUAUAUAUAUAUAUAUAUAUAUAUAUAUAUAUAUUAAUAUUAUAUAUAUAUAUAUAUAUAUAUAUAUAUAUAUAUAUAGGCUUGACGCUAGGAAUACUCUCAGAUAGUAAAAUGAUUGCAUAUUUACUAUCGAGUUGUUUUCGAUCAUAGAGCUUCCAAAUUGACGAUCGGCUCCGUUGAACAUGAUCUAUACCACUUGAAGUGUUUAGAAAUCAAAUUUCAAAUCUUUUCGACAUCAUUUGCCUAAUGAUCAAAGCGUUUCAAAAUUUGUAAUUUUAAUGGUGGAUAAGAAACGUUUUCUCGUUUAAUGGUGUAAAGAUAUCCAAAUCAAUUGAAUUUUUGUUAGAAAAUUCUUUAAACUAUUUAAAACAAGAUCUAUACUCUUGAUCUUGAUUACAAGACUCCUAUCAUCAUUUUUUAAAGAAUAUUCAUUUUCAACCAUUCAUUUUCUGUUCACUAGAUGGAUAAAAGAACAAUGUCGAAAGUGCGUGAAAUUUAAUUUCUCGAUAGUUUAAAUGGUUUAGAUCAUAUUUAACGGAGCCGAUCGUCAAUUUGGAAGCUCUAUCAUCGAAAACAACUCGAUAGUAAAACGCUCCGUUUACUAUCGAGAGUAUUCUAGCUCAACUCUAUAUAUAUAUAUAUAUAUAUAUAUAUAUAUAGAUAUAUAUAUAUGCUCACUCAUGAUUAAAUAUUAAAAUAAUCUUUUGAAUAUUUAGACAGUACUGGUUUAUGCCGCUUCGUUAAUUAGGUGCUAGGUGAUCUUUUCUUUUCUUUUCUUAUCUUUUUUUUGAGAAAAAUCUCUUUAUGAAUUACCAAGAUAUAUAAUUGUGCCAAAAUAUUAGUCGAUUUUGUAUUGCACUAAAGUGACGUACAAGGGUUCAAUUACACCAAUCUCCUAAGGCUCUAUUCGAAAGUGGGUUAUUCGGUAUAAAUAUUUUCUUAUGUGAUUGUAAGAAAGAAAUUUAAUUUCUGCUCCUUGAAAGAUUUUAAUAUCUAUGAUUUGGUAGGAUAACGUAUUUCACUUAUGAGAUAUUUAUCUUAUCCGAAAAAAUAAUUUAAAGGCUGAAUAUAAUAUUUAAUUUUAGACAUUUGAUCAUGCUCCUUAUCUACCAAACAUACAAACUUUUUAAAUAAAUUAUGAAGAUAUACUAAAUAAGAUAUUCGUACAUCCAAAUAAUGCCUAACUGUAUGAAUCUCGCCAAUAGUCCUAUUUACUUCUAAGUAAUAUUAGUAGGCAUAGUAGUACUAUGGGCAUGUUUUAUUUCGGGAUAAAGAGCGAGCAAUUAACUAAAGUUAUCCCCUACUAUUCCAUCACACCUUUUAAAGGAAAAAGAAAAAAAACUGAAUAGUUAUUCUGAUUAAACCAUGGUAUUCUAAAUAAUCCAAAAAUAAUCUCAAAAUAAAUUCUCCACAUUUCCAAUGGUAUAGGGCUAUUCUUAAUUAUGAUCGUCUUAGAUUAUUUCGGACAAUUCAAGUAAGAAAAAUGUAUGCCUAUAUCGUAUAUUACAUAUAUAUUUAAGUAUAUUAAUUAUAGAGAUAAUUUAAUGAAUGUUCCGUUACUAUAAUAUCGUUAUACUCUCCUAAAUUUAAUAUUAUUAUAGUGUCCGGCUACUAUGCUAUCGGUAGCACGGAGCGCUUCGUACUAUCAAGUUGUUUUUGAUGAUACGGCUUCCAAAUCGACGGUCGGCUCCGUUAGACUGAUCUACACUAUUGAAAGUAUUUGAAAACUAAAUUUUCGAUUUUUUCGACAUUAUUUGACUAGUGAUCAAAAGAUCUCAAAAUUGACAAUUUUAAUGGUCGAUGUGGUAUGUUUGUGAGUUUAACGGUGUAAAACAAUCCAAAUGCUAUGAAAAUUUUAUAGAAAAUUCUUUCCACUAUUUAGAGUAAGAUCAGUAUAUCUGAUCUUGAAUUUAAAUCUUUUAUCAUCGUUUUUCAUGAGAUUUUUAUUUUUAGCCGUUCAAUUGUAGACUACUUGAUUGAUAGGUAAAUGAUAUCGAAAAAUUAUGAAAUUUAGUUUCUAAAUACUUUCAAUAGUGUAGAUCAAGUCUAACUGAGCCGAUUGUCGAUUUGGAAGCCGCAUCAUCGAAAACAACUUGGUAGCACGGAGCGCCGUGCUACCGAUAGUAUAGCAGCCUAGUUCUAUUAUUAUAUAUUCCUAUUAAAUGGUCAUGAAUAUCAUGAAUAUUUUCCUAAUAGUUAGUCUCUAUCCAAAAAUACCCUUCAUAAUUUUAAAAUGCCAAGUUUACUCUUUAUCCAUUAUUUAUUUAUGCUCCUUAAAUUUUCUAUCUGUUGAUAUUCAAAACGUUUCAAAAUUACUCUCAAAAUUUUUUGCCGAUAAUUUUCACCAUCAUGUAUAAAUCACACCGAUAAUUUAAAUUUGAAUAUAAAAUUUAAAUUUAAAAUUCAAGAUCUAAGUUUAAAUUUUGAAUUUGAAUUUAAAAUUUCAAGUCUAUUGUGAAUAUAAAUUCUAAUUUGAAAUUCAAAUUCAAAAUAUGUUCAUAUUUUGAAUCUGAAUUUCAAACGGAAAGUUUGAAAUUAAAUCUAAAACUAAUUCAAAAUCUAGAUUUGGAAGUAAAAUUAAGGACACAAUCUCUAUUUGAAUUCAAAAUUGAAAUUGAAUUUAAAUUCAAAUCUAGAAUUAUAAUUUAAAUUUAAAAUUUGAAAAAAUUAGGUUUAAAAUUGAAAUUCAAUUCAAAUCUAGAUUUUCACUUUAGAGAAUCUAAGAUUAAAAUUUAAACUAAAGUUUGAAUUAAAAAACUAACUAUAACUUUUGAGACUAUUUAAGGAUAAAAUUUAUAUUUUAAAACUUAAUUAGCAUUAAUUAAAUUAGUCUCAAACUAAGGUUAGGGUAACACUCCAUAGUGUGAGAUAAUGAGGGACGAUUAUAUUGGAAGGUUAUAUGUGAUAUUGUAACACCGUGUGAUGUAAUGUAUACUAUAACAAAUUGUAUUAUAAUAAAAAGAACAAUAAUCUAAUUAUCAUUAUCAUUACUACUGCUACCACACACCACCACCAUUGUAUUAUUAUUACAUGAUUCUACAAAAAAAAAAUAGCAUUUAUGUUGUAAGAUAUAAUGAUAUGUUACAAUUUAUCUUCAACUGUUUACUAACUACAUAUAUAUUUUUCUAUUAGCCCCCACUAUCCUGGAGGUAAAUACUAAAUACAAUUUAAUUAUACGUAGGAAUAAAUAAAAUUGAAAUACACAUAAUUUUACACGUAUUUCUAUCUAUUAUCGUAGAAUAAUUAAGUUUCUCAAAUAACAAUAUUUCUUAGGAAAUUGUCUUAAAACCAAACAUAGUCUAUAGGAAUAAUGUGAACUGUGAAUAAGAAUCUUAAGGAUCUAUAUAUGGAACCAUUCUUACACAUAUAUUCCUCAAAAUUUAAUAUUAAUUUUAUUGCUAAACUGCUAUUUUUGUAAGUUAAUUACUACUAGAUCUACAAUCCAAACUGGAUUGCAAUAGUACAGUACCCUUAUUUAAAGAUCAAAUUAAUUUUCUCUACUAACCCUAGCCCCUGUGUGGAUCAUUGUUCUCUUCAUUGGGAUUUUAGACAGUGAAAAUGAAUUUCCUUUCUUUCGCAAUUCGCAUCGCAUAGAAAUUAAGCAGUAGGAAACUCAUUUUACACUGAUUAAUUAGCCUCGCGGCCCGUGAAAUUUCUCUAUAUAUGGGUUUACGUAGUGGAGUUUUUUUUUUUUUUUUUUUUUUUUUUUGAGAGAUAGGUACGUAGCACGCUACCCGCUUCGUUUAUUUCAUUUAGAAAUAAACUUAGCUAGAAAUGUGAAUCAACUAGAAUUCGAAGUUGGGUCUCGGAUACCAACCACUAAACUCUUUGCCACUUGCUCUAUAUAUGGGUUUACGUAGUGGAGUUAAUUUGAUGAACUAUUUAUUAAUGUGCUGUACAUGGUACAAAAUUAGUUGCAAUCAAUUCUGGUACCAUAUACAACAAAUUAAAAGUUACCUACCUCUUUUAACGAUUGUUGACAAGUUACUUAAUUAGCGUCUUCGAGUCCAGUGAGGAACUUAAAACUAAUUAUAAGAAUGAGUAAACUUUAAGGAAACUAAUUUUUCAUCGUUUACUUGUUUGUAUAACCUAUAUAUAUACAUAGAAUUGCCCAAACUAUAGAAUAACUAAUUAAUUGCUUAGAAGCUAGCUAGCUAUAUGUUGACGAUCUCUUCACCUAACCGAAUAGUAGUGUAGACCCAAAAUAUGUGAUUAAUUUUACGUACAUAAGCAAACUGAAGAGUGUGGGCAUGAAAGAAGACCGGAAGAAACUAAAUAUUACUACGCAAGGUGAUCGAUCGGGGAGAGCUAUAGCUAGCUAGGUGUGAAACUGCAGGGUGGGUUUAUCAUGAAUUUGCAAUUAAUUAAAUCUUGAGCAAUGCUCAUAUAUAUUCUAAGCACACGUACAAGAAAAAAAAAAAGAAAAGGAGAAGAAAUAAAAAAAAAAAAGAGCAAACGUACGGUAGGAGUAAAAUCUUAAAUCUUACUUAUUUAAGGGCCGGGUCAAUAUUUUUUCACUAGUUUUAUUAUCAUUUUUUAAAUAUUAUAAAUUUAAAAUGCGUGUCCUAGUUAAUUUUUAUGUGGACGAGCGCAUAAACUUAAUGGUGCUCUCCUUCCUUUGGGAUGUACGUAUAAUAUUUCUCUUAAAUUUUAGACCUCUAGCUUUGUAGCUAGCAGGCUGUUGAAAAAAAAAAAAAGAAAAAAAAAAAGAGGUUAGAGAAAAACCCCACCCACAGCUAGCCCACAUAGGUAGAUAAAUUAAAACAGAAACAAUGGUAAUUAAUGAGGGAGGUGAAAAGCAAGGGACUUGCUAAAAAAUUGGCCCAACAUAUGGUAAUGAGUAGUAUUAUUAAUUAGUACAUCCACUUCUACGGAGCCCGUUAAAUUGAGCAAGUACGGCUGAAUUCUGACGCUCAAGGUGAAAAUGGUUGUACAUUUAUCUAUUAAUAUUAACGCAUCUCUCACCGUCAAAACCUUUUCUGUCAAUAAUACAAUAGAUAUAGUUAGUUCCUGUUUUAUACAUAUAUAUAUAUAUAUGGAUCAGUACCUAAUCUAUAGGCUUAUACUAAUUUUAGGGUAUGUUCCGUUCGCCCUUCUUUCAUUCUGGAAUCGGAACGAACAAAUUCGUUUGUCCGUGUUUAGUAUGCGAAAUUUUCAUUCCGAUUUUGAUUUUCGGAUGAAUGAAAAUCUCCCAAAUUACCCUUUUUUUAAUCCGGUCUAGAAGGCCGGAUUGAAAAUUGAAUCGUGGCGGAAUGAAUUUGUUAGGAUUAAAUUUACCCUUUUUAAACUUAUUUUUUUAAUUAAAACAUACAUAAUUUUAAGUUUAAAAUUUAUAUUUACAAAUUUUAAUUUUAACUUAAAUUAAAAAUUAAAAUUCAAUCAACCAUUUCGAAUUUAAUUUAUAAAAUUUAAUUUGAAUCCUAAAGUUUUAUUCAAUUUUUAUUCAAAAUUUAAAUUAAAUUCAUGGAUUCAAAUUGAAAUUUAAAUUAUAAUGUUAAGUUUGAAUUUGAAUAUUUCAAAAUUUAGUUUUAUAUUUUGAAUUCUCCGUUCAGUUUUCAAUUUUAAUUUUUUAAAAAAAAUAUAUUUAAAAUUUUGACAUCAUUUUAAAAUUUUUACAUAAAAUUUUAAUACUUAAUUUUCAGUUUGAAUUUACACUGAUAUAUUAUAAAAAUAAAAUUGAUAUAUUAAUUUAAUUAUGUUUCUGAUAUCUAUCCGAAUCAAGCACCAGCAAUGAUUUAUUCCGAUUCCGAUUCAGACGGCGAUCCAAACAGAAUGAGAUAGUGACUCAUUCCGAUUCCGUCUCCAGCUUAUUUUCCCUCCGACUUCGAUACCGAUUCCGACUUCGAACCAAAUACACCCUUAGAGAAAGAAGUCUAUGUACCGGAGUCAAAUUCACAACUACUGCAGUGGAAAGAUUAGAUUGCCGGCACUAUAGUAAUAUUAAAUAAAAAUAGUAGAUUAAUGGUAUUUUUGUAAUAGUAAAUAAAAAUAGCAGAUAAUAGCUAGGAGUAAACAAAAAAUAUUGUUGUUGUUAAUAAGGGAGGCAAAAGACAACCCAAGUUAAUUAGUUGGCCCAUGCACCAAUCCGAAAGAUAAUCAGAUCUAGACAAACAUGCAUUUUGUCUGAAAAAUUGGGUUCUCAUAAUUCACUUUGUACUGAUUAAAAUUCUCUGUUUGGAUUCGGAUAUAAAAAUUCAGACAAACUGGGCCAAUGGUCCGAGUUUGGACUAACAGCUUAAAUAAUAAACUACCUUGAAUUAUAUUAAACUACUGCUUAGUUAUUUCAAGAGAUAUAUGAAUUAAGUAUCUCUAAGAUUAUAAUAUUAAUUAAAUCUAGCUACUACAAUCCUUAAUUUGUAUUUUUUUUUUCUUUUGCAUGUGAAAUGAUUUUAAUCAAAUAAAAAUCGUUAAAAAAAUUAAAUUAAAUUUUUUCCUAAUUCAAUUUGAGAAUUAUCUAAUAAAAGAUAUAAAUAUCGAUCGAGUUGCUGAUCUUUAUGGCGUUGUUUGACUUUAUUUAGAUUUGAAACUAUUUGACUUCAUUGUGGUAUAAGUAAAUAUGAGAAUUUGUGGUUUAUUAAUUUCUAAUUUUAAAAAAAAAAUUGUCAAAAUGGGCGCAAAAUUAGAAAAAAAAAAAUUACAAUAUAAUUUUAUUUGAUUUUUUUUUCAAAAAAUCAAUUUAUAAUAAUUUCAAUUCUAAUGAAAUAAAAUAAAUAUAUAAACUUUAAAUCAAAAUUAUAAAAGCAUUUAAAGUACGUACAAAAGUAUUUUUAAAAUGCAAAAUAUCGGGUUAUUAUUGAAAAAAAAAAAGAAGUGACAGAACUAUAAAAUAAUUCACUCUUCUAUAUACAGUAUAGAUAUUAUUAUUAUUAUUAUUAUUAUUAUAGAUACUAAUAAUAAUAGGUAUCGAUGGAUGGAUGGAUGGAUAGAUGGAUGGAUAUACGUACGUGGCAUGCAUAUAUACAAGUGGGUCCAGAUCCGGUUUUAAACUGGGUCUGAUCAUUAAUUUGAAUAUAUAUAUAUAUAUAUAUAUAGUGUAUAUAGUGUAUGCGCUAGCUAGCUGUGUGAAAAUUUUUUAUUAUCCCUAGCUAGCUAGUAAUUAUCGGACCCCGGCCGGCUUGAUGGGUACGUGGGUCGGUAGGUGAAUUUUUAUUCUUGCACACAAAUUAAUUUUAAGUGUUGAGGUGCCGCGCGGCCAUUAAUUAGCGACGAAUCAUUAAUCCACGAGUGUCGUAAUCAAUGAACAGCAUGCAUGUAGCUAGCUAGGCACGAGCAUAAUUAAUUUGGAGGGUGGAGAUAGUUAUGUAUGCUGCCUACCUGGAUGUGAUGAAUUUGAUUUAUGACAGCUAAGUUCGUUAGGACGGUGGUGGAUCCGCUCGCGAGUAAUUGCACGCGAAUUAACACCUCCCACGACCCAUUUUUUCACCGAAUCGGCCGUUUCGAUCGCGUGCGUCCAUCGAAAACCUAAUUUCUUUCUGAUUCUAUUAAUUGUUCAUAUAUAAGAGACAUCUAUCUUUAUACAAGGGAGAGAUCGGAUAAUUAAUUCGGUACAUGGUAUAUAUAUACAUGGAGACAUCUCUAUAUAGUAUACAAUUAUUAUACGACGAAAUUUCUUUUCUCCGAUCGAUAAUAGUGAAGAUGUAAAUGAAAAUAUUUAUUUAUAUAUGUUGACGCUCCCGCAAACUCAAGACGGGUCAAGCACCACAAGAGUUUGGGCAAAAAGUACUAAUUUCUUUGAAUAGUGUAAGAUUUGGACAAAUGUACUGAGAUUUGGUGAAAAAAUCGGUAAGCUGUUGAACGGACGAAGCAAAUGGUAAUGCUAUCGUGCCAUUAGUAUAAUAACGGCGAAUGAAAUUGCGACUCAUUUUGAUAUGGUUGGUGGGUUCGUGAAAGACAUGUUAUCCGCAAUUUUAAUCGCACUUUGAUUAUCACAAUAUGGUUGUGUUGGAGCAGAGUAGAGGGCACCGAGGUCAUCAAAGAACUAUCCAAGCCAUAUAAUUUCAGAGGUUGCAGAGGGUGCCAGGUGCAAGGAGAACUAAUGACCAGAUACUAGCACGAUGAAGGGCAACAAGUUCCGUAGUCAUCGCAUCCCGCCAUUCAAUAAUGGAAGCGGUAUACGAUACAUUUGUGGUUCCCAGAUAUCAGAAAUAGCUGCAAGAAAUUAAUGUAUGAUAAUACAAAAAAAUGCAGGUAGAGUCAAUAGAACCGACAAAUUAUUUUGGACGACGAGUUCUCGAUACACAAUGGUGGUCGGAUCAUCCGAUGAGGCGAUACUUGUUGGGUCCUCAUGUGGUCCUCAUGUGGUGGUGCUUGUACAACAAGAAAAUCUAUAGAGAAUAGAGCCGGUAAAGGUGAGAAGAAGUAGCAGUUGAGGAAUCAGUUGGUUAGGAUUCUUCGGGAGAAGAAAUAGUGGCUGAUGAAAUGUUGAAGCGAAAAAAGAUCAACUAUAAGCAUUGAAAUGGAAAUGACGUCAGCACUCAAACUAGAUUGAACAUAAUUGGGUAAAUGUUCGAGAAAAGAAUGAUAUCUUGAGAAAUAUGCAUGUGACGAGCAAUAGGAUCAUAACAUCGUUGUGUUCAAGAUAUAGCCUAAGAAAACACGAAUAUAUAAUUUCAGGGAGAGUUUGGUCAUUCAUGUCAGGGUGGGAGAACAAAACAAGUGUACACACACACACGCGUGCGCACACACACACACACCCCGGGGGAUAUGGCAGAUAAGAGACUACAAGGCAUGAUAUAAACUAGACACAUAUGUAGAGAAAGCAUCAACCCAAAAAUGUUAAGGCGUAGACCCAUCUAUAAGAUGAGAGUAAGCAGUUUUAAAGAUGUCUCAUAUCAGUGCUUACGCUCAGCAAUGUCAUUUUGUUGAUGCACAUACAUGAAAGUUGUGGCAAAGUAUCAUGUUUAGCAAGGAGUAGAGGAAACUCAUUCGAAAAUACUCAUGCAUGCUGAUCUCUCCAUUUUUUUUUUGGUUAACGUCGAACCAAGUGGGCCCAAAGAUAACAAUAACAACAUCGAAUGCUCCACUUGUCUUGUCUAGCACUAUAACUUCUAAAAGAAUUGGAAGGUAUAGAUGAGAAGAAGUAGACACUAAUGCAGGUAGAGAAGUUGUAGGAUCACGAGCAGCGAGGACAAUAAGCAUCGCAGAAAUAGAGGAACUUAGAACUUGAAGGCAUGUCUCUGCAGCAAUUAGUUUCGCCAGAGCUGCAUCAAUGGUGAGGAAUGGAGUUCGAUGGAGAAGUUGACCACGCAAGGCUUCAAACUUAGGUAGCAAGUGCAUAAGGAACUAGAAUAAACAUUGUUGAUUGUGCACUUGCUUUUGCUUGAAAGCACACUGACAAGCUGAGCAAGUGCGGCAUAAGGGUAUCCAUAGUUGCUAUUUGAUGCCAAAGUGCCUGCAUAAAGUCAUAGAAAAUCGAAAUUAUGCGCUCCUCUUGAUGAGCUGUGGAGAUUGUGUCAUGCCUUGAGUCCGACCAAUUGGACCCGCUUGGACAUGUACAAUAGAUCCACUGGACAAGACAAGUUUUCCCCUACCCAUACGAAGCAGAAACAUACAGCAACCUGUACAAUGCCAUAUAUGAAAUAGUUAUAAUAGAGCAUUAGCGUAAUAUUUCUAAAUUAAAACCACUGCAAACGUACUCAUUUAAAGUUUACCAAACUUAAUACAUUCCAAAAUAUUACAAUUUUAUUGUUCAUAUAAAAAGGUACAAUCUAAACCACGUACUCACAUGGUCUAACUACUCCACAACGCCCUUACUAUGGUCCCGCACCUCAAAGAUAAUAAUAGGAUCUGAAAAUAGGUAAACAACAAUGGAAUAAGAACUUGGAAUGAGUUCUGAAUAGGUGCAACCACUGAAAGUGGUAUUCUAUACUCACCAAGUUCCAAACGGGCGUUAGUAAUAAGUAAUAAUAAACAACAUCUAUUACCACAAUAGAAAAGUAAAUAAGUAAGAUAUAUCUAUAAUGCCUCUCUAUAUAUAUAAUAUGCAAAAAUGGUUUGCUAUGUUAUUUACUACACAUUCACCUCAUUUUAUUUUCUUAAUUUUAACAAACUUGUUCAUUUGGUUUACUUUUCAAUCUCAGUACACACCUUAUGGAGAGUCAAGGAUGAUCGAACUUCUCUCCAAUCGGUAGGCACUUGGGAUUGAAGGAGAUCAGAUUUUCUCUAGUAUGGCAUCGGGAGUUGAGAGGAUUAGACUUCUCCCUUUAUGACACUUCCGAAAAUCGCAACAUGUUUCAUUGUUACACCUUAAGUUCGUGACUUCUAGGGUUGUCAUAAGGUUUAUUUCCAUAUUGUUUUAUUUUCUAGUUCUAGUUUUGCCUAGAGAUACCACUAUAUUCACAUCUUAGGUUUCAAAAUAGGUUAAACGCCACACUUGUUUUCAACAUUUUAUGGUUCACAUAAUACUCACAUGUACAUCUCAAGUAUUUUCUUGUAGUAUAAUAAAGGGAUAAAAUCCUAUUUUCCUAGGCCAAAUGGCAAUAUACAAUUUUGACUCUCUAGAUCCCCUAGCAUGCAACUAAAAUAUAUUUCAGCUUAUAUAAAACUCAUAAAAUAUGCAUGCAACAAAAAAAUAAUUUAGACAAAGAGGAAACUAAAUCUAUUUUGAUUAUAUUCUUUACCUUUUCUUAGAUCUUCUCUAAGAGAUGCUCUUGAUCUUUUUAGAAUACCAAGAAAAUCUUAAAAAUUAAUUCUAACCAAGUUAGAAUCUAAAAAUUCUAUGUUUAGGAAAAUUCCCAAAAUAAACCAGAAGAUUCCAACUUACCUCUUCUCUUCCUGGUAUAAGAAAUGCGGGUGAAAUGGACUUCUUCUCCCUCCAAGAGCGUUCUCUUGAUGAAUUUGACCUUCUCCAAGCUUUCAAGGAAAUAGAUCUUUAAGUUUCAACAAUAGAGAUUUUAGGGCUCUUUUACUGUAAAGAAAGAGAGAAGAGGAUAGUGAGAGAGGAAGAAAUAUAAGAGAAAUUAGGGCUAACUAAUUAAAAGGAUACUCAUAGACGUGCUAUAAUAGCACAUAAACCCGCCGACAAUCCAAAUUUAUAAAGCCAUAAACCUCGACCUUUUAACUAGGAUUCGGGCACCCACUUGUCCGGACUUUCAGGUGCCGGUCCAAACUUUUAGGAGCCCAAAAGCCUCGUAGCUCCCUUUGGUCAAUUGUCUAGAUGCCCGGCCAAUCCGCCCUAUCCAUAAUACGGGUGCCCAAAAUGGACAUCAGGUGUCCAAUUAUUUAAUCCAUCACACAUGCGCUCUCAGGUUGAACAUCCAAAAGACAUUCGGAUGCCCGCGAGGGACUGCUUGAAAGAUUUUUCGAGCGCCAGAUUUUGGUCAACCGAAUAUUCAAUCCUUCACCUCCCAAGUUCUCGGGUUGGGAGUCCGAAAGAGGGUCUGGAUCCUCUUAAGUAGGAUUUGAAAGGUUAAUUUGCAGGCACCUAUGGGGCCAUUCGGGCACUCUAAAGUCAUCCUUCAAGUGAGUCCCACUGUCCGAAAUGGUUUCGGGUGCUUGGGAUCCUGUUUCGAGCGCUUGGGAUCCUAUUUCGGGCAUCCGAGAAGUUUGAUACUUCAGUUUUCACUUCUUUGAAAAUCAAUUUCAAUAUAAAUUAGUUUAUAUUCGGUCCAAAUUCAAACUACACUCCUUCAAACCCAUUUUAAUUGUGUCUAGCAUGACUUAAUCCGUACUUUGUUAAUUUAGCCAAAAUUCAGUAUGUUACAGAUUUUCUAUACUUAGAAAAUAACCAUAACUAUACUAUCUAUAUAUUUGUCUCUAUAUAUCGAUCAAAGAUAGACCACAUCUGGUAAAUGGUGGAUAGGCUGAUUAAUUGCAUACAAAUGUCGAUAUCCACUUGUAUAAAUAAGCCCAUGUGCCCGUCAAUCAGCAGCAAAUCAGGCUUUAGUUUUGUUUCAUCAACUGUUAGAUUGGUACCAUCAAUAUGACUGGUAAGAUCAAGAGUAUUCAAAUAAUAAUUGAAUACACAUCGACCAUUCAUAAUAGUUGGGCACGAUGAGCUUAAUAUCAAUUUGCACAAUAGUAGGUUAGAGGUGAGAGAACUAUUUUUCUUUACAGGUCUAAGCUAUUAGAGAAUGAUCCUUUAACUAUUAUGUGCUCAAAACAUUUUGGCAUCUAAUGGCAGAUUUUGGCUAAAAGCCAAAUAUGCAAAUUGCUAAAACUAAAUUAAAGAUUAGUAUCAAAAGAUUUUGGCAGAAAAUUAGUCUCAAAAGAUUCGGAGUCAAGACCUUAUGCUUUGAUAUCAUUUAGGACAUUGUUUUCACUUCCAUAUAUACUCAAUAGGGAUUAUCUUAAAUUCUGUUGAAUUCGCAGGUCCAUUCCAAUUUAUGAUGUGAUCCAAAAUUUUAGCAGUAAAAUUAAAAAUUUCACUACUAGAAAAUUAGUCAUUAGUGACAUUUAUUUACGCUGCUAAAAGAUCAACGAAUGCCACUAAAAAUUUUAGCAGCAUAUGACACUAACUGUUGCAUAUGCCAAUGUUGCUAAAAGUAUUAGCAGUAUUUAUAAUGAAUGCUGCCAAUGUAAAUCAAUUAGUGUUAUUAGGAACAUGCCUCUAAUAUAAAUCAAUUAGUGUCAUUCGGAACAUGCCGCUAAAAGGGAUUAAAUGCUAAUUUUAACUUAUUUAUUAGUGGGACAUAAAUUAAUAUAACGCCACAAAUACAAAUAUCUGAUUUUAGGGACUCAAGUUUUAAAAUUUUAAUUUUACCCGCUUCAGCUGGAAAUGUGAAUCAACUAGGAUUCAAACUUGAGACCUCAGUUACCAACCAUCAAGCACUUUGUCACUUACGCUAGGAACUCUCAGUUAUAUAUAUUUAAUUUUUUUUAAAUUUUAAGCCUUCAAUUUUAAAAUUUUAAAAUUUUAAAUUCUAAAUUCUAAAUUUAGAUACUAAAUUUAAAUUUUUAAUUUUCAAAUAUUAAAUUUUAAGUUUCAAAAUUUACAAUUUUAAAUGUGAAAUUUUAAAUUUAAAAAAAAUGUAUAAAUUUAAAAAUUAAAAAUUAAAAAUUUAAAUUUUAGAAUUUAAAAUAGAAAAUAUAAAAUCUUAAAAUUCAAAUGUUAAAUUAUAAGUUUAAUUUUAAAAAUUAUAAGUUUCAAAUAUUUAAACUUUAAUUUCAAAACUUUUAAUUCUAAGUAAAAAUAGGAUAUAUUAAUAAUUAUAUAUUGAUUAGUAACGAUAUUUAGUAAUAAGUACUGCUACUUUAUUACAUUUAGUGGCGUUCAUUAAUUUACGCUGCUAAUUUAUCCUAUUUUGUAACAUUAAUAAUAAAUUACUGCUAAAUUAUUAAAUCUAGCGGCAAUUAUUAAAUAAUGCUGUUAAAUAUAUUAAUUAGCUUAAUUUAAAUAAAUAUUGUGAAGUAAGUGUUGCAGCAUUUAGCAAUAAGUGCUGCUAUUUUGUUACAUUUAGUGUUAUUUUUUAUAAAAUGUUGGAAACUUCAGCGGCAUUCACUAAUUUAUCAAGUACGAAUAAUUGUAAAUUGCUACUAAUUGUAACUUCAGCGGCAUUCAAUAAGUGCUGGUAAUUUAUCCUAUUUGUAACAUUAAUUGUAAAUUGCUGCUAAAUUAUUAAAUCUAGCGGCAAUUAUCAAGUAAUACUGUUAAAUAUAUUAAUUAGCAUGAUUUAAAUAAAUGUUGUGGAGUAAAUGUCACUAAAUCAUGAAUUUGUUAUAGAAUUUUAUGAAACUCCAUGGUAGUAGCACUAGAAGCCCACUACUUGCUUUGUGAGUGCAAGGGCAGCGCUCCUGCAAAUUGGAAUAGUUAAGUCGGGGCCAAAGUUUUUCUAACCCCUAAACUUUUGAUCUACCAAUUUAGUUAAACUUAGACUAGUAUCGUUAAUUCUUUAGAGAUUUAACCGCUUACAUAUGUUGAUAGACCUUACUCCGUGGAUUUGUGGUAUCAUAGAGAGCAUGACAUCUAUUUUGCAGGUUAGGAUAUUUUGAGAGACGUAUGUUUUGUACUCAGCUUUCGAUUAUAAAAAGUUUUGCUUCAUCUUUGUUCAUGGAUUCAGGUCAGUGGUCAAACAAGAUUAUUUUCUUGUGAUUUUUUUUUCUUCUCUAUUUUUUGAUUCUCCGUUUUCUUUUAUCUGAUUUUUAGUCUUUGUUGUUACGAGAUACUUACCUCCCAAAUGUCUCACCUUGAAGCUGUGAAUGCCACUAUAUAGUUAGUACAUAUAGACGAAUAUAUAAGCAACGAGUUGAUUUAGGUAAAUAAUUAUUUAGCCACCACUCCAUCCUUCUUCUUUUCACUUAAUUGGAAUUGCCUUUUAUACUCAAAUUUUGGCAUGUUACAUACUAAAUGUUGAAAACUGAUGUGGAUAAAAUUAAAUUGUCUUAGAACUUCGAAGUAGAAAUUUUUCUUCACAGUGUGGGCCAUUAUUUCAUAAAUUGGAAGAUAAAUUAUGUUUGGCAGUAUGUUUAGGAUAUGAAAUCAAGUCUGCAGGAAAACUUAAUUUAUGUAUGCUUCUAACGGAUGAUUCCAAACUUAAUUUAUGUAUGCUUCUAACGGAUGAUUCCUUACGUGAUGCAGGAUGAGGACUUUCCUAAUUGAGGGUUUCAUGUGCCACACUCAUAAUGCUGCAUGGCACACUCUACACAACAUUAUUUGUGGGAGUGCUAACAAGAUGGAGAAUUAUCUAGACAUUGUCAAGAAUCAGCUAAAGUGCAAUGUAACUAUAUUUCACGGCCGAAAAGAUGAGCUCCUCCCUGUUGAUUGUAGCUAUGCUGUCGGGUCGAAGAUCCCUAGGGCUCGUGUUAAGAUCUAUGAUGAGAAGGACCAUAUCACGGUUGUCGUUGGCCAAGAAAGGGUUUUCGCAAGAGAGCUUGAAGAGAUAUGGAAAAAUGCUAUGCAUUAAAUAAGGAGGAGGAAGAAAGAAUUUAAACCUAAAUGAAAUAACUUCCCUCUCAAUGCACAGCUCAAAGAAAUGUGAUGCAAACAAGUGAUGCAUGUUUGAGCAAAUAUAUAUAUAUCUUUUGUUUCUCUCUUUCGUUCUUUUUUAAAAAAAUUUCUUUCUAAAGUACUUAUGUUUUACCACUAUAUGUGGUUCUAUAUGGUACCCCUUAUUCAAGUGUGAAAUAUGUAAGAUAGAAAUAUUAUGGGGAAAGAUAUAGAUUUCUCUACUUUUCAUAUAUUCUUCUUAUGAACUAUGUAGUAUUGUUAGUUAAUAACUUCAUUAUUAAAUCAUCAAUCUUACUACAUCGAGAGGGCAACAAAUUAUAUAUCACUCCCCGAGGCUGUUUUGUAAAAUAUUUUCUUUGAAAACGAGUGAAAAACAUGCUUUUUCUGAACUAAAAAACUGCCCUGAACAAGCACUGAUUCGCCAUACGAACAAAAUCUUCCCUAUCCAAAUGGAUAGAGUUUUUUCUGUACGCAUGACAUAUAUAGAGACAUAAAGUACAACAUCCAACCAUCAAACACAAUAGUAGCAACAACAACGACAAUAGAGAGAUAACAACAUACUAAUAAAUGAUCGACUAUUAUGAUGAAUAAAUGACUACUGCAGCCUCCAAUCUUCACAUACAACAAGUCACCUCCUACAACCAAAAUCAAAUAACAAUAUAUACAGGCCAGAAGCAAGAAUUAAUAAUACUGAAAAGUGAAGAAAUACAGAUACUAAAACCGACUACAAGGAAGCCACCCAAACUACUAAGAAGAACAAAUCUACAAAUGCUAAAUAUACAAUAACUAAAUAAUUAGGAGUUUGAAACAAAAGGUAUAAUUACAACUCAAAGUUACUGCCAGAGGGACUCAUCUAUCUAAUAGUACCUCAUGCACAGGCGGAUAUGUCACCUCUAGUGUCACCUGUGGAAACUAGGGAAUGAAAAACAUGUACACAUAUUUUUCAGUGCGUACUGCAAGCCGUCGAAGGCAAGCUGUACUCACUAGUAAAUAAGAGAGAGAGAGCGAUAAGGUAAAUACGAUAGGUAUAAACAGGUAUAAUUGAUAUAGUAAAAGUAAAACAAGAAAGAAAUCAUGCGACUAAAUAUUUGAAAUAAUAGCACUAUUGUAAAAAGAUAAGCAGAUGUAUAUAUGCAUCAAGCAAAUGAAUACUUCAAUACUCAGUCCCAAUCCAAACAAAUAUUGUCAUGUUGGUCUAAAGACCUUAGGCAAUGCCACACCUAUGCUUAGUCACUAGGCAUAUAAUCCUUCACGCCCUAGGGUUCGGCUCAUGUCACGCCCCGGGGUCCCUUUUCAGUUUAAAACAAAGCGGAAAAGCGUCUGAAAUUUUUUUUUUUUUUGAAAACCUGACCCCAGAGUAUGCCAGAUCCGCCACAAAUACAGGGAAUCCACUGUUCACACGGACAGAGUCUCCCCUGUAUUUGCACGGCGUCGCACAAGUACAAGAAGUCACCCAAGCACAACCACAACAAAUGAACAUACAAAUAACCAACCGUUAUAUAUAUUCAUACGCCAUUCACCACAGAUUCACAUGUAUGCAUAAAUCCACACCUAUCAGUUAAAAUAUUUCCAACCACAGAAACAGGUUUUGAAAUACUAAGAUGCAAAAUCCACAGAAAGCUUUUUGAAAACUGUUUCCUACACGGAAACCUUUAUUCUUUAAAAAUGCUACCACGAGGGGUAGAAAAUAUUUUACUUUACAAAAUCCAGAAAUCCGUUUAUUACAUUCACGAAAAUCCAUAUUUUCAAAUGUAAUAAAAAAUACUGAACCAUAUAACUAUCUAAGCUAUAACAACUGAAAUAAUAAGGGUAAUAACUAUACCGAAAUAACCUGGGUCGGAAGCUCUAUCGACCGCUACACACGUACCUCACGUCUCGUCCCACUACUCAUCGCCCGCGAUACCUGAAAAAUGGUGGGGGAGGUGAGAACAUGUAAACAUGUCUCCCCUCCCAGUGGGUACCGCAAGCCGAAGAAGGCGAGGAGUACUCACCGGAUCAGGAAGAACUAUACAACAACAUGGGUCAGUGGAAAUAAACAAGGUAAUGAGCAGAUAUACAAUAGCGAUAAACUGAAAGGAAGUAAGAACUAUACUGAAUAAACGGCUACCGCUACUGUAACUGGAACAGAAAGCAUACAUGAAUAUCUACUAUAGUAGCAAGACAACUAUAAAGUAAGAUCUGUAAGUAUGCAUGCAACGACUGCUACUAUAAACAUAUGCGUCAAUGGGACAAUCAGUCCAAAAGUACCCAAUCUGAAACCAAUGCUCUCUUGGUCAGCACCGCAGACCUCAAGCCAAUGCCCUGGAGGUCCGCACCGCAACACCUCCCGACAGUACCACUGCCGCUCUAACAUGCAUAUAACCCCUCUAGGGCUCACGGGUUGUCACCAUUCAACCACUUUUCCGGAAAAGAACACUCCUUGCGGUGGAUCAGACCGCCAGUGUUCGUGAAAUGCGACGAGUAUCGGGCGAUCAAUGCAAUAUGGUCAAUGAUCAACCGUCGGCAACCAGCCGACAAUCCUGCCCCCCAGGGCCUAUCGACCGCAUAGGUCAUCAACUGUAAAGAAGCACAAGAACCGACCACUCAGGUCAACUAGGAUGGGACAACAUCGACAUCCUCUCAAACAUAUGCAAAUACUGACUAAUCAAGUCAACUGGGAUGGAACAACUCAACAUCCUACCCACAGUAUGUAGAUACUGAUCAAUGAGUCAACUACUGUAUAUAUGCAAGAAUCGGUCAACAAGUCAUCUGAGUAUAUGAUCUAGAACUACCGUCGGCCACUAGUCGACAAUCCUACCCCUCAGGGUACACCGACCUCAAAGGUCAUCAAACAACAAGAGUCAAGGAACAAACCGACUAUAUACAGAUAUAAGAUACAAGAACGAAUCAACUAGGUCACCGAUUUCACAUAAAAUCACGAAACCGCUCUACUCUAAACAUGAUACAGGAUAUGCAGAAUAGCUAAGUAGAGCAACAAAGAAAUAUGGUAUAACUACUCUACUCCUACUCAUGAUAUAAAGAGAACAACCGAGUAGAGUGUAACUGAACAACAUGGUGCUAGGCUCAACACUAUAUAUCAAGAUAUAUAUAUGCUAGAUAAUAACGAAAGAGCAAAGGUAAGAAACCAUCACCGAGCGUGCACCACUGUACCGACGUCGGAUCGAAGUACCCACCUGUACAACUGUCGCGCCUGUCUCCUGACUGCAAAAGAACGUCAACAGGACCUAUGGAGGGUCCACUGGGUUAGUGUCUAACCCACAACUAAGAAAUACUACAUCGUAAUCCCGCUAACAAACCCACGGAGAUCAGUUUCCCAAAACCGACUACCGUAACUCGCCGGAAGUCCCAAAAAUCGCACCGGGACUCCGUCGGGACCCACGAACUGUCCCGAAAUGUUCCAACUCAGGAUACGAGUCACCCGCUGACACAAAACACACCAAUUUGGAUGUCUUGGCAGAAAACACAAGUUAACACAACUACACAAUUAUCGCCGGAUAAUUGUACGAACUCGGGUUCCCGAAAGUGUCAAAUUCGACACCGGAACCCACCGUCGCUCACUCGUCAUUUCUGAACUCUCGAAAUGACGCAAGUGGCCAGAAAACAAGGCUCGGCGACUACACAAUAGCUCACGAAGCACCGUCGGAAUAAUUCCGAACCGAACCCGCGUUCUAUCGGCGGAUUUCGCCGAAAAACGCAUCGAAAAUCACUUUUCGAUUUUCGCAAGGGCUUGGGGCCUUGGACGAUCAGUCCAGAGGUUAUCCUUAGCCCAAACGUGCUGCCAACAGCAUCUACAUCGAAGCAAAAGUCCUAAAAGCCCAUACCGAUACAUGAAAUCGCAUCAUUUCAUGUGAUUUCUAGGCUUUUCUGGACCGUGCACGCAAACCAGAGGUCGAUUAAUCCGACCGUCGCACUCGCUGACAGGUUUCAUCAUGUCGGAGGCCGUGCUCACCUUUCGGAGCACUGCCGACCACUGCGGUGCGCGCACGAGCGACACGAAAUCUGUGAAACAGUGCGCACAGCGCGAAGGUCGCGACUAACUUGCUAACCAGGGCAUCUUUGCCGCUGUCGGAGGUGAGCACGAUGUUCAGCACGAACCCUAGAUCAUCGUGCUCACUUCUCGAGGUGUCGGGGAGUCAUCGGAUCACCAGAAAGGUGGCCGGAAAGCUUAAAUUGCAAUGCUGGAACUCAAAAACAGCAUACCGGAGCAGUGGGAGCUAGGGUUGGUCGCCGGCGGCCGGGAGGCGGGCACUCUGGCCGGGGAUGGGAGCAGCCGGUCCGAGAGGUCCGGGGAGGGUGCUGGCCGGCGGCGGGCGGCAACCGGUGGCGCGGCGGAGGAGAUCGACUCCGCCCAUUCCCUCUCGGGUUCGUGCUUCCCGGCGGCGCGGCGGCGGCCGGAGGAGGUCGGGGCGGCUACGGUGCGGCGCCGGAGGCCGAGGGGAAAGUGGUGUACCCCCCGGUGGGCGGCGGCGGCACUUGGAUGUCGAGCGGGCCCGACCUCGGCCCGCACAGGUCUGGGUAGCUGCAGGAGAUCUCAGCGGCGGCCGGCGGCGCGCGGGGACGGCGGGGGACGCGCGCGCCGGGUUGUCGGAGGUCGCCGGGGCCGACUGGAGGGCGGCACGGCCGAAGUAAGGCGAGGACGCAGAGUUCGAGCUGGCUCGGUCUGGGUUGACCCGAGUUGGCCGCAGGGAGCGGGGGUGGAUCCGGUGGCGCUCGGGGGUGGUCGGGGCCGACGAGGGAGGACGACGGAGAUGGACCUCGGCCAGAGGAUGAUGCUCCAAGGGUGAAAGAAGCUUCCUUCGCAGCUUCGGCGAAGUCGGAGGAGAGGGUGGCCGAGAGAGCAAGAGAAGAGGUCGGGGUGGCUUUUCCGGCGGCCGGGGCAGCUCGCCGGCGGCUGGGGCGUGCGCGCGGGUUGGGCAGGGAGAAGGUGGGGCGGCUAGGGCUCGGUUCGGCUGAGGAGAAAGCCAAAAGCUAGGGUUUCCUCACGAAACCCUAGUGCAACUACUAUUUACAUAUGUACAAUUGCAAGAUAGUCCUCCCAGGGAUAAUAUUCUCAGUCAAGUCCCUCACAGCAUGUGUAUUUUACACAUACGCACCUCCAUGUCCGAUCUCAAGCAAUUCGGCACAUAAAAUAUUAGAUCUUUUCGCGAUUUAACCGUUUUGCCAAUUUGACCUCUUAGCGAUAACUUUGCAAUUACCGGAGAUCCGUCCGUCGGAUUUUCGAUCCGACUGUGCCAUCGCGUUCAGUACAACGGGGGCAUCGAAACUACGAUUUCGUUUCAUCCAAUUUGGUCACGGAUUCGCGACGGAACCCAUCUGCUCUCUAAUUAAUCCAUAUAUCGUACGUAUACCAAUGUGUAAACCCAUUAAACCAACUUUCGUAUUAGAAAUUGACUUCCCUACCACUAGUAGGGACCCGAAACAUUCUUCACCCUACUCCAGGUCACAAGCACGGGGCACGAGAAGCUUUAGAAUGCACAGAAAAGCAAAGAGCGGAAACCCUCUUUUCGGUAAAACUCCUUUUUCUCGAAAAUCGUGCAUCAGAUCUGAAAUCCGUCAGUGCCAUUGGUUCCAGAACAGCUGAACCGAUCGAAACGAGCUAUUGGAUCGCUAUGAACGGAGUCCGAUAAGCGCCGAAAGCCAACUCUACUCCGUGGCUUCACCGAAAAACUGGAGUUACUAUUCACUUAAGUGAAAACUAAUAAUCACGUAACUUCUCCGUUCUAGCUCAUUUUCUCCUGAAACUUGACGAGUGCUUAUGUAAUUAAAUUACACACAUAAAUAUCGUCAACAGAGAGUUUAGUUGCACUGUAAAAAUCUCAAUCCUUACAGCUCAACGUGGGUUUGCCAAUAGAUCUGCCGCAUACACAAGAAGCCUUGUGUAUACGAAGCGAUAGUAGUACUUGUAAAGUAUAAAAGAACAACUAUAAGCAAGUAAUAGGAUUGUAAAAAACUGCUAAAACUAAAACAUGAUCCACUGUACAUACAUAAGAUCUAGGGAGUACAAUAAAGAAAUCCAAAAGUACAAACAUCAUCUCUCGCAAUUGUAAAAUAAUAUAUAUAUAUAUAUAUACGUAUAAUAUAUAUAUAGAACGUUCGGCUACUAUGCUUAUCGUAGCACGAGCGCUCCGUGCUACCAAGUUGUUUUCGAUGAUGCGGCUUUCUGAUCGACGAUCGGCUCCGUUAGACUUGAUCGAACACUAUUGAAAGUAUUUGAAACUAAAUUUCAAAUUUUUUCGACAUCAUUUGACUAGUGAUCAAAAGAUCUCAAAAUUGACAAUUUUAAUGGCCGAUGUGGGUGUGUUUGUGAGUUAACGGUGUAAAAAUAAUCCAAAUGCGAUGAAAAAUUUAUAUAAAAAUUCUUUUCACUAUUUAGAGUAAGAUCAGUAUAUCUUUUUUGAAUUAAUCUUUUUAUAUCAUUUUUCUAUGAGAUUUUUAUUUUCAGCCGUUCAAUUUUAGACCUACUUGUUUGAUAGGUAAAUAAUAUUCCGAAAACACACUUAUGAACACUUAUUUCUAAAUACUUUCCCACAUAGUAUAGAUUCAAGCUCAACCGGAGCCGAUCGGUCGACUUCUGGAAGUAGCAUCAUCGAAAACAACUUGGCAGCACGGAGCGCUCCGUACUAUCGAUAGUAUAGUAGCCUAGCUCAUAUAUAUAUAUAUAUAUGUAUGUAUGUAUAUAUGUAUAGCAUAGUACUAAUAUAAUAAUAUAGAUAUAUCUAUAUAUAUAUAUGUAUACAUAUAUACAUACAUAUAAUAUAGAUAUAUGUAUAUAUAUUAUAUAUGUAUUAUAUAUAUAUAUACAUAUAUAUAUUACUAUAUAGAUAUAUUAUAUAUGUAUAUAGAUAUAUUACAUAUAUGUAUAUAGAUAUAUCACAUAGAUAUAUAUAGAUAUAUAUAUAUAUAUACUAUAUAUAUAUAUAUACUGUAUAUAUAUAUAUAGUAUGUUAUAUGAUUAUAUCUAUAUCUAGAUUGUAGGAUAUACAUAUAUAUAUAUAUAUAUAUAGUAUAUACACAAUAUAACAUAUAUAUAUAUAUAUUACAUAUAACAUAUAUAUGUAUAUCUACAUACAUAUAUACUAUAUGUAUAUCUACAUAUAUAUAUAAUAGUAUAUAUAUUAUUGUAUAUCUAACAAUAUAGAUAUAUAUGUAUAUAUAUAUAUAUAUUAUAUAUAUAUAUACUGUAUGUAUAUAGUAUAUACUAUAGAAAUUUAAAUAUUCUGUAUAUUAUAUAUAUAUACAGGAUAUACAUAUAUAUAUAUAUAUGUAUGUAAUAUAUAGUAAUAUAUAGUAUAUCUAUAUAUAUAUAGGGUAGUUAUACCAGAUAUAUAUAACCUACCUAUAAUCAUGUAUAUAUAUAGGUAAUACAUAGGUAGGUUAAUACAUAUAUAAUAUAGUAGAAGGUGGUAUACAAUAUAUUAGGGGGGGGGUAGGUUAUAUAACCUACCUAUAUAUAUAUAUAUAUAUAUUAGUUUAGUAUUAAUAUUUAUAUAUAUAUAAUAUAUAUAUACUAUAUAUAUUUAUAUAAUUAUAUAUUAUAACCUACAAUCUAUGAUAUAUAUAUAACCUCCUAUAUAUGGUUAUAUAUAUAUAUAAUAUGUAUAUAAUAAUAUACCUAAUCUAUAUAUAUAUAUAACCGAGUUGGGCUGGGGUGCUUUCGGAAAGAAGCACGGAGCGCUUCCGUGCUUCCACUUUGUUUUCCGAUGUUCGGACUUUCGAAUCGACGAUCGGCUCCGUUAGAGUUGAUCUACGAGCUAUUUAAAGUACCAAGAAUUAAAUUUUGCGAAUUUUUCGAUAUCAUUUGCCUUAAGUGAUCCGAAGGGGCUUCAAAAUCAAUAAUUUUAACGGCCGUGGUGAGCCAGUUUGCAAGUUUAACGGUAUAGAAAUAUCCCAAAUCCACGGAAAAUUUUGAUAGAAUUCUUUAUUACCAUAUAAAACAAGAUCAAUACUUUUGUGAUCUAAAUUUUAAUGGUCGAUAUCAUCAUAUUUUGGUGAGAUUUUUAUUUUCAGCCGUUAUUUGAGCCACUUCGAUCACUAGGGCAAAUGAUAUCGAAAAAUCGCAAAAUUUAUUUUCUAGAUACUUCAAAUACCUAGAUCAAGUCAUAAACGGAGCCGAUCGUCGAUUUGAAAGUCCCAACAUCGGAAAACAAAGUGGAAGCACGAGCGCUCCGUGGCUUCUGAAAGCACCCCCAGACGCUACUCAUAUUAACUUACCUAUAUAUGUAUAUAGUAUAUAGGUAGGUUAUAUUAUAAUAUAUAUACAUAUAUAGGUAGGUUAGUAUAGUAUAUACUAUAUAGGAGUUAUAUAUUAUAUAUAUAGUAGGUAGGUUAUACAUAUAUAUAUAGUUAGGUAGGUUAUAUUAUAUAUAAUAUAAGAUAUAUAUAUAGGUAGUUAGGUAGAUGUAUAUAUAGUAUAUAUAUGAACUAUAUAUAUAUAACUAUAUUAUAUAUAUAUAGGUUAAGUUAUGUAUAUAUAUAUUAUAUAUAUAUUAUAUAUAUAUAUAUAUAUAUAUAGUAUAUAUAUAGUUAGUAGUAUAUAUGUAUAUAUAUAUAGGGUAGGUAGAUGUAUGUAUAUAGGUAGGUUAUAUAUAUAGUAUAUAUAUAUAUAUAUAUAUAUAUAUAUAUAUAUAUAUAUAUAUAGAUAUAUAUAUAUAUACAUAUAUUAUAAUAUAUAUAUGUAUAUACAUAGUAUAUAUAUAUCUAGUAUAUAUAUAUAAUAUAUAUAUAUAUAUAUAUAUAUAUAUAGUAUAUACUAUAAUAUAUAUAUACAUAUAAUAUAAUAUAUCUAUAUUAUAUAUAGUAUAUAUAAUAGUAGGUAGGUUAUAUACCUGAUAUAUUUAUAACCAACAUAUAUAUUAUAGGUUGUUAUACAUAUAUAUAUAUAGUCAUAACCUACUAUAUAUAGUAGUUUAUAUACUAUAUAGGUAGAUUAUACAUAUAUAUAUAUAGGGGUAGUUAUAUAUAUAUAUAGAGAGUAGUUAUACAGAGUAUAUAGGUAGGUUAUAACCUACCUAUAUAUGUAUAUAUUAUUAUAACCGUACAUCGUAUGUAUAUUAUAACCCACCUAUAUAUGUUAUAUAUAUAUAUGUAUAUUGUAGGUAACUACGUAUAUAUAUAUAUAGCUAUAUAUAUAUAUAUAGUAUAUAUAUAUUAAGUAUACAUAUAGUAUAUAUAUAUAUAACUACAGUCGUAUAAUUAUAUAACCUACCGUAUAGUAUGUAUAGUAUAUAUAGGUAAUACAGAUAAGUAUAUAUAUAUAUAUAUAUAUAUAUAGUAUAUUAGUAUAUAUAUAUAUAUAGGAUUAUAUAGUAGUAUAUAUAUAUAUAAUACGUAUAUAUAGUUAUAUAUAUCUGUAUAACCUACCUAUAUAUAUAUAUGAUAUAUAUAUAUAUAAAUAUAGAUAUACUAUAUAUGUAUAUAGAUAUAUCUAUAUAUAGCAUAUAUAGAUAUAUCUUAUAUAUAUAUACAUAUAUACAUAUGAUAUAUAAUAUAUAUAUACAGUAUAUAUAUAUAUAGUAUAUAUAUAUAUAUAUAAUCUUAUAUGUAUAUAUGUAUAUAUAUAUAGAUAUAGUCUAUAUAUGUACUAUAGUAUAUAUAUGGAGUCGGUACUAUACUAUCGGUAGCACGGAGCGCUCCGUGCUACCAAGUUGUUUUGAUGAUGCGGCUUCCAAAUCAACGAUCGGCUCCGUUAGACGUUGAUCUACACUAUUGAAAGUAUUUGGAAACUAAAUUUCAAGGUUUUUUUUACAUCAUUGACUAGUGAUCAAAAGAUCUCAAAAUUUGACAAUUUUAAUGGGCCUAUGUGGUGUUUGUGAGUUUAACGGCUGUAAAACAAUCCAAAUGCGGAUGAAAAUUUUAUAGAAUUCUUUUCACUAUAUUAGAGAAAGAUCAGCAUAUCUGAUCUUGGAAUUUAAAUCUUUAUCAUCCAUUUUUUAUGGAGCAUUUUUAUUUCAUGCCGUUCAAUUUGUGAGGGCUACUUGUGUUGGUAGGUUAAAUGGUAUUGAAAAAUUAUAAAAUUUAGUUUUCUAAAUACUUUUUUAAAUGAGUGUAGAUCAAGUCUAACGGAGCCCGGAUCGUCGAUUUGGAACCGCAUCAUCGAAAACAACUGGUAGCACGAGCCGCUCCGUUGCUACCGAUAGUAUAGUCAGCCUAGCUUAUAUAUAGUAUAUAUAGGUAUAUAUAUAGUAUAAGUAUAGUAAGUAUAUAUAUAUAUACAUAUAUAUGUAUAUAUAAUAUACAUAUUUAUGUUAUAUAAUAUACAUAUAGUAUGUUAUAUAAUCUAUAUAUGAUACUAUAUGUAGUAUAUUUUGUAUACAUAUAUAUAUGUUAUAUAUGUAUAUACAUAUAAUAUAAUAUAUAUAUGUAUAUUAUAUGUAUAUAUAAUAGUAUAUAUGUAUAUGUAUAUGUAUAUAUAUAUAUAUAUUAUGUAUAGUAUAUAUAUGUAGUAUGUAUAUGUAUAUGGUAUAGCUUAUAUAUAUUAUAUAUAUAGUAUUAUAGUAUAUAUGUAUAUAGAUGGGGUAUACAUUAUAUAUAAUGUAUAUAUAUCAUGAUAUGGUAUGGUACUCCGUGCUGUAUAGUAUAUAUAUAUAUGUAUGGUAUAUAGUAGUAAAUAUAUGUAUGUAUAAUAUAUAUGUAUGUAUAUAUAUAUAUAUGUAUAUAAUAUAUUAUGUAUACAUAACAUAUAUAUAUAGUGGUUAGUACGAGUGUUUGAUUAUUAAGAGUAGAUAGUGUAGAGGUACAUAUGAUUGAUAAUUGUAUAAGAGGGGAUACAGGAUAUAUAUAGUAUGUAUAGUGAUAUAAUAUUNNNNNNNNNNNNNNNNNNNNNNNNNNNNNNNNNNNNNNNNNNNNNNNNNNNNNNNNNNNNNNNNNNNNNNNNNNNNNNNNNNNNNNNNNNNNNNNNNNNNUUAUUUAUAGACUUUAGAAUCAAUCGGAGUCGAAUUAGAAAGUUUUCACGGUUUUACACUGUGUACUGGUACACUUUAAGCUGUUACCGGUUACACGAUGACGGAACGAAAAACCUGACGAAACAGUGAAACCGGUUACAUCCUUGAUGGUCGUACUGGUACACAUUUUGUACCGGUACACUUCUGAUGCUGUACCGGUACACUUUGCAAAUUUCCGCCGUUUCGGGUUUUGCAAAGUCCCAAUGCACUUUCUAAUUCGUUAGACAUUGAUAACAUGAUUCUAAUGUCUACAACUAAGUAUGAAUCACCAUAACAUGAAUUUAUACUUUACCUGAGCAUCGUGAUUCAUAUCGUGAGUUAUUUUCCAACUUUUUCAAAAUCCUGAUUUCUUCGAUCUUCGACGAUAUGCACUGGUUCUUCAAGACUCCGACUCACUUCACGAAACUUGCCAAUACACAAGACUUAACAACCUUAGGCCGGUUGGACUAUAGGAAAUAGGCUCGUGAGAGACGAGGUCUAUUUGACUUGUGAGCGAAAGUAUCAUGAUUGGGUAUCUUGAUAACUCUAUAAAGUUGGAGUUGAUCGAAGUGUAUGACUUCUAACUUCGCGGAGGGUUACGUUGGCGGCCGACAACGUAACAUCGGGAGUUAGUGGUGAAGAACACUUCCUUACUUUCGCAUGAUUUGGGUAUUAUCUUUUGAGCGGGGGUUCGAUAGCGUGGGUUUACUAACUUGCGCUUUUAUGAUGUUGUAGUGACGAUGCCGAUUACACGCUCUCAAUCUACCAGAGCGGAUAAUGCGGCAAACUUGGAGGAGGUCGAGACCUCCGCUACCUCCGGAUCCGGUGAGGUCCGUGAGUUGAGGGGCCAGCUUGCGGCCCUCACUGAUAUGGUGGCACAGCAGACAGAGGCAGCGCGCCGGCAGGAGGCGCGGAUGAAGCGCCUGGAGGACCUUCUUCUGCAACAGGCGGCAGCUUCCAGGGAAACUCAGGCCCCUACACCGCCAGCACCAGUCGUGGACGUCACGCCGAGAGCGCCAUCCCCCGCGCCCAGUUCUUCGUGAGCAGCGCCCAUGGCCGCGCCUCAGGAGGAGGCUAUCGCGGCACCACCUGUGCAGAGGCCCCCAGUUGGAGCAGCUUUCCCUACCUUGGUCGAGGGAGUGGAGCGGGACCGACUCAUGGAGCGCCUCAACGAGUUCAGGAGGUGCAGUCCCCGAAUCUUCGACGGCGAGAAGGUCGACCACUGGAUCGUAGAGAAGUGGUUGAUGCAUAUGGAGAAGCUCUUUCGCGACACCUUCGUGGAGGAGAGGGAUCGGGUUUGGCUCGCCACACACCACCUGGACGGCGAGGCCUAUCGCUGGUGGUUGGAUCUCCAGGAGCACCCCAGCACUGAUUUGGCAGCUAUUACUUGGAAGAGGUUCAAGGAGCUUCUUUUGGCGCAUUACUUCCCGACUAGCGUCAAGAGGAAGAUGGAGCAGGAUUUGCGCAACUUGCGCCAGGGAGACAGGACAGUAGCCGAGUACGAGCGGGAGUUUUCUCGGCUUUUACAUUGCGUGCCUUUCGUCGUGCGGGACGACGAGGACAAGGCCCGCAUCUUCGAGCGAGGGUUGCGACCGUCGAUCUUCCGGUUUGUGCAAUCCUCUAACCUCCAAACCUACCAGGAGGUGGUGGAUCGCGCGCUCAUCGUGGAGAGCGGCACGGCAGAUGUCCAAGAGCGGCGAGAGGCUAUGGACAAGGGUAAGGCCAAGAGGCCUGCGGCUGAGGGUGCGAGCCAGACGCACUCUAGGAGGCCGCCGAAGCAUCCUAGGAGCCAGCAGCGUGGGCGUGGCUCGGCGACUCACCAUGGAGGUUCUGACCGACGCCGACCUCCCCAGUGCGUGAUCUGUGGUGGCCCCCACAUUCCACCGCAGUGCCCGCAGCGAGGAGGGAGGUGUUUCCAGUGUGGCCAGGAGGGCCACUUUCGGACCGAGUGCCCGAGGGGUUCGUCACCGGCACCGUCAUCUGCAUCGGCACCGGCUCUACCAGCCGCCAGCCACGGGACUCCAUCAGCGCAGUACCAGCUCGGGCGGCCACCCGCCCAGCGCCAGAGCGAGGGUUCUCGACAGGCCCCGAGUGGGCGUAUGUAUGCCGCUCAGACCGAGGAGGCGGCAGCAGCCGAGGAUGUGGUCGCAGGUAUCAUUUUUACUUGAUGCAUUAGAGUUCGUGCAUUAUUUGAUACCGGUGCAUCGCAUUCAUUCAUAGAUCGGCUGUUUGCCGAGUUGCAUGGCAUCCCUAUGUUUUCUUUGUUGCAUCCGGGACGUGUAGUUGUCCCUGACCACUCUUUGGAUAUUAGAGAGUAUUGCCCCAGUUGCCCUAUUCGGGUAGGAGAUUGGAUUAUGUCCGUGGACUUGCUAGCCUUGCGCAAGCUGGGGGAGUUUGAUGUGGUCUUAGGCAUGGAUUGGUUGACCAAGUUUUAUGCCACGAUAGAUUGCAAGAAUCGCACGGUUACUUUUAGAGAACCGGGGCAAGUUGAGGUGAUAUUUAGAGGAUGCCAGAGUUCGCUUUUUGCGAUGACGAUCAGCUCGUCUCGAGCUAGGCAACUGAUCAGCAGAGGUUGUGUAGCCUACUUGGCUAGUGUUGUGUUGAGGGGCGAGGGUGAUACCCCGAGGAUUGAGGAUAUUCCGGUGGUACGGGAGUUUUGUGACGUGUUUCCAGCUGAGCUACGGGGCAUGCCACCCGAUAGGGAGAUUGAGUUUGUGGUAGAUCUCAUCCCUGGGACUACUCCAAUCUCGAAAGCGCCCUAUAGGAUGUCACCGGCGGAGCUGAAGGAGCUGAGGGCACAGCUGCAGGAUCUUCUGGAUAAAAGCUUCAUUCGACCGAGCGUCUCGCCUUGGGAAGCACCAGUUUUGUUCGUCAAGAAAAAAGACGGAUCACUUCGCCUAUGCGUGGACUAUCGCGAACUUAAUAAAGUCACGAUUAAGAAUAAGUAUCCGUUGCCGAGGAUCGACGACUUGUUUGAUCAGCUUCAGGGAUCGUGUGUGUAUUCCAAGAUCGAUUUGCAGUCGGGAUACCACCAGUUAAAGAUCAAACCCGAGGAUGUAUCGAAGACGGCUUUUAGAACCCGGUAUGGACAUUAUGAGUUCACUGUUAUGCCGUUCGGGCUUACUAAUGCCCCCGCAGCUUUUAUGGAUCUAAUGAAUCGUGUUUUUAAGCCUUAUCUAGACAGGUUCGUCGUGGUGUUCAUAGACGAUAUUUUGGUUUAUUCCCGAAGUGAUACAGAUCACGAGGAGCAUUUGAGGCUUGUACUUCAAGUACUUCGGGAAAAGGAGCUCUAUGCCAAGCUAAAAAAGUGUGAAUUUUGGCUUCGAGAGGUAGCUUUUCUUGGACAUUUGAUUUCAGGAUAGCUGUGGAUCCUAAGAAGAUUGAAGCAAUCAAGGAUUGGCCGAGACCGACGAGCGUCACGGAGAUACAGAGCUUCCUUGGAUUGGCCGGGUACUACCGGAGAUUUGUUGAGGGGUUCGCCAAGCUGUCUACUCCCCUCACGAGGCUCUUAGGAGAGACCGGUCUCCCAGGGACCGGUCCCUCAGGUGAGGACCGGUUCCCGAACGCGAAAAGUCCCCAGACUGCAGGGAGAGCUCUCGGGGACCGGUCCCUUGUCGGGGAGACCGGUCCCUCUGGGCGAAAACAGCCCAGUGAUAGCAGGUUGAGAGAUGAAAAGUUGAGGGGCUAAAGUAGAUUUUGUUACAAUAGAGGGGCAUAUUAGCCCACUCCCCCUCUCAGCCUCUCAUUUCUCUCUCUCCCUCACUCUCAUUUCUCUCUCGCUCUUUCUCUCUCUAAAAAGGAAAGGAGAAAAAGAAGAACAAGAAGGAGAGGAAGGAAAAGAAGAAGAAGAUAAGGAAGGAGAAGAAGAAGGAGAUCAAGAGGAAGGCUUUGAGCACCUCCAUCUCCCUCUCCUCUUCUCUUUGGUGUAGCUCGUGAGGUAAGCUACUAAACCCUAGCUUCUAGAACUUAGGGUUUUGGGUUUUUAUGCUUUGGAGUGGGUCAAAUGGACCCUAGGCAAGCUUCUAAGUAGAUCAAUCCCUUGAUUCUAGGGUUUUAUCGGUGGGUUGCUAUAUGUGCAACCUAGGGCUCCAAAUGGGGCAUUUUGUAAAGUAUGAGAUUGAUCUCAUUUGAGGCCUUGUAAACCCCAUCGAUAGGUGCCCAAACGCGGGGGCGAAGUCGAUUUCGCGAUUCGUCAAGCGGGCUUAGAGCAAUCGGCGGAUUACGGUCGUUUCGGCGCUAUCUUGGAUUAGGGAAGGCUAAAGCCUUUUCGUAAAGCUCGCCGAGGAGCGUUCUUGAGGCCUCUACGUUGAUAAAAGGUGGGGGGUGUCAUCCCGAAGCUUUCGAACUCCUUUCUAUGUCUUAGAUUGCAUUUAAUCUCAUCUCUUCAUGUUGCAUUGUAGGAUUGCAUAGUAGCUCCAUUCCUUAUGCUUUCUAAAUGAUAACCUAGUGUACUUGGAACGCUUGGUAACUUAGAUAGGUGAGGAUUGGGUCGGAACGUGGAUCCUAUGAUGUAAAAGAAAAGAGGUGAACCCGAUGGGGGUAUUGAUGACAUAGAAGGUAGUGUUAGUGUUAAAGAACACAUGAGUGGCAUCCAAAUGUUAAAUGAUGACGAGUGGCAUUAAUGUAGUGUAUAUGACACUAGAGGUUUGAGAACCUAGGGAUAGGUGGAUCCCUUAGAAAAUGCCUUGUGAACAAUGAAUUUAGAAAACUAAAUAGCAUUGCAUGAAUGUCGGGAACCGAUGAUUCCGCGAUAGUCGUUGACCCUAGUGUAGGGCGUCCUCACUUGGAGAGGAUUCGAUUGGGUUAUUGACUCUAGUUGUAGAGCCUCCUCACUUGGAGAGGAUUGGAUUGGGUGUUGACCCUAGUUACAGUGUAUCCUCACUUGGAGAGGAUAGAUCUAGCUCACAGUCUGCGUUUAGGAUGGUAUAGCCAUCCAAUCCCCACAUGGAGGGGAUUGUCGUCGAGUACUCCGGAGUGUCGCGCGACUAGGACCACUUGGAGGUCCGGACCACAUGGAGGUCCGCAGACGGUCCCGGGCUUGGGUGCACUUGGAGCUCCCUCCCCACUUUGGGAUUGGAAGAUGAGUUAUGGGUGAGCCCUAGGGCCUCGCCACAGAUUGGGUAAAUGAAAGGUUAAAGGUUUAAUAAAUGUCAUUGAACAUAGCUAUUCGAACAUGGAUCGAAUUUGGUAGCAUGGUAGCAAACCUUUAUUAUAUGAUGCAUGCAUUCAUAUUCAUGAUUAUGGGCAUAGUAGCAUAGUUUUCCUACUACUGCAUUUACAGC